CAGGAAGGACAAGGACUCCAAAUUCAGGCUCAUUCUUGUUGAGAGCAGGAUCCACCGUCUUGCCCGUUACUACAAGCGCACCAAGAAGCUCCCGCCCACCUGGAAGUAGUAAGUUACUCUGGUCCUUUUACCUUUUACCUAGCUAGGUUUACUACAACUGAACGUGUGAACUUGCCAAUGCUAAUCGGUUAGUAUAUUAGUACCUAUUUUGUGUUACACCAGUUGAUUCAGUCCUGCAUGUUUACAAAUUACUAUGUAGAAAGCUUCAGGUUGGUCAGCUGUGCUACUCAAAUUGCAUUUUAUGUGGAAAGCUGCCUGUCCUGUUAUCCUUUAAAGUAACUAAUUAUGCUUAACAUGUGGCUGCUGUGUUCUGAGCUGCUGUAUGCAUAUCUGUAUGCUAUCUUGGUUUUUAUGGGUUUAGGGUUGUAAACGCAUUAAACGCAUUCCACUCAGUAGCUUAUUUAAUCAAGAGUGACAUCUGUUUGCUUCAAGUUUAGGUGAAAUUGACUAGUGCCAACAGAAUGUGUAUAGACCUGAAACCAUGUGCCUCUUGUUUGGUUGGUUCAUACAAGAGUAUGCAACUUGAAAAGAAGAUUUGUUUUAUUUUUAUAAAAUGCUUCUUAGGAAUUAAGUUUUACUUUGUUGUGGUAUUAGUUGUUAGGUUGGGUAUGGUAGGCUGGUGUGUGCAACUUUUUUCUGUUAUUUCAUUAAUGGGGUUUUUGCUGGAAUUUUCAAGCAUUCCCACAAAUACAUUUCAUCUUUGGUGUGAUGCUUCCAUACUCUAGAUAGUAGCAGAAGUGGAGAAUGGGCCUGUUUCAUUCAUCUGUGCUUGCAUUUUUGCUAAGUUGCUUUGCGCUCUGGAUGGGUUAUGCCUUUUCAUACCUGCAGUUGUUACGAGUGUAAUCUGACAAUUUAUCCUUGAUUGUCUGCAGCGAGUCUACCACUGCCAGCACUCUGGUGGCUUAGGAGGGCUCUUCAUCUGGUGUGCUCUUACCGGCUUCAGGAUGGUCUUGUUCUACAUAUUAUCAAUUUCAUGUAACGCUUUUGAGUUUGGAGCGAUUUAGAUGAACAAGAGACCAAAUUUUCUAUGUUUACUUGGAGAAUCCCAUAAACCAUUUUUGGUUUUGCAAUUCUGUCUGGUUCUGUUUAGUGUCUAUCUACAAUUAAUCAGUUAAAAUUAGACAUUGUGAUAUUCGUGUUGUCUGAUCUGAGUGAGUGUAAUCGCUGCUUUCAGUGCACUCAAGCUCGGAUAGUUUGACUAUAUGGUUAUUGCACAUCCGCCUAAAAAACUGUCACGUUUCACUUUUAAAAGCAUGCUGUCAGCGGAACCAACGUAUAAUGUGUGCUAUUUUGAUUCCAGCCUAAUAUAUUUAUAUACCAAUAUACUCCUAAAUAUAUCUCUUUCUAGAGAUUUCACUAUGAACCAUAUAUGGAUGUAUAUAGUGCAUUUUAGAGUGUAGAUUCACUCAUUUUGCUCCGCCUAUAGCCCGUUGUGGAAUUUUCACAAACACUUAUAUUUAGGAACAGAGGGAUUUGAUGCAAUCUUUUGGUUGCUAGACAAUGUUGUGACGAUUAUGCAGAAACACACAGAUCUGGCCUUUCAUAGGAGAACGUUAAAAGGGUUGUGACGAUUAUGCUAAAUAUUGGUGAAUGCACUGGCGAAGUUAAUAAAAGUGAGACACGCUGCUAUGCACACUAUUUUGGGAAAUGGCACAUGUCCAACCAUCCAUCCAUGUAAAGUGCACCACACCACCGGAUUGACAAUCAGAGCCCGCGUUAUGCGCCGCGCGCAAAAAACCUGUUUGUCACGCGCGCUUCGGCUGGUUUAGCGCGGCCGCGAGCGCUGGCUCCAGCAGCCGCGCUAUAAUGCAGCGCCCGCGCGUCGCUCCAGCAGCGCGUAAAAAUACAAUGCGCGCGACUCGCUGGGCGCGUGCGACUUACAGCAUGGGUUUGGAAACAAUUAUAAAAUACAAUGAACAUGUGAAAUUUGUCCACAAACAUCUUCCAACCAAGUCAUGCCCACAAGUUCAUACCCACAAGUUCAUCCAACCAAGUUCAAAAUGCAAAGUAAAAGUUCAAGACAUAUAAAUGAAAGACACAUCAAACAUCUUCCUCGUCUUCGUCCUCAUCUUCCGAAGACGAUUCUUCCGCCUCCGAAGAUGAAUCUUCCUCCCUAUCCUCAUCACGCAUCGCAUCACGUGAAGCUCCGACGGUGUUGGCAAGAUCUUCAACGGCAUCUUCACGGGAAUGUGUGUGAGGAGGCACAUCAAAAGACAUUCCACCCAUGGCCGGAGGUGCACCCAUGCCUCCCAUGAGAGUAGCGAAACUCAUGCCUCCCAUGGCGGCCAUAGUGUCAGAGGGUGCUCCAAAGCCACCCAUGCCUCCCAUGGCGGUCGGAGGUGCGCCCAUGCCUCCCAUGGCGCCCAAGCCACCCAUGCCUCCCAUGGCGCCGAAGCCACCCAUGCCUCCCAUGGCGGCCGGAGGUGCACCCAUGCCUCCCAUGGCGACGAAGCCACCCAUGCCUCCCAUGGCGCCGCCACCCAUGCCGCCAAGGCCACCGCCACCCAUUGUGCGGAUCAUGGCUCUUUUUUGGAUCAAGACUUCUUCACGAGCAAGGUUGACAUAUUCCUUUUGCGCACCAUUGAACGAAGAUGUGUCCAAGAAGAACAAGUGCUUCUCCCAUUCCAACAACCUAGAUCGCUCUUCCAUGCCCACCUUCCUCUCCUCCAAUGCCACUUUCCUCUCCUCGGCGGCCACCCUCCUCUCCUCGGCCGCCAACCUCCUCUCCUCGGCCGCGGCAUCUUGGUUCCUUGCCAUUUUCCUCACCUCGUUGGCUUCUUUUCUUGCCUUCACAAUAGCUUCCAUAGCAUUUUUGAGCUCAUCAUCUCCUUUCCUCUUCUUCUUUUUGGUUUUGUCUUUCUUGCACCCAUCCGGUCAUUUUGGCUUCGAGUAUGAAACCGAGUUGGGUGUGGGGCUUCUCUUGCUGUCAUCACUUGAUGCAUCCUCCUCCUCAUCAUCAUCCACCUUGCGUUUGUUGCUCAAAUGCAAAUCAUCCAAACCAUCACGGUUUUUCCAUUUCUCAUUAUUCUUUAACACUUCAUAGCAAUGAGACAAGGUAAAGAACCUUCCUUUCUUGAUCUUCCCCUUCUUGGUUUUCCUCGUCUCUUCUUUGAACAAGUUUUGUGCAAUGUUGUACUACAAGAAAAACAAAACAAGUUAGCACUUCGGACACCAAAAACAAGUAUGAGAUGAACAUAUAUGAGAUGCCACUUACUCUAUCAUCCUCAUUUGUGCCACUUGGGUUAAUCUUGUCAACUGACUUUUGUGCGGCCGCCCACUUUUGACAACCGGAGUUGAUUGUGGACCAUCGGGACCGAAGUGAUCUCUCCGAGCGGUCAAUUCCACUCAUGUUGUGAGCAUCAAAGUAUUCUUUCAUUCGCCCCCAAUACGCAUCUCUACUUUGAUCACCUCCAAUGGAUGGAUCCCUUGACACUUGCAAAUAAGUAUUGCAUAGUAACUUGUCAUCGUUGGUGCUGUAAUUGCCCGCUCUUCCUUUCGGCGCGUCGACAAUGCCCUCACCCUCCUCGUCCACCUCAAACUCAUGGUCUUCCAAAUGGAUGUCAUUGGUUUGAGACCAAUGCGAAUUGUUGGACCCAACACCCAUAGUUGACAUGUAUGCAUCAUCAUUGAGACUACAAUUUUUUUGAACAAUGCAAAUAAGCUAUCUAUAUGUGAUGAUGCAUUGAAAAACAAAAAGAAAAUAAAAGUUAGAAUUUUUUUCACCUUGGGGGCAUUUCGUCGAACACAUGGUGCGCGUUGGCGGCCGACUCAACGAGUGAGCUCGUUGGCGCUUCGGUAGCCGUCGCGGCCGUCGAACGCCCUGCAAGCUUCUUUCCCCUUGCCUUCGUGCCACCGGAGCCGUCCGCCGCCUUGUUUUUCUUCGCCGAAGUUUUGCCCUUCUUCGGCCGCCCCGCAUUGGGGAGCUUCGACGGUGCGGCGGCGGCACGGGACGGCGCCGGCGCGACGCCACCCGUCGCCGUGGUCAUCCGCGGCGGCAAGAANNNNNNNNNNACAGCGGGGAGAGCGGGGCACCGAUGUGCGCGUCCAUGGGUGGCGCCGGUGCCGGCGCGCGCGGGGCGUAGGAGGAGGAAAGGAGGAAAGAAGAGAGUGCGGCGCGAGCGGUCGAGUGUGCCGCACGCUGUACAAGGCGCCCGAAAUACGCCGCGCGGGAUGGCGUUUCCGACAGCGCGCCCAACUCGGUAUAGCGCGCGCGCUGUUAUUGCGCGCCCGCUGGAGCGACCCGCCGCGUUGCGCACGCGCUAAAACCGACGAAUUUGCGGCGCGGCGCUAGUUUAGCGCGGCUGUUGGAGAUGCUCUCAUGCGAGGAUCAGGACAGGAAAGUGUCGGAUGUAAGGGGUGACCCAUUUUGUCCGUGGGCGUCUGUUUGGGUCGGCGCGGAUAGAAAAGUCGGCCCAACGCAUCGACCCAAACGGACGCACGUUCGCUUUUCGUUCGUCUACCGGCCCAUUUUUGAGCCGGAUUUGCGUCAGCGCGGACACGAGACGGAUGCGCGCGCGUUCGUCUUCUCCUUCCCCCUGGCCUGCUCGUCGAUGGCAGCCUCCACCAUUUUCCUCCCCCCCUUUCCCCGCGCGCACUCCCGUCGCCCGCCAUGGACGACUACCUCGACGCCGGCCUCGCCUCCCUCGCCUCGUCCGGCAUGACGACUGCCACCUCCGGCAAAGGCAAGCCUCAUGCCCCCCCGCAAGACCGCCACCGUGCCCAAGCCGAAGAAGACGCCAACGCCCGAACAUCGGGCAAGGGAGUCGGCGAAGAGGAAGGGCCGGAGGUACGUGACAGACGCGAGGGAUGAAGCCAUCACGGCGGCCGUCGUCGCCGCCGCCGCAGCAGCAGGAGGUCACCAAUGCGAGCGUCGCAGCGGCAACGAGGGAGGCGCUAUAUAUGCUAGGGUUAAACCCUAACCAGCAAGGCCUCGUCAACGUCGCUAUGGUCGCGGCCAGCACCGGCUCAUAUGCGCUGUCUCGGAUGGUGCUGCCUGACUCGCCCCGUGCGUCGACGACACAACCGAUACCCGGCUUCCACGUCUAAAAGUAGGCCUCCCGCCUCUCCGAGGAGUGCUCACCCGAGGUGAGCGUGGUGGCGCCUUCCACGCCCGUGCCCGCGCCUAUCGACCUCAACGCCACACCGGUGGCGGUGGCUCAUCAUCCGGAGGCGCAAGGAAACACACGCGACACAUGCCAGCCGACAUGGAGGGCAUGAUGAGCAAGAAGGACUCAAGGGAGGAGGAGCGCCGACGAACAAAGAAGAACAAAUGAACGCCUUCAUGAAUAUCCAAAGGAGGAGGCUUGAGAUGGAUGCGAAGAAGCAAGCCAAGAUGCUUGAGAUGGAGGCGGAGAAGCAAAUCAAGAUGCUAGUGAUUGAGGCUGCCAAUGCCAAGACCAAGGCAAAAGAAGUGGCUCGCGCGAGCAUGAUGACCGGGGUGGAGACCAUGAAGGUGGAUCUCAACACUGUGUCGCCAAGGAAGAGGCCGUGGUUCGAGAAGAUGCAGGCCGACAUGCUCAAGUUCGACGACGAGUGACCAAUGGCGGCGAGCGCCAUCCUUUUUUGUAAGUUGGCAAGUGUGCUGACAUGAUCACGGCCGUGAUGGCAUGGUCGAACUCCUGCCUCUUUUUUGUGUGCUGGCAUGUGUGCCGGCCGAUGGCAAGUGCGCCAGCAAAACUGUGUGUUAUUUUUCUGAAGCUGGCAUUGUAUGCCGGAGCUGGCAUGGUGCUGGCAUGAACUUUCAGGCGACGACAUGGCCGCUGGCAUGAACUAUGGCCGCGGGACUUCUUUCAAAAUUUGCGUGCGUACAUGAAAUAGGUCGGCGCGUUGGGCGCACUGCCGAGCCAAAUCUCAAACGGGGCGGACGCCGAGCAGGCGACCGACCCAAACAGACGAAAAGCGGACAAAAGCGUCGUCCGUUUGGGUCAGCGUGUUGGAGUUCCUCUAAUUCAUAUAAUUCAGAAGAGGAAGGUCGGUUGAGUACUUUAUUGUCAGAAUAGGUUUUGUCCACUUCAUUGAAUUUAUGUCAUUGAUACAAUGGACUUGCUUGCCAGGGUGCUGAGUUGUUAAGACCCCGCUCUUGAGUGGAUAAAGCAGCCAGCGGAGGUGAAGCCUAAGAGCAAGAAAGAGCAAGAAAAGAGAGCUCGAAACUUCUUUCCAUUACAUUCACAACUUGCCACUCUAGCCAACGCACCCAUUCUUGCUCACUUUCCCAGUAUUCUUGCAUGUAUCUUUGAAAAGGGCGAGGUGUUGUUUAGGGUUCCUACCCCAUUCAACAUUUUGCAUUUUGGUUGCUUUCUCUUUUGCAACUCUUUUAUAGCAAUGACCUUCAUAUUCGUAGGCUAACCCAGACAUCCAUCACUCUCAGAAAAAGGAUGCCAACACCAUCGAGACAAAAGGCAUCGGUAUUCUCUAAUCUAACUUGAAUUCAGAUCAAUAAUCAAUAGGCACAAGAAGAAGGCAAGAGUGCGGUUUUGGCUAAAAUCAACUCUAUGAGGAAGGAAGAACUCAGCGGUGACUGUGGGACAAUGAUUGUAUCAAAAUUCAGAGGUGAAACAUGCAAAUCUUUAAUGAUGCAAUGCUAGCUAAGAAAGUAUUGAUACUAAUUAAGCAUCCUGAAAGCUCUUGUGCACGAGUCAAAGGGUUGUUUGGGACUGUUUUGCUCCCUAAAAUUCAUCUCCGCUUUAAAAAACGCAAGCCGAGGUAGCUUCACGAUAUGUCGCUCUACAAAAAAUCUAGGGUUAGGGUUAGAAUCCGGGGUACAACCCCUGUUUUUGUGAAGCUCUUAAAGGGGUGCUAAAAAAACUCUAGAAGCUAGAGUUGGGGGAAAUUACCCACCACUACCAUUAGUAAGUGGACAUCCCUUUGUUUUUCCCACGACAUCCAAUCAAGUAGAUCAUUUUCCACCAAAUUUCUCAUUUUUGAAGCUAGAGCUAGCUGAAAGCCAAACACGAUAAACUACUCUUUGGUGGAGCUGCAACUCCUAUAUGGAACUGCUCCAAAGUACAAUUGGUGGAGUGAAGCUGAUUUUGGUGAAGCGAAGCAGUCCCAAAUAGACCCUAAAGGGACAAUAUUUGUGAUCCUUGUACUGCCACAUGGUCCUUGUACUGCCUCUUAUACAUCACCUACUCAUGCAAAUCAAAGACUUCAAAGCUCUUAUGAUCAUGCUCUCAUUAUCAUUUGUCCUAGAGGUAGAUGCUCUUGAAGUGUACAUUCAUAGUGUGUUUUCACCAUCUUCAUCUUCGUCGCCUCCAAAGUUUUUUUCAACCAAAAUCUUCACCAUCUCAUGACGAGUUGAGGUGGCAAUCAUCUUCAAACAAGCUGCUCCGACCCAACAAACCUUCACAUGCCCACUCACCUCCACCUUAGUUUGACGUUAGCUAGAAUCAUAGUUUAAGAAAACCGAACCGGCACUAGUGCAGGCGACUGCUAUACAAACUGUUUUUUACCCCCUUUCUGCGAAAAAGUUUUAAACCUCCGUCUUGCUUGUGUGUGCGAAGGGGGGGGGGGGGGUCCUUCCCACACGACCCAGAAACCGUCGGGAUAGAUCCUCCGGUCACACACGCGAAGCAAAAAGAGCUCGUGUGCUAUCGGCCCAGCCAUCGCAGACAAUUAUGCACGCCCAAUUAUUUUCGUUUGUAUGUACAUCCCACAGUGAAUUCCAGACAAACUUUUCCUUUCGUAUGUACAUCCCACACAGUGAAUCUGAGACAACGUUUCCGUCCGUACGUACAUCACACACAAUUUUCUCCAUCACAUCGUCUGUGAUAGCGUUGCCAUUGCAGACGAUAUUAAUAAUGCUAUCGUUUGUGUUAUCGAAUGCAUCACGCACGGUGCCUAGAAGAAACCAUGUGGCAUAGGCUGCCCAUCACACACACCUCUUAUGUGGAAAACCUUUGUGCAAGGUGGCCUAAUGCAAAUAGUAGUCCACAUGAAGUCAUGUGUGAUUGUUUAUUGAUCCAACACGUUUACUUCCUAGAAACGGUGUGGGCUAUCUGAGGUCAUCGCCCAUGGUGUUGUCUCAAUAACCGUUUGCAAUAGAAAAACCCAAUAAGCAGGCUAAUUGGCCUAUUAUUUUGAAUCCGUUAGUAAUCAAAUUAACAAUUCAUAUUAAACACACAAUAUAUUUCAUUUUCGUAUUACGGAACCAUGAUUUCAUAAUUGAAAUACAUCAAGUACAACAUCAUAUAGCUUCAACACUCACUUACACCAUAUAGGCAUAUAGCUAUCUACCCCAUUACACAACAACACCAAAUUUCACAUGCAACAUCUAAAACCUUUGGAAAUUAACAUCAUAGACGGUAGAUAGACAGAUGAAUCUUAAUUGGAAAACUGCUGAAGUGGAAGGUGAAUAUUGAGCCUUCGAUGUUGUUGAAGGUCCUUGCAACUUUAGCCCAGUGCCAGUGGAUGAUUGACCGCCCAUACUUCAUCCUCUUGAGGAAGACUUCAAUAUUGUAUCGUGGGUGUUGUAUGAAUAUCUUCCUUGCCUCUUGAUUAUACAGGCGGUUUGGGAGGCAAUCAUCAAUGGACUACUUUGGAAAGGUCUGAAAACAAACAUAUGCAUAAAUAUCUUCUCUAAAUUUUGAAAUGGCGCAAAGGAAUAAGAAAACAAGGUAUAAGAGUUAGUACCAUCCUGUAGUUCACUGAUGUCUUCUUCAUUGUGCAGACAAAGGUCUUGUUCUUUUUCAUCGCUAGUUUCUUUAUCCUAACAAUCUUUCUGAGUUUCUUGACUUGACUGAUAUUCAUGGACAUCUCAUUUCCCCAUAUGCAAAAUGGGUCGAACAGUGGGUCAAAACCUCUGACAGCAGGACCUACAUGUGCAAGACCAAAUUAUUAAAAACCUAAAUAUUAGAAUGGUUUCUGCAAUUGCACAAUAAUGUGCUAUUAGCCAAAGGACCAUGCAUGUGCAAACCUUGGUGGUAAACCUCAGUGCCUCCCAUUGUUUCCCUGCAACACAUAUAAGUUAGUUAUUGAUCAGGUUAAGUGAGAGUUGGCAUACUAUCAGCAAAAUAUGUUGAUGUAAAAUAAACACAUUGCAUAUUCAAAAGAUUAAUUCGAGCCACAUGGAAAAACCAUUUAUCCAAACCAAGCAUGCUUAAGAACUAGGAAAUAUAUGAAUUGUAUAUGUUUCUCAUGUAUUUAGUACAUCCAAAUUCGAUUUAUUUCUCACAUGCAUAACAAUACAAAAUUGUACCCACAACAAUUGAACAUCGCACCACAACAAAGAACCAAACAGCUAACUGAACACCACAACAAAUGAACCAAAUAGUUAACUGAGCACCAUAUUGCACAAUGGAACAUACUAAAAGAUCAGACAGAGACAGUUAACCAAACCAAGCAUGCUUAACAACUUGGAAAUAUAGCAAUUGUAUUUGUUUCUCAUGUAUUUUGUACAACCAAAUUUGAUUUAUUUCUCACGUGUAUAACAAUACAAAAUUACACCCACAAGAAUUAAACAUCACAUUGCAGGAUUGAACCAAACAGUUAACUAAACAUGACAAAAAAUCAACCAAACAGUUAACUGGGCACCACAUUGCACACUAUAUAGAAACAAUACACAACACGAUUCACUAGAAUUUGUAAAGGAAAGGCAGGAGUAGCACAUGCAAUAGGUAAACCGAAUAUGCUUAACCGGCGUAGCUAGCUAGCUGAACAUAGGUCCUUAUAGUGAGCUAAAAAAACAAGCUACUCCUUAUCAUCGGAGAUAUCGGUGACGAUGGGCUCCUCAGACUUGGAAGAGGGCGAGGCCUCCACAUCGUGGGUGCCCUCCUUGAGUGGUGAGUUGCCUGAGCUGCUCUAGGCACCAACCUCCUAGCUCUGGAGUUGAGGUAAGCACGGGCACACCGAGAAAACACCUCGUACUCUUCGUUGAAGGCACCGACGGUGGCCUCGAGAAAACACCAUGAACUAUCGUUUAAAGCAGGCAACUGUGUGGCAGCAUCCGCGAGGCAUCACCGGUGGCCCCAACGGCGAGGUGCUCCUCCAAGAUCUAGGGGUCAGCACGCAUGGCAGCCAUCGCGACCUCACCCGCGCGUCCGACUGCGAUUUGCUUCUUGCUACUUCUUGAGCUUGCAUUGGUUUUUCCCUUGAAGAGGAAAGAGUGAUGCAGAAAAGUAGAGAUAAGUAUUCCCCUCAGUUUGAGAACCAAGGUAUCAAUCCAGUAGGAGGUACACGCAAGACUCCAAUCUAUGCACCUGCACAAACAAUCAAACACCUGCACCCAACGCAAUAAAGGGGUGUCAAUCCCUUCAUGGUCACUUGCAAAUGUGAGAUCUGAUAGAGAUAGAUAUAAAAAAUUACUAAAACGUAAAACAAAUAAAAGUAAAUAAAUUGCAGCAAGGUAUUGAUAACCCACAAGUAUAGGGGAUCGCAACAGUUUUCGAAGGUAGAGUAUUUAACCCAAAUUUAUUGAUUCGACACAAGGGGAGCCAAAGAAUAUUUGCAAGUAUUAGAAGCUCAGUUGUCAAUUCAACCGCACCCGGAGAUUAGUUAUCUGCAGCAAAGUGAUGAGUAGCAAAUUAGUAUGAUAGUUUUGAUAGUAGUAGAAAUAGUAACAUUAACAGUGAUAGCAAUGAUUUUAUAGCAAGUGUAACAGUAACAACAACAAUAGUAACUUAUCAAGAACAAUACAAGAGAAAUUCGUAGGCAUUGUAUCAGUGAAUUCAUUGGAUGAUAUUCAUCAUAUAACAGUCAUAACCUAGGGCGAUAUGGCACUAGCUCCAGUUCAUAAAUAUAAUGUAGACAUGUAUUCCGUAAAUAGUCAUACGUGCUUGUGGAAAGAACUUGCAUGACAUCUUUUGUCCUACCCUCCCGUGGUAGUGGGGUCCUAUUGGAAACUAAGGGAUAUUAAGGCCUCCUUUUAAUAGAGAACCAGAACAAAGCAUUAAUGCAUAGUGAAUGCAUGAACUCCUCAAACUACAGUCAUCACCGAAAAGUAUCCUGACUACUGUCACUCUGGGAUUUACGGAGUCUAACACGUAAUAGGUGAAUAUAAGUUGCAAAAUCGGAUCUAGAACAUAGAUAUAAUGGUGAUAACAUAAACGGUUCAGAUCUUAAAUCAUGGCACCCGGGCCCAAAGUGACAGGCAUUAAGCAUGGCAAAGUCAUAUCAAUAUCAAUCUUAGAACAUAGUGGAUACUAGGGAUCAAGCCCUAACAAAACUAACUCAAUUACAUGAUGAAUCUCAUCCAACUCCUCACCGACCAGCGAGCCUACAAACGAAUUACUCACUCCCGGUGGGGAGCAUCAUGGAAUUGGCGAUGGAUAAGGGUUGGUGAUGACGAAGAUCGAAGAUCCCCCUCCCUGGAGCCCCAAACGUACUCCAGAUCUGGCCUCCCGAUGAAGAACAGGAGGUGGCGGCAGCUCCGUCUCAUGAAACACAAUAAUUCUUUCUCCCUGAUUUUUUCACCAAAAAUAGGAAUUUAUAGCGUUGGAAUCAGGCUCUACAGGGCUACCAGGUGGGGACAACCCACCUGGGCGCGCCAGGAGGGGGGCGCGCCCUGGUGAGUUGUGCUCACCUAGGGCCCCCCUUCUGGUGGUUCUUGGCUCUAGUAUUUUUCUUUUAUUCCAUAAAAAAUCUCCAAAAAGUUUUGUGCCAUUCCAAGAACUUUUAUUUCUGCACAAAAACAACACCAUGGUAGUUCUGUGCUACUUCUUGAGCUUGUGUUGGUUUUUCCCUUGAAGAGGAAAUGGUGAUGCAACAAAAUAGAGAUAACUAUUUCCCUCAGUUAGAGAACCAAGGUAUCAAUCAAGUAGGAGGCACAAGCAAGUAUCCAAUCUAUGCACCUGCACAAACAAUCAAACACUUGCACCCAACGAGAUAAAGGGGUUGUCAAUUCCUUCACGGUCAAUUGCAAUGUUGAGAUCUGAUAGAGAUAGAUAUAAAAGCUCACUAAAAUAUAAAACAAAAUAAAAACAAAUAAAUUGCAACAAGGUAUUUUUGGUUUUUUUGGUUUAUAGAUCUAAAAAUAUAUGAUGGAAAGUAGACCCGGGGGCCAUAGGUUUCACUAGAGGCUUCUCUCUUGAAGGCAAAUAAUAUGGUGGGUGAACAAAUUACUGUCGAGCAACUGAUAGAAAAGCGCAAAGUUAUGAUGAUAUCCAAGGCAAUGAUUAUGCAUAUAGGCAUCACGUCCAUGUCAAGUAGACCGAAACGAUUCUGCAUCUACUACUAUUACUCCACACACCGACCGCUAUCCAGCAUGCAUCUAUAGUUUUUAGUCAUAAAAAACGGAGUAACGCCUUAAGUAAGAUGUCAUGAUGUAGAGGGAUAAACACAAGCAAUAUGAAAAAAACCCAUCUUUUUAUCCUUGAUGGCAACAAUAUAAUACGUGCCUCGCUACCCCUACUAUGUCACUAGGUGAGGACACCACAAGAUUGAACCCAAAACUAAGCACCUCUCCCUUUGCAAGAAAUAUCAAUCUAGUUGGCCAAACCAAACCGAUAAUUCGAAGAGAAAUACAAAGAUAUUGAUACAGACAUGCAGCUAUCCAGUAUUACUAUCAGUCCUACUGUUCUGGUCGAUAUGUUAGUCACGCAGAGAGAGGCAAGAGAGGGCAAGCUAGAGCAUGAGAUAGUGCAACGUAAAAAUAGAAGAGAACGGGAAGAUGUCCAGAUCGCAUGCAACAUUAUCUAUUUGGCUGUUUGGUUUCCACGAAUUAAAAGAUCAAGUUGUUUGUUAGUUGAGUACAAGGAUCAGGUCAGGUACGUGCCAGCCCGUAGCUCGGCUAUGGCAUGGGAAGAUCAAUCUGAUUAUUUCUUUGCAAGGAAUCGGCCACCUGAACGACCAAGAGUUACACGCACAAGGAAGUUUAUCAGGUGGAAAAUCAUGAGUUUAAAGGAGUCUGGGUGGGGGCCACCACAUUGGAAAAAACAGACCAAGGAGCAAACUAAAGAUGCGUACCAAAAAAUAAGAGUCCAAGUUAGGAAUAUUUGUAUCAGUUUUAUACCGGUUGGUUGUUUGCUAAAAUAUAAAGCACAUAAUCUAGGAGAGGGUUAGACGUGAGAAAGAGUCCAUAAGUUUUAGGAAAGCUAGCUUGGAUGCGUGUAUUUUGUUAGAUGGUUUGGCUAAUAUAUAAAGCCUGGCGCAUCAUGGAAAAAGGUUAGGUUAUUUUGAGAUGAAUUAGACACUUGUGUGUUUUUCGGCCGUCGGCCAUUAUCAAGUUUUGAGAAAUCUUGUCAAAAGUCUCUACUGGCAUGUGAGUUCCUGCGACGCGACGCGUAGGAGAUUACAAGCUGAACCUAUACGGUUCGGUCAAGUUAUUCCUUCAGAUCGAGGGGUUGGCGUGUUUUUUUGCGAGGUUUGUGAACAUCUUUGUAAACCCGCAUCUAGUUCUUGCUGCGAUGGAGUUCUGUGCCGUGAAAGAUCGGGCCAACAACGGAUCGACCCUCAUCUCGAGGUUCGCUUCUCAUCAGAUAUCAAAUCAUGCAUAUAAGAAUUCAGUGAAGAUUCAAAUAAUAUUCAUAGAUAAUCUGAUCAUAAAUCCACAAUUCAUCGGAUAUCGACAAACACACCGCAAAAGAAUAUUACAUCAGAUAGAACUCCAAGAACAUCGAGGAGAACAUGGGAUUGAAGAUCAUAGAGAGAGAACAAGCCAUCUAGCUACUAGAUAUGGACCCAUAGGUCUAUGGUAAACUACUCAGGCUUCAUCGAAAGGCCAAUAGGGUUGAUGUAGAAGCCCUCUGUGAUCGAAUCCCCCUCCGGCAGAUCGCCAGAAAAGGCCCCAAGAUGGGAUCUCACGGGUACAAAAGGUUAUGGCGGCGGAAAAGUAUUUUUGUGGAUGCUUUUGAUGGUUUGGGAAUAUUUGGGAAUUUAUAGGCCGAAGAAUAGAGUUAGGAGAGAUCCAAGGGACCCACUGAAGGAAAUAUGCCCUAGAGGCAAUAAUAAAGUUGUUAUUUUAUAUUACCUUAUUCAUGAUAAAGGUUUAUUAUUCAUGCUAGAAUUGUAUUGAUCAGAAACUUAAAUACAUGUGUGAAUACAUAAACAAACAACGUGUCUCUAGUGAGCCUCUACUUGACUAGCUCGUUGAUCAAAGAUGGUUAAGGAUUCCUAACCAUUGACAUGAGUUGUUAUUUGAUAACAGGAUCACAUCAUUAGGAUAAUGAUGUGAUUGACAAGACCCAUCUGUUAGCUUAGCAUAAUGAUCGUUCAGUUUUUUGCUAUUGCUUUCUUCAUGUCAAAUACAUAUUCCUUCGACUAUGAGAUUAUGCAACUCCCAAAUAUCGGAGGAAUGCCUUGUGUUCUAUCAAACGUUGCAACAUAACUGGGUGAUUAUAAAGAUGCUCUACAUGUAUCUCCAAAGGUGUUUGUUGAGUUGGCAUAGAUCGAGAUUAUGAUUUGUCACUCCGAGUAUUUGAGAGGUAUCUUUGGGCCCUCUCGGUAAUACACAUCAUAAGCUUGCAAACAAACGACUAAGGAGUUAGUCACGAGGUGAUGUAUUACGGAAUGAGUAAAGGGACUUGCCAAUAACGAGAUUGAACUAGGUAUGAAGAUACCGACAAUCGAAUCUUGGGCAAGUAACAUACCAAUAGACAAAGGGAAUUACGUAUGUUGUCAUAACGGUUCGACCGAUAAAGACCUUCGUAGAAUAUGUAGGAGCCAAUAUGGGCAUCCAGGUUCCACUAUUGGUUAUUGACCGGAGAGGUCUCUCAGUCAUGUCAACAUAGUUCUCGAACCCGUAUGGUCCGCACGCGCUUAACGCUCGUUGACAAUAUAGUGUUAUAUGAGUUAUAUUAUUUGGUGACCGAAUGUUGUUCGGAGUCCCGUAUGAGAUCACGGGCAUGACGAGGAGUCUCGAAAUGGUUAAGAGGUAAAGAUUGAUAUAUAGGACGAUGGUAUUCGGACAUCGGAAGUGUUUUGGGGGGGGGGUACCGAGUACUUAUCGGGGUCACUGGAAGGGGUUCCGGGCACCCCCGACAAAAAUAUGGGCCUUAUGGGCCAAGAGAGGGAACACACCAGACACAAGGGGCUGGUGCGCCCCAUAGCAGGCCGACCUAGGAGGAGAAGGAAAGAUGGGAAGGGAAAGGAAAGUGUGGAGUAGGACUCCCCCUUCCUUCCCUCUCCCCCCUCUUUCCUCCCCCUCGAUUAUAUAUGGUAGGGGGGGCGCGGCUUGGGAGGGACUCCAAGUAGGAUUCCUCCUACUUGGGUGCCUCCUAUGGCUUCUCUUCCCUCCCUCCCACCUAUAUAUAUUUGGGAGGGGGGCGCCUAUCACACAUCAGACAGUUACCUAGCCGUGCGCGACGCCACCCUCCAUCGUUUACACUCUCGGUCAUAUUUUUGUAAUGCUUAGGCGAAUCCCUGCAGAGAUAACUUCACCAUCACCGUCACCACGCCGUCGUGCUGACGAAACUCAUCUACUACCUCGAUGUCUUGCUGGAUCAAGAAGGCGAGGGACGUCACCGAGCUGAACAUGUGCAGAACUCGGAAGUGCCGUGCGUUCGAUACUUGAUCGGUUGAAGCACGAAGAAGUUCGGCCACAUCAACCACGUUGUGAAACACUUACUCUUCGGUCUAUGAGGGUACGUACACACACUCUCCCCCUUGUUGCUAUACAUCUCCAUGGAUAGAUCAUUGCAUGUGCAUAGAUUUUUUUGUUUUCCAUGUAACGAUUCCCAACAGUGGCAUCAUGAGCCACGUAUGUGCGUAGAUGAUAUGCAUGAGUAGAACACAAAGAGUUGUGGGCGGUGUUAGUCAUACUGCUUACCACCAACGUCUUAUUUUGAUUCGGCGGUAUUGUGGGAUGAAGCGGCCCGGACCAACCUUACAUGUCCACGCACAUGAGACCGAUUCCACCGACUGACAUGCAACUAGUUUUGCAUAAAGGUGGCUGGCGGGUGUCUGUUUCUCCUACUUUAGUUGAAUCAAAUUUGACUACGACCGCUCCUCGAAGAAGGUUUAAACAACAAACUUGACGAAUCACCGUUGUGGUUUAUGCUGUAGGUAAGAAUGAUUCUUUCUAGAAGCCCGUAGCAGCCACAUAAAACUUACAACAACAAAGUAGAGGACGUCUAACUUGUUUUUGCAGGGUAUGAUGUGAUGUGAUAUGGUCAAGACAUGAUAUGAUAUACAUUAUUGUAUGAGAUGAUCAUGUUUUGUAAGAUAUCAACAACCUACAGGAGCCUUAUGGUUGUCUCUUUAUUGUAUGAAAUGCAAACACCAUGUAAUUGCUCUACUUUAUCGCUACGAGUUAGCAAUAGUUGUAGAAGCAAUAGUUGGCGAGACGACCACGACACAACAAUGGUGAUCAAGGUGCCGAGCCGGUGACGAUGGAAAUCAUGACAAUGCUUUGGAGAUGGAGAUCAAAAGCACAAGAUGAUAAUGGCCAUACCAUGUCACAUAUUUUUGGUUGCAUGUGAUGUUUAUCUUUUAUGCAUCUUAUUUUGCUUAGAACGACGGUAGCAUUAUAAGAUGACCCCUUCAAUAAAUUUCAAGGUAAAAAUGUUCUCCCUAAGUAUGCACGGUUGCUACAGUUUGUCGUUUCGAGACACCACAUGAUGAUCGGGUGUGGUAGACUCUACGUUCACAUACAACGGGUGUAAGACAAUUUUACACAUGCAUAAUACUUGGGUUAAACUUGACGAGCCUAGCAUGUGCAGACAUGGCCUCGGAACACUAGAGACCGAAAGGUCGAACGUGAAUCAUAUAGUAGAUGUGAUCAACAAAGAGAUGUUCACCAUUGAUGACUACCCCAUCUCAUGUGAUGAUCGGACAUGGGUUAGUUGAUUUGGAUCAUGUAUCACUUAAAUGACUUGAGGGAUGUCUAUUUAAGUGUGAGUUCUUAAGUAAUUUGAUUAAUUGAACUUAAUUUAUCAUGAACUUAGUCUUAUAGUUUUGCAUAUCUAUGUUGUAGAUCAAUGGCCUGAGCUACUAUUCCCCUAAAUUUUUAUGCGUUCCUAGAGAGAAAGCUAAGUUCAAAGGUGAUGGUAGCAGCUACAUGGACUGGGUCCGUAACUUGGGGAUUAUCCUCAUUGCUGCACAAAAGAAUUAUGUCCUUGAUGCACUGCUAGGUGAAAGGCCUACUGUAGGAGCAGAAGUUGGUGUUUUGAAUGUUUGGCAAGCUUGAUCUGAUGACUACUCAAUAGUUCAGUGUGCCAUGCUUUACGGCUUAGAACCGGAACUUCAAAGACGUUUCGAACGUCAUGGAGCAUAUGAGAUGUUCCAAGAGUUGAAGUUAUUAUUUCAAGCAAAUGCCCGGGUUGAGAGAUAUGAAGUCUCCAACAAGUUCUAUAGCUGCAAGAUGGAGGAGAACAGUUCUGUUAGUGAACACAUACUCAAAAUGUCUUGGUAUUAUAAUCACUUGACUCAGCUGGGAGUUGAUCUUCUAGUUGAUUGUGUUAUUGACAGAGUUCUUCAGUCACUGUCACCAAGCUACAAAGGCUUUGUGAUGAACUAUCAUAUGCAAGGAAUGAACAAAACAAUUCCUGAGCUCUUUGCAAUGCUUAAGGCCGCAGAGGUAGAAAUCAAGAAGGAGCAUCAAGUAUUGAUGGUUAACAAGACCACUAGUUUCAAGAAAAAGGGCAAGGGAAAGAAAGGGAACUUCAAGAAGAAUGGCAAGCAAGUUGCCACUCCCGGGAAGAAGCCCAAAGCUGGACCCAAGCCUGAAACUGAGUGCUUCUACUACAAAUGGACUGGUCACUCGAAGCGGAACUGCCCCAAGUAUUUGGCGGAUAAGAAGGAUGGCAAAGUAAACAAAGGUAUACUUGAUAUACAUGUUAUUGAUGUGUACCUUACUAAUGCUCGUAGUUGCGCCUGGGUAUUUGAUGCUGGUUCGGUUGCUCAUAUUUGUAACUCGAAACAUGAGCUACGGAUUAAACGAAGAUUGGCUAAGGGCGAGGUGAUGCACUACAAAAAAUACACUUCUGUGAUGAUACAUGUUUGUCAUAGUAGGUCAUGUUUUCUGUCAUGCAUGUACAUCCAUGACGAUUUUAUGACAGAAUCAAGAUAGUCAUACAUGUGCUGUCGUAGAAGUGUUCCAUGACAUUACCAAAAUUAUCAUCACAAAAGUGUUGACUUCCAUGAUGAUAAAUGGCGCAUCAUGGAAGUGCUCUUGUCAAGGGUAACCAACACAUGGCAUCCACCGUAACGGGUCGCGUUAAGCUAUCGGGUCCGGUUUCGGAUCUGAUAACCCGUUAACAGCCUGGACCAAUGGGGAUCUUCCACAUGUAAAAUGCUCAUUGGCCGGAGGAAACACGUGUUGGCUCACCGUUGGGACAGAUGUCAUUCACUCAUUGGAUAUGAGGCACCUAUGAUAUGUCGACACGUGGCACGACCCAACAGUGGCCCAUUCCGGUGAAAAAGGCCGGCCUAGUAAAAAUUAGCAGGCCGACCCAUAUAAGGCCUACUUGUGUUAGGUCCAUUUAAGCCCACGACCCAUACGAGAUGUGCCAAUUCGGCCCAUCAGCGGCCCGUUAACGAUUUGACACCAUUGCAGCCCAUCGUCAGUUCGAGCCCGUUAACAGCCCGCUAUAUAUUUGGGCUCAAUAUCGGCCCGAUGUGGUUUCGGCCUGUUAACGGCCCAUUCAAGGGAUGGGCCAAUUUUCAAGAUGUACGUCUUUCGGUCUUUUAGCCACCCAUUUAAGUGUUGGGCCAAUUUCCGACUUGGUGUGUCUUUCAACCUAUUGACGACACAUAAAUGAGUUGGGCCAUUUAUAGUCGGACCUGAGUUUUGGCCUUUUAACGGCCAAUGAUCUUCGUGGUCCAACAUCAGCUCGGUUUCUCUUUCGGCUUGCUAAAGGCCCACAACGCAGUUGGGCCAUAUACAAUACGACUUGACUUUCGGCCUCUUAGCGGCCCAUGCUCUUCAUGGUCCAGUACGAGCCCGUUGUCUCUUUCGGCCUGCUAAAGGCCCACAGUAUAGUUGGGCCAUAUGUAGCCGACCUUAGUAUCGGCCUGUUAACGACCCGUGAAAUCAAAUGGGCCCACCUCUUUCCUGCUUCGAUGUCGGCCUGUUGACGACCCGGGAGGUAACAGGGCCGACCAUUAACUUUCGGCCUGGUAACGGCCCAUUAACUUAAUGGGCCCACUAAAGUUCGAACAUGUUUGUAGGCCCAAUUAGAUAAUUUAAGCUCAUUAUGAUGAGCAAUUAUGCACAUGACCAAAACCGAUCAAUCAAAGGCCUAUGAGAAUUUUGGCCCCUGCGAGCCCAUUAGGGAAGCCCAUUAAGGGCAGUGGGCUGCUUCCUUCAUAUAGGGCCCAUGACUGUUCGUGCUAACUAAUAAUUUCACUGCUUUUUUAGCUUCCUAGCAACCAUUUAGCUGGAAUGUGAGGGACACUAAGCAAAGGUACAACAUACAGGGAAAAACGUUGCACAUCCAACAUAUAUUAUAGGAAAUUACAUCCACUGGGUAAUCAAAGAUUGAUGCUAGUGCAAACAAAUGAACAAAACCUAACGAUCUACAACGUCACAAUCUGCAACCUCAGCGUGGAUGACGCCCAUAAUCAUGUGGGAAAGUUCUUCAUGCUUUGCUACACUGUCUCUGAAAACAUUGACCAGUUGUUGUUGCACAAGAAUGUGCACCUCUGAUUCCUCCACCAUUUCAUCAUCGCUUCAGCCAGUAAUUGGUUCACAAACAUACAUUUUUUCGUUGCAUUCGAGAUAGAGGAAACUGAACAGAUUCAGAUGGCGAUUUGUGCAGGCUUGUAUUACUGAUAGUGGAGAGUGUCUCGACCACUGCAUCAUUACAUAAAUUAGGAGGGGAACCAAAUGGAUUAAUCAAGAGAUAUUGCCAUAUUACCUGGCCUAGAUUUAUUGGAAAGAAACAAUGGGGUUGCCUUUCCGUUUUUAGAGUUUGUCUUCUUAUCUUCAGCAACCUGCACCAAAUUAACACACUAGCAUUGCUAUCAUUGGCCAGGUCAGAUAAUAGGAAAGCAACAUUGACACAACGAACAUUUGGGCAACCAGACCACACCAGCCUACACCAAAUUAACACAAUAUGGCACAACUAUCAUCAGCCAGGUAAGGUAAUACGAAAGCAACAUUGACACAAUGAAUGAAUGGGCAACCAGAGCAACACUACAAUUCAGUAAUGUGCAUGAUAUGAGAUAGUACACUCAUGCAACUCAGUAUGCAAAACUACCAGGCAGUUUUCCUUACAAAAAUCAACAUUGUCGCCUUUAAUUAUACAUUUUGCUAUAACUAAAUUUAGAUCAGAUAAAGGUUGGAUUCAUGCCGAUUAUCAAAAUACAUGUUGAUGUAAAAAUAUAGUGAUAUACAACAAGUACUUACAUCAGCAUUGGAGCACAGAGAAUUCCCGCAAGAUACUUUCCUUGAAUACGACCCUAGUGGAGAAAUUCUUCUAUCUUUAAGCUUAUUUUCUAAAAGAGAGAUGGGUAAGAAACAUGUAGAAAAUAUGAUCAGAAUGCUAUAAAAUUUCAUGAUGCGAGGAUACACACGCGCUUCUUAGAAUGGAGUUGACAUAUUUUUCCUGGACUGGAGCGGACUAGUUCUUUGGCCACUAGAAUCUGCUUAUUAUCAGUAGGAGUUGGGUUUCUCUGUGUUGGAGCAAUAUCUAUGAAAACUGGAGUUGGUUUACUAUCUCCUGGCGUUUGAAUCUUUUUCAAAGACCUUGUUUGUAACCCUUCAAAUUCUAACAUAGUCGUCUUCCCCUUGCAUGCCUUAUAUAGAAGAAUGGUGCUUCAAUUAUAAAACAUGCUACAACAGAGAGAUGGAAUAGGUACUGAAGAAUAGAAAGGCAUGACACAUUGACAUGUAUUCCCUCCAUCUAGAAAUAAAUGGAUGGGUCUAGGCGUAUUUCAGUUCUAGAUACAUCCAUUUUUAUCCAUUCUGCGACAUGUAAUCCGGAGGAGGGAGUAUGAUGUGAGAACUAGGGAUACGAUAGGACAACAAUGUAAAAAACACUAGUUGAAUGUAAAACUAUAUACUAGCGGAAUACAUACAGAAAAACACUAAGGCAACAUAUGCGUGUAUGAUUGGGAAACUAAGAUGGCAUUGCAACAGACCACUAGAACAACACUUCAAUGUAAAAAAAACAUGGUAUGGUAGACAGAUGAAGUACAUACUGAUGAAUAACAAUGCAUAAGAUAUUCAGAAGCAUGAUGUCCGAACUAAGCUGAUGGCAUUGCGAUAAAGUAGAAUGACAAUACUUGAAUUUGAAAACAUGUUAUCAUGAAUGGAAUAGGUACUGAAAAAUAGGAAGGCAUGACAUAUUUACAUGCAUGAUCAACAGGCUAAGCACAUGGCAUUGCAACAGAGUAGAUGCACUCCAGGACAUUAUAUGCAUGCUGUACCCAUAUCACGGGCCAAGUUAGAGCAAUGACCUUGUGGGGUGAAUAGGAUUCAUCAUCUUUCUACAAGUCUUCUGAAGAACUGCCUUUCCAUGUUCCAUCAUAUUGGGUAUCAUUGACGUCAAGUUUGUUGGCCGUACAUUGUUCCGUGAGGUUCUUGUGGAUAAAUCAGUGUGUGCAAUUAUAUCUGACAUGCAUGGAAGACAAGUAAUAGUUAGAUUUAUGUAAUGAGUGCCUAUAGGAGAUGACAUAAAUAGUAGGACUGGGGUUAACUCGCAGCAACAGGUCUCAAAAACUAAAGGGAGAACCCAGAUGAAAGCUACAAAAUAUGUAUCGUUUGUACUCGAUAUUAACUAGAUGGCACACAAAAGUAUUAAAGAACAACAUAGGUAAUACUAGAAGUGGUAUAAUACUAUAAUCACCAGCCUGUGGGAUAGCAUUGGCUGAUGGAUGAUAACUAUGGAACAACGUAACCUAAAGAACAAGUCUCUUAGCUGAACUAUAGAACAAUGUUAACUCCUGAACAACACCCGUAAGAGAUCAGCAUGAAUAUACAGUGAAAUGUGAUAAUCUAUUUUCCAUGCUUAGAUGAAUAACAAAGCCAUAAAUGUUGCACACAAGUAAGAUGAGGGUAUAACCUAUCUGGCCGCCAUCCAUAGGAGUGAGCAUCAUGUGCUGACUUGUUGAUAGCCCUGCAGUUGUUGUGUCUGUCCAUGUCGGGCAUGCACAUUCGAUGCAGGGAACUAUUGAGUGGGGACUAUAGCUCCCUUCUGGUGUAUGCUUCCCUUGUUGGAGUAGUUGCGGUGAGUCGGAAGAUGGUGUGGCUGAAGAUGCAGAAAACGCAUAAUGUUAAGAACGACACAAUCUCUGACCUGAAAAAAGUACCCUAAGAGAUCAACAAUAAGGUACGAGAGUGUUCACACGUCUGUUGACUGAAGACUAAAUUGGGGUCACACAAUUUUAUUUAAUUUUGGUACUGUCCGAUCUACGCCGGUUGGCUUGAUGGCUAUCUUGUGCCUCCCGGCUGACACUAUUCAGAAUCUUCCCUGAAGAGCCAGCGACCACCGGUAGAGCAUCCUGCCUCUGCCUUCCGUGGCCACGAGAGCUCCGACCAAAACACCGCUCCCCGCCCCACCGCACUACCGUGGUUGCGCCGCCCCCGGUCAAUCCACAAAGACUCACCGUCAUCCAGAUCUAAUGGCGGCAAUACCUUCAACCCACACAACUCUAAGAUAGCCAUCUAAGCGCUGCUUCCACAACGAACUUGCGCCCCCGCUCCCUUAUGUUAGACACCAGCCAACCGGCAGCCUAGGAGCUCCGCCACCUCGAGGGUAUUGCUUCCCAUUGGGAAUUGAUUGGCCCAGAAUAAAAAUUCAGACAACUGACACCUAUAUAAAGUGAUUUGAGAUGAGGGUACGACCUAUCUUACGGACCGGUGAAGUAGGCAUAUCCAGCUGUCGAGUCGGUGAGGCCGGCGCGGUUGCGGUGGCUACCGGUGGCAAGAAAGCAGAGAUGUUACAAUGGUCGAUGGCUAUAGGGAAGCAGCACCGGGGCCCUAGAGGCAUCUGAAGUUGGAGCCGCUCUGGCGCCGUGCACACGACGGGGGUGAAUUGGCUCCGGUACGGUUCACGCGAUCGUCGUCGAGGCAGCUCUGGCAACACGAAGUAAGAGGCACAUGACCCAGUGCACGACGACAAAUGGAUAACACCUCCGGCAUUGGGGAGGAGGGCGGCGGUGAAUUUGGUGCGGUGGGGGCGCCAUGGAGGAGGGGCUGAGGUUUCGCGGCUGGGGAGAAGGGAGCUUCCGGGGAGAAGGUGAUUUGGCGCCCACGAGGUAUGAAUGGGGAAUUGGGAGGGGGAACCAUGUCUUGCGAACGCAUUUGUCUGAAAUGUGUGGGGGGAGGGGAGUUACAGUUCUACCCCUGCCUUUAGGCUUUUGGGCUUGGGUCUAUGUACUGAUGGUCGGGGAUAGUAGAGUAACUUUGCUUCUCCCAAUAACGGGCGCGAGCGAUUUCAGGCGAGGAGGGCGUGUUUUGAAAUAGUGGGCGCGGGCGAUUUUGGGCAAGGAGGGCGUGUUUUGAAAUAGUGGGCGCGAGCUAUUUCGGGCGAGGCAGGCGUGUUUAGAAAUAGUCGGCGCGAGCUAUUUCGGGCGAGGGGGGCGUGUUUUGAAAUAGUCGGCGCGAGCGAUUUCAGGCGAGGAGAGGGUGUUUUACCGCCCAUGGUUUAUGAAUUAUUCAGCACAUGUCAUUUUGGCCAAGGAGAAGGCGCGCUUGGAUGAAGUUACGAACCUACCCUCGAUGUACAACGGGCCAAUUGAUGCGUGUCCCACAUAGGCCGGUAAAUCGGGUCUCCCAUUUAUUUGCUUGGGCGAAUUCCACCAAGCAGAGGGUGUUUAGCGGUUUGUUUAGAUUUUGGGAGAACGAGCAUCCACGUCUACCUUACCAAGUCGAUUCGAAUCAGAUUUUGAAAUAUUAGCGUGCCACUUCUUUUUUAGAUGGAGAUGAUGCUGGGGACUAAUGUGUUUUUACAUGCUCAUUGCUAACGAUUUAUUAUUUACUAUAUGACAAAUAAUUGACCCACUCAAAAAACGGGAAUCAAACCCAAAAUGAAAUAUCUCGAUUCAAUGAAAUAACUCGUUCACCAGGUCAAAAUAGUCAACUAAAUCCAAAAUUGAACACCUCAAUCGAGUAGCAUGUUGUACAGUAUUAUAGUACUCCAUGAACAUGUUGAGAAUCAAAUUAAUGAACUUAUUUUAUACGCAUAUCUCCGUUCAUGUGUGGAUUGCAGACAACAUGUUCUCCAAUUUAAAUAUUUGAAUGCAAGUUUAUAUUGAAACAUGGUUUAUAUCAGUCUUUGAUGCAUAAAACGCGACGUCCCCCUCUCCUGGACUCCUGCUCUCUCUCUCUCUUGCCAACAAUCUUCAAUUCUAUGGCACGCGUCCAAACACAAACCUUGUUGGUCCCUCUCCCUCUCUCUCUCUCUCUCUAUCUCUCUCUCUUUAUGUGUGUGUGGGGUCUUUCUAGUUCACAUGCACACUCCAUGUAUAGGUCUCUCUCGCACACUAUGUAUGAUUCUCUAGUCCAAGCUAAAUAUCUUGGGUGCACUCAUCGUCCGCACACAAAUUCCCUAGCUCAUUGCCCGUAACUCUCUCACGCACCACUCUGCCAUCUCGGAGCUCUUCCCUCUCUCUCUCAAACUCUCCAUCUCCAUGGGUCACACAUACACAUGCAUAUCUCACUCGCACUUGAUAGACCCAUCUAAAACUCUUUCUCUUUCUCUAUCUAUCUCUCUCUCUCUCUCUCUCCAUCUCACACGCACACAAACACAAUCUCACGCCUAGCCAAGUAUGAUGGUCUCUCACUCAAUUGUAGGCACACGCAGCCCCCCUAUAUGUAUAUGACUAGCUAAUUCUUAGUCUCCAUCCCAAACAUGUGCAUGGUCUAUCUCAAUUUCUCUCGGGGCGUCUUUCUAUCACACACACACCACGUCCCUCGAUCUCCCACCCAUAUAGUCCCCUCACGAUCUCGAGGGGGUCUCUCUAUCACAAACACACCCUCUCUCCCUCCCUCCCCAUGCAUCCAUCUUCUCAAUGUGUCCCUCUCGACCUUUGUUCCUUGUUGGCCAGACCUCUAUUGGACAUGUGCUAUAGGGGUGUCUCUCUCCGUUGCAAACAAUCACGCACUAUCUUCGUGUAUCUCCUCACCUCACUUUUCUAUCUCGGAGAUGCAUGCGUGAUAUGUUUGCAUAAGAAACGAACACACACACUCUCUCUAAUUUAUCGUUUGUUGUCCCUUUCUCUUUCACACACAUACUCUUUUUGCACACUCACUCAUUCUCCUUCACACACACUUGAUCUCUCUCUACUUAGGCCCUCUCUUUGGUCCAUAGCAUAUAGAUUUAUUGAAAAGUCAAACAUCACAAAGUUUGACCAUGUACGUGGAGAAAAACAUUUACAUCUAGAAUGGUAAACAUAUAUCAUUAGAUUCAUAAUGAGAUGUAGUUUCAUAUGAUGUAUCUUUGGUAUUGUAGAUAUAAAUAAUAUUUGCGUAAACCUGGUCAAAGUUUACAAAGUUCGACUUCUAAAAAAAUUAUAUACACUGCAUUAUCGAGCGGAUGGAAUAUCUCUUUCCCCCUCUCAGCUAUCUGACGCACCACUCAGCCGUAUCGGGGCUCCUCUAUCUCUCUCAAACUUUAUAUCUCCCUGGUUCACACAUACAAAUAUCUCGCUCGUGCUACAUAGACCCAUCUAACACUCUCCGCCCUUGUUAUCUCUCUAUGUGACACGCACCCCCCUAAGUACCAUAAUCCCUCACUCCAUCAUAGGCGCACACACUCCGCCCUAAGUAUGACUAUCUCUCACUAGCCAUCAAGAACACAUGUAUUGUCUCCUUCAAUCCAUACGUCUAUCUCGAUAUCUCUCGGGGUAUCUUCUAUCGCACACACACCUUGUCACUCGAUAUCCCACCCAUGUAGUCCCAUCAUGAUCUUCAGGGGAUCUCUCUAUCAGAAACAUACACUCUCUCCUCCCCAUGUCUGCAUUUUCUACAUAUGUCUCUCUCGACCUCUCUCCCUUGUUUGUCAGACCUCUCUUGGCCACAUGCUAGGGAUCUUUCUCUCUCGGUUGCAAACAACCACACACUAUCUCCUCACCUCGCUUCCGUUGUCAAGGAUGCAUGUGUGAUAUGUUUGCAUAAGACACACACGCUUUUUCUCUACUUUUAUCAUGUGUUAUCCAUGUCUCUUCCACACACGCACACACACUUUUUUCAGUCACUCUUUCUAUUUCUCUCUCUCUCUCUAGUUAGGUACUCUCUCACGUCCAUAAGCAUAUGGAUGUUUUGAAAAGUCAAACCUCAGAAAAGUUUGACCAGGUAUAUGUGGAGAAAAACAUUUACAUCUGGAACGAUCAUUAGAUUCAUCAGAACAUGUACUUACGUCAUACUAUCAUUUAUCUUCGGUAUUGUAGAUAUAAGUAAUUUCUUUAUAAACUUGGUCAAAGUUUCAAAAGUUUGACUUAGAAAAAUGUAGGCACUACAUUAUCGAAUGGAGGGAGUAGCUCUUUCUCUAUCUCUACUAUCUCUCACGGGCCUCCCCUCUCACUCGAACUCUCUAUACCGAGGGAUUAUACGGUCAUUGUGUCAACGUAUAGCUCCGUAUGUUGUUUAGUUGACUGGUCAACCAGUCCACAUGCUGCCUUGUCAGCUCGUGUUCUCUAUCUUCAUGUGCUGGCUCAUGUGGCAGUGGGUGAAAGUAACUAAACUAGAGGCCCAUCUGACGCGUGGCGAAGUAUACAAAGUUGAAACCACCCGAGGUAGUGAUACGUCUCCAACGUAUCUAUAAUUUAUGAAGUAUUCAUAAUGUUAUAUUAUCAAUCUUGAAUGUCUUACAAUCAUUUUAUAGCAACUUUAUAUCAUUUUUUGGGACUAAUCUAUUGACCCAGUGCCCAGUGCCAGUUGCUAUUUUUUGCUUCUUUUUUACAUCAUAGGAAAUCAAUAUCAAACGGAGUCCAAACACUCUGAAACUUUUUGUGGAUUUUUUAUGGACCAGAAGACUACCAAUGGGCCAUAGCAGCACCUGGGGGUGCCCCGAGGGGGGCACAAUCCACCAGGGCGCUCCCCGGUGGGUUGUGUCCACCUCGGUGGCCUCCCGCACUCCCUCUUCGCCCUAUAAAUUCUCAAACAUUCCAAAAACCCUCAUGGAGACCCUAGAUCAGAAGUUCCGCCACUGCAAGCCUCUGUAGCUACCAAAAACCAAUCGGGAGCCCAUUUUGGCACCCUGCCAGAGGGGGAUAUCAUCACCAGUGGCCAUCUUCAUCAUCUAGGCGGCCACCACGAUGAGGAGGGAGUAGUCCACCCUCGGGGCUGAGGGUUUGUACCAGUAGCUAUGUGUUUAAUCUCUCUCCCUCGCGAUCUCGAGAUGUCACGAUCUUGAUAUAUCAUGGGUUUGUUAACGUAGAUGGAUCAUAUGAUGUUUCUCCCCUCUCUACUCUUGUUGUGAUAAAUUGAAUCUUGACCCUUUGAAGUUCUGUCAUGUCGGAUUGAAUGUUCAGAUUUGAGAACACAUGAUGUAUAUCUUGAGGUAUGAAUACUUGAGGUGACAAUGGGGUAUCAUAUUGAUUCACUUUAUGUAUGUUAUGGCGCUCAACUUGCGGAUUCCCGCAGUGACAUUGGGGUAAUCUAUGCAUAGGGGUUGAUUCACGUUCUUAUUAUCUUUUCUCUGAUAGAAACUUUGGGGUCUCCUUGUAGUUCUUUGUGUGGAUUGAAUAUUAUGAUCAUGAAGUUGUUUGAUGCAUAUCAUAGAAUUAACUCACGGAUACUUGUGGUGACAUUGGAGUACCUAGGUGACAUUAGAGUUGGUUGAUGUGUGUCAUAUGGUGUUAUGUUAGUACGAACUCUUGGUUAGAUUGAUCGGAAAGAAUAGCUUUGCAUUAUUUUAGUACAAACUCUAGGACAGAUUGAUCGAAAAGAAUAGCUUUGAGGUGGUUUCGUACCCUGUAAACCAUUUCUAUCUUUUGUUCUCCGCUAAUAGGAACUCAUGAGUGAUUCUUUAUUGCACUUUGAGGGAUAAUCAUAUGAUCCAACUAUGUUAGCAUUGUUGAGAGAUUGCACCAGUGAAAGUAUGCACCCUAGGCCUCAUUUUCCAUCAUUGCAAUACCGUUUGUGUUCCGUUUAAUAUUUACUACCUUGCUAUUUUUCCAUUAUUCGCACUACAAAAACUCAUAUCUACUACCCAUACUACACUUUUAUCACCAUCUCUUCGCCGAACUAGUACACCUAUACAAUUUGCCAUUGUAUUGAGUGUGUUGGGGACACAAGAGAUUUCUUGUAUUUGAUUGCAGGGUUGCUUGAGAGAGACUAUCUUCAUCCUACGCCUCCCACGAAUUGAUAAACCUUAGGUCAUCCACGUGAGGGAAAAUUGCCACUGUCCUAGAAAACUCCGUGCUUGGAGGCCCAACACGAGUCUACAAGAAUAAAGUUGCGUAGUAGACAUCAAGCUCUUUUCUGGCGCCGUUGCCGGGGAGGUUAGGUAAGCGGCACUCACACCCCAUCAAUGAAGCUCUUUUCUGGCACCGUUGCCGGGGAGGUGAGUGCUUGAAGGUAUAUCUUUAGAUCUUGCAAUUGAAUCGUUUAGUUUCUUGUUUUAUCACUAGUUUGGUUUAUAAAAGAAAACUACAUUAAAAUGGAUUGAGGUCGCAUCAUAUUAUUGAUCAUCUUUAUAAUAUCUUUCUUGAAAAUGAUGGAUCGAAAAAUUGUGCUCAAUUUUUAGAAGAAGAAGUCAAUAAAAUGUUUGGCACAAAAUAUUUGAAUGAUGAGCAUGAUUGAAUGUUGUUAGUAUGAAUUAUUUGAAUACCCAAAAUGCUAAUGGUGAUUGCACAAGUCAGGACAAAAAUGUUUCUUAUAAGCAUGUCAAUUUUUGUGGAGUGCAUAAAGUUUGUGAAGACAUGCCUUAUAGGGAAGAUAGAUUUUGUAAGAAGCAUAAACAUGAUAGAACCAAUUCUUUGCUCAAAAAGAUAGAUGAAUUUGCUACAAAAUUAUGCUCUCUUUGUCCUAUUACUUGUGAACUUUGCAAUAAGUUUCCAAUGCAUGCUUUUUCUUGAUCGAAUCAUAUCCAAAUAUUGCAAUAACUUGAUCACCCUUGAACUUUAUAAUGAGCUUUUUCUAUUUUUGGGGAGUGAAGAAUUGACAUAUAAAAAUAGUUGGUUUGAAGUAUUCAUUCUCACGGACGACAUUGAAACUAAACAAAAAAAUAUCUAUAUGUUUUGCAUGGUAAAUUGCAAUGAGAAUGCUUAUAGUUCCAACUAUAGAAAGAUGGGAAACCCCAUAGAAUAUAAAAGGAAUACUAAUGAAAGGGUAAAUAUGUCUACUUUCCCUCCUAUUGUCUCUCAUGAUGAAAUAGAUAAUCAGGAGGAGCUUCCUAUCCAAUCAAUCUCUUCAACAAGAAGCUUGAAAAAAUUAAUUAAACUCACACAUGAUGUGGUGAAGAAGAAGAAAAGAAGAAGAAAGAAUAGAGGUAAAAAGGCAUCUCUCCCAAAUAGUGUUGCUCCUAUCACCAUCGUGCCUCAUGAAAGUGAAUCAAAUAUGUUGAUGGAGGAUGAUGAUAUUGAGUAUAAUUUUGUGAUGCCUACUUCUUGUUGUGAUGAUUAUGCUUGGGAAGACAAUGAUGUCUUUUAUGAUCUUGAAAAUCUUUUUGGCACUUGCUUGGAAGAAUAUGAUAAUGCUUGCUAUACUAUUGGUGCCAUUCAUGCUAUUGAUAAGAAUGAUUAUGAUGAUAUGCAAAACCACAAGCUUGGGGAUGCUAUGUUUGAUGAGUAUGAAACAUCUGAAGAUUUAUUUGCUAAAAAUAAUGAUUGUCCGAAUCUUGGGGAUGCUUUUCAUAAUGAAUAUGAUCCUUUGAUUCCUUCUACUUUCAAUAAGAAAAUUUAUUAUGAUGAUAGCAUGCCUCCUAUUUAUGAUGAUUACAAUGAUGAAAGUGGGUUUGGAAGAGUGUCAACUCUAGGUAGUAGUGAUCCCACUAUUUUGGAGGGUGUUGAAUCUUAUUACAAUAUUGAUGAAAGUGGAUUUGGAGAGGUCAUGACUUUAUUUAGUGAUACAUCCACUAUUUUGGAAGAGGUUUCAAUUGACUGAUGACAACAAAGUUGCUACUUAUGAUGAUUAUUAUGAUGACAUGUAUGCCAUAUAGAGUGAUAAAUCUUCUAUACUUUUGGAUCAUAAAAAGAAUGCUUUAUGUGAUGGUUAUAUGGAUGAAUCUAUUCAUGACGUUCUGAAAAUUAUUAUGGGAGAGGAACUUAUAAUUCAUGAUGCUCUUCUUAUGUUUCAACUUUUAUCUUUUAUGCGAGCAUCAUUGAAAUCAUCAUGCCUAGCUAAAAGACAUUAAAGAAAAUCGCUUGUUGGGAGACAACCCAACACUUCCACCUUCAUGCCCGUUCCAGCACCCUGCAGGAGGGGGAGAUCAUCAACGAUGGCCAUCUUCAUCAUCCCGGCGACCACCACGAUGAGGAGGGAGUAGUCCACCCUCGGGGCUGAGGGUUUGUACCAGUAACUAUGUGUUUAAUCUCUGUCUCUCUCUCUCGCGCGAUCUCGAGAUGUCAUGAUAUUGAUAUAUCAUGGGCUUUGUUAACAUAGAUGGAUCAUAUGAUGUUUCUCCCCUCUCUACUCUUGUUGUGAUGAAUUGAAUCUUUACCCUUUGAAGUUUUAUCAUGUCGGCUAUAAAAUCUAUCGGCCCCAAUUUGGAUCAAGUUGUUGGAUUCCUUACAUGCUUUCAGUGCACAGAGAAGCUACUCAUCGAGGUGAAACUUCUUUACUAUUAGUAAAUGGUAAUCACAACGUAGCUCAAUUUUUUUUGUAAUUUUCCCAAAUUAAGUCUAGUGUUCAAAACUGCAUCUACGCACUGCACCGAAAGAAAUGUUUUUAGUAUUUUUUCUCACGUGAUCACCAGUAUCAUUUUUUAUUGUACUAUUAGUAGCCUAGGCUAGUCAUAGUGGCAAGUAACUUAGACUAGUAACUCUAUGGUUACCCUAAGAGCAAGUACUACCUCCGUCCUGGUUUACUCUUCCUAUUUUGUAGUAUCAAAAUUUGACCAUUGAUUUAACUGACAAAAUGUUAAUGCAUGUCACUAAAAAAUUAUAUCAUUGGAUUUGUAUUUGAACAUAAUUUCAAAUGGUAUAAUUUUUGGUGACAUGCAUUGGCAUGUUCUUAGGUAAAUCUAUGGUCAAAAUUUUACACUAAAUACGAGGUAGUACAAAAGUGGGCUAUAACUGCCCUCCACUAUGUAGGCCAAAACACGUACCAAAUUCACUUGUGAUGCAUUUGGCAUCGAUGCCCCUCCAUUGCUCACAUGGUGCCCCAAUCUGGAUCACUUACUCCGUGCCAAAUUAACUGACGCAAUGGAAAAACACUUGCGUUGGAGAGGGAGAGGACUGAGGCAAUAAAAAAAACUUGUUUGGGAGAGUGAGAGGCUGGUGUAGUUGGUUUGAUUUAUUUGUUUAUACAUGUGGGUCCGUGUGCACAGUGGUGCCAACUCUCUCACAUCGCUAGCACUACAAAAAAAGACACAUCCGUGACAUUUUGGGCCGAACAAUUUUUUUCUAUCAUACUUAUGACACUUCUAUGACGAUAAUUGUGACAAAACCCGGUAUCAUCAUAGAUGUGGUGGGCUCCUACUUCUAUGACAAAAAAUCAUGACAGAAAAUGGGCUUUUCAUCCUGGGCGGGCCGAAGAUGCAGUUGCAUGACAUUCUUUGGGCCGUCCAUGACGGAAAAAACCAUGGUAGAAGCGAGGGCGAGGAAAAUUUCAGGGAAUUCCCAGUUACGGUGGGUGGACGGGGGCCGAGCGAUGUGCGUUUCUCUCGUACCGUACGCACGUGGGUGCGAGGCGUUGGGCUCUAACUGAACCCGAGCGAGGCGUUACCUAACUGAAUCCGAGCGAUUGCACUAUAGGCUACGCGUUACUGAACCCGAGCGAUCGAGCGAUUCCUUCGCUACUGCUACUAAUUGAAGCCAAUNNNNNNNNNNNNNNNNNNNNNNNNNNNNNNNNNNNNNNNNNNNNNNNNNNNNNNNNNNNNNNNNNNNNNNNNNNNNNNNNNNNNNNNNNNNNNNNNNNNNNNNNNNNNNNNNNNNNNNNNNNNNNNNNNNNNNNNNNNNNNNNNNNNNNNNNNNNNNNNNNNNNNNNNNNNNNNNNNNNNNNNNNNNNNNNNNNNNNNNNNNNNNNNNNNNNNNNNNNNNNNNNNNNNNNNNNNNNNNNNNNNNNNNNNNNNNNNNNNNNNNNNNNNNNNNNNNNNNNNNNNNNNNNNNNNNNNNNNNNNGCCAAUCGAUGCUGCCUCUGGAUGAACAGUGACCGUUGCUGGGGGGGGGGGUUGGAUGAACAGUGAGCAUUGCUGGGGGUUGGGUGGAUGAACAGGACCCUGUGGUCUUGCCUCUGGAUGAACAGGACCUCGAUGGAUCGAGCCGGUUGGCUGGAUGAACAAGACCCCGUGGAGGGAUGGAUGAACAGGAUGACCCUGUGGAGGGCUGGUUGAACAGUAGUCGGUGGAGGGCUGGAUGAACAGUAGCCCAUGGAAGGGUGUUUGAACAGGAGCCCGUGGAGAGGGCUAGUUGAACAGUAGCCGGUGGAGUAGCGCGCGGUGGAGGCUGGAUGAACAGGAGCCCGUGGAUGAACAGGAGCCCGUGGAUGAAAAAUUGCAGGUGGAGGCUGGAGGAGGUCGACGGUGGAUGAACAGUAGCCCGUGGAGGCUGGAGGAGGUCGACAGUGGAGAUGAACAGUAUCCCGUGGAGUCCCGUUUUGCGGUACGCCACACCCCUCCCGAUGAACAGGACCCCCGUUUCGACCGUAGUGCUCUAACACAAAUCCGUUUCCUCCGUUUUGCGGUACGCCACACCCCUCCCGAUCAACAGGACCCCGUUUCGACCAUAGGAGGUCCAACAGUAGUCCGUUUCCUCCAUUUUGCGGUACGCCAGACCCGUCCCGAUGAACAUAAUCCCGUUUCGACCGUGGCCAGUCGAACACAAGGCCAUUUACUCCGUUCUGCGGUACGCCAGGCCUCGUUUCCAUCGGCUAUUCCGUCCAAGCCGGUUGGCUCCCACGCGUCCAGUUGCCUUCGGAUGAACACGCCGCAUUCCGUUGCCUCCCCAUGAACACGAUGACGAUGCAGUUUCUCCGUUCCACCCAGCCAUGUACACGAGUCCUGGCCGUACGUAUGCACGAGUAGGCGUUUGAGACCCCGCCCGUAUGUACGUACGUGGCUGUAUUUACUUUCUUGCAUCCUGGCCGUUGUACGUACAUGUACAUGCUACGUGUGCGCCUCUACUAUGGCACGUGCGCGUCUACAUCAACCAGUAUGUACGUACACGUUCGCGACCAGAAUGACGACACUACCUAUGCUUUGACCAGGUGGGUCCCGACUGUCAGGCACUUCCUUGCGUGCGAAGAUGUAGCUGGUGGGUCCCAACAGUCAGGGGGGCGAAUCAUUUUUUUUGCCCGUAAUAUGGACGCACUUCCUUGCAUGCGAAGAUGUAGCUGGUGGGUCCCAGCAGUUAGGGGGGAACCAUUUUUUUGUGAAAUAUAGUGGCCCGUCCGGUGGAUCCCUGCUGUCAGGUGGAUGAAUAAUUAUUUUGCGCAUAAUAAGGAGCCAAUUCCUUGCGGCUGCCAUGGACCCAGCUGUCAGCCUAUCAACACAUAGUACUCUUCCGAUGGAAGUCAUUCCUUGACCAUGUUGACCACGCCGCACCGAGAGCACCAGGGCGGUGGACGACAGCGAGGCCUAGGAAGGGGACGACACGGAGCCGGGGAAGACGCGGCAGUGGAUGCCCAUGCGUAGAGGAGUAUGAGGGUUCACUGGUUCGGCUCGGUGUGAGGCUGCCGUCGCCGUAGAAUAACAAGGGGUGCAGAUGAGUAGAGUGAUGGCCUGGCCAGCGGUGGGAGUAGUAGGGGGCGGUGAGGCCUCCACGGCAUCACAGCCGGCCACGGGAGGCAGGAGCACGCAGCACGACCGACGCUGGUUUGGGUGGCUGCAGCAAGAAGACCAGAGGUUGAAGAAGCACUACGGCCGUUGGAUGGACAUUGUACGGUCACUGGAGCUAGAAUCGUUCAUAUUGACUAAGUUGACAAAGCCCUCUGUCCCCAUCAACUUAGUUAGCCCACAAGUCAGCCUCCCACUAUGGUGGGUCCCAGCUAGCAGGGGGUAUUCAUUUUUUUGUGCGUAAUAAGGAGACACUUCCUUGCGUGUGAAGAUAUAGCUGGUGGGUCUGACCUGUCAGCGGGGGGAACGUUUUUUUCCCGAAAUACAGAGGCCCUUCCAGUGGGUCCCAGCUGUCAGGUGGAAUCAUUAUUUUGUGCGUGAUAAGGAGGCAUUUCCUUGCUUGCGGCCAUGGACCCAGCUAUCAGCCUCUCCACGCAUAGUCUACUUCCGAUGGUGUCGUUCGUUGACCAUGUUGACCACUCCGCGCUGAGCGCAUCCAAGGUGGUGGACGACGGCGAGGCCCCGGACAGCAAUGAGCCGGAGAUGGGAAGACCUGGGAGUAGAGUCACAGACGGAGAGGUGUACGAGGGUUAACUGGUUCUGGUGCGGUGUGGUUUGGCAGUCGGUGGAGAAGAACAAGAGGUGUGGAGGGGUGGAGGGAUGGCCUGGCCAACAAUGCAGUAGUGCUUCACAGCGAAGCGUGCUAAGCAGAGCUGCUAGCAGCAGGAGGCGGGAGCAGGUGGUCCCGGCGGCGCUGGAGGAAGAAGACGAGAGAUUGAAGAUGGAUGCCUGUCAUUGGAUGUAAAUCCAACGGCUAACGAUGUCAGAAUCAUUUGUUGACUAAGUUGACAACGACUUGCGUUGGCUUCGACCUAUUGGCCCACAUUUUAGCCUCCAAAAAUGUGGCACGUAUUCAACCCAUUUUUUUCAGAAUUUACAGCCUUUUUUUACGGGGUAGAAUUUACAGUCAAUUUGAUAUUUUUUCGAAUUACAGUCCAUUAGCUGGGCUAGUUGAACAAAUAAUGUAGCGUCCAUGCGGCCCAUUUAUUUUUUUCCUAAAGAAUUACAUGCCAUUUGCACUUUCUCGAAAUAGACGAUUUUGGUGGGCUGAUUCUAAUUAUAAUGGGUUGGGCCAACAAUGUUAUCAAAAAAUAAACAGGGGCUGAGCAUUUUUGUUAUAAAUAUAUUUAAAUAAUAAGUGAUUUAUUAGUACAUUGGCCCUGUAAGUGCAUCUAGUGCCACCCCUAGUUGGUUUUGGAGUAUUGACGACAAAGUUGGUUGAGGGACUAAUGCUUUUGUGAGAAUUGCAGGAUAACGCAGGUAGUGUCCCUCAUUGAUUCAGUUUACCUACUGGAGAUGACCCCUAAAAAUGUAUGAAGACAUUGAAGACAAUGGUGGUAUGAGAAGAUAUUCAUAUUGAAGACUGACAUGAGAAGACAUUGCGUGAAGACUAUGGACCGCGAAGACUGUGUGGCUUCGUUGUUUCCUUUUCUUCUUUGUUGAGUCAUAGGAACCACCGUACUGUUAAGUGGGGUCCAAGUGAACUGAGUCAGAGUGACUGAAAUGAUGCUCAACCCAAAUCCUAUGUCUUCGAGCGAAGACAAUGAGAGCAAAUCUUAUCCAGAGCUGGAUGAGUCGGCUUUGCUUGUAGCCCAAGUAAAGUUGUUGCGUGUGAUUGAAAUCUGACUGUUGGAACACGUGUCAGUUCCUUAGUGACCCAGGGUCAUUUCGGACAAAUCAGGUCGGGUUGCCUUGUGGCUAUAAAUAGCCCACCCCCUACACCAUAAAUUGGUGACUGCUCAGAGUUAGUUUACGGCUUUUGUCGUUUUGAGAGCAACCCACCUCGAAGCCUUUGAGAGAGAAAUCCUUGCGAGGACAAAGCCCAAACACCCAGAUCCAAAGAGUGUUAGGCAUCACUGAAGUCUUUCUGUCUGUGUGACCUGAAGACUUAUUACACUUGAGGACUGUGUAUCCUCCAGCCGUUUAGGCGUCGCGUUCUGAGCAUCCAAGAGUCAUUGUGGAUUGCCGGGUGAACGAAGUCUGUGAAGGUUCGGAAGUCUACCUUGAAGACUUACCAGAGUGAUUGGGCGAGGACUAAGUGUCCUUAGCUCAAGGGGAAUAAGGUGAAGACACGGUCUUCUGAGUUGAAUCUCAGCCUCCCUAACCAGACGUACAGUUGUCACAGCAACUGGAACUGGUCCAACAAAUCAUGUGUCUUCAACAAGUGACUGGUUCUAUCUCUUCCCUCCUUUACUUUGAGUUUGCCUUCGUGAAGUCUUUGCUUAUCUGUCUUAUCUGAUUGACUUCAUUGCUUGACUACUAUUGUUGAUUGGCUUCAUACUAUCUUCCAUCCUGAUCCUACUACAUAGCUGCUAUUAGUCUUCGUACGUUAACGCUAUUGCAUACUUGACUAUGGCUUGCUUGUUGUAGUUUAUCUUCCGCUGCAUAUCAAUUAGGUCAUUUCUAUUGUUUGUCUUCGAAACUUCCACGUUUUGAAGACUCUGAUAAAAAUCGCCUAUUCACCCCUCCCCCUCUAGUCGAUAACUAGCACUUUCAGGGAUGAAUAGGAGACCGAGCAGUUCAAUCCACCGUGCCCUAACUUGGCGACAGAGGACACCUACGGCGGCGACGGAGAGGACGAUGCCCGCGGCCGGCGUGAGGACGGUGUUGGAGAAGUCGUGACAGCUAAGCGCUUCGUCACCGGCGUUGUUGAGAGCUAGCGGUGGCGCUAGGGUUUUGACGAGGUGGAGAGGUGGAAGAAGGUUUUCUUGACCGCAGGGGACAUGUAUUUAUAAGUAGGUGUGCAGCACAGCACAAUUACACAGGUGCCCCUGUCUGUUCACAUCCGUGGGACACGUGGCAAGCAUGCAACAUACUCAGAGUUGUCCCACGUUCCCACGCCCGCCAAGUUUGUCGGAUGGUCGUUCCGGCUUCUCUGGAUUUCAAUCAAUAAGGAUGAAUCAUUUAACUGACUUAAUGUUUGUCUCUGUGUCUUCUGCUGACAAGGAUGCAGAGAAGACAUUCGACAGUUUCAACAGAAUGCAUAUGAUUUGGACAGAUAGAGUUUGAGAUAGUAAGCAUAGAGAGAUUAGGGUCCGAUCACAUUCACUUAGUUCAAAAGAUUCAACAAUGAAGACAUAGCUAUAAGUGAAUGCUGUAGAGGACAGAAUACUAGUGUGUGUGUGUGUGUGUGUGUAUAUAUAUAUAUAUAUGAGAAAGCAAUCAACUCAACAUAGUGAAGUAAAUCAUGAAGAUAAGUUGAAAGUUGAAGACAAAUCAAUAUGCGAAGAUAUUCUACAAUAACACCAUGAGUGAAACACUUCAAACCAAGAAAUUUGGUGGUGGCGUUACCCACCGUAUAGGAAGUAUUAGACCCAGACACGGCGCACAAUUAUCGUGGCGCUUCGAAGUCAAAUUCCACGUUAAUGUAUUCACACUCAGAAUGUAAGUCUUCAUUGAUUGAAGAUAUACUUUACUUCGUGUGUUGUACAUCUAAGUCAUCAACAUGCAUAAGUGUUAGGAUGUGUGCCUGUUCACAGGACAUUUGAGGAUUCCAAGAUAUUUAGGUCACAUCGUAACUUGCAAAACCUCUUCUCAUCGAGGGGCUUUGUGAAGAUAUCUGCCAAUUGCUCUUCAGUGUUGACAUGAAUGAUGUCAAUAUCUUUCUUCAUGACAUGAUCUCUGAGAAAGUGAUGACGAAUUUCAAUUUGCUUUGUCUUCGAGUGCUGAACUGGAUUGUUGGCAAUCUCGAUGGCGCUUUCGUUGUCGCAGAAGAGAGGUACUUGCUUCAGAUUGAUGCCAUGGUCCUUGAGAGUUUGCUUCAUCCACAGAAGCUGAGCACAACAAGAUCCAGCAGCAAUGUAUUCAGAUUCAGCAGUUGAGAGUGAUACACAGUUUUGCUUCUUUGAAGACCAACAGACAAGUGAUCGUCCCAGAAAGUGACAUGUUCCAGAUGUAGACUUGCGAUCCACCUUGUCACCAGCAUAAUCAGCAUCCGAGAAUCCAACCAGAUCAAACCUUGAGCCCUUUGGAUACCAUAAUCCGAGUGUUGGGGUGUAAGCCAAAUACCUAAGAAUUCGCUUCACAGCUAAGUGAUGUGAUUCCUUUGGUGCCGCUUGGAAUCGAGCACACAUGCAAACACUAAGCAUAAUAUCUGGCCUAGAUGCACAUAGGUAAAGUAAAGAACCAAUCAUGGAGCGGUAUACCUUUUGAUCAAACUCUUUACCAUUGUCAUCGGGACCAAGAUGAUGUUUGGCUGGCAUUGGCAUCGUGUAACCUUUGCAAUCUUGCAUUCCAAACUUCUUCAGAGAGUCUUUGAGAUAUUUUUCUUGAGAUAUGAAAGUGCCAUUUCUUUGCUGACGAAUUUGAAGACCAAGGAAGAACUUCAGCUCACCCAUCAUGGACAUUUGAUAUUGCUCUUGCAUCAUGUAUCCAAACUCAUCACUAUACUUCUGGUUGGUGCAGCCGAAGAUUAUGUCAUCCACAUAUAUUUGGCAUACAAACAGUUCACCAUCAUAUGUCUUCGUGAAGAGUGUGGAAUCGAGGGAUCCUGGUUUGAAGCCUUUGCUCUUCAGGAAGUCUUUGAUUGUAUCAUACCAAGCGCGAGGAGCUUGUUUGAGGCCAUACAGUGCUUUGUUUAGUGUGUACACCAUAUCAGGAUGUUUUGGAUCUUCAAAGCCAGGUGGUUGAGCAACAUACACUUCUUCUUCAAUCUUGCCAUUUAGGAAAGCACUCUUCACAUCCAUUUGAUAUAGCAAGAUGUUGUAGUGAUUAGCAUAGGCUAGCAGUAUGCGAAUAGCUUUAAGCCUUGCUACAGGAGCAAAUGUUUCAUCGAAGUCAAUUCCUUCAACUUGAGUAUAUCCUUGAGCCACAAGACGUGCUUUGUUUCUGACGACUUGACCAUGCUCAUCUUGCUUGUUUCGAUAUAUCCAUUUAGUGCCAAUAAUGUUAUGCUUGCGAGGGUCAGGGCGCUUGACAAGUUCCCAAACAUUAUUCAGUUUGAACUGUUGAAGUUCUUCUUGCAUGGCUUGAAUCCAUUCAGGUUCCAUAAAGGCUUCAGCAACUUUCUUGGGUUCAGAUAUUGAUACAAAUGAAAAGUGCCCACAGAAAUUUGCUAACUGUGUUGCUCUUGAGCGAGUAAGCAGACCAGGUGCGUUGAUGCUAUCAAUUAUCUUCUCAAUUUGUACUUCAUUUGCAACACGAGGAUGAACUGGACGAAGCCCUUGCUCAUGCUGAUCAUUGUCAUCAUUGGGAAGAUUGUCUUCGGUCUGAGCAUUGUCUUCAGGUUGGUUUGGUGCAGAAAUGAUAAGUUCCUCUUCAGGUAGUGCUUCAGAGGGCAUGAUUUCACCAGUUCCCAUCAGCUUGAUAGAUUCACUGGAAGGAGCUUCAUCUAAUGUGCUUGGCAGGAGCUUCAUCUAAUGUGCUUGGCAGGAGCUCUCGUUGUGAACCAUUGGUUUCAUCAAAUCGCACGUCCACAGUUUCAACGAUUUUGUAGUGGAAGAGGUUGAAGACUCUGUAAGAGUGAGAAUCCUUUCCAUAACCGAGCAUGAAGCCUUCGUGAGCUUUGGGUUCAAAUUUUGACUUGUGAUGGGGAUCCUUGGUCCAGCACCUAGCACCAAAGACUCUGAAGUAGCUGACAUUUGGCUUCUUGCCAGUAAGGAGCUCAUAGGAUGUUUUGCCCAGAAGCUUGUGGAUGUAGACACGGUUGCUGAUGUGACAUGCUGUAUCAAUAGCUUCAGGCCAGAACUUUCUUGGUGUCUUGUACUCGUCGAGCAUUGUUCGAGCCAUCUCAAUGAGGGUUCUGUUCUUGCGCUCAACAAUGCCAUUUUGCUGAGGUGUGUAUGGAGCAGAAAACUCAUGAGUGAUUCCCAUUGUAUCCAGAUAGAGAUCAAGCCCGGUGUUCUUGAAUUCAGUGCCGUUAUCACUUCUGAUAUGCUUGAUCUUGAUGCCAUAGUUGUUCAUUGCUCGAUUGGCGAAUCGUCUGAAGACAUCUUGUACUUCAGUCUUGUAGAGAAUUAUGUGCACCCAUGUAUAUCUUGAGUAGUCAUCAACAAUGACGAAGCCAUAGAGACACGCUCUUGUUGUGAGGGUAGAGUAGUGAGUAGGGCCAAAUAAGUCCAUGUGCAAUAACUCGAAGGGUUGAGAUGUCGUCAUGAUUGUCUUCGAGGGGUGCUUGGCCCUCGUCAUCUUUCCAGCUUUGCAGGCACCACACAAAUGAUCUUUCUUGAACUUGACACCUUCGAUGCCUAUGACAUGCUUCUUCUUGACGAGAGUGUGUAAGUUCCUCAUGCCAGCAUGCCCCAGCCUUCGAUGCCAGAGCCAGCAUUCUGAAGCUUUUGCAAGAAGACAUAUGGCAAGCUGUGGACCUGCUGAGAAAUCUACCGUGUAUAGAUCACCUUUCCUAUACCCUUCAAAGACUAGAGACUUGUCAGAUUCCAUUAGUACAAGGCAACGAUAUUUUCCGACUAUCACAAUCAUGUUUAAGUCACAAAGCAUUGAGACAGACAUUAAGUUGAAUCCAAGGGAUUCAACAAGCAUCACUUUAUCCAUGUGUUGAUCCUUUGAGAUUGCAACUCUACCUAGACCCAAUACCUUGCCUUUACCAGUGUCAGCAAAUGUGAUUUGACUCUUGUCGGAUGGACGUAAGGUUGAGUCCAUGAGAAGACUUCGAUCACCAGUCAUAUGAUUAGUGCAUCCGCUGUCCAUAAUCCAUUCUGAAGCACGAGGUGUCAUACCCUACAGUGCAGUUAGGAGGAUAUCCUUCACAAGGUAUGUUGUGAAGCAUAAGCAUUUGAUGUACACAUGGAUUAUCAUAGCUCUUAGCAUAAGGUUAGAACUCAUAGUAUGACUGGUGAGCGAUUCACAUGUGAAAUAUAUGGUAAGAUCAUUUUAUCAUGCGUCCCUUAUAGUGUUUUAGGUCCCCGGCAAUAACAUCGGACACCUUUGAUUGCUGGCUGGAGACCAUGUUCUGCAAAAGAGAGUUAGUUCUUCUUCACCACCCACAUCUUUAGGGGUGGCUUAGAAGCAAUGAGUCUAAGUGCAGCAUCUGAGAAUUUCGGCUUUGGAGCCCUAGCAAAUAGCCUUGCAGGAGAUGAAUGAUACUCAUAUGAAUAAGUAGUAAAGUUCUUAGGCCUAUGAACAUAGCGGUUUGAAGACACACGCUCAUAUUCAUAAGUUUGAGUAUGAUUUCCCUGCAAAUCAUUGGCGUUAGGGUGACUCAGGUGAGUCAUGUUUCCGUAUGAAGCCGUUGGACCAUGUGACGCCUUUGGUUUGGGGUUUGUCUUCUUCCCUGGUGGUGUCAUGACAACAUUCACAGGAAGAUUCUUAAGACAGCUUUUGGGAACCCAGAUCUUCUUCAUAGGUGGUCCAUUCCUGCAGUUAGUAGCAAUAUACCUGGCAAACACUUCACCAUUCUGAUUUUUGAACAGUUUAUAGUUUGCAUUAAAGGAUUCAUCAAUGAUAAUAGGAUUAGCACAGGUAAAGCCAGAUAAAGUGGAUGGAUCCACUGAAGGUUCCUUUGCAGCAACCCAUGUGGUUUUGGGAUACUACUCAGGCUUCCAGUAGGAGCCAUCAACAUUCAUUUUCCUCUCGAACCCAACACCCUCUUUCCUAGGGUUUCGGUUUAGAAUCUGCUUUUUGAGGACAUCACAAAGUGUCUAAUGCCCUUUUAGACUUUUGUACAUCCCUGUUUCAAGCAAUGUCUUCAACCUAGCAUUUUCAUCAGCAAUAACAGUGGUAUCGUCCGUAGAGGGGUUAGUUUCCACAUCAGUAGUUGAAGACAAUGCAACAGCAGCGGCAUUGGAACAUUCAGCAACAAAGGUAGCGUUAUCACGCGCAAUGCAUUCUAGACAUGGUGGUUCAAAACCAUUCUGUGUAACACUGAUUUGUUGAGCAAGUAAUGAAUCGCGCUCCUUCAGAAGAUCUCCAUAAUCCACUCUUGACUUUUCAAGAUCUUGCUCUCUUUGAAGACAUUCAGAAGAAAGUUUCUCAUGAUCAGACAAGAGAGCAUUAUGUUGAUCUUGAAGGGCGUCAAACUUGGAAUGAAGUCUUUGAAGACUCUCAGCCAAAGCUUUUGACUGAUCCAUUUCUUCGCCCAACAUAUCAUCGCUCUUACUAAGCAUAUUUUGAAUCUUUUCCAAAGCUCUUUGUUGUUUAGUGGCAAGGGAAGCAAGUUUGACAUAGCUGGGGCCAAAUUCAUCACCUGAUUCAUCAUCACUGGUUUCAGAGAGGUAGCAUUCAGUUACCUUAGCACCCCCAGCCAUGAGGCAUGGUGAAGAUGAGGACGAUUCAGGUGGAAAGGUCAUCUCUUUAAGAGACUCCUUGUAGUCAUCAAGCCAAGGAUCAUGACGAUUAAGAUGACCUUCAUAGACCUCAGAAAGCCGGUCCCAGAUUAGCUUCGCGUGAUUGAGGUGCAUGACGUUCCUGAACUGAUUUCGGGAUAGGCAGGAGCAGAUGACAUCCUUCGUUGUGAGGUUCAGUAGAGUGUACUUGCGAAUGUCAUCAGCCUCCGCCAUCUUGCAUAGAUCGGUAAGACCAAUCUCAGUGACGGUCCACAACUCGUUGUCCAUAGCCAUGAGUCGCUUCUUCAUCAUGGCUUUCCACCGAGGAUAUUCAUGACCGUCAAAGGUGGGGCAAGAUACAUUCCUCAAUCCUGCAGUCGACAUAGCUAAACUCCAGGUGGUUAAACUGAAUCACACAGAACAAGGGAGUACCUUGCUCUGAUACCAAUUGAAAGUGCUAGUUAUCGACUAGAGGGGGGGUGAAUAGGCGAUUUUUAUCAAAGUCUUCAAAAUAUGGAAGUUUCAAAGACAAACAAUAGAAAUGACCUAAUUGAUAUGUAGCGGAAGAUAAACUACAACGAGCAAGCCAUAGUCAAGUAUGCAAUAAUGUGAACGUACAAAGACUAAUAGCAGCAAGGUAGUAAGGAUCAGGAUGGAAGAUAGUAUGAAGCCAAUCAACAAUAGUAGUCAAGCAAUGAAGUCAAUCAGAUAAGACAGAUAAGCAAUGACUUCACGAAGACAAACUCAAAGUAAAGGAGGGAAGGGAUAGAACCAGUCACUUGUUGAAGACACGGGAUUUGUUGGACCAGUUCCAGUUGCUGUGACAACUGUACGUCUGGUUAGGGAGGCUGAGAUUCAACUCAGAAGACCGCAUCUUCACCUUAUUCCCCUUGAGCUAAGGACACAUAGUCCUCGCCCAAUCACUCUGGUAAGUCUUCAAGGUAUACUUUCGAACCUUCACAAACUUCAUUCACCGGCAAUCCACAAUGACUCUUGGAUGCUCAGAACGCGAUGCCUAACCGGCUGGAGGAUACACAGUCCUCAAGUGUAAUAAGUCUUCAGGUCACACAGACAGAAAUACUUCAGUGAUGCCUAACACUCUUUGGCUCUGGGUGUUUGGGCUUUGUCCUCGCAAGGAUUUCUCUCUCAAAGGCUUCGAGGUGGGUUGCUCUCAAAACGACAAAAACAGCAAACUAACUCUGAGCAGCCACCAAUUUAUGGUGUAGGGGGUGGGCUAUUUAUAGCCACAAGGCAACCCGACCUGAUAUGUCCGAAAUGACUCUGGGUCACUAAGGAAUUGACAUGUGUUCCAACGGUCAGAUUUCAAACACACACGGCAACUUUACUUGGGCUACAAGCAAAGCUGACUCAUCCAGCUCUGGAUAAGAUUUGCUCUCAUUGUCUUCGCUCGAAGACAUAGGAUUUGGGUUGAGCAUCACUUCAGUCACUCUGACUCAGUUCACUUGGACCCCACUUAACAGUACGGUGGUUCCUAUGACUCAACACAGAAGAAAAGGAAACAACGAAACAACUCAGUCUUCGCGCUCCAUAGUCUUCACUCAAUGUCUUCUCAUGUCAUAGUCUUCAAUGUGAACAUCUUCACACACCACCAUUGUCUUCAAUGUCUUCAUACAUUUUUAGGGGUCAUCUCCGGUAGGUAAACCGAAUCAAUGAGGGACACUACCUGCGUUAUCCUGCAAUUCUCACAAAUGCAUUAGUCCCUCAACCAACUUUGUCGUCAAUACUCCAAAACCAACUAGGGGUGGCACUAGAUGCACUUACAAUCUCCCCCUUUUUGGUGAUUGAUGACAAACUGGUUGAAGUUUUCAACGGGGAUAAAGUAUGUGAAAUUGUAAAGGAUAGGAAAUUGUCUUCAUAAGUAGCAAGGGCUCCCCCUGAAGAUGUGCAUAUAGGUAAUUUUGCUUUUGGAUUGCAAAUGCACAUGGCAGGUUGUAUUUGUGGAGAUCCACUUCAACUUAUGAAGAUAAUUCAUCAUGCAUGAAAUGAUAUAGUAUAUAGGAUGACAUGCAUAAUGAAAAAUGGACGUCUGCAGGAUGAUCUAAGUGCGGAAGUUAUCAUCGCACAUGCAGAAUUUAUCGUCGCGUCACAGUAAAGAAAAUAAGUAGCAGAUAACCAUCAAGUUUAGGUGUUACAACUCAAAGAACCAAAUGUUUUAAAAAGCAAGAGUUGUAAGCACGAGGCAAAAUAUAAUGCAACUGCCCAUAUGAACCCGCUUGAAGACUAUCAAACUCAUACACUUCUCCCCCUUUUGUCAGUAAUGACCAAAAAGGUUUGAAGACAUAGAGCAUCUACUCAUCCUCAUGAGGAGUAGUUGAAGCAGCAAGGUUGUCGUUGUCGUUUGGCGGUGCAGACGAACUUGGUGCAGUGUUGAUGCGUGUAGAAGUAGGAGGUGGUGAAGUAGCAUCAUCUUCGUCAUUGAUCACUCUCGCAUUGACAUUUGCCGCGGAGGAAGAAUAUUCAGAGUCUUCAAGAGAUGGAGUGCGACGUAGGACAGCAGUCUGUGGAGGAGUGGAGUCAAACUGGAAUCUUUCAUUGAAGCCAUCGUCUUGAAGAUCUGCUUCAGCACUAAGCAGGGUCAGGCUCUUCCAUGAUCGCCGGCAAGUUUCAUGAGCAACAAAGGCAUUCUUGGUGGCAAGGUUACGAAUGCGAUUGACAUCCACCAAGAGGCUUUGCAUCUGUCUCUUGAGCCAAAAGUGAUGUUUAUCCUAUUUCUGAUGAAGGGCCACAAGAAGUUCUCGUUCAUUGAGAACGCGAGAACGCUUCCGAGGCCUUUGGGCAAUGGUGCUUUCAGUGGCUUCAGUAGGUGCUCGAUGAGGCAGACGAGUAUUUCCAGCCAAUGGAUAGAUUCAUGUUGCUGCUUGAACACCUUCAAUGGGUUGAGUGAAGCUUUGGUGCUCGGCAUUCUGAAGACAAAGAGGCUUCUUGGCCGGUUCAGGGUAUAUAGCUUCAACUGACAUAUCAACCUCUGGUAGAAAAAUCACAUGAUUGCGAGCAGAAGGUUGAUAGUUGACAGCAGAGUGUCGCUUGAUGAGGCGCAUGACCCAUGGAGCCUAAAACUUCAGACCAAACAGGUCAGAUCCAGAAGCAGCAAGUUUCCUGAUGAAGAAAUCUUGCGCAUUGAAGCUGAUGCCAUUGAGAAUUUAGAAGACCAAUGUCUUCAUGGCUCCUUCGAGUUUUGCAGCUGAUGAAUGUCCUUUGAUAGGCCAUAGAGUCCGCCUGAUAAUAUGAUAUAUUGUGCAUGGCAGAUACUCAAGAUCUUCAACAAAGAACUCUGUUGGAUAUUCAGCAUCACGUGGCAAAGGCUUCAUCAUGCUCAACAUCUGACUCAUAUUGGGUUCAGGCUUAUGGAAGAUGCUUUCCAGAGCAUUUCGGUGAUUUUGACAACCAGGUUCAUAGAGUUCUCUGGGAGUGGAUAGGCCUAUAAGCUCAAUGAUGUCGAGAGCUUUGGCUUCAUGAUGAACAUUUCCUAUCAUCCACUCGAGAACCCAUGUCUUGAUAUCUCUGUUGUAGCCGCGAAUGUGUAGAGUAGCAUAGAAUUGAAGCAAUAGCUCUUCAUUCCAUUGUUCUUUAUCUGUGACAAAACUGAGCAGUCCAGCAUCACGAAAGCAAUCAAGUGCUUCUUCUAAGUAGGGCAGUCCAGUAAUGGCUUCAGUGUCGAGGCGCAUAUGAGGGAAAAUGCGCCCUUGAUCAUACAGAACGCAUGAGUAAUAGCUUCGCUGCUGAUGACUCCAGAACCGAUCUGAUGAUAUUCUUGGCUUCGUGUAGGGGUUCUUUGAGCUGUCAAAGAAUGUGUUGUGGCUCUUGAAGCCAUUUGCAUUGAAAGACCCUGGUGAGUUUGCAGUACCAGGAAACCUUGGCAGUCUUGGCUUGAGCUUCUGGACCUGAGGCCUAUGCUCAAUGUGAUAGUCAAAUUGAGGACCAGAGACAUUAGGCGGAGGGACUAGAACGGGCCAUCUUACUGUGAUUAGCUCGCCAUGGUUGUAUGCUUGCUCGAUUGUAUAGGGCCUUGGUGGCGGAACAGGAGCAGUGGCAGCAACUGAGGCUUCAGGCUGCACAACAGGUGCUUCAGGAGCAGUUGCCUCAUUAGCUUCAGGUGCAGUGGCCUCAUUAGCUUUAGGCACACUGGUUGGUUCAAGCUCCACAUUAGCGUCAGCCAUGACAACGUCAUCGGCUUCAUUGUCGUUGGUGGUGGCAGCUUCAACAUUUUCAACCUCCACUUGCUGAGCUGGAGGGUCAGGCACAGACACGUUCACUUCAUGAACUUCUUCUUAUGGAAUGGGGGGAGUAGGGACACGUUCUUCUUGUCGUUCGUCUUCGGCUGAUGCAGCCGGAUUGUCUUCAGCAACUGGUGCUUCAGACUCAGAGACAUUCACAGCAGGAGUGGCUUCUGAAAACACUUGACGUGCAACAGGUUGAUGGUGCACUUCUCCUUCUGGAACGCUCGAAAGAGGGACUUGAUGCCUUGGUCCUUUGCGAAGCCUGCGAAGUGCUGGCAACGCCUUUGGAGAUGGAGUUGGCUGGGCCUCAAAGUCUUCAUCUUCUUAUUGCACGGGUGGUGUAGCUGGUUGUUGUUGUUGUGGAGUACUUGGGGAAUCUUGUUCUUGCGGGCGAUCAUCCCAUGAAGCAUCCUGAGCAAUUGGCGUCAGAGGACGACCAAUGCUGAUGAUUUCGCUGUUUGUACGAACAGGCGAUGAUACCACAUUAUAUUCAAUUUGAGGAAGAACUUCAUCAUCUUCAACAUUGUCAUGAUGACCAAGGUCUUCAGCAGCGGUGGGAUCAACUGCUGGAAUCUCUUCAGCUUCAGGAGCCUUAUGAAAGCAGGCUCAUGAACAGUCAUGCGAAGUUCUUGGGUAGUGGAUGCGGGAUGAACCACUAAGAUGGGUUCAACAACAAGGGGCUCUGUGGGAGCAGCCCGAUUCUUCUUAGUCUUGCGCUUCUUCUUGGAGGGAGCGGCAUCGGAGGCUUCAGUAUUCUUCCUCUUUCUGGCUUCAACAUCGGCAGCCCUCGUCUUCUUCUAUUAUGAAGCGGUUGUGGUGACCUUUGGCUUCGAGCCAGUCAUGCUGCUUGGAAAGAUAAUGCGAGGGGCUUCUUGGCUUGAAGGUGCAGGCUGGUCAGCAGGAAGCUUCUUCUUUUUCUUUGCAGCCAUCCUGGGGUCAAUGCCAGGACGACCAAGUGACUUGCGCUUCACAGCCUCAUUGUAGGCAAGCACACACUUAUCAGCCAAACUCUUCAUGCGCUCACGAGAGCCUUGAGCUUCUUGGCGAUUCUUCAGAAAAGCUUCUUUAAGCUCAUGCAGCAUGACCUUGAAGUUUCUGACGUCUUGAACACUGAGCUUCGCCACAUGCUUCUUGAAUUGAGCCUUCUCAUAAUCAAUUUUGUUCUUCAGCUCAACGAUGCGCCGAGCAAGAGCUAGCUCAAAAGCAAUGGCACCAUUGAAAGAGACGCUGAGGCCAAUGGGAAGCUGCAAAUCUUCAAAGCUGAGAUUUGGUGUGUCGAACCAUUCAUCAAUGAAGUUAUGGAGAACGGCCACAUCAAAGAGAGGCAAGUUGUUGAAGAUCUCAUCUUCUUCCUUGCUCUUGAUCAGUUGUUCAAGGGCAUCAUCAGCAAGAUCUUCAUCACCGGACAGAUCAAUGGGCUCUUCACGCAGAAUAGCAGCAGGAGUCAAAGCUUGAUCAGUACGCCUAACAAGUUGCUUUUUCUUCUCCGUCUUCUUGGAGAUGCGGGAUUGAUCUUCAGACUGCACACUGGCUUCAGGAGGUGCAGUGGCCAAUGGCUUCACAUGAGAAGCUUUUGAAGGUGCAGCUGAUGAUGAAGCCUUAAUCUUCUUUGGCUUCUGUGGCCUUGGAGUAGGAGCUGGGGCUUCAUCAGAAUCAGCAUCAUUUUCAGAAUGAUCCACUUUGGCACCUUGUACCAAGAUGUAGGAGAUGAGGCCAUCAAGGUUUGCAAAGGGGCCAAUUCUGUUUUCUUCAGCUUCACGUGUGCCAUCCUCACGGGGAGCAGAGGGGCCAGGAUUGAAGUCUAAUCCCCAUGACUUCUUGUUUUCCUUUGCCGAAGCCUUAGCAAACUGGAGGUUGCGCUUGAAGAGAUUGUCGUCACGACACUAGAGCAAUGAUGAUGGGUCGACUUCUUCAGGAUGUGGUCGAUGGACCAUGCAAGGAUAGAAUUCUUGCGCAAUGGCUUCAGCUUUGUUCUUGGGGGGAAGGACUCGAUAGAGAAUAUCACCCCAAGGGCUCUUGAUAGCAUUUUUCUCUGCGUACUCCUGGGUGACGAACUUGUACUUGUACCACUGUUCAGCCCAAUAGCGUCGAAUCCAUUGGAUUCGAGUCUUGCGCUGAUUGUAAUCUUCUUCAGGAUCUGUUUUAUAUAUUUCUGCAAGAUCAUCAGGCAGAUCCUUUGAAUUCCCCCCAUGACGCUGUCUGCCACCCUUCCUGACAGAUUUCUCCAUAGCCAUGAACUUCAAACUGAACAGUUUCAAUAUGUUCAAAGGCUUCAAAGGCUUUCGCUUGCUGGUCAGACAGGAACUGGCUUCAGGAGAAUCAAUGUGUUUCUAUAAGAAUUCUGCAAACAAAUGCAGACUAUGAGAACCUAGGGAUUCUCCCACGGACAUGUACCUGUGACAGCAUUAGAGAUGCAAGGGAAGGGGAAGAGGUCAUAUGCAUUCUCAGAAGAUUUUGAAGAUAAAUCAGUUUGAAGACAUUGACCUUAUGAUGCGAAGACAUUCACUUAUAUGAGGUGAGUUGGUUCCAGAUUUGUACCAAUCCGUGAAUAAGUACAAGUGAGGAAUCAAACUAGAUAGGAAAUCUAAGUGAAUAGACUAGGCAUUAUGAGAUGCAGACAGAAUAGAUCUAACAUUGAGUAGGUAGAAACCACUUUCGGCAAAUAGGAUGAAUCUAUGAAGAUCAAAAAGGUGGUAAAAAUAGAGUUAUAAUUACCGCACGAAGAACUGCUAGAAGGGAUGAAUAGGAGACCGAGCANNNNNNNNNNNNNNNNNNNNNNNNNNNNNNNNNNNNNNNNNNNNNNNNNNNNNNNNNNNNNNNNNNNNNNNNNNNNNNNNNNNNNNNNNNNNNNNNNNNNNNNNNNNNNNNNNNNNNNNNNNNNNNNNNNNNNNNNNNNNNNNNNNNNNNNNNNNNNNNNNNNNNNNNNNNNNNNNNNNNNNNNNNNNNNNNNNNNNNNNNNNNNNNNNNNNNNNNNNNNNNNNNNNNNNNNNNNNNNNNNNNNNNNNNNNNNNNNNNNNNNNNNNNNNNNNNNNNNNNNNNNNNNNNNNNNNNNNNNNNNNNNNNNNNNNNNNNNNNNNNNNNNNNNNNNNNNNNNNNNNNNNNNNNNNNNNNNNNNNNNNNGGGGGGGGGUGGUGAAUAGGCGAUUUUUAUCAAUGUCUUCGAAAUGUGGAAGUUUCGAAGACAAACAAUAGAAAUGACCUAAUUGAUAUGCAGCGGAAGAUAAACUACAACAAGCAAGCCAUAGUCAAGUAUGCAAUAGCGUUAACGUACGAAGACUAAUAGCAGCUAGGUAGUAGGAUCAGGAUGGAAGAUAGUAUGAAGCCAAUCAACAAUAGUAGUCAAGCAAUGAAGUCAAUCAGAUAAGACAGAUAAGCAACGACUUCACGAAGACAAACUCAAAGUAAAGGAGGGAAGAGAUAGAACCAGUCACUUGUUGAAGACACAGGAUUUGUUGGACCAGUUCCAGUUGCUGUGACAACUGUACAUCUGGCUAGGGAGGCUGAGAUUCAACUCAGAAGACCGUGUCUUCACCUUAUCCCCCUUGAGCUAAGGACACUUAGUCCUCGCCCAAUCACUCUGGUAAGUCUUCAAGGUAGACUUCCGAACCUUCACAGACUUUGUUCACCUUGGAUGCUCAGAACGCGACGCCUAACCGGCUGGAGGAUACACAGUCCUCAAGUGUAAUAAGUCUUCAGGUCACACAGACAGAAAGACUUUAGUGAUGCCUAACACUCUUUGGCUCUGGGUGUUUGGGCUUUGUCCUUGCAAGGAUUUCUCUCUCAAAGGCUUCGAGGUGGGUUGCUCUCAAAACGACAAAAGCCGUAAACUAACUCUGACCAUCCACCAAUUUAUGGUGUAGGGGGUGGGCUAUUUAUAGCCACAAGGCAACCCGACCUGAUUUGUUCGAAAUGACCCUGGGUCACUAAGGAACUGACACGUGUUCCAACGGUCAGAUUUCAAACACACGCGGCAACUUUACUUGGGCUACAAGCAAAGCUGACUCAUGUAGCUCUGGAUAAGAUUUGCUCUCAUUGUCUUCGCUCGAAGACAUAGGAUUUGGGUUGAGCAUCACUUCAGUCACUCUGACUUAGUUCACUUGGACCCCACUUAACAGUACGGUGGUUCCUAUGACUCAACAAAGAAGAAAAGGAAACAACGAAGCCACAUAGUCUUCGCGGUCCAUAGUCUUCACGCAAUGUCUUCUCAUGUCAUAGUUUUCAAUAUGAAUAUCUUCUCAUACCACCAUUGUCUUCAAUGUGUUCAUACAUUUUUAGGGGUCAUCUCUGGUAGGUAAACCGAAUCAAUGAGGGACACUACCUGCGUUAUCCUGCAAUUCUCACAAACGCAUUAGUCCCUCAACCAACUUUGUCGUCAAUACUCCAAAACCAACUAGGAGUGACACUAGAUGCACUUACAAUCCCAUCUAGCAGUUCAUCGUGUGGUAAAUAUAACUCUAUUUUUACCAGCUUUUUGAUCCUCAAUGAUUCAUCCAAUUUACCAAAAUUGGUUUCUGUCUAUACAAAGUUAGAUCUAUUCUGUCUGCAUCUCAUACUGCCUAGUAUAUUCACUUAAGCUUCACAUCUAGUUAGAUUCCUCACUUGUACUUAUUCACGGAUUCGUACAACUCUAGAACCGACUCUCAACAUAUAAGUGAAUGUCUUCGCAACAUGAGGUCAAUGUCUUCAAACUGAUUUAUCUUCAAAAUCUUCUGAGAAUGCAUAUGAACUCUUCCCCUUCCCUCGCAUCUCUAAUGCUGUCACAGGUACAUGUCCGUGGGAGAAUCCCUAGGUUCUCAUAGUCUGCAUUUGUUUGCAGAAUUCUUACAGCAACACAUUGAAUCUCCCGAAGCUAGUUCCUGUCUGACCAGCAAGAAAAAACCUUUGAAGCCUUUGAAUCUAUUGAAACCAUUCAGUUUGAAGUUCAUGGCUGCAGAGAAAUCAGUAAGGAAGGGUGGCAGACAGCGUCGUGGGGGAACAUCAAAGGAUCUGCCUGAUGAUCUUGCAGAACUUUACAAGACAGAUCCUAAAGAGGAUUAUAAUCAGCGCAAGACUCGAAUCCAAUGGAUUCGACGCUAUUGGGCUGAACAAUGGUUCAAGUACAAGUUCGUGACCCAGGAGUACGCUGAGAAGAAUGCUAUCAAGAGUCCUUGGGGUGAUAUUCUCUAUCGAGGCCUUCCCCCCAAGAACAAAGCUGAAGCCAUUGCGGAAGAAUUCUAUCCUUGGAUGGUCCGUGGACCACAGCCUGAGGAUGCCGACCCAUCAUCAUUGCUCUGGUGUCGUGACGACAAUCUCUUCAAUCGCAACUUCCAGUAUGCUAAGGCUUCGGCAAAGGAAAACAAGAAGUCAUGGGGAUUACACUUCAAUCCUGGUCCCUCUGCUCCCCGUGAUGAUGGCACACGUGAAGCUGAAGAAAAUAGAAUUGGCCCCUUUGCAAACCUUGAUGGCCUCAUCUCAUACGUCUUGGUACAAGGUGCCAAAGUGGAUCAUUCUGACAAUGAUGCUGAUUCUGAUGAAGCCCCAGCUCCUCCUCCAAGGCUGUAGAAGCCAAAGAAGAUUAAGGCUUCAUCAUCAGCUGCACCUCCAAAAGCUUCUUGUGUGAAGCCACUGGCCACUGCACCUCCUGAAGACAGUGUGCAGUCUGAAGAUCUUUCACGCAUCUCCAAGAAGACGGAGAAGAAAAAGAAAAUCAUCAAGAGAACUGAUCAAUCAUUGACUCCUGCUGCCAUUCUGCGUGAUGAGCAUAUUGAUCUGUCCAGCGAUGACGAUCUUGUAGAUGAUGCUCUUGAGCAACUGAUCAAGAGCAAGGAAGAAGCAGAGAUCUUCAAUAACUUGCCUCUCUUUGAUGUGGCCGUCCUCCAUAACUUCAUUGAUGAAUGGUUUGACACACCAAAUCUCAGCUUUGAUGAUCUGCAACUUCCAAUUGGCCUGAGCGUCGCCUUCAAUGGUGCCAUUGCUUCUGAGCUAGCUAUUGCUCAGCGCAUCGUCGAACUGAAGCACAAGAUUGACUAUGAAAAGGCUCAGUUCAAGAAGCAUGUGGCCAAUCUCAGUGUGCAAGAUGUCAAGAACUUCAAGAUCAUGCUUCACGAGCUCAAAGAGGCAUUUCACAAGAAGUGUGAGCUAGAGGCUCUCGUGAGCGCAUGAAAAAUCUGGCUGACAAAUGUGUGCUUGCCUACAAUGAGGCUGAGAAGCGCAAGGCUCUUGGUCGUCCUGGCAUCGACCCCAGGAUGGCUGCAAAGAAGAAGAAAUCGACUGUCCAAUCUGCACCUUCAAGGCAAGAUGAACCUCGCAUUGUCUGCCCAUGCAGCAUGACUGGCUCGAAGCCAAAAGUCACGUCAACCGCUUCAGAACAGAAGAAGACGAGGGCUGCAGAGGCUGAAGCCAGAAAAAGGAAAACCUCAGAAGCCUCUGAUGCUGCUCCCUCCAAGAAGAAGCGCAAGACCAAGAAGAAUCGGGCUGCUCCCACAGAGCCCCUUGUUGUUGAACCCAUCUUAGUGGUUCGUCCUGCAUCCGCUACCCAAGAACUACAAAUGACUGUUCAUGAGCCUGCUUCCACAGAGGCUCCUGAAGCUGAAGAGAUUCCAGCAGUUGAUCCCAUCACUGCUGAAGACAUUGGUCAUCAUGACAAUGUUGAAGAUGAUGAAGUUCUUCCUCAAAUUGAAUACAAUGUGGUAUCAUCGCCUGUUCGUACGAACAGCAAAAUCAUCAGCAUUGGUCAUCCUCUGACGCCAAUUGCUCAGGAUGCUUCAUGGGCUGAUCGCCCGCAACAACAAGACUCCCCCAGUACUCCCCAACAACAACAAGCCACACCAUCCGUGCAAGUUGAAGAGGAUGAGGACCUGCCCACUCCAUCUCCAAAGGCGUCGCCUGUAUUACAAAGGCUUCGCAAAGGACCAAGGCCUCAAGCCCCUCUUCCGAGCAUUCCAGAAGGAGAAGUGCACCAUCAACCUGUUGCACGUCAAGUGUUUUCAGAAGCCACUCCAACUGUGAAUGUCUCCGUGUCUGAAGCCCCAGCUGCUGAAGACAAUCCGGCUGCAUCAGCCAAUGACGAACGUCAAGAAGAACGUGUCCCUACUCCCCCCAUUCCUGAAGAAGCUGUUCAUGAAGUGAACGUGUCUGUGCCUGACCCUCCAGCUCAGCAAGUGGUGGUUGAAAACUUUGAGGCUGCCACCACCAACACCAAUGAAGCCAAUGACAUAGUCAUGGCUGAAGCUAAUGCGGAGCCUGUCCCAAGCACUGUACCAGAAGUCAAUGCUGAAAUGCUCCUGAAGCUUCUGUUGUGCAGCCCGAAGCCACCAUUGCUGCCGCUGCUCCUGUUCCGCCACCAAGGCCCUAUACAAUUGAGCAAGCAUACAACCAUGGCGAGCUAAUCAUAGUAAGAUGGACCUUUCUGGUCCCUCCGCCUACUGUCUCUGGUCCUUAGUUUGACUAUCACAUUGAGCAUAGGCCUCAGGUCCAGAAGCCAAAGCCAAGGCUGCCAAGGUUGCCAGGUACUGCCACAUCUGUCGGGUCCUUCAAUGCAAAUGGUUCAAAAGCCACAACACAUUCUUUGACAGCUCAAAGAACCCCUACACAAAGCCAAGAAUAUCAUCAGAUCGUUUCUGGAGUCAUCAGCAGCGAAGCUAUUACUCCCGCGUUCUGUAUGAUCAAGGGCGCAUUUUCCCUCAUAUGCGCCUCGACACUGAAGCCAUUGCUGGACUGCCAUGCUUAGAAGAAGCACUUGACUGCUUUGGUGAUGCUGGUCUGCUCAGCUUUGUGAUAGACAAAGAACAUUGGAAUGAAGAGCUAUUGCUUCAAUUCUAUGCUACGCUCCACAUUCGCGGUUAUAACAGAGAUACAAAGACAUGGGUUCUCGAGUGGAUGACAGGAAAUGUUCAUCAAGAAACCAAGGCUCUUGACAUCAUUGAGCUUACAGGCCUAUCCACUCCUGGAGAGCUAUAUGAACCUGGUUGUCAAAACCACCGCAAUGCACUGGAGAGCAUCUUCCAUAAGCCUGAACCCAAUAUGAGCCAGAUGUUGAUCACGAUGAAGCCAUUACCUCAUGAUGCUGAAUACCCAAAGGAGUUCUUUGUUGAUGACCUUGAGUAUCUGCAACGCACCAUAUAUCAUAUCAUCAGGCGGACUCUAUGGCCUAUCAAAGGACAUUCAUCAGCUGCCAAACUUGAGGGAGCCAUGAAGACAUUGGUCUUUUACAUCCUCAAUGGCAUCAGCUUCAAUGUGCAAGAUUUCUUCAUCAGACAACUAGCUGCAUCUGGAUCUGGACUUUUUGGCCUGAAAUUCUAUGCUCCAUGGGUCAUGCGCCUCAUAAAGCAACACUCUACUGUCAACUAUCAACCCUCUGCUCGCAAUCAUGUGAUCUUUCUACCAGAGGUUGAUAUGUCAGUUGAAGCCAUAUACCCUGAACCUGCCAAGAAGCCUCUUAGUCUUCAAAAUGCUGAACACCAAAGCUUCACUCAGCCUAUUGAAGGAGUCCAAGCAGUAACUCGUGUCUAUCCAAUGGCUGGAAACACUCGUCUACCUCAUCGUGCGCCAACUGAAGCUACUGAGAGCACCAUUGCUCAAAGGCCUCGAAAGCGCUCUCGGGUCCUCAAUGGCCAAGAACUUCUUGUGGCUCUGCAUCAUAAACAGGAUAAGCAUCAUUUUUGGCUCAAGCGUCAGAUGCAAAGUCUCUUGGUGGAUGUAAAUCGCAUUCGCAAUCUUGCCACCAAGAAUGCAUUUGUCACUCACGAAACUUGUCGGCGAUCAUGGAAGAGUUUGACCCUGCUCAGUGCCGAAGCAAAUCUUCAAGACGAUGGCUUUACUGAACGAUUCAAGUUUGACUCCACUCCUCCACGGAAUGCUGUCCUACGUAGAACUCCAUCUCUUGAAGACUCUGACUAUUCUUCCUCCGCGGCAACUGUAAAUGCCAAUGUGAUCGAUGAUGAAGAUGAUGCAACUUCACCGCCCCCUACUUCUGCAUGCAUCGACACUGCACCAAGUUCGUCUGCACCGCCAACCAACAACGACAACCCUGCUGCUUCACCUACUCCUCAAGAGGACGAGUAGAUGCUCUAUGUCUUCAAACCUUUUUGGUCAUUACUGACAAAAGGGGGAGAAGCAUAUGAGUUGAUAGUCUUCAAGAGGGUUCAUAAGGGCGGUUGCUUUAUAUUUUUGCCUAGUGCUUACAACUCUUGCUUUUGAUACACUUCGUUCUUUGAGUUGUAACACUUAAACUUGAUGGUCGUCUGCUACUUAUUUGCGUUUCCACGUGUGAUGAUAACUUUUGCACUUAGAUCAUUCUGCAGACGUCCAUUUUUCAUUAUGCAUGUCAUUCUCUUAGCUAUAUCAUUUCGUGCAUGAUGAAUUAUCUUCAUAAGUUGAAGAGGAUCUCCACAAGUACAACCUGCCAUGUGCAUUUGCAUUCCAAAAGCAAAUUAUUUAUAUGCACAUCUUCAGGGGGAGCCCUUGCCACUUAUGAAGACAAUACACUAUCCUUUACAAUUUCACAUACUUCUUUCCCGUUGAAAACUUCAACCAGUUUGUCAUCAAUCACCAAAAAGGGGGAGAUUGUAAGUGCAUCUAGUGCCACCCCUAGUUGGUUUUGGAGUAUUGACGACAAAGUUGGUUGAGGGACUAAUGCGUUUGUGAGAAUUGCAGGAUAACGCAGGUAGUGUCCCUCAUUGAUUCAGUUUACCUACCGGAGAUGACCCCUAAAAAUGUAUGAAGACAAUGAAGACAAUGGUGGUGUGUGAAGAUGUUCACAUUGAAGACUAUGACAUGAGAAGACAUUGAGUGAAGACUAUGGAGUGCGAAGACUGAGUUGUUUCAUUGUUUCCUUUUCUUCUGUGUUGAGUCAUAGGAACCACCGUACUGUUAAGUGGGGUCCAAAUGAACUAAGUCAAAGUGACUGAAGUGAUGCUCAACCCAAAUCCUAUGUAUUCGAGCAAAGACAAUGAGAGCAAAUCUUAUCCAGAGCUGGAUGAGUCAGCUUUGCUUGUAGCCCAAGUAAAGUUGUCGUGUGUGUUUGAAAUCUGACCGUUGGAACACGUGUCAGUUCCUUAGUGACCCAGGGUCAUUUCGGACAUAUCAGGUCGGGUUGCCUUGUGGCUAUAAAUAGCCCACCCCCUACACCAUAAAUUGGUGGCUACUCAGAGUUAGUUUACGGCUUUUGUCGUUUUGAGAGCAACCCACCACGAAGCCUUUGAGAGAGAAAUCCUUGCGAGGACAAAGCCCAAACACCCAAAGCCAAAGAGUGUUAGGCAUCACUGAAGUCUUUCUGUUUGUGUGACCUAAAGAAUUAUUACACUUGAGGACUGUGUAUCCUCCAGCCGGUUAGGCCUCGUGUUCUGAGCAUCUAAGAGUCAUUGUGGAUUGCCGGUGAACGAAGUCUGUGAAGGUUCGGAAGUCUACCUUGAAGACUUACCAGAGUGAUUGGGCGAGGACUGUGUGUCCUUAGCUCAAGGGGAAUAAGGUGAAGACGCGGUCUUCUGAGUUGAAUCUCAGCCUCCCUAACCAGACGUACAGUUGUCACAACAAUUGGAACUGGUCCAACAAAUCCUAUGUCUUCAACAAGUGACUGGUUCUAUCCCUUCCCUCCUUUACUUUGAGUUUGUCUUCGUGAAGUCAUUGCUUAUUUGUCUUAUCUGUUUGACUUCAUUGCUCGACUACUAUCGUUGAUUGGCUUCAUACUACCUUCCAUCCUGAUCCUUACUACCUUGCUGCUAUUAGUCUUUGUACGUUCACAUUAUUGCAUAGUUGACUAUGGCUUGCUCGUUGUAGUUUAUCUUCCGGUGCAUAUCAAUUAGGUCAUUUCUAUUGUUUGUCUUCGAAACUUCCACGUUUUGAAGACUUUGAUAAAAAUCGCCUAUUCACCCCCCCUUUAGUCGAUAACUAGCACUUUCAGGCCCUUAAAUCUUACCAAGUUUUUGUACACAAUCACUAGGAUUUUUGUGCCAAAAAAUACAGGAUUUUAUUGUUAAGAAAUUAUUUUUAUAAGUUAAUAAGAUGUGGGAUAUUGUUUUCUUACAUAUGUAAGUAUCUGUUAAAUAUAUGAUGGCAAUAACAAUAAUAUAUAAGAACAUAUAAAAUAAUUUAAAUAUAUAUAAUAUAGUUAGAAGGGAAACAUAAGUUGGACCAGGCAUUCCUAUUCUUAUAUACAAAAAUAUAACAGACCUCUGUGUUUUCUUCAAAAAAAUACAUAAAUUGAGCCGCCGAUGUUUCAAGAAAAAUAAAACCUCGAAUGAGAGGUCCAUAGGCCGGUCGAUACAUGACGACCCUCAAGAAAAUACAAACCGACAAUGUCGUGGGCUGCGCCUGUUAAAAAAGAAAGCCUAGACGGGGCAACCCAAAACCCAGCUGAUACUUGCUGCCCUAGUGAUAAUAAAUGAUACCUGCUAGCUCCCCGGCUUCGUUGUGAAUUUAUCUCCUAUAGCAACUAUGUUGAACGACCUAAAAAAUGUAACUAUGUUGACAAACCUAUGGGCCCCAAUGUCAGUGUAGCAUUAGGAGGAAGUAUUUUUUCGAUGAGGCACUUGCUUGCAUACGGCCAUAGACCUGGUGGGUCCCGACUGUCCGCCUCUCCACGUAUAGUCCUCUCCAGAUUCCUCUCGUUUGUUCAGAAUGUUCACAACGGCAGGCAACGACGUCGCGGUGAGCGCACAAAGGCGCAGGAGGGGAUCCGACCACCGAAGAAAGUGCCUUAUUAGUAAUGAAACAACUGAACUAGCCUAGUGGCCAAGUGACACUACCCAACAGCUAUUCCGCCCGGGUUUGAUUCCACCUGCGCAGGGAAAAUAUCUCCAAUUUUUUUGCAUCUUCCUUUAUUGACAUGUGGGUCCCCAUUGUCAUCUACGCACACCAUGUCCAACACUUGCCAAAACUUCGUUCCUCGUUUUCUCUGUUUUUCGCACACUCGACAUUGUGUGGGCAUUUUGAAACUAGCAUAUCUUUUUGACUGUGCAUCAUAUGAAGAUGUGCUAUGCAUGAAUGUUGAUCAACAUGAUGUUAACUGGCUAGUAGACCAUGAAUAAAACUUCCAACAUGAUGUUAACCCUAUUUGAAAAGGCCGUGUUAAUAUAAAUGCUCUGCCUCUGAAAGUUGCAGUUUCUUAUCUGAAAUUGAACUUGCAGUUUCUUCUCUGAGAAUCGCAUUGUCUGCACUUUUAUACUCCUAUGAAACUAAAUUUUUUUAAGUGCUAAAAAUAGAUCUCUAGAAUUCAUAAAAUACUUCAUAUGCUCAAUACUGCAAAUCUGAAAUUCAAAAGACAUUCAUAUCUGAAAGUACUCUCAAAAUACACAACACAAAACACAAUUCACAACCUGCAAAUACUGACAACCCUAAGCUCCUCCUGACAAUUCACAACCUGCCCGACUAUUGGGCUAGGGGGUAGUCCCCUCCUAUUCCUCAGCGGCAGACAACCGCCCCGUGAUACGAUGUGAACGGCGAGGGAGAGGAUGGCGGGGAAGCAUUGUCGGGCCAACUACUUUUCUCCUCUUAUAGUUGGGUUAGGUUGACGAAGACUCCACCGGCUCGCUCUGGCACGACACCCUCACAAACAACACCCUGUAGAUGCUUGAUCCUUCAAUCUCUGGUGGAUGCUCCAUCUGGGAUCGAUACUCCCACCACCACUCCCUCACGAUCGGAUUCGGUGAGUCUGUUUGCUCCAUGGCCUAGAGGAGCAGCUCUAUGUACUCCCACGCGACUCCCUUCGGGAGUAUCGCUGCCUUUUCGCUCUGUUGCAGAUAUUUGGCCAUGGAUGUCGCCGUCGCUGCUAGUUGGUCCUUGUUUUCAAACCAAGACUGUAUCUCCAACAUCCUAGCUAGCUUCACAAGGUUGCCUUCUGCGAUCCUCACGUAUCAGUUGUACUCCUCCAUCGAUCUACUUCUCCACAGCACCUUCACUCGCCGGCAGUGGUUUUUGAAUGGAAGAGGAGAGGAGCAGUGCUGGUUUUGGAUUAGAACGAGGGAGGAGCGAUGCUGGGUUUGGAUUGGAACAAGAGAGGAGGGGCGAUGGUUUUGAAAUGGAAGAGGAGAGGAGCAGUGCUGGAUUUAGAUUGGAACAGGAGAGGAGCGGCGGUGGUUUAAGAGGAGAAGAGCGGAAGAGCGGCGCUGGUCUUGGAAGUAUUUUUUUGUUUUACGUAUUUUGGGUCAAAGUUUGACCACGUACUGUAUUUGACAAGCAAAAUGUGAAUGCAUGUCACCAAAAAUUGUAUCGUUUGGUUCGUACCUGAAUGUACUUUCAAAUUAUAUUAUUUUUGCAACGUAUAACAUAUAUUUUAUUUGCGAAAAUCAUGGUCAAUUAUGACCCAGAAUAAAAGGGAGACUAGUUAAUGUGGGGUCGCUUUCUUAAUUGAAGGGUAAAUUGAUUUUGAUUUUGAUCCAGUCAUAGCGCGCUGGCCCUCUCGUCCGAUCCUAAAUCGCUGCUGCAUGCUCCUCUCCCUCUUCUCCAUUGCAAAACCACCUCCUCUCCUAUCCAUCAUCUCCAUUCCAAAACCACCAUCUCGCCUCUCCCUCUUCUCCAUUGCAAAACCACCUCCUCUCCUCUCCAUCUUCUCCAUUCCAAAACCACCGUCUCGCCUCUCCCUCUUCUCUAUUGCAAGACCACUGUCUCUCCUCCCAUCUUCCAAAGCUAGCACCGGACCACUCAGAAGGACAUUUAUGGAGAGGAUGCAGCAGCAAAUUAGGCAGAUCGCCGGCGGCGACCAGGCAAAGUUAGCCAGGUUGAAGGAGAUCCUUACUUGGUUUGACAAUGAGGUGGAGAUUUCGAGGACGGUGAGGGCCAUGUGGCAAUGUAUGCAAAAGAGCGAGACAGCGGCAAUGAGGGCGACGAUGUACAUGUACUCGGCGACAGUCACGCCGCGGUCCUCCGAGUUCAUCGAGUAUCUCCUCUGUGCGAUGGAGCAGACAGAUUCGCCCGAGGCGACAGUCAGGCGGAGGUGGUGGGCGUACAGGUCGAAGGUCGAGCACCCAGAGGAUAACGAAUCGGUCGAGUAUGGUGUGCCGUUCGUGAAGGUGCAGAGCCAGCCGGAGCCACAGGAGUAUUUGUUCUCCCACCGCAAGAGGAGGCCGGAUGGCGCAACGUCACUUCCCCGUUGUUCUCCACGGUUCCCUAGAUGCUCGUAUCGUUUCAACAACGGCGGUAGGGUUUAAGGUAAGCUUCGCACUAACCUAAUCUUCCACCUGCUCAUGCUUACAAUUAGUGUGACAGCUAAUGAAAAUCAUGCUUACAAUCAGUCUCCGAGUACUACGCCAAUCACCCUAAAAUAGCUUUGGACCUUUGGGUCAAAGUUGUCACACUGUGUACAAAUAAACAAAAAUAGAUUGGUGCUUCUUUCAGAAAAGAGUACUCCCUAGAAAACUGCCAAUAUAAGCUACUAGUAUUUGGUUAGAGGAUUUGCUGCCGAGAAAGAUCCGUCCACAAAGAGCGCCACACAUCCCACUGGUGGUGGAUGCCCAUGCGUGCAUGGAGCAUGGUUGGUGUCAGUAAUUUUUACUUGGCACACCUCGCACUCUGCAUAUAUGUCGGUUUCAUACGUACAUUUGUGCCACCAAAAUGGAGCUGAAUAACCCUGUUUGCACAGAUAAUGAAAAAGCGUGAUUACAUUAUAGUGGCACUAGUUGAUGAAACACACAAAAUAAAUAGUAGAAAAUAUUGCGAUAGUAUCAUAGUAUGCCAUGCUGCGAGGGCGAGAUGGGCCCUGCGAUGCCUCAUACGGUACGCCUCAUACUGGAAAUCGUCCCAAGUCUCCCAGAUACACCUUCUGCUAGUGAUGAACAUCAGUGUACAUCGCUAGUACAAGGAGGGGCCUUGAGACAUUCAAAGCUCUAUUUUUGUGCAGAUCAACUAAAAUUAAGCACCCCAGUUUGCAGAAACUCUUAAACAUUAACAAUGGGACUAGUUGAUGAAACAUACAUUAACAAAGAGAAGCACUUUCUUUAUCUACAUUGGAAAUGAAAUGAUAGAGAGGACACUCGCUCUAUUUUAACUGUAUUAUUACUUCAUUUUAUCAGUGACACUAGGGUCGAGCAGGUGGAAAAUGAGGUGUACCGUUCGUCGCAAGGAUGAAGGCCGGGGGUGCUUAGACUAGGAUGUUGAAGCUCGCUCUUUCAGUCCCUAUCUCCCCCCUGAUGUUUCUGUGGUAGCAUUUGGGUUGUAAUCCAAACUUGGUCGAGCUGGUGCUACGCCCCUUACCUGCCUAGCUUAUGUGGCGAACUUGUCUCCUACUAGUACUCAAUCCGUUCUAGUAGUAGUUGCAUAACUGCCCGUUUACACUGAGAUGUUGUCGGAUAAUGGUUCUCUAUGGUUGGAUUUCUUUAAUGAAAUCAGAGGGAACCCCCUCUUUCAAUAUAUAUAUAAAACAGUGGCACUAGCAGUGCCAAAACAUUGCCUCAAAUUAAUAGUGCCACUAGAUUAAGGUGCAAAAUAAUAACAUUACUGCUUUAUCAUGGCAGCGCCAAAACAGUAGCACAAGAGUAGGAUUAACAUGUAGGAUCUUUGGCAAACGGUCAGACCAAAAAGGAACAUACCUCGUGAUGGGAACCAUAUCUGUAGUCAACGCCGUCGUAGAAGGGAUGACACCAGUCACCAACAUGGAUGAUUCAAUUCAUGGGACCUUUUGGUGCAAUUCACCUAAAAUGAAGCAAUGUCCAAUGAGCUAGCAACUUCUUCUUAUUUAUUUUUAAGAAAAGGGCUCCAGCCCCGGUUCCAUUUCCACCAGAAAACGAAACCCACAUAGCUUCUUCUUCAUUAGUUGCAAUAAAAUUGAGCAACGUCAAGGUUAGUUGUGAAGCUCCUGGAAUGUUCAACUAUAAUUUGGAUAUCAUUUGUGCAGUUCAACUAAGAUCGAGCAUGAAAUGUAUAUCUCUAUUUGCACAAAAAAGGUGGAAAGGAGGGUGACUAACAAGUGAUGAAACAUGCAUCAAAUGAAAAGAAGCAGGUUCCUUAUCUGAAUGGCAAUCCUACAAGGACAGUAGCAAUUUCUAAAGCAGCAACAUUGCUAGAUAUUAGUGUGGGCAUUAGGAUUAACUAUGACAACCGUUAAAUACAACAUUACUUUAAUGGUGCCAUUGCUUCAUUUUACCAGCAACAUUACAUUAACAGCUGCUAUGGAGUCGGUAUUUGGGCACGGGAGAGUAGGAGGACCAGGACAGUUGCAUUUCUAACAAAAAGAAGCAACUUAUCUUAAUGGCAAAUUUAGCAAGACAUGUAAAAAAGUGCCAUUGAUUCAUAUUACUGGAGGCAUUACAUUGAAAACAACAUUGGUUUAAUGUGUCCUUACUUUUAACAGUGCAAUUGCUACAUUUUACGAGUGGCAUUACAUAAGAGUGGCUUGGGGCAACAAACAUCAGAACAAGAUAUCUGGUUUGGUCCCAUUUUUGUUUGGUAUAGCCACCUUAUACUGUGUGAGGCUAGCAAAUCUAGUGCUGGACUUACUCUGUUGACUUGUCCCCCAAUCCCCACUUUCUUUCCUGUUUCAACCAAUAGAUCGGUUUUAUAUUGAGUUUGUACUAUGUUUCCAUUUAUUUCCCUAUUAGACAUAGAGACCAGUUGGAUAGCUAGUCUCUACUACUUUUCGCCCCCAUUAUUUCCUCUUUCGACCAAGUCCUAGAUUCAGGUAACAAAUCUUUCCCCGCCGCCACCCCCUUUUUUCCUUGUUUGAAAAAAGUAGUACUAGAUUCGAGUGCAUGAACUAGUUUUACCUCUUAACCAUAAAAAUUUAGGUGGUUUUCAUACAGCCAAUCGAUCCUAUCUAUGAGGGGGCCUUUGAAAUAGUAAAAGAUACAAAUGCAGCGACGUUAGGAGCUCGGGAAGUAGAGCAAGGCCGGUUUCGAAGGAAGUUAUACCUGAGGGUCGCCGGGAUGUCGCUAGGUGGGUGGCGGGAGGCCGGAUCUGCCCACACUACGGCAACAGGGAAGAAAGGGUUGGAGGCCCUCCCUCACCAGCGGUGCUUGGGAGAGAACGGCAAGGCAUGCUGAUCGGGACGCGCCGACAGUGGGUAAGAGCCAUCGCCGAGGACGACCGCGUGAACGUUGCACCUUCUCACCUUCCCCGACGGAGAGGAUUCGACUGGAUCUGUGACCAGCGGUGAGCAGAGAGAGAGAGAGAGUGUGACCACCGUUGUCGUGUUUAGAUCUGGAGAGGACGGGACAGUGUGAAGAGAGCAACAUUAGCAAGCAAGCACAGAGGCUCCUGCCUAUAUAGUGGAGUACUAGUUUUCUUUUGUCUACCGGAGCCGGCUUGACCUCAUCAAUGAUUGUCGAGAAGUCUUCAUGCAUGUGCCCCAUAGGCAUAGUUGUCGUCAUUUUGAUCUGAAGCACCGGAUUGUAACAUAUAACACAAAAAAUGCCACAUGACAAGAAAUCAUAAACUCACUGCCCAAAGGAGACAACAUGAAUCCUGACGGACAAACUAGACGAGGAUCAAAGUUCAAAUUAAAGAUAAACUCGUAGAAAAGGGGUCCAUCAAUAGAUGUCCUAAUUAACAUAGCCCGCUUGACCUAGAUGGCAACCGAGUAGUCUUCGUGCAUGUGCCCCCAAUGACUAGCCCAACUCAGUUGUCGCUGUUUUAACCCUCACAGUGAUCCGAAGUACAUGACACCUAAUUUUGCGAGAUGACUAGAAACCUUUUUUUAGAUUUCUCACAAGAACUAUAGCCCUGUACAACACUGCCUGCAUGAUAUGUAGACGAUGGCCAAUCCAGGCGUGUCUGCUGGAGUCUGGUCACAUGCAUGCACAAACUGAUCUUCCGUGUCUUGUAGGGAUCGUCCAGGCACCAACGUAGUACAACACUUCUCUAGUACUAUCGCUCGUCUCUCUCUUCUAUUAACUCACCCGACUUACGGGGCCGGGGAGUGUGCCUAUGGUCGGUUCUCAAUUGUGGUUCCACAUGCGUGUGCAAACGCAAUAUGAUGCGCAUUCCAUUCGGAGAGCAGCGUGCCAGACUGACCGACCGUCUGGGGUGCGACGUGAACGCGACGGGCGUGUUGUAUACUCCGUACAUGUGUACCGCCGUUUUCUUGAGGCUUUGCUCCAUGGCGCAAUCCAUGGAUACAAAAUUAGUAUACUGUACUAUUUAAAAGUCGAGGGCGGGGCUUUUCCUGCGUGGUAGGCAGGGCAGUUCCGCCUAGUCGGUUCGAUAGAGACGCGAGAAGAUGAGGGAGUACGCUGCUGCAAACAUAGGGUUGUAUGAUUUGACAGCGAGUUACUACUGGACAGGUGGGGCCCCGCAAUUUUACUUGCCAUUAUCAUUUUAACUGCGGCGCUACGACUGGCGUGAGUCUCCCGAUUCCUGACCACCUCCAUAGAGGUGCCUCUCCCAAUGCUCCACCAUGUAGAGGCUGGCUCUUGCAUGAGAGCCCACUUCUCCACUUUUUCCUUGCCUCUUUCCUCCACAUAUGCAAAAAUGCCAUGUAAAGCGGGCUUAUAGCCCACUAUCGUACUUACUUGCUCCUACAGGUGCUAAGCUUGCCACAUAGGCAUAAAGUCUGAUAUGGCAAGUUAAUUAAGAAGAGAGAGACUAGUUUGGUGACCCAAGAAAGAAACGGUGCUAAGCGUCUGUACCUAGGUGAAAAGACAAUUUUGAGUCUAUAGCUAAUUAAAUGAAGCAAACUUAGCAACAAAAAACGAAGCACCUAUGCAUUGGGGACCUGAUUGCUAAGCCAUUUAAUGCCCUUAGCACCUCAUCUAAGCACCAUUUCAUUGGAAGAGGUCACUCCUUGGCAAAUGCAAUAAAUACUAUGAAGAAAGAUAUAGAGAGAAGUAAAAAAAAUACUCUUAUAGACAACCUUAUAGCUAACCUUGUUGUAGUAUGAGUGACUAAGUGAUGACUAUGUAUGACAUGCCAAAAUCAGAUAGCCUAACGCACCAUGUUAAAUCUCCAAGGGCGCGACCGCGCGAGCGUGGCGACAGUCGUAUAGGCGCGACCAUGAUAUGGGCUGCUGGCAGCCCUUGGAUCUGAGAUCGAACGACCGCAUGCUAAGUUGCUGAAAAUUUGCAGAAUAACCCUCCAUGAUAGGAUAUUCACCCAUAGGUCUAGAAUCACACCAUGCAACCGUUCGAUCUCACAUCCAGGGGCUCUCAGAAGCCCGUAUCAUGGGAGAAUGGAAAGCUUCGUAUCACCUGUAAUUUUCCCGAUGCUUGACAUGACAUCGAAAGCCAUUUAAUUGGGCGUCGAGUAGACAUGACAUCUAAUUGGGCCCCCAUAGUACUGUGCAUGAAUCCAUUUAUCCACCAGGCAAGCCACUACCCUGCCAUUUACAUGCCCCACUCAGCAUUUUUACAAUCAAAAAACCGCUGGUAGUUCACUCCUACUCAUUGCUACGUCUUGAGCUUGCAUUGGUUUUCCUUGAAGAGGAAAGGGUGAUGCAGCAAUAGUAGCAUAAGUAUUUCCCUCAGUUUUUGAGAAACAAGGUAUCAAUCCAGUAGGAGGCUCCUCAAAAGUCCCACGCACCUACACAAACAAACAAGAACUCGCAACCAACGCAAUAAAGGGGUUGUCAAUCCCUUCAAGGCCACUUGCGAAAGUGAGAUCUGAUAGAGAUAAUAUGAUAAGAUAAAUAUUUUUUUGGUAUUUUAUGAUAUAGAUUGGAAAAGUAAAGAUGCAAAUAAAAGUAGAUUGAAAGCUUAUAUGAUAAAAGAUAGACCCGGGGGCCAUAGGUUUCACUAGUGGCUUCUCUCAAGAGAGCAUAAGUAUUACGGUGGGUGAACAAAUUACUGUCGAGCAAUUGAUAGAAAAGCGACUAAUUAUGAGAUUAUCUAGGCAUGAUCAUGUAUAUAGGCAUCACGUCCGUGACAAGUAGACCGACUCCUGCCUGCAUCUGCUACUAUUACUCCACACAUUGACCGCUAUCCAACAUGCAUCUAGAGUAUUAAGUUCAUAAGAAUAGAGUAACACAUUAAGAAAGAUGUCAUGAUGUAGAGGGAUAAACUCAUGCAAUAUGAUAUAAACCCCAUCUUUUUAUCCUCGAUGGCAACAAUACAAUACGUACCUUGCUUCCCAUGCUGUCACUGGGAAAGGACACCGCAAGAUUGAACCCAAAGCUAAGCACUUCUCCCAUUGCAAGAAAGAUCAAUCUAGUAGGCCAAAACAAAGUGAUAAUUCAAAGAGACUUGCAAAGAUAACUUAAUCAUACAUAAAAGAAUUCAGAGGAGAUUCAAAUAUUUCUCAUAGAUAAACUUGAUCAUAAACCCACAAUUCAUCGGAUCUUGACAAACACACCGCAAAAAGAGUUACAUCGAAUAGAUCUCCAAGAAGAUCGAGGAGAACUUUGUAUUGAGACUCAAAGAGAGAGAAGAAGCUAUCUAGCUAAUAACUAUGGACCCGAAGGUCUGUGGUAAACUACUCACAACUCAUUGGAGAGGCCUUGGAGAUGAUGUAGAGGCCCUCCGUGGUCGAUUCCCCCUCCGGUGGAGCACCGACGAAGGCUCCAAGAUGGGAUCUCGCGGGUACAGAAGCUUAUGGCGGUGGAAAUAGUUUUUCAUGGUCGCUUCUGAUGUUUUUGGGGUACAUGGGUAUAUAUAGGAGGAAGAAGUAGGUCGGUGGAUGCCCGAGGGGCCCACGAGGGUGGGGGGCGUGCCCACCUGUAGGGGGGGGGGCGCCGUGCACCCUCGUGGCCGCCUCCCUUGUUUCUUGACUUCCACUCCAAGUCCUAUGGACCGCGUUUGUUCCAAAAAGAUCGUUCCCGAAGGUUUCAUUCCGUUUGGACUCCGUUUGAUAUUCAUUUUCUUCGAAACACUGAAAUAGGCAAAAAACAGCAAUAUGGACUGGGCCUCCAGUUAGUAGGUUAGUCCCAAAAAUGAUAUAAAAUUGUAAAGUAAAACCCAUAAACAUCCAAAAGGGGUAAUAUAAUAGCAUGGAACAAUCAAAAAUUAUAGAUACAUUGGUGACAUAUCAGGCAUCCCCAAGCUAAAUUCCUGCUCAUCCUCGAGUAGGUAAAUGAUAAAAAAAGAAUUUUUGAUGUGCAAUGCUACCUAACAUAAUUCUCAAUGUAAUUUUCUUUAUUGUGGCAUGAAUGUUCAGAUCCAAAUGAUUCAAAAUAAAAGUUCAUAUUGACAUAAGAAAUAGUAAUACUUCAAGUGUACUAAUCAAAGCAAUCAUGUCUUCUUAAAAUAACAUGGCUAAAGAAAGUUAUCCCUACAAAAUCAUAUAGUCUGGCUGUCGCUCUAUCUUCAUCACACAAAGUAUUUAAUCAUGCACAACCCCAAUGACAAGCCAAGCAAUUGUUUCAUACUUUAGUAAUCUCAAAAAUUUUCAACUUUCACGCAAUACAUGAGCGUGAGCCAUGGACAUAAUACUAUAUGUGGAAUAGAAUGGUGGUUGUGGAGAAGACAAAAAAGGAGAAGAUAGUCUCACAUCAACUAGGCGUAUCAACGGGCUAUUGAGAUGCCCAUUAGUAGAUAUCAAUGUGAGUGAGUAGGGAUUGCCAUGCAACGGAUGCACUAGAGCUAUAAAUGUAUGAAAGCUCAACAAAAGAAACUAGGUGGGUGUGAAUCCAACUUGCUUGCUCACGAAGACCUAGGGCAAUUUGAGGAAGCCCAUCAUUGGAAUAUACAAGCCAAGUUCUAUAAUGAAAAAUUCCCACUAGUAUAUGAAAGUGACAACAUAGGAGACUCUCUAUCAUGAAGAUCACGUGUUACUUUGAAGCACAAGUGUGGUAAAAAGGAUAGUAGCAUUGUCCCUUCUCUCUUUUUCUCUCAUUUUCAUUUUUUUCUUUCUCUUUAUUUUUUAUUUUUUUAAGUCUGAAGUCUCAUCCCGACUUGUGGGGGAAUCAUAGUCUCCAUCAUCCUUUCCUCACUGGGACAAUGCUCUAAUAAUGAAGAUCAUCACACUUUUAUUUACUUACAACUCAAGAUUACAACUCGAUACUUAGGACAAGAUAUGACUCUAUAUUAAUGCCUCCGGCAGUGUACCGGGAUAUGCAAUGAAUCAAGAGUGACAUGUAUGAAAAAUUAUGAAGGUGGCCUUGCCACAAAUACGAUGUCAACUACGUGAUCAUGCAAAGAGCAAUAUGACAAUGAUGAUGCAUGUCAUAUAAACGGAACGGUGGAAAGUUGCAUGGCAAUAUAUCCCGGAAUGGCUAUGGAAAUGCCAUAAUAGGUAGGUAUAGUGGUUUUUUUUGAGGAAGGUAUAUGGUGGGUGUAUGGUACCGGCGAAAGUUGUGCGGCACAAGAGAGGCUAGCAAUGGUGGAAGGUGAGAGUGCGUAUAAUCCAUGGACUCAACAUUAGUCAUAAAGAACUCAUAUACUUAAUGCAAAAAUCUACAAGUCUUUGAAAACAAAGUACUACACGCAUGCUUCUAGGGGGAUAUAUUGGUAGGAAAAGACCAUCGCUCGUCCCCUACCGCCACUCAUAAGGAUGACAAUCAAUAAAUAAAAUUGUGCUCAACUUCAUCACAAAGCGGUUCACCAUACGUGCAUGCUACAGAAAUCACAAACUUCAACACAAGUAUUCUUUAAAUUCAUAAUCACACCAACUAGCAUGAAUCUAAUAUCACCACCUCUAUAUCUCAAAACAAUUAUCAAGCAUCAAAUUGAUCAUGACAUCAAAUUCACUUUCUAUGAUAGUUUUUAUUAUACCCAACUUGGAUGCCCAUCAUUCUAGGACCAAUUUUAUAACCAUAGAAAAUACCAUGCUGUUCUAAGAGACUCAAAAAUAAUAUAAGUGAAGCAUGAGAGGUCAACAAUUUCUACAAAAUUAAGCCACCGCCGUGCUCUAAAAGAUAUAAGUGAAGCACUAGAGCAAAAACUAUCUAGCUCAAAAGAUAUAAGUGAAGCACAUAGAGUAUUCUAAUAAAUUCUAAUCAAGUGGGUUUCUCCCAAAAGGUGUGUACAGCAAGGAUUAUUGUGGUAAAAUAAAAAGCAAAGACUAAUAUCAUAUAAGACGCUCCAAGCAAAACACAUAUCAUGUGGCGAAUAAAAAUAUAGCUCCAAGUAAAGUUACCGAUAGACGAAGACGAAAGAGAGGAUGCCUUCCGGGGGCAUCCCCAAGCUUAGGAUUUUGGUUAUCCUUGAAUAUCUUGGGGUUCCAUGGGAAUUCCCAAGCUUAGACUCUUGCCACUCCUUAUUCCAUAGUCCAUCAAAUCCUUACCCAAAACUUGAAAACUUCACAACACAAAACUCAACAGGAAAUCUCAUAAGCUCCGUUAGUGCAAGAAAGAAAAACCACCACAUAAGGUACUGUAACGAACUCAUUCUUUAUUUAUAUUGGUGUUAAACCUACUGUAUUCCAACUUCUCUAUGGUUCGUACCCCUACAUACUAGCCAUAGAUGCAUCAAAAUAAGCAAACAACACACGAAAAACAGAAUCUGUCAAAAACAGAACAGUUUGUAGCAAUCUGUAACUCUCGAAUACUUAUUGAACUCUAAAAAUCCUACCAAAAUAGGAAGUCCUGGACAAUUUGUCUAUUGAUCUAAAAAAAGAAUCAACGCAAAAUCACGUUACUGUGAAUUACUAAAAUUAUUUUCGUGCGUGCAAAGUUUCUGUUUUUCAGCAGAAUCAAAUUAACUAUCACCAUAGGUUAUCCUAUAGGUUCUACUUGGCACAAACACUAAUUAAAACAUAAAAACACAUCUAAACCCAAGGUAGAUGCAAAAUUUAUUACUAAACAGAAGCAAAAACAAAAAACAAAGAUAAAAUUGGGUUGCCUCCCAACUAGCGCUAUUGUUUAACGCCCCUAGCUAGGCAUAAAAGCGAGGAUAGAUCUAAGUAGUGCCAUCUUUGGCACUCAAUUCAUAAGUAGCUCGCAUGAUAGAUUCAUAAGGUAAUUUGACUUUCUUUCUGGGAAAGUGCUCCAUGCCUUUCCUUAAUGGAAAUUGGAAUCUAAUAUUCCCUUCCUUCAUAUCAAUAAUCGCACCAAUCGUUCUAAGGAAAGGUCUACCAAGAAUAAUAGGACAAGAGAGAUUGCAAUCUAUGUCAAGAACGAUAAAAUCUAUGGGCACAUAGUUCCUAUUUGCAACAAUAAGAACAUCAUUGAUCCUUCCCAUAGGAUUUUUAAUGGUAGAAUCCGCAAGGUGCAAAUUUAAAGAGCAAUCAUCAAGAUCAUGGAAACCUAGAAUAUCACGUAAAGUUUUCGGAAUUGUGGAAACACUAGCACCCAAAUCACACAAAGCAUAACACUCAUGAUCUUUAAUUUUAAUCUUUAUAGUAGGUUCCCACUCAUCAUAAAGUUUUCUAGGUAUAGAAACUUCCAAAUUAAGUUUUUUAUCAUAAGAUUGCAUCAAGGCAUCAACAAUAUGUUGGGUAAAAGCUUUAUUUUGACUAUAAGCAUGAGGAGAAUUCACAACGGAUUGCAACAAGGAAAUACAAUCUUCUAAAGAACAAUUAUCAUAAUUAAAUUCCUUGAAAUCCAAGAUAGUGGGUUCAAUGUUAUUUAAAGUCUUGACCUCUCCAAUCCCACUUUAACCAAAUUUAGCAUCAAGAUCUAAGAACUCCGAAUCAUUGGGACGCCUUUUAACUAAAGUGGACUCAUCUCCAGUCCCAUCAUUAUUAAGAUUCAUAUUGCAAAACAAAGAUUUAACAGGGGACACAUCAAUAACUUUUAGAUCUUCAUCAUUAUUUUCAUGGAAACUAGAAGAACAUGCCUUUACAAAGCAAUCUUUCUUAGCACACAAUCUAGCGGUUCUUUCUUUGCACUCAUCAAUGGAAAUUCUCAUAGCUUUGAGAGACUCAUUGAUAUCAUGCUUAGGAGGAGUAGAUCUAAGUUUCAAAGAUUCAACAUCAAGCGAAAGUCUAUCAACGUUCCUAGCCAAAUCGUCAACUUUAAGCAAUUUUUCUUCAAGCAAGGCAUUAAAAUUCUUUUGAGAGAUCAUAAAUUCUUUCACACUAUUCUCAAAAUCAGAGGGCAUCUUAUUAAAAUUACCAUAAGAAUUAUUGUAGGAAUUUCCAUAAUUAUUAGAGGAAUUACUAGGGAAUGGUCUAGGAUUAAAGUUUCCUAUAUAAGCAUUGUUACCAAAAUUAUUCCUACCAACAAAAUUCACAUCCAUAGACUCAAUCAAAGUAGACAAAGGCAUAUCAUUGGGAUCAAUAGGAGCACUCUUAGUAGCAAACAAUUUCAUAAGUUCAUCCAUCUUUCCACUCAAAACAUUAAUAUCUUCUAUAGCAUGCACUUCUUUACUAGUAGAUCUUUCGGUGUGCCAUUGAGAAUAAUUAGCCAUAAUGUUAUCAAGGAGUUUAGUAGCCUCUCCUAAGGUGAUUUCCAUAAACGUGCCUCCCGUGGCCGAAUCUAAAAUAUUUCUAGAAGCAAAAUUCAAUCCGGCAUAAAAAAUUUGUAUGAUCAUCCAUAAAUUCAAACCAUGAGUAGGGCAAUUGCGAAUCAUCAAUUUCAUUCUUUCCCAAGAUUGGCCAACAUGCUCAUGAUCAAGUUGUUUAAAAUUCAUAAUAUCAUUCCUAAGAGAGAUGAUCUUAGAGGGAGGAAAAUACUUAGAGAUAAAAGCAUCUUUGCACUUAUUCCAUGAAUCAAUACUAUUCUUAGGCAAAGACGAAAACCAAACUUUAGCAUGAUCUCUAAGUGAAAACAAAAACAACUUUAGUUUAACAAUAUAAUUAUCCAUAUCUUUCUUCUUUUGCAUCUCACACAAAUGAACAAAGUUGUUUAGAUGGGUAGCGGCAUCUUCACUAGGAAGGCCGGAGAAUUGAUCUUUCAUAACAAGAUUCAGCAAAGCAGCAUUGAUUUCACAAGACUCAACAUCAUUAAGAGGAGCAAUCGGAGUACUAAGGAAAUCAUUAUUAUUGGUAUUGGAAAAGUCACACAAUUUGGUAUUAUCUUGCGCAAUCGCGACAAGCAAUCCAACACACAAGCAAACAAAAAGGCAAGUGAAAGAGAGAGGAGAUUGGGAAAGAGAGGGAGAAUAAAACAGCAAGGGUGAAGUGGGGGAGAGGAAAACGAGAGGCAAAUGGCAAAUAAUGUAAGUGCGAUGGAGAUGAGUUUGUGAUGGGUACUUGGUAUGUCUUGACUUGAGCGAAGAACUCCCCGGUAAUGGCGCCAGAAAUUCUUCUUGCUAAGUCUUGAUCUUGCAUUGGUUUUCCUUGAAGAGGAAAGGGUGAUGCAGCAAUAGUAGCGUAAGUAUUUCCCUCAGUUUUUGAGAAACAAGGUAUCAAUCCAGUAGGAGGCUCCUCAAAAGUCCCACGCACCUACACAAACAAACAAGAACUCGCAACCAAUGCAAUAAAGGGGUUGUCAAUCCCUUCAAGGCCACUUGCGAAAGUGAGAUCUGAUAGAGAUAAUAUGACAAGAUAAAUAUAUUUUUGGUAUUUUAUGAUAUAGAUUGGAAAAGUAAAGAUGCAAAUAAAAGUAGAUUGAAAGCUUAUAUGAUAAAAGAUAGACUCGGGGGCCAUAGGUUUCACUAGUGGCUUGUCUCAAAAGAGCGUAAGUAUUACGGUGGGUGAACAAAUUACUGUCGAGCAAUUGAUAGAAAAGCGAAUAAUUAUGAGAUUAUCUAGGCAUGAUCAUGUAUAUAGGCAUCACGUCUGUGACAAGUAGACCGACUUUUGCCUGCAUCUACUACUAUACUCCACACAUCAACCGCUAUCCAGCAUGCAUCUAGAGUAUUAAGUUCAUAAGAACAGAGUAACGCAUUAAGAAAGAUGACAUGAUGUAGAGGGAUAAACUCAUGCAAUAUGAUAUAAACCCCAUCUUUUUAUCCUCGAUGGAAACAAUACAAUACGUGCCUUGCUGCCCCUGCUGUCACUGGGAAAGGACACCGCAAGAUUGAACCCAAAGCUAAGCACUUCUCCCAUUGCAAGAAAGAUCAAUCUAGUAGGCCAAACCAAACUGAUAAUUCGAAGAGACUUGCAAAGAUAACUUAAUCAUACAUAAAAUAAUUCAGAGGAGAUUCAAAUAUUUCUCAUAGAUAAACUUGAUCAUAAACCCACAAUUCAUCGGAUCUCGACAAACACACCGCAAAAAGAGUUACAUCAAAUAGAUCGCCAAGAAGAUCGAGGAGAACUUUGUAUUGAGAUUCAAAGAGCGAGAAGAAGCCAUCUAGCUAAUAACUAUGGACCUGAAGGUCUAUGGUAAACUACUCACAACUCAUUGGAGAGGCCUUGGAGAUGAUGUAGAGGCCCUCCAUGGUCGCUUCCCCCUCCGGCGGAGCUCCAGCGAAGGCUCCAAGAUGGGAUCUUGCUGAUACAGAAGGUUACGAUGGUGGAAAUAGUUUUUCGUGGUCGCUUCUGAUGUUUUUGGGGUACAUGGGUAUAUAUAGGAGGAAGAAGUAGGUCGGUGGACGCCCGAGGGGCCCAUGAGGGGAGGGGCGCCCGCUUGUAGGGGCGCACCGGGCACCCUCGUGGCCGCCUCCUUUGUUUCUUGACUUCCACUCCAAGUCCUCUAGGUCACGUUUGUUCCAAAAAGAUCGUUCCCGAAGGUUUCAUUCCGUUUGGACUCCGUUUGAUAUUCCUUUUCUUCGAAACACUGAAAUAGGCAAAAAACAACAAUACAGGCUGGGCCUCCGGUUAGUAGGUUAGUCCCAAAAAUGAUAUAAAAGUGUAAAGUAAAGCCCAUAAACAUCCAAAAUGGGUAAUAUAAUAGCAUGGAACAAUCAAAUAUUAUAGAUACAUUGGAGACGUAUCACUCGUCCCCGGACAUCCUUUAACAUUACAACAGUUUGCUUCUAGUCGUCUCGUCCUUUCACAUUACGACAGUUCCACUAAUCCUAACCCUCCUCACAAAUCCAUGGCAUCCCAAAUCUCCAUGAUCGGCGGUGAUUACAAGGUUAGAACCAUCACUGGCGAUGAGUUCGACGUCAUCUACACCCGUUCUUGCGCGACGGUGAAAGGAUGCCUUGCUCGCUUCGGACGCAUGUUCGAAAACUCAAAUGAUGAGUGGGUCGCUGGGCUAGAUGUUGAGUACACCACAGUCCUGGGAUGAGAGAAGGAUCUAAAGGAGGAAGAGAAGAAGAAGCCUGCCGUGAACCAGAUUUGCGUGCAUGACUUAUGCUUGGUCUACCACAUAUGCCAUGCUGAUGUUGAGUGCCAGGAUUUUAAGAACUUCCUCAAGAGCAGCCUAGUCAAAUUUGUUACUGUAUACUUUACGAACGAUGAAAGAGUCCUGGGUCGGAUAGGCCUCGUUGUAGGCAACCCCUUCAACCUCCAGAAGAAUCGGCUGCUGCCCUCCCGUGGUCAGCCUUCAAUACUGACCCUGGCAGGAGCCAUGGUUCAUCCUUCGUAUGGUAAACUGGAGAAACCUCCGCACACGUUUCAUCGUCAUGCAUGGCAGUGGAAUGUACUAUAUAUAGACCACAUCCACUACCCUUCAAUGGAUGGCUACCUUUGUUUCAAUAUCUACAAGGGUUGGAUGAAGAGCAAGAGCCAAGUGUGCGGUUCAAGCAAAGAAGUAUCGGCCAAGAGGAAGAGGGACAUGGAUGAAGUCGAGGACGUGGACGAGGACUCCGAGUAAGGUGGCAGUGUCGUUGCUCAUGGUGGUUCUAAUGCAGUGUCUACCGGAUUAGUUGCAUAGUUUAAUUUCAGGUGUGCUAGUUUAAUUUGAGGGGUGUGUUGUGCUGAGCCCCCAGCAGAACUAUGUUAUGUUUCUUCUCGUUACUUUAACUCUUCAGUACGUACAUACUAGUAUUUCUUACAUUUCAUCUUUUAGUUGGUAUAGUACUACCACUCAUUUCUUCACAUUAUAUACGUACAAUAUAUAUGGCCAACAUCAUAUAGCUAGCAAUUUAGUUGUCAAAGAAUUUCAGGGUGCUUAGUUUUGUCAAAGAAUUCCAGGGUGCUUAGUUUUAUUUGAGGGGUGUGUUGUGCUAGACACCAUUAUUGUGACUCAAAUCUCUUUUGCCAUGUUAUAAUGAUAUAAAUACCGAUGGACCAACAUGCCAGCUCUCCCUCUAUCUCACUACAGUAAAAUAAAGUGUGGGGCCUACUUGAUCCCAACAACGUGCUUAUUUUCCUGUAAAAUUAUUCGCUUGGUUACUCCUGACAAGCGGGGCCACACUUAUCAUUGUGAGAAUCGGCUUAUUUUUGUCAUGUAACAUGGUCAAUAGGUUUGACAUGAAAAUAACAAUGUCUAAUGUCAUUUUUGAGCAAACAUCUAACUUAACGAUGGCAUUUUUGACAUAUCUAAUUGCAUUUUUGAGCAGGCAUCUCACGGAUCAAUGGCAUUUUUGAGUAGUUGUAACUUCUAAUGGCAAAACUGAGUAGUGAUACACAACUAGUGGCAUAAAUAAUAAGAACCCAAGAAUUAAAUAGGUAUGCUAAUUCUUUAUUUCUUUAAUAGUACUAUAUGCAUAAUUUGGUGACGAGCGCUCUCUAUAUGUACCACCUUUUUUCUUUAAUUUCAUCUUGUUAGUUUUGCUCCAUGGCGCAAUCCAUCGAUACUACUACUGUAUAAAAGUAUGCAUUUUUUCAAAGGCUAGAGGGCGGGGCAGUCUAGCUUGGUUGUUUUCACGAGAGGUGAGGUCCUGUGUGAUUUGACGGCUCAUUACUGCUGGAAGGCGGGGCCUUGUGAUUUGACUACUUGUAUAAGUGUGCCGACGGCCUGAGGAGGAGCAAACAACCGUGCGGUAUACUCAAGUUUUCCACUGGAGUAUUACUACGAUGGAGGAGCACAAAACACGACAACCCAGUGCCAUAUGGCGAUAAAAAAUGAUCUAAUUUGCUAGUCAUCUCAUUGUUAGCAUUGUUCUAUUCAUGCCUCGUAGAGAACGUGACACGUGCAGCGAAACACCCGAAGCAAAAGAAUAAACACAGGAGCAAAAGAAGAAGGAAUAUUAUCACCCCAAAUGAUCUAAUUCACCAUGGAGUCGUAACUGCUUCUCCAUCGCCUCCACGACCUCCAUCUCCUUGCGCGUCCCCUCUGCCAUCUUCUUCAUUCUGUCCAUGACGCAGGAUUUCUCGAUGCGAGCCUUCAUCAUCUGUUCCACGGCCGCAUUACAUACCUUGACAGCAGCCGGGUGCUCGAUGCGGAGCUUCGCCAACUCCUCCUUCUGUUCCAUGACGAGGGCCUGCAGCAUCUUCAUCAAGGAACUACUAUUCUCAUGCAGCUUCUUCCAGCCGGCAUUCUUCUCCUUCAGCAGGUUGAGCUCGUGGCAGAGCUUCGCCUUGUCCUCCUGAAGUUGCAGGAUUUUGCCGGUCGCCUUCUUCUCCGAGGCAAUGCUCUUCUUUAGCAGCAUCACCAAGCCGGCGGUCAACUUCCCCUCCUUAUUGAGCUCAGCGGGCAUGUCGUCGAGGCUCUCCUUCAUCAGCUCCACCAAGCCAUGGAUGAACUCCUUCUGCUUAUUGAGGUGCUUAUUGAGAUGAUCGGGCAUGCCAUUGAGGGAUAACAACUCCAGCGCCGCCAGCUCGACAUGUUCGUCUUCGUGGCUAGGGAGCUCCUAGGAGCCAUCGCGUGCCCGUGAGAGAUCUUUCGAGGUCUCUGCGUGGCGGCGAGCCCUCUCUUUUUUUGCAGCCUUGGUUGCCGCUCCCUUGUUACGAGUAGUUCUCGACCUAGAGCUCUGCUUACCGGCCAUGGCAACGAUGGACGAAGAAGAAGCACUUAUGAGGAGGAAGGUAGAGAAAUUUUUGGUUAGGUAGUUCCCCUUUUUAUAACCUAAGUACUAGCACUAGUACUAAUACCUGCAUAAUGGGAACACGUUCAGGUUUGGUACGUACUAGUAGGUGCGAGCAGGCUUGCACUUAAUUGUAGCACUAGUACUUUCGAAUGUGAUGGGAACAAGGUAAAGAUUAAUUGAUGGUUUUGGUUUCGAGGCACGAAACGACUCCCGAUGAGUUUAGUGGAACAUAAAUUUCAAGUAGACUACACUGCUCAAAUGCAUAAAUAUUAUGUUACUAUCAAAAAUUGGCACAAAAUACGAAGGAGACCAAUGGAAGUACUACUAGCAACCCAUGAUUUAACUACUCGCAUGCACGCAGUGGAGUAGCAAUGUCUUUCUUCCGCCCUCACGUCCACUCAAUUUGCAUGUGCUAUAUUAACUGACCAUCAAUGAAGUGAAGGACUUUACACGCGUCAAAUUAUCACAUGAGGUGGAUCUUGGUACAAAAUUGCGUCCGCCCGUGUACCCACGUGUGCGUGCAAGGGAAUGAGUGCGUGCGUGGCGUGCGUGCACAUCUUCGCUUCAUGCAUGUACCGCCAGUGUGGCUCAGGGAGGAUGAGUACAUUCUUCUAGAACCAGCAACAUGUCACUGUGAUCAAUCCACACAAGGAGGUCGCGACAACACCUCCACAUGUGCCAGGUGGCUUCAUGAACUAUAAGAGAGACACUGUGUAGCAUGCCAUUGGAAUUAUAAUUUACUCCCUCCAUCCCAAAAUAUAAGAACAUUUUUGAUACUAUGCUAGUGUCAAAAGCGUUCUUAUAUUUUGGGACGGAGGGAGUAUGUGUUUUGCACAUACUCAAAGUACUAGUAAGGUACACGUGCAUUGCACGCAUCAUAUUUUGCAACCAAAUUAUGAAUAAAUACCACACUAUAGCAUGUAAGCUUUGAGUCAUAUAUUCCUGAUGUAGACCUUCGUUUAAUUCUUAUAGUUCAUCUCAUUUAAAAUCAAUUAGUUUUUAUAAAAAAUCUAGGGCCUCUUGGAUUCGUAGGAUUUCCAAAAUGCGGGAAUAGGAAAUACAGGGGAUUAUAGUGGAAUGUCGUCUUGAAUCCUACAGGAUUGUACGAGUGUUUGAUUGUGCAUAGAAAAAACGCAGAAUUCAUUCAAAGAGGUUUGAGUGGAUGGGAUGUUUUCUAUGAAAUCUAGUGCAAAUGAAUCAUAUGGAAAAAUUCCUAUGGUUUACAAUCCUACGAAUCAAACUACCAAGACAGGAAAAAUUCCUAAGGAUUAGAAUCCUCCAAAAUUCCUGUGAGAAUCCUUUGAAUCAAAGAAGCCCUUAAUCUAUUUUAUGGUUCAAGGAAUUGUGUGUUGUAAAGCAUAAAGUAAAAACAAAUAAUGGCAAUUCAACUAGAAUUUUUUUUGGACAGUUAUGAUACGGAAGAUUCUAGAAAAAAGGAGAACCACUGUUGUUUUGAGGUUUGUGCAUUAUGCUUAAGUUCAACCAUGGAGUCUGCUAGAUCGUACAUGUGGCAAAAUCUGGUGGGGGGCUAGAAGAUGGUGCGAGGGGCCGAGUGGAGGGAGACUAUGAAGGAGUUGAUGACCCGCAAGUAUACGGGAUAGUUGUAGCCUCUUUCGAUAAGUAAAAGUGUUGAACCCAACAAGGAGCUAAAUGUAGAACAAAUACUCUCUCAAGUCCUAUCGGCCACUGAUACGACUCUACGCACGCUUGACGUUCGCUUUACCUAGAACAAGUAUGAAACUAGAAGUACUUUGUAGGUGUGAUAGGAUAGGUUUGCAAGAUAAUAAAGAAUACGUAAAUAAAAAGUAGGGGCUGUUUAGAUAAAGAUGCAAUAAAGUAAAUAUAGCGAGUGUGGAAAAGUGGUGGUAGGAGUUGUGGAAUUGUCCCUAAGCAAAUGACUACUUUACUAGACCAAUAGCAAGUUUUAUGUGGGAGAGGCCACUGCUAGCAUGUCACCCCUGACUUGGAAUUCUAUGCACUUAUGAUUGGAACUAUUAGCAAGCAUCUGCAGCUACUAACGUUCAUUAAGGUAAAACCCAACCAUAGCAUUAAUAUAUAUUGGUCCCCCUUCAAUCUCGUAUGCAUCAAUUUCUAUGCUAGGUUUAAGAUUCUGUCACUCUAGCCCUCCCAUACAUAGUCCUAUCAACAUACAACUAACCCUAUGGUGUGAUCCAUGCGCGCGCUCAUAUGAUGUGCACCAAAGGACAACAACAUAUCCACAAGCAAAUUAAAUCAAUCAUAGCAAUUCAUCAAGCACCAAUAGGACAACGAAAAUCUACUCAGACAUCAUAGGAUGGCAACACACCAUUGCAUAAUAAUAUGAAGCAUAAAGCACCAUGUUCAAGUAGAGAGUACAGCGGGUUGCGGGAGAGUGGACCGAUGUAGAUAGAGGGGGGAAGGUGAUGGAGAUGUUGGUGAAGAUGGCGGAGGUGUUUGUGUAGAUCGUGGUGAUGAUGAUGGCCCUCGGUAGCGCUCCGGCGCCACCGGAAGCAAGGGGGAGAGAGCCCCCCUUCUUCUUAUUCUUCCUUAACCUCCUCCCUAGAUGGGAGAAGGGUUUCCCCUAUGGUCCUUGGCUCCCAUGGCGUGGGAGGGGCGAGAGCCCCUCCGAGAUUGGAUCUAUCUCUCUGUUUCUCUCUGUUUCUGCGUUCUCAGAUCCUUCCCCUUCACCGUUUCUUUUAUAUCCGGAGAUCCGUAACUCCAAUUGGGGUGAAUCUUUCACCCAGAUUUUUCUCAUAAAAUUAGCUUUCCUGCGGCAAAAGAAGAGCGCCAACCGCCUUAUGGGUGGCCCAGGAGAGUGCCAGGCGCGCCCAAGGGGGGUGGGCACGCCCCUAUCUCCUGGCCACCUCAGGCACCGUUUCGCGUUGAUUCUUCCUCCGGAAAAUCCCAAAUAUUCCAAAGUAAUUCUUCGUCCGUUUUUAUCCCAUUUGGAUUCCGUUUGAUAGUGGGUUUCUAUGAAACAUAAAACAUGCAACAAACAGGAACUAACACUGGGCACUGGAUCAAUAUGUUAGUCCCAAAAAUAGUAUAAAACGUUUCCAAAAGUAUAUGAAAGUUGAAGAAUAUUGGCAUGGAACAAUAAAAAAUUAUAGAUACUACGGAGACAUAUCAGCAUCCCCAAGCUUAAUUCCUGCUCGUCCUAGCAUAAUCUUGAUCAUAUGUCUAAUCAUGGCAUUAAUAUUAAGACACGAGUGAUUCAAUGCAAUAGUCUAUCAUUUGACAUAAAAACAAUAAUACUUCAAGCAUACCAACCAAGCAAUUAUGUCUUAUCGAAAUAAAAUAGCCAAAGAGAGCUCAUCCCUACAAAAUCAUAUAGUCUGGCUAUGCUCCAUCUUCAUUACACAAAAUACUCCCAUCAUGCACAACCCCGGUUUCAGCCAAGCAAUUGGUUCAUACUUUUUAAUGCGCUUCAGCCUUUUCAACACUUAUGCAAUACAUGAGCGCAAGCCAUGGACAUAGCACUAUGGUGGUGGUUGUGAGGACAAAAAGGGAGAAGAUAGUCUCACAUCAACUAGGCGUAUCAACGGGCUAUGGAGAUGCCCGUCAAUAGAUAUCAAUGUGAGUGAGUAGGGCUUGCCAUGCAACAGAUGCACUAAGAGCUAUAAGUGUAUGAACUCAAACUGGGAACUAAGUGGGUGUGCAUCCAACUUGUUGCUCAUGAAGACCUCGGGCGUUUGAGGAAGCCCAUCAUCAGAAUAUACAAGCCAAGUUCUAUAAUGAAAAAUUCCCACUAGUAUAUGAAAGUGAUAACUCAAGAGACUCUCUAUAUGAAGAACAUGGUGCUACUCUGAAGCACAAGUGUGGUAAAAGGAUAGUAACAUUGCCCCUUCUCUCUUUUUCUCUCAUUUUUAUUUUUUUAUUUUUUUGGUGGGCUUCUUUGGCCUCUUUUUUUCAAUUGGGCUUCUUUGGCAUCUUUUAUUUUUCAUAAAGUCCGGAGUCUCAUCCCGACCUGUGGGGGAAUCAUAGUCUCCAUCAUCCUUUCCUCACUGGGGCAAUGCUAUAAUAAUGAUGAUCAUCACACUUUUAUUUACUUACAACUCAAUAUUACAACUCGAUAUCUCGAACAAAGAUAUGACUCUAUAUGAAUGCUUCCGGCGGUGUACCGAGAUAUGCAAUGAUCCAGCAUAGCAAUGACAUAAAAAAACCGACGAGCCAUGAAAACAUCAUGCUAGCUAUCUUACGAUCAUGCAAAGCAAUAUGACAAUGAAUGCUCAAGUCAUGUAUAUGAUGAUGAUGGAAGUUGCAUGGCAAUAUAUCUCGGAAUGGCUAUGGAAAUGCCAUGAUAGGUAGGUAUGGUUGCUGUUUUGAGGAAGGUAAAUAAUGGGUUCAUGAUACCGGCGAAAGUUGCGCGGCACAAUAGAGGCUAGAAAAGUGGAAGGGUGAGUGUGCGUAUAUCCAUGGACUCACAUUAGUCAUAAAGAACUCAUAUACUUAUUGCAAAAGUCUACUUGCCCUCGAAGCAAAGUACUACUACGCAUGCUCCUAGGGGGGAGGUUGGUAGGAGUUAACCAUCGCGCGCCCCGACCUCCACUCAUAAGGAAAGCAAUCAAAGAACACCUCAUGCUCCAACUUCGUUACAUAACGGUUCACCAUACGUGCAUGCUACAGGACUUGCAAACCUCAACACAAGUAUUUCUCAAUUUCACAAUUACUCAACUGGCACGACUCUAAUAUCACCACUUUUAUAUCGCAAAACUAUUGCAAGGAAUCAAACAUAUCAUAUUCAGUGAUCCACAAGUUUAUGUAGGAUGUUAUGACUAACCAUGUGAAUGACCAAUUCCUGUCAUCUCUCUAAAUAGAUAUAAGUGAAGCAAGAGAGUUUAAUUCUUUCUACAAAAGAUAUGUCCACACUCUAACAAAUAUAAAUGAAGCAAAAGAGCAUUCUACAAAUGGCAGUUGUCUAUAUGAAGAGAAACAGGCAAUCCAAACUUCAAAUGAUAUAAGUGAAGCACAUGAAGCAUUCUAUAAAGCCAUACUCAAAAGAUUUAAGUGAGGUGCAAUGAGCAUUCUAUAAAACAACCAAGGACUAUCUCAUACCAGCAUGGUGCAUAAAAAAUGAAAACUAAAUGCAAAAGACGCUCCAAGACUUGCACAUGAUGCAUGAACGAAACGAAUCCGAAAACAUACCGAUACUUAUUGAAGAAAGAGGGGAUGCCUUCCGGGGCAUCCCCAAGCUUAGACGCUUGAGUCUCCUUGAAUAUUUACUUGGGGUGACUCGGGCAUCCCCAAGCUUGAGCUCUUGCCUCUCUUCCUUUUCCUCAUAUCGAGACAUCCUCGAUUAGACACUUCAUCACACAAAACUUCAACAGAAAACUCGAUAAGAUCCGUUAGUAUAAUAAAGCAAAUCACUACUCUAAGUACUGUUGCAAACCAAUUCAUAUUUUGUUUUUUCAUUGUGUCUACUGUAACAUAGCUUUUCCAUGCCUUAAUCCACUGAUAUAAAUUGAUAGUUUCAUCAAAAACAAGAAAACUAUGCAUCAAAAACAGAAUCUGUCAAAAACAGAACAGUCUGUAGCAAUCUGAACAUUCACCAUACUUCUGGUACCGCAAAAGUUCUACCAAAAUUAGGAAACAUAAACAAGUUGUAGAUCAAGACAGUGCAAAAAGAAUCAGAACCAUUUGACAUUCCAGUUAAAAAUAAAAUCGCGCACUACAGCCAAAGUUUCUGUCCUGCACCGUACAAACCAACAAGCAUUGUAAACAUCCUAAAGGCAAACCUCGGCACAUUAUUUUUAUAAUACAAUGGAAUUGUACAAGGGGAUAAUUAUUUUUUGUUGAAAAUUUUCUGUAAUCAAGAUUCACAAAGUUUCAGUGAGCAUGAACAAAGUUCAAGGCUAGCUCCCACUUCAACAAUGCUUGUCUUUCUCACUUUCCUUUCCUUUUUUGAAAAGUUUUUUAGGUUCCCCUCUUUAUUUUUUUUGUUUUUAGACUAUAUAAAAGCACUCAACAGAAAUAAAUGACUCUCUAAAACUUCUGGGUUGUCUCCCUGGCAGCGCUUUCUUUAAAGCCAUUAAGCUAGGCAUUUAGUGCUCAAGUAAUGAAUCCACCCGGAUCCCAAGGUAUAUCAAAGACAAUUUUAAUUAAAAAUGAUUUGUAAUUUAGAAGUGAGAACAAAGUAACAUAUAUCAUGCAACAAUGAAGUCUAACUCUCUUUCUAUGCAUCAGCAUGUCAUAAAAGAACAAUUCAUGCACACCAAGUAAAGGCCAAUGCAUAGUAUAAGUAGUUUCUUGCAAUUCUAUCAUAUUGGAAACAUAGAGAGGUGGAGAUAUAGUUCCUCUCUCAUAAUAAUUGCAAGUAGGAGCAGCAAGCACAUGCAUAUUACAUUCAUCAAAAUCAUCAUGUGCAAUCGUAAAAGGCAACCCAUCAAUAUAAUCCUUAGUAAGCACAAACUUCUCCGAUAUAGUGUAGUUGGGAGAAUUCAAAAAGAUAAUAGGACUAUCAUGCAUGGGUGCAAUAGCAACAAUUUCAUGUUUAACAUAAGGAACUAUAGCAAGUUCAUCUCCAUAAGAAUAAUUCAUAUUGGCAUCUUGGCCACAAGCAUAGCAAGCAUCAUCAAAAAGGGAUAUUUCAAGAGAAUCAACGAGAUCAUAACAAUCAUCAUAGCAAUUAUCCUUCGGUAAGCACGAAGGGGAAUUAAACAAUUGAUGAGUUGAAGAGUUACUCUCAUUAGAAGGUGGGCACGGGUGAUCAAUCCGCUCUUCCUCCUUUUGUUCUUCGCUCUCCUCAUCAUCUUUUUCAUCCAAUGAGCUCACAGUUUCAUCAAUUUCUUCUUCCAUAGCUUCCUACAAAAUAUUAAUCUUUUCUUGGACAGCGGAGACUUUCUCAAUAAAAGCGUUAAUAUUGUAAUUGUAUUCAUAAUUUUCAUAGCAAUAUCUAAGUAUAGAAAAAAAUUCUGGUCUAUAAACUAAAUCAUCAAAAUCGUCAAACGCUUUAAACAUAGAUUCAAUCUCAUAAGCACUCAUAAAAGCACCAAAUUAUUCUAUUUGUUCCACAUCAUAGUAAUCAUAGAUACCAUUAGCAUAAGAAGCUAAGGUUUCAUUAUCAUUAAAUUUGCAUGAAAAGGGAAGGUGUGGAGCCUUCAUCCUAGAGCAACAAGUAAUAUCAUAUCUCAAGCAUAGAUCCUGAGCAUACCAAUGCAACAUAUUAAUUUGAUCCCAUAAUAGUUUCCCUUUUUGUGUAAAGCGAUAAUCCCUAAAGUAUUCACGUUGAUCCAACAUGUCUCCCAUUAUAAAGUUGAAUGGGGUUUUCUCAGGAUUAUCAAAGUAGUACAUAAUAUCUUUCACAUAAUGAGAAUCGAGGGUUUUAGGAGUUACCCCAUCUCCAUGAGUAGCAAGUACACCUAUUUGUUUUUUGGUAUUUCGUGUUUCCUACCCAUAGCUAAAGAUAGAAAACAAGUAAGAACAGCAAAUAAAAAUUACUUAGUGAUAAAGAAAACAAGCACACACGAGAAUAUUCACCCCACGCUAUGACUCCCCGACAACGGCGCCAGAAAAAGGUCUUGAUGACCCGCAAGUAUACGAGAUAGUUGUAGCCUCUUUCGAUAAGUAAAAGUGUCGAACCCAACGAGGAGCUAAAGGUAGAACAAAUAUACUCUCAAGUCCUAUCGGCCACUGAUACGACUCUAUGCACGCUUGACGUUCGCUUUACCUAGAACAAGUAUGAAACUAGAAGUAAUUUGUAGGUGUGAUAGGAUAGGUUUGCAAGAUAAUAAAGAACAUGUAAAUAAAAAGUAGGGUCUGUUUAGAUAAAGAUGCAAUAAAGUAAAUAUAGCGAGUGUGGAAAAGUGGUGGUAGGAGUUGUGGAGUUGUCCCUAAGCAAUUGUCUACUUUACUAGACCGAUAGCAAGUUUUAUGUGGGAGAGGCCACUGCUAGCAUGUCAUCCCUGACUUGGAAUUCUAUGCACUUAUGAUUGGAACUAUUAGCAAGCAUCCGCAACUACUAACGCUCAUUAAGGUAAAACCCAACCAUAGCAUUAAGAUAUAUUGGUCCCCCUUCAAUCCCGUAUGCAUCAAUUUCUAUGCUAGGUUGAAGCUUCUGUCACUCUAUCCCUCCAAUACAUAGUCCUAUCAACAUACAACUAACCCUAUGGUGUGAUCCAUGCGCGCGCUCAUAUGAUGGGCACUAUCGGUGUCAAAACCGGCGGAUCUCGGGUAGGGGGUCUUGAUCUGUGCGUCUAGGCGGAUGGUAACAUGAGACGAGGGACACGAUGUUUUUACCCAGGUUCGGGCCCUCUUGAUGGAGGUAAAACCCUACGUCCUGCUUGAUUAAUAUUGAUGAUGUGGGUUACAAGAGUAGAUCUACCACGAGAUCAAGGAGGCUAAACCCUAGAUGCUAGCCUAUGGUAUGAUUGUUGUUCGUCCUAUGGACUAAGGCCAUCAGGUUUAUAUAGACACCGGAGAGGGCUAGGGUUACACAGAGUCGGUUACAAAGGUAGGAGAUCUACAUAUCCGUAUCGCCAAGCUUGCCUUCCACGCCAAGGAAAGUCCCAUCUGGACAAGGGACGAAGUCUUCAAUCUUGUAUCUUCAUAGUCUUGGAGUCCGACCGACGAUGAUAGUUCGGCUAUCCGGACACCCCCUAGUCCGGAACUCCCUUAGUAGCCCCUGAACCAGGCUUCAAUGACGACGAGUCCGGCGCGCAUAUUGGCUUCGGCAUUGCAGGGCGGGUUCCUCCUUCGAAUAAUUUAUAGAAGAUUGUGAACACCAGGAUAGUGUCCAGCUCUACAAAAAUAAAUUCCACAUACCACCAUAGAGAGAAUACUAUUACAAAAGAUCAAUCUGCUGACGUAUUCUGUGGCGUGACGUCACACCACUUCCAAGCCUUUACUCGAAUUGUUUUUAUUGUUCCACCUCAGCGCAUUUAGCGAGGCGGUUUCCUUGGCACGUCUUGUCGAAGCAGAGAUCGUGCUCCCCUUAUUCCGGGAUUCCCAUCAAUACAGACGUGGGUAACCCAACCACGCCAUUGAUUGCGGCGCUUGGGGGAUAAGCGAGUUUUAUCAGGCCAGUGGGGACGCAUGUUUGCGUCCACCCAUAUAAGGGGAUAAAAAUCCAACCCUUUUACCUGCGCCUUCUUCCUCCUUGGCUUAUCCAUCUCUGCGAACUCGAGCUCCAGCGCCCAAGUCCGCACUUCUCACCUCAACCUUCUCCAACUAUGUCUGGAGCGGGAGGCAAGUGGAUGGCCUCCUCCGUCACGGAGGGGCAGAUCCAGAAGCUGCGCGACGCCGGAUACUUGUCCAGCGACAUCGCGCAUCGGCUCCCCGACGAGGGAGAGCUCAUCCCCACCCCCAGGCUCCAUGAGAGGGUAUUGUUUCUUCCCCAUUUCCUCCGCGGACUGGGCUUCCCACUUCAUCCCUUCGUCCGGGGGCUCAUGUUCUACUACGGCCUGGAUUUCCAUGAUCUGGCCCCGAAUUUCAUCCUCAACAUCUCGGCGUUUAUCAUCGUGUGCGAGGCCUUCCUCUGCAUCCAGCCCCACUUCGGCUUGUGGCUCAAGACCUUCAGUGUCAAGCCGAAGGUUGUGAAGGGCGGCCAAGCGGAGUGCGGAGGCGCCAUGGUGGGCAGGAUGUCCCACGUUACGUGGCUGGAAGGCACUUUCGUGGAAACCAUCAAGGGGUGGCAAUCGGGGUGGUUCUACAUCACCGAGCCGCGUGACGCCGAUUGGGCAGCGGCCCCCGAAUUCAGAUCCGGCAUCCCUACACGGCUCACCUCCUGGAAAGAGAGUGGCCUGAUAUGGGGGAAUUCGGAGGAGCUGACCGGACUCCAAGCCUGUAUCCAGAAGCUAGUGGACAAGAAGCUCAAGCUUGUCAACGUAGUCCAGGUCAUGCUCAUCCGCCGGAUUCUCCCGUGCCAACGAUGCGGUUUCAACAUGUGGGAGUUCGAUCCAGCGCAGCACCAGACCCUGAGUGGGCUCUUUGACACUACGUACAAAGAUGUCUGGAAGGUGUUGUUCAAGGGCGCCGAAGCUCCCGCAUCCGCUACCGAAGAUCGCGGAUUCCGCUCGCAGCGUCGGGCUGACGAGGUAAGUGAUUUUGCCACUUGUUUUCCAUAGUUUGACUCUAUGCGGGAUCUAAACUCCCUCUACCUUUGACAGGACUGGCUAGCGAAGGCCGAACGGACUAUCUGUCCGGCCCCAUUGCCAGAGGACCCAGCGGACGCCCACCUAACGGGGCUGCUGGCUCCGGCACCCCACGUGGUGCAAGAGAAGAAGGCCAAGAAGAAGGCCACGGGGACUCGGAAGAGUUCCCGUUUUCAGGUGCUAUCGGAUGAUGAAUCCGAGGGUGACUCCUCCCACCAAGGCGAGGAGGAUAAGAAAGCCUCUCCCCCAGCGGGGGGAGGGAAGAAAAGGAAGGCCUCCCCAACAAGGGAUGCCGAAGGGUCCAAGAAGGGAAAAACUCUUCCCCCGGACCGCUCCGCCAAUGCCAGUGACGACGACGAGGACUGGCCUCCAAGGGCCAAGCCCCUGGCGAGAUCGUAAGUAUCCGGACUCCCGAAUGUCUUUCUAAUGCCGCAUACAACCCUGCAGUCCGCCCAAGGAUGAUCUUCCCGUUUCGUCGAGCGGGUCCUUGGGUGCGUCGGAUAUGGAUUCCCUUCUGACUGCCUCCACCCCCCGUGCCACGGACGACGCCAAGGUGGGGUCCCAGGAAGGGACCUACCAGGAGGAGGCCCCAGAGGUGUCGCAGGACCACCUCCUGGACUUUGCACCGGACUCAGCCCCGGAGGCCACAGUGGCUCCGGAGUCCAGCGGGCGCCCCCUUCAUAAGAAGGGCAAGACCGCGACGCCGGCUGCCUCCGUCCAACCGGAGGUGCCGGACAAUUUGCUGGAGGCGCUCAACGGCGCCUCCAUCAAAGAGGAACACCGCACUGUUAUGAGUGCGGUGAUUCAGAAGGUUCAGCUCGCCAAGAGCGGGCUGACCGAAGCCUGCAGCAGCCUUCUAACAGGCUUUGAGGUAAGAAUCUCAAUAUAUGUAAAAUGGUACCGCAUAGAUAGUAGCCCCUGAUGCUCGGUUCGGUGUUCGGAAAGAAAAGCCGGACUGAGGGUCUUUAGAAAGAUAAACGCAGGAGUCAUGAAAAUAUGUCAAUAUGGGAUUGCAGGAUGUGCUGCUGACCUCCGCCGCACUGACUGCGGAGGUCAAUACGUUGAAGGAAAACCUCGAGCGGUCCGAGAACAAGCUCGGCCGUGCCAAGAAGCAGCUCGAGGAAAAAUAAGGUGAGUAAUACCUUAUGAAAAUUGUACCUUACAGAAAAGGAUUUGGUUGCAAGAAAAAUGACAAGGAUAACUUGGGUAUUCCAGGGGCCACUAAUGAGGUGGCGACCCUGAAGGAGGCGGUGGCCGCGGCCGAACGCAAUGCGGCCGUGGAGUGCACCGAGCGAGAGAGGCAGGAGGCGUGGGUGGCGGAGGUACAGCAAGAGCUCCAGGAUCUCGUGAAAAAACAUGAGAGCUUGGAGCGUGACUCGAAGACUCGAGAGUCUGAGCUUGCAAUGGCUCUUGAGAGUGCCAAAGCCGCUAAGGCCGAAGCCUACAAGGCCCUCCAGGAGAUUGAGGCGGUGAAGAAAAUAGCAGCGGGUAAGGCAUUUUUCAUGCAAAGUAAGCAUGUGAGUGUUAAUUACCUGUUGCUUACCCGAAUUCGGAGCUCUCCAGGAGCGUUCGCAGAUCUUCUCGCAGCGUGUCCGAUGCUGCCGCAUUUUACCGGGCCGAGGAGGGGAGCUCGACUGAGAAGGUCUUCUGGUCUCAGUAUGCUGAGGCCGGACAUCCGGUGCCCCUUAGCGACCAGCUGAAGCAGCUGGUCAAGCUCCACAAGGCGGCCGAACAGGCCAUGAAGGGCCUCAUAGUUCGGCUGUGGCCUAAGGAGGCCAUGCCUGGGAGCUACUUCGGCCUAGUGCGGCGGCUGGUGGAUGCGUGCCCGUGGGUUGAAGUCAUCAAGCAUUCCGCUUGUAUUGAAGGUGCCCGUCGGGCCCUUGCCCGCGCAAAGGUGCACUGGGGCAAGAUGGAUGCCCAGAAGCUCAUGACGGACCCGCCACCAGAGGGCAAGGAGCAUCGCACGCCCGCGAUGUAUUAUAAGAGUGUGCUGAAGGGCGCCCGCACUAUUGCGGGUGAGUGCUCCAAAGAUGUAAUAUUUGAGUAGAUUCACAUUUUGUUAUCCUGUCCGCUGAAAACUUGGUUCAUAUGCGCUUAAGCAACGCUUGUUAAUUUAAAAUAUUACCUUCUGUGUGGCUGUUUAUCAAAUCUGAGAGAUGGCAAGUCGUCGGCUUCAGCCCCCAUGCCACGAGUGCUGGGGUGUUCGGGAUAAACUCGAGCGCUCUUGUUCCCAUUUUUGGGUCCAUCUAGGGAGGCGCUCGACACAGCGAACAAGGCAACCGGACUUAUAAUGCUUGAACACUCUCACUUAGCCAUAGAAUUCUAUAAUUUUAAAUUUCGGCGAAGCCCCUAGUCUUCGGAAGGACGAAUUUGGGGCGCUAUCCACGCCUUGGCCGGACAGUAUCCGGCUCCUCGCUCUAAGCGGCAUAAGUCUUUAAGGACUCGCAAAAAACCUCUCGAACAGCGACCGGCUCUCGCCUCAUCAUGACGGUCAGUUUUAGCUUUCUCCACUGAGGCGUUAACCCAACUCAACUGGGGCGCAAUCGCAGUGGUUCUCCCAGUGCUACCUUAGCCGAUAUAACGGAACGUAAGGUACCAAAACAUGGGAGCCGGCAAACCCAACUAUUGACCCAAGACAUGAUUCGGAGCCGAUGCAUAUAGUGCUAUAAGUUCGGGGUGCCGCACUUGUGAAAGUGUUCGGACUCAUCACACCAUGAUUCGGGGGAACAUAAGCCCCUGAUGUGUAUUGGCCGUACCAAAGUGUACGAAUGCAAUAUGCCGUGAAUGAACAUAUGUAUGAAAAGGAAAUGCAAUUAUAAGCAAAAAGGUGCUGCAUUGUUUUAUUCAAUAAGUGCUGCUACGAAUGCAGAACGAUACAAAUAGUGCGAUAAGCAAGGUAUGGGACUGUUAAACAUGUCCCCCUCCAGGGGUAGGCUGCAGAUUGGUGUAUAGAAAUGCUUGUAACGGAGACCACCUGUAUAUUCAUUGUAGCCUUUAUCCUUCCCUAGCUGUGGCAUCGUGAGUUCGGCAGAUCUGCUGCCGGACAGGGCCUCUGACAAACGGAGUCAUGUGUGUAAAAAAUAGAAGGUAAAAAAGAAAAGAAAAAAGAACGACACACUUGAGAGCCCCUGGUGCGGUUAAGCCGCAGUCUGGGUUUAUCGUGGUCGUGCCCCUCUCCCCAUGCUCAUGGUAUCUUCAGAGCAUAAUGGUGUACGCGAAGGAUCUGCUUUAACUUUUUGCAGGAGCUGGGGUUGGGGCCGCACUGCUACGCGUGCUCGGAACGUGCCAGGUGGUCUUGUUGUAAGUUACUCCGGGCACGCUUAGCUGUGUCCAGCCGCUUAAAGGCCGGACUCGAGAAUUGCCUCAAGAGGCUGCAUUGCACUUCUGCCGCGAGAGCCGCUGUAUGUUCCUCCGUGCGGAGAGAACAUUCAGUGUUUCCGUUGACCGUGAUGACUCCUCGAGGGCCUGGAAUCUUGAGCUUGAGGUAUGCGUAGUGCGGCACCGCAUUGAACUUUGCAAACGCAGUACGUCCGAGCAAGGCAUGAUAGCCGCUGCGGAACGGGACUAUGUCAAAGAUUAACUCCUCGCUUCGGAAGUUAUCCGGGGAUCCGAAGACCACUUCGAGUGUAAUUGAGCCUGUACAAUUGGCUUCUACACCUGGUACGACAUCUUUAAAUGUCGUUUUGGUAGGUUUAAUCCUUGAGGGGUCUAUGCCCAUUUUGCGCACUGUAUCCUGGUAAAGCAGGUUCAGGCUGCUGCCGCCGUCCAUUAGGACUCUGGUUAGGUGAAAUCCAUCGAUGAUUGGGUCUGAGACCAGUGCAGCGAAUCCGCCAUGGCGGAUGCUGGUGGGGUGGUCCCUUCGGUCAAAAGUGACCGGGCAGGAGGACCAUGGAUUGAACUUCGGGGCAACUGGCUCCAUCGCGUAGACAUCCCUGAGUGCAUGCUUCCGCUCCCUUUUGGGUAUGUGCGUUGCAUAUAUCAUGUUCACCGUCCGCACCUAUGGGGGGAAACCCUUCUGUCCUCUAUUGUUCGGCAAUUGGGUCUCGUCCUCGUCAUCGCUAUGUAGCCCCUUGUCAUUGUUUUCGGCAAUUAACUUGCCUGCCUUCUUGAAUACCCAACAGUCCCUGUUGGUGUGGUUAGCUGGCUUUUCGGGGGUGCCGUGUAUCUGGCACAAGCGGUCGAGUAUUCGGUCCAAAUUGGACGGACCCGGAGAAGUUCUUUUGAAUUGCUUUUUCCGCUGACCGGGUUUAGAGCCUCCGAAUCCGGCAUUAACUGCCGUAUCCUCAAUAUGAUCGCCGUUAAUGCGGCGUUUGUUUUUGUUGCGACGCGGCCUGCCAUUUCGGUCCUUGAAGUCCGGACUGCCAGAAUUCUUGCUGAGGUUAUUGCUGCGUGCUAGCCAGCUGUCCUCACCCGCGCAGAAGCGGGUCAUGAGUGAUGUGAGGGCUGCCAUGGAUUUCGGCUUUUCCUGUCCCAGGUGCCGGGCAAGCCAUUCGUCACGGAUGUUAUGCUUGUAGGCCGCGAGGGCCUCCGCAUCCGGACAGUCGACGGUUUGGUUUUUCUUGGUUAAGAACCGUGUCCAGAAUUGCCUGGCCGAUUCGUCUGGCUGCUGAAUUAUGUGGCUUAGGCCAUCAGCGUCUGGUGGUCGCACAUAAGUGCCCUGGAAUUUAUCGAGGAAUGCGGCUUCCAGGUCCUCCCAACUCCCAAUUGACUCUGCUGGCAAGCUGUUGAGCCAAUGUCGGGCUGGUCCUUUAAGCUUGAGGGGGAGGUAUUUGAUGGCGUGAAGAUCGUCACUGCGGCCAUGUGGAUGUGAAGGAGAUAGUCUUCAAUCCAAACCGCGGGGUCUGUUGUGCCAUCGUAGGAUUCAAUAUUGACGGGUUUAAACCCUUCGGGGAUUUGAUGAUCCAUUACUUCAUCUGUGAAGCAUAGUGGGUGUGCGGCGCCUCUGUACUGGGCGAUAUCACGACGGAGCUCAAGGGAGCUUGGUCUAUUUUGUUCGGCCCGGCCGGACUUACUGUGUCUGGCGCGAUGAUUGUCGUCACGUAUCAUGGGACGCCCACGCGAUCCAUAGAUCGAUCUUGAUUGUCUUGCCUUAUCCUCCAAUAUAUCUCGCAAGUCCGGAGUGUUCCCCUGUGGCCGUGUGCUUUUCGAGCGAUGUCGGGGUACAGGUCUGGUGAAGGGCCUAGAGGCCACUCUGUCGCGACCACGGGGUGGUCGGUCAGCCGUAUUGUCUCCUGGUGAUGCGGGUUCAUAAGCCUCCUCCUCUAAUUGGGGGAGCACCUUGCCUUUAGGGUAGCUUUUGGAGGGGCGUUCGAGCUCAUGCUCUUCGGCCGCGAGGACUUCAGUCCAUCUGUCGGCUAGCAGAUCCUGAUCAGCUCUAAGCUGUUACUACUUUUUCUUGAGGCUGUUUGCCGUGGCCAUAAGCCUGCGUUUAAAACGCUCUUGUUCGACGGGAUCCUCAGGAACGACGAAUUCGUCAUCGUCGAGGCUCGCUUCGUCUCCGGAGGGAGGCGUAUAAUCCUCUGCCUCUUCUCCUGCUGCUCCUUCAUAAGGGCUAGCGUCUCCGUCCUCCUGCGCUGCAUCUUGCUAGAGCGGGUUGUCUUCGGCACUGUCCGGUGUAUUAUUAUCUCCGGUGCCGGAGUCUUCAUUCUUGCUGUGGCGGGAUUUAGAGUGGCGCUGCUGACGCCGGCGCUUGGGCUGCUUUUUGGAGGGGUCAUCCUCCUCUGUUCCUUUGCCAUUCCCAUCUUUUGGGAUAUCCACCAUGUAUAUGUCAUACGAUGAGGUGGCUGUCCAGUGCCCAGUGGGCGCUGGUUCUUGGUCGUUUCCGGCUUCGUCGUCCAUACCGUCGAUGUCCUCGGAGUCGUAGUCUAGCAUGUCGGUUAAAUCAUCGACAAUGGCUACCAAGUGGGUGGUGGGUGGGCUUUGAAUUUCUUCGUCGUCCGCAUCCCAACCGUCCUGACUGCAGCCCGGCCAGGGCUCUCCUGAUAACGAGAGAUAUUUUAGCAAACUCAAGAUGUCGCCGAAAGGUGAGUGUUGAAAGACGUCCGCUGCAGUAAACUCCAUGAUCGGCGCCCAAUCAGAUUCGAUCAGGGCGGGCGCGGGAGGUUCGGAGUCCGGCGUGGAGUCCGGCACCUUGGAGUCACGAGCUUUAUGAGGGACAAAGUCAAUGUUCAGCUCUAUCACCGUAGAGGUUGCAGCACCCGAGGUGAUGUCUAGCCAUCCGUCCUCAAUCUGCGCGGCUGGCUCCGAAUUGAGGAUCGGAGCGGGCUCGAGUGCGGCCUCCAGGGUACUGUCCGGCGGCAGAGCUAAAUCAUGCCCGACGUGAUAGUGCGGCACGCUCGGCUGUGGCUCGAAUCCGUCGAAGAUCAUGCCCCCACGGAUGUCAGCCGUGAAGUUCAAACUUCCAAAUCUGACCUGACGGCCAGGGGCGUAGCUUUCGAUCUGCUCCAGUUGGCCUAGCGAAUUGGCCCGCAGUGCAAAGCCGCCAAAUACGAAGAUCUGUCCGGGGAGGAAGGUCUCACCCUGGACUGCGUUGUUGAUGAUGAUCGAAGAAGCCAUCGAGCCUAUCGGUGACGACACAGAGGAACUCUCAAUGAAAGCACCAAUGUCAGUGUCAAAACCGGUGGAUCUCGGGUAGGGGGUCCCGAUCUGUGCGUCUAGGCGGAUGGUAACAGGAGACGAGGGACACGAUGUUUUUACCCAGGUUCGGGCCCUCUUGAUGGAGGUAAAACCCUACUUCCUGCUUGAUUAAUAUUGAUGAUGUGGGUUACAAGAGUAGAUCUACCACGAGAUCAAGGAGGCUAAACCCUAGAAGCUAGCCUAUGGUAUGAUUGUUGUUCGUCCUAUGGACUAAGGCCACCCGGUUUAUAUAAACACCGGAGAGGGCUAGGGUUACAUAGAGUCGGUUACAAAGGUAGGAGAUCUACAUAUCCGUAUCGCCAAGCUUGCCUUCCACGCCAAGGAAAGUCCCAUCUGGACACGGGACGAAGUCUUCAAUCUUGUAUAUUCAUAGUCUUGGAGAACAGCCGAUGAUGAUAGUUCAGCUAUCCGGACACCCCCUAGUCCGGAACUCCCUCAGGCACCAAAGGACAACAACAUAUCCACAAGCAAAUUAAAUAAAUCAUAGCAAUUCAUCAACCACCAAUAGGACAAUGAAAAUCUACUCAGACAUCAUAGGAUGGCAACACAUCAUUUGAUAAUAAUAUGAAGCAUAAAGCACCAUGUUCAAGUAGAGGGUACAGCGGGUUGCGGGAGAGUGGACCGCUGUAGAUAGAGGGGGGAAGGUGAUGGAGAUGUUGGUGCAGAUGGCGGAGGUGUUGGUGUAGAUCGCGGUGAUGAUGAUGGCCCCCGGCAGCACUCUGGCGCCACCGGAAGCAAGGGGGAGAGAGCCCCCCUUCUUCUUCUUCUUCUUCCUUAACCUCCGCCCUAGAUGGGAGAAGGGUUUCCCCUCUGGUCGUUGUCUCCCAUGGCGUGGGAGGGGCGAGAGCCCCUCCGAGAUUGGAUCUAUCUCUCUAUUUCUCUCUGUUUCUACGUUCUCAGAUCCUUCCCCUUCACCGUUUUUUUAUAUCCGGAGAUCCGUAACUCCGAUUGGGGUGAAUCUUUCGCCUAGAUUUUUCUCAUAAAAUUAGCUUUCUUGCGGCAAAAGAAGAGCGUCAACCGCCUUACGAGUGGCCCAGGAGAGUGCCAGGUGCGCCCAGGGGGGUGGGCGCACCCCCUGUCUCCUGGCCACCUUUGGCACCGUUUCGCAUUGAUUCUUCCUCCGGAAAAUCCCAAAUAUUCCAAAAUAAUUCUCCGUCCGUGUUUAUCCCGUUUGGAUUUCGUUUGAUAUUGGGUUUCUGCGAAACGUAAAACAUGCAACAAACAGGAACUGGCACUGGGCACUGGAUCAAUAUGUUAGUCCCAAAAAUAGUAUAAAAAGUUGCCAAAAGUAUAUGAAAGUUGAAGAAUAUUGGCAUGGAACAAUCAAAAAUUAUAGAUACGACGGAGACGUAUCAGGAGUGCACAAGUGCGAGAUUGAUAUUUGGAGAGAGGGGGCGAGAACAUGCGCUGUUGCGCGCAGUGGUGGAGCCAUGAAAAAUAAACGAGCUAUGGGGCCAAGCAUUGCUAAUCCUUUACGAGGAGGGCCAAUUCAUGAACUUAAACCAUUUUUACCAGCAAUUGUCUAAUGAUCACAUUUAUAUUAGCCUUGAUAUAUAGUGAUGUUAGGGGGGGGGGCCUUGCUGCCCCUGUCUUCGCCAUUGUGCGCGCGUCUGAGAGAUGAAGCGGAAGGCAUGGAUGAUGAGAGGGGGACGUUGGAUAUAUAAUUAAUGUCGGUGUAUUAGCUAUAUAUGUAUUCCUAUAUAGAGAGGUAUAGAUUGAUCGAUGUGGACGUGGGAAAGAGGGUGAGACCUCACUAGAUAUAUAGAUUGAUCGGUUUGUGUGGAAAACUAUGAAAGACCUAGCUAUAUACACACACACAUAGAGGAACAUCGAUCGUUGCGCAUGCACCGUGAGAGAUAAAGAAUGCCCGAUAUGAUGGAGAUGGGGAUGUGUGUGUGUGUGCCUUCAUGGGAGACCGACCUGAAGAAAAAGAUUGCAUGUGUGUGAUGGAUAAUGCUGACUGGUAGUGUGUGUGCAUGCAUGCAGGAGAGAAAGUUAGUGGUACAAUUAUAAAGAUAAGACGACUAUGUGGGUGUAAAAGACUAGGUGUGUCGUGGAAUUGUCACGUCAGAUGUCCUCGUGAAAGGACUUAGUUGUGGAGCCAUCGCAACUAGGAAGCUUGAAGGGGUUAGUCGGGACAAAGGACACGAGAGGUUUAUACUAGUUCGGCCCCUUACGGUGAAGGUAAGGCCUACGUCUAGUUGGGUUGGUAUUGAUGUUUCAAUGACCAGGGAGCGACAUACGCUAUGCCCGGCUCUCGAUGAGUUGUUUCCAGCCCUAAGCCGCCAGGAGGUCGUCCCCUUAUAUACACGGGCUGACGCCCUGUGGCUUACGGAGUCCCAGCCGGCUUAUAAACAGUGUCUGGCUCGGUGACUAGUUAAACCUACCUUAUGAUACAAGUCAUGCCAUUACGGCGGUUUGUUACAACGGGCCUUAAGUCGCCUGCGGGCCUUAAGCCCUUUAUUGAAUCGCCAUCUUCAUGCUUGGUCUUGGGCUUCUUUCUGGCGAGUCUUGUUUGCGUAACCCGGCCCAUCCUGAGCGGCUUACACAAAUAGUUAUAUCCCCAACAUUAGGCCCCAGAUUGAUUUGAACCUGUUCAUGUCAAUCUUAAAAUACCUUAAGAAAUAAAUCUUCAGUCUUCUGACUGUGCAAAGGUUUUCUUUAACCCACCAUGACGUCAUCAUUUGGAUCCGUGUUAACCUGCCAUGACGUCAUCUUUACUUAAAUUCAUUCUUUAUUUCAUCGUAUCCUCCAACGGAUCUUUGCCUUUACUGACUGUUCCGAAAACCGAGGCGUCGGGGCCGCUGGAUAAUAACUUUUAUCUCCUUGUUUCUCGCACCGUCUCAUUUAUCCUUUCCUUACAAAUAGGCGCGACCUAGGUCUUCCCGUUCUCCUCCUUCCAGUCAUCCUCUUCCUCUUGCUGCUUCUCUGUCGCUCGAGCUCCGCCGCCGACGCCGUCGCAGAUCUCUUCGUCUUCACCAACUCCGGCCGCUGCAUCAACUUGGUUUGACCAGAAAAAAUGUGACGACCCUCCGCUGCAAUCCUGCAUAUGUAAGUCUCCUCUUUCCUACUUCUUAGAUCCACAUUAGGACCUUCGAGUUCUUCGCGUUCUUCGUUGUUCAUUAGGAUCCUUUCAUAGAUUUCAUCACCCCCGCUCUUCUUGAUCCUGAAGAUGGAACUGAUGCGGUAGAUAUUCCGCACCUAUUUUUAACGCAAAUAGAUCCCUUUCUGUCACACAGAGGCCCCAUUCGAGCCCUUGAGCUUCAUCUGCGCCAGUCUUAGGUCUAGAAAAUUUUCUUGUUAGAACAACUUUUUGAUCCCAAAUAACAGUGGCAAAUUGUGAAACUUGUUUGUAUCACCCGGAAAACUACUUCUGUCGAAUAUGCUUUAACACAACUGUCCAUGUAGCCGGCUUAAAUAAAUGACACUGAUCUGUGAACCUUGCUUGCUUCUCAUAACUUUAAGAAAUUUGAACUGCUUUUGAUACAUGUAGCGGCUUAAAUACUGUUGCAUAGUUAUCCUCAUAUCAUUAGACCCCUUCUUAAGCCGCCCCCUUGACUAGUUUUAAAUAUUUUCCUCCGGGUUAAAUUUGAACCGGAACCUCUUAUUUUCUCAUAGGCCUCAAUUUUCGUCAUGGCACCUAAGGCGGCCAAGGCUCCUGUGACCUGUAAUUGGGUCCCAUCCGCAGUCACAAGGAGUAAACUAUCUGAAUUUGUGAAGUCUGGCCAUCUGCCUAAGAAAGAGGUCAUGUCUUAUUGUGCCCCUUACCCGUCUGAAGAGAAGCCUCAACCCAAAGAAGGGGAGGUGAUUGAUUUUACAAAUCACAUGAACCGGGGAUUUGCCCCUCCUGGUUCAAAAUUCUUCAGGGAGGUUUUGAAUUUCUUUGACCUUAGACCUCAAGACAUUGGACCCAAUUCCGUGUCAAAUAUUUGCAAUUUCCAAGUCUUCUGCGAGGUGUACCUGGGAGAGGAGCCAAAUCUGCUUUUGUUCAGAGAGCUUUUCUACUUGAACCGGCAAAAUGAACGUGCCAACGGACCCAGUCUUGAACUUGGCGGCAUCUCAAUCCAGCGGCGGAGAGACUGCCUUUUCCCUUAUGCAGAACUGCCGAGUCAUCUGAAAGAUUGGAAUCAGACGUGCUUCUAUUGCCAGGACACUUCUCCGGCUGACGAGAGCCCUCUGCCCGGCUUUCGCGCUCUGAGCCUUGAGUCCAACCAUCCGCUGGCGGAUAAACUAACUGCUAUUGAGCGUCUGCCUCUCAAUCCCACCAUCAAGAAGAUUAAAGCUCUUUUGGGAAACGGCUUAAAUGGCAUUGAUCUGGUCCGAGUCUGGGUCACUUGGCGAGUACUUCCGUUAAGCUGCCGUCACGGCUUGAUGUGUACUUAUUAAGGCAAAAAGGAUGAUCCACUGCGUCAUAGCCCUAACGACUUACCAGAUGAUGUGGUGGAAGCUACGACCCAGUCGCUGCUGAAGGAGGGCACAUUAACUAGUAAUGCCUUCGGCUUACUUCCCUUCUACAAGAAGAACCCGGCCCCUGCAGUGAGUCAUCAACCUCAAUAAAUACUCCUUGCCAUGUCACACCUUACUUGUACUCAUAAUUUCUUAUCUUUUUUCACAGGACAAUGACAACUUUUGGAAGGUCCAGUAUGACCAUGAGGCUGCCAAACAAGCCAGGACAGCCAAGAAAACCGAAAGGAAAGCCGCCAAAAUGGGAACUUCAAAGAAGAAGAAACCCAGCGCUUCCGAUUUACUCAAAUUGGAUGACACUUCUUCGGAUGAUGAAGAGGUAAUCCCUGAUUCUCUUUACUCCUUUGUCAUUAUUUUAUUGACAUUCCAUCCUUUCAGGAGGAUACGGGGAAUAACCAAGCGGUUGGCGAAGAGGUAACUAUAAUCUCCUCAGACUCAGAGCCUUUGCCAAAGCAAAAAAUCCGAAGGGUGACCCGGAAAGUAAGAUUUUCACAUCCUCUAGCUUAUCAAGAUCCUCAAUUUCUUUUGAAGCAACAACAACUUGAAAACCGGAGGCAGACCCGGACCAACAAGGAUGCAGAACUCUCCUCCGGCUUACCUGACGUAACUUGGAAGCGUCGGACUGAGGUUAUCUCCGAUUUACGUUCUGUUUUACCUUUGGCGGGUUUAAUUCGCCAACCUCAAUUCAUCUGACUCCAAUUAUCAGGAUACCUCUCCUUCCUCCGACGAGUCUAUGCAAUCAAACAUGCUGGCUUUCAAAACUGCUCCUAGGUACUGUAACUUUAGUUACUUUAGGCUCUACCUUACUCAUGCUUUAGUAUUCAUCCUUCUACCUUUGUUAACAACAUGCAAGUGAAGCCCAGCAAGAGGGCAAAGAAGAAUAAGACAUCCUAAGACCCGAUUGUGACUGAACCGACGCUUGAUAUGUUUGCUCCUGACAGCUCCACCCAUCAGCCGCCGCCUGAACCGGCUUCUGACAUUCCGGUGCCAACCUCUGACCCGCCUGCCGAAGAUACUCUCAAUAGCUCCAAUAACCAGGAAGCUCCUAGCCCGGUCAAGACGACUGACCCGGAAGUUGAAUUUCUGAAAAGUCAGUUUGUUGAACCGGGACAGCCUACUGUCCUUGCCAAAUGUACUGCCAAGGAAGAACUUGUCAAACGCCAAAAGGCCAAGCAGGACAUUACUGAUUAUACUCACUUAAGCAUUGGUGAUAUAGUCUCGGGCUAUCUGAAUCAAGUGCAUAAUAGUCGUGACCUGGAAAUUGACAUGGUGAAACAAAUAUAGCACAAAUCUAAGGUACAACUUAUGCUAUUUUCCUGAAUCCUACUUAUUGUACCAGCCCCCAAGUCUAUUGCUUAUGAAUAAAUAUGUUGUAGACUUAGAAAUCUGCUUUACUAUUGGUUUGUCCGGUUUAAAGAGAAUAUAUUUAACCUGGUUAUAGCAUGAUAGUUUGAAUUUGCGAUACACAUUAGCCCCCAAGUGUCAAGUAUCUUUACUUGUAAAGUGCUUGAGACUUAAUAUGCAUGACCCGACAUGGUAGGUUAAAAAUUCUUCAGCAUACAUUAUCCCCCAAGUGUCAAGAACCUUUGCUUGCAAAGUACUUGGGACUUAAUGUUAUCUUACCAUGAUUCUUACCAUAACCCGGUAUCAAUGUAGGUCACCAUAAGUCAAUUUGAGUCAGAGAUUGCUGACCUGAAGAGUCGUCUGACAGCUCAAGAACUUGAAACUCAAAAAGCCAACUCCAAAUUUGAGUUCAGCGUUUCUGAACAAGAGAAGUUAAAGAAGAAUUUUGAGUCAGAGAAGAAAAUCUGGGCUGAUGAGAAGGCUUCGCUGGUGACCCGGGCUGAGACGACAGAGGCAUCACUUGCAGAAGCAACAACCGAGCUGUCCGACUUCAAGCGUCAUAUAUCUCAAAUGGUCUCAGCCAUCUUCGGUAAGUUACUGUUCAUAACCACAAACAUUGCAAUCCUUCCUUUGAUUAUUGGCGUAAUCGUUAUCUCCGGCUCACUUUUAUGUUUGUGAACACACAGGCCCCAGGAGCACCAACCUCAAGCAGAACAUGCUGAUCAAACUUAAGGCGGUUUACACUCUAGUGGAGCAGCUGUACACCGGGUCACAACGUGCUUUGGCUGUUGUAGCCUUAUCAAAUACCACUCCCCACCUUCUGCAAGACGUGCUGAAGUGUCUCGCUCUGCUACCUCAGCGGAUCCAGGAUUUAAGGCGGGCAUCUUCAAGAGCCGGGGCCGUAGCCGUGUUGAGCCGGGCAAAGGCAUGGAUUCCAGAACUAGACCCGGCCGACCUUGCUCUUGGAUACCCGAGUUUGAAGGAGGAUGGUACCGUAUUUGAUGAUCAUGAUUUCACCGCCUGCGUCAAAGUCAUACGUCUCGUGGCUACCCUUAUUGGGAACGAUACUGACCUCACCAAGUAUUCUCCGGGCUAUGACAGUGAGAACCGGAGAAUUCCAAACACUCCAUAUGAUCAAGUCAGCUUGAUCCCUCCAAUGCGUAAGCAUACUUUCGCCCGUGAAGUGGACCCAGCCGGUUUAAUAGAUGAUGAAGCUGAGUUUGAAGCCUUGAGUGGCAUUGACUCGGCCUCAUCAACCUUCCAGGACAAAGCAACCGAUGGAGAGGCGGAGAAGGAUAACCCAGAAUCUUCAAGCCCGCCGAAGGAGUGAAUCACCAGGCGUUUUGCAAAAAACAGUGCUUCAUUUAUUCAGACUCGGGGAGUCUUGUAAUAGGGUAGAAAAAACUUCUCAAUGUUUGUCAUGCCUUCGCGCAUGUUCACAAUGCUUAACACUUUCGUAACCCGCCAUCGCUAUAUUUUUUCGGCUUAUGUUGAUCGUUUAUUUCCUUGAUGUUUAAAUUUUCUUGCCUUAUCCUGCACAUAAAACAAGCAAAUUCCCUUGGCGGUUUAUCGCGUCGGGGGUCACAUAAAGUAUUGAUAACCUGGAACACGAACCAAAGACAUCAUAUACAGGCCGGUUUAUGACUAUAUUUGUUAAACAUAAUCAUAAUAGCAUACCUGCAAUCCCUCUGAUAAUCUUCCCUACGUAUAUGAUGUUCACCUGGCACUUAACAACCUGGGGUGAUCAAUAUUAAACCAGAAGAAAAAACCAUCUCAUAAUGCUUUCAAGAAGGUCUCAAGAUAGUCAAAAUAAUUUAUGCUUAUGAUGGAUAAUAAACAACAUUUACAGGCUUCUGAUUCGAAUACGAUCAGUAAACCGUUCCAAAGGGGUUAAGCUAAGAUUCGGAUAUGAUCAUAUAGCCCCCAGUGGCUUUGGCGAUGCCGAUCAAGUGGGUAUCGACAGCUAUGUUCUCUUUGGUUCGAAUACGACCUAUGUUUGAACAGGAAACCCCCAAGUGACCAUAAGAGUUGUUUAAUGACACUGAUUCGAAUACGAUCCACGUCAGACCCAAAGGGGUUAAGCUGUGAUUCAAAUAUGAUCAAGAAGCCCCCAAGUGGGUUUGGCAAUAUGCCGAUCAAGUGGGUAUCGGCAGCUAUGUUCUCUUUGGUUCGAAUACGACCUAUGUUUGAACAGGAAGCCCCCAAGUGGCCAUGGCUAGAUUCAGACAUGAUCAUAAGCCAGACCAAAGGGAAAGCCGGAUUCGAAUGUGAUCUGCUCCCUAUUGGUUGUUUCCACCACCUGAUAAAGAAGACACAUAAACGUUUGAGGGUAAAAAGGACAGAGGUCCUGCUUUAUUUCUUUAUAUAAUAUAUACAUUGUCAAAAUAUAUACAUCUUGAGAGCCGGUGGCUCAAGUAUAAUAAGGCCGAAGAUGAGCAAUAUUCCACGGCCGGCGGGUCUCCUCCUCCAACUUAUGUGAGUCUUUGUGCUCUCGAACAUCGAUGAGGUAGUAUGAUCCGUUGUGGAAAUUCUUGCUGACCACAAAGGGUCCUUCCCAAGGUGGGGAUAGCUUGUGCAUGUCAGACUGAUCCUGGAUGAGCCGAAGCACUAAAUCGCCUUCCUGAAAGGUUAUGCUCCUAACCCGGCGGCUGUGAUAGCGGCGCAGGUCUUGUUGAUAAAUCGCUGAGCGGGCUAUUGCCAAGUCUCGCUCCUCAUCCAACAAGUCAAGCGCAUCCUGACGAGCCUUUUCGUUGUCAGCCUCAACAUAAGCCGCCACGCGGGGUGAAUCGUGCUGGAUGUCACUUGGCAGGACCGCCUCUGCACCAUACACCAUAAAGAAAGGUGUGUAGCCUGUAGAUCUGUUAGGCGUAGUGUUGAUGCUCCACAAUACAGAAGGUAACUCCUCCACCCAACAACCCGGAGUCCGCUGUAAGGGGACAAAGAGCCGGGGCUUGAUACCCUUCAGGAUCUCUUGAUUAGCUCUUUCUUCUUGACUAUUGGAUUGAGGAUGAGCAAUAGCCGAAACAUCAAGCCGGAUAUGUUCUCGUUGAUAGAACUCUUCCAUGGCGCCCUUGGAGAGAUUAGUGCCAUUAUCAGUUAUAAUGCUGUGUGGGAAACCAAAAUGAAAGAUCACCUUUUUCAUGAACUGAACCACCGUGGCUGCAUCACACUUACUGACUAGCUCUGCCUCAACCCACUUUGUAAACUUAUCCACUGCCACCAGGAGAUGUGUCUUUUUAUCCUUAGACCUCUUGAAAGGCCCAACCAUGUCAAGCCCCCAGACUGCGAACAGCCAAGUGAUUGGGAUCAUCCUCAAUUCUUGAGCCGGCACAUGAGCUCAUCGUGAGAACUUUUCACAACCGUCACAUUUACUGACUAGAUCCUCCGCAUCAGCAUGAGCCGUCAGCUAGUAGAAACCAUGACGAAAAGCCUUGGCUACAAGAGAUUUUGACCCGGCAUGAUGGCCACAAUCCCCUUCAUGGAUCUCACAAAGUAUUUCUUGGCCUUCCGCAGGUGACACACAACGUUGAAACACCCCAGUGACGAUUCGGUGAUGCAACUCAUCGUGAACAAUCGUCAUAGAUUUGGAGCGCCUGAUGAAUUUUCUUGCCAAGGUCUCAUCCUUAGGUAACUCUCCCCGGGUCAUAUAGGCCAAAUAUGGCACUGUCCAAUCCGGGAUAACAUGAAGAGCUGCCACCAGCUGUGCCUCUGGGUCUGGCACUGCUAGUUCUUCCUCGGUAGGCACCUUGACAGAAGGGUUAUGCAAAAUAUCGAGAAAGAUGUUAGGUGGCACCGGCUUACGUUGAGAUCCCAGCCGGCUUAAAGCAUCAGCCGCCUCAUUCUUCCUUUCGAUCAAUGUGCUCCACUUGAUAACCCUUGAAAUACCCAGCCACGGUAUCUACCUCUUGAUGAUAAGCCGCCAUGAGAGGAUCCUUGGAAUCCCACUUGCCUGAUACCUGUUGGGCCACGAGAUCUGAGUUGCCUAAGCACCUUACCCGUCUUAAAUUCAUCUCUUUGGCAAUCCAGAGACCAUGGAGUAAGGCCUCGUACUCAGCUGCAUUGUUAGUACAAGGAAACAUAAGCCGGAGCACGUAACAAAAUUUGUCACCUCGAGGGGAAGUUAAAACAACUCCAGCCCCCGAGCCUUCUAACUUCCUGGACCCAUCAAAGUGAAUAGUCCAAUAUGUGUUAUCCGGCUUCUCCUCAGGUGCCUGCAACUCUGUCCAAUCAUUGAUAAAGUCCACUAAGGCUUGAGACUUAAUAGAAGUAUGCGGCAUAUAUCUCAAACCAUGAGGUCCAAGCUCGAUAGCCCACUUGGCAACUCGUCCCUGGCCUCCCUAUUCUGGAUGAUGUCUCCCAAGGGGGCAGAACUUACCACAGUUAUAGGAUGACUUUGAAAGUACUGCUUCAACUUUCGGUUGGCCAUAAACACUCCGUAAACAAGUUUCUACCAAUAUGGAUACCUUUGUUUAGACUCAAUGAGCACCUCACUGAUGUAGUAAACCGGCCGUUGAACCAGAUGCUCCUUGCCAGCUUCCUUACGCUCCACCAUGAUGGCAACACUGACGGCUUGUGAAUUAGCAGCAACCACAUAUAACAGCAACGGCUCUUUAUCAAUGGGAGCCGCAAGAAUCGGUGGUUCAGACAAUUGCCUCUUCAAGUCUUCAAAGGCAGCAUCUGCAGCAUCACUCCAGACAAAAGUGUCCGUUUUCUUCAUCAUCUAAUAUGGUGGUAGGGCCUUCUCACCUAAUCGGCUUAUGAACCGGCUUAAAGCAGCAACACGACCUGCCAGUCGCUGAACAUCAUUGAUGCGCGCCGGUUUAGCUAGAGAGGUAAUUGCCUUAAUCUUCUCCGGAUUAGCUUCAAUGCCUCUGUUUGAUACCAGGAAACCCAAGAGCUUGCCUGCAGGUACACCAAACACACACUUGGCCGGGUUAAGCAUCAUCUUAUAAACCCGUAGAUUAUCAAAGGUCUCUUUCAAGUCGGAUAUCAAGGUUUCCUUCUCUCUGGACUUCACCACGAUGUCAUCUACAUAAGCAUGAACAUUACGCCCGAUUUGAUCGUGUAGACAGUUCUGCACACAUCGUUGAUAAGUCGCCUGAGCACUCUUGAGUCCAAACGACAUAGAUACAUAACAGAAGGCUCCAAAUGGAGUGAUGAAAGCCGUCUUCUCCUGGUCCUUAACUGCCAUUGUGAUCUGAUGAUAACCAGAGUAAGCAUCCAAGAAGCUCAAACGUUCACAACCCGUCGUAGCAUCAAUGAUUUGAUCAAUACGGGGGAGAGCAAAGGGAUCAGCCGAACAAGCCUUGUUUAAGUCCGUGUAGUCCACACACAUCCGCCAGGUGCCGUUCUUUUUAAGCACAAGCACCGGGUUAGCCAACCACUCCGGGUGAAAAACUUCAACAAUGAACCCGGCCGCUAAGAGCCGGGCAACUUCCUCUCCAAUAGCUUUCCGUCUCUCUUCAUUAAACCGGCGAAGAAACUGCCUGACCGGCUUAUACUUUGGAUCAAUAUUGAGAGUGUGCUCAGCAAGUUCCCUUGGUACACCUGGCAUGUCAGAAGGUUUCCAUGCAAAGAUGUCCCGGUUCUCAUGGAUGAACUUGAUGAGCGCACUUUCCUAUUUAGGAUCCAAAUUGCUGCUGAUGCUGAAUUGCUUAGAAGAGUCACCUGGGGUAAAGUCAACAAGCUUCGUCGCGGCGGCCAAUUUAAACUUCAACGCCGGAUCAUGCUCUGUAGUUGGUUUCUUCAGGGAGGUCAUAUCCGCUGGGUCAACAUUAUCUUGAUAAAAUUUGAGCUCUUCCGCUGCACAGGCAAACUCAGCAUAAGCCGCAUCGCCUUCUUUACAUUCCAAGGCUACCUUUUGACUUCCAUGCACAGUGAUGGUGCCCUUGUGACCCAGCAUCUUGAGCUGCAAAUACACGUAACACGGCCGUGCCAUGAACUUAGCAUAAGUCGGCCGCCCAAACAGAGCAUGAUAUGGGCUCCUGAUUUUGACCACUUCAAACGUCAAUUUCUCAGCCCUGGAAUCAUAUUUGUCUCCAAAGGCCACUUCCAGUUCAAUCUUGCCAACCGGGUAAGCCGACUUACCAGGAACCACUCCAUGGAAAAUAGUGUUGGAUGUCCUCAAAUUCUUAUCAGUCAACCCCAUGCAUCGAAAGGUCUCAUAAUAGAGGAUAUUGAUGCUACUACCUCCGUCCAUGAGUACCUUAGUGAAUUUAUAUAGACCAACCUGAGGUGCUACCACCAAGGCUAACUCACCCGGAUUAUCGGCCCGUGGAGGGUGAUCUUCUCUGCUCCAUACAAUGGGCUGUUCUGACCACCUCAAGCAACGAGGAACUGCCGGUUCAAUAGAAUUCACGGCCCUCUUAUGAACCUUCUGAUCGCAUCUGCAUAAGCUAGUGGUGAACACGUGAUACUGCCAACUAUUCAACUGCUUCGGAUUGCUUUGAUAACCCGACUGCUGCUGCUGCUGUUCUCCUUGACCAGACUGCUGUUGAUUAUAGCCACCUUGAUGUCCCUGAAAGCCGGAACUUGAACCACCACCCGGGCCAUGAAAAACGCCAGCCCCUGAGCCGCCACCAGACCCAUGAUUGCCAUGAAAGGUGUUGGAAUUCUUAAACGCCUUCAUGAUCGCGCAAUCUUUCCACAUGUGUGUGGCGGGCCGCUCCCGGGUGCCGUGUCUCGGGCAGGGCUCAUUGAGUAGCUGCUCAAGAGAUGGGCUUGACCCGCCAGAUCAAGGCGGCUUACCCUUACGUCUCUGAUAUUUACCUUGCGCAUUGGCAUUGGCCACAAACUCCGGGUUACCAUCCGCCUUACGCUUAUUGCCUCCUUGAUUCAUCGGGUUAUGCUGCUGACCCUUUCCAUUGCCGUUCUUCUUUCCCUUCCCGGUCUUUUCCUCAUCAGACGCGGGAUCCUUGGUACUAUCAGAGUUGGCAUAUUUGACUAAAGCCGCCAUCAGCGUACCCAUAUCAUUGCAAUCAUGCUUAAGGCGCCCCAGUUUUUGCCUCAAUGGCUCAAAAUGGCAAUUCUUCUCCAACAUGAGGACUGCCAAACCGGCAUCCAUCUUGUCAGAUGAAUGUAUUAUCUCCUUGACCCGGCGUACCCAAUGAGUCGUAGAUUCACCCUCCUCAUGUUUACAAUUUGUCAAGUCCACAAUCGACAUAGACUGCUUGCAAGUGUCUUUGAAGUUCUGGAUGAAACGGGCCUUUAGUUCUGCCCAUGAACUAAUGGAAUUGGGUGGCAAGCCCUUUAACCAGGACCGGGCUGUUCCGUCUAACAUCAUGGUGAAGUACUUAGCCAUCGCCGCGUCGCUGACUUCCAAUAACUCCAUGGCCAUCUCAUAACUUUUGAUCCAAGCUCCGGGCUGCAAGUCGGCCGUGUAAUUCGGCACCUUUCGAGGUCCCUUGAAGUCCUUGGGUAGGCGCAUAUUACGCAGAGCCGGUACCAGAUAAGGGACACCGCCGGUCCUAGUGGCUACUCCCGUCUCAACGGAAGUCGUUGGAUACUCUGGGAAAUCUUGAUGUGCCGUCUGUUGAGCCGCUAGCUGAGCCGCUAGUUGAGCCGCCCGCUUGUUCUCCUGACGUACUCGGUCUUGCACCAGAUUAUAGCCACCGGGCAGGUUACGGCAUUGGGCGUUGCUUGACAAAGCUUCAGACUCCAUGUGCCUGCUGUAACUCGGGCUCCAGUUCUGACGAGGCGGUGCUAACCAAGGCGGAGGAGUUGAAUGAAUCCUGUCCCGGCUGUAAUAAUAGGUCUCUUGCUGAGCUAAGGCCGUCUGGAGAAGUUCUCUGACCCUCCGGGUCUCCACCACUGUCGGGUCAUCACCGUCCAUGGGAAGAGCCACCAAACGCGCCGAAGCCGCGAUUAAGUUCUCCAUGGGGUUGGAAAAGUGACCCGGUGGUAUCGGCACAUAACGUGGUGGUGCCAUGCUCACAUGAGGAGGUGCCACCUCCCGAGGCUGAGUCGGCCCUCCUAUUCCGGCUGUCAUAAACUUGGGCCGGCUCCGGGUGUAGCAAAAAGAACCCAAGGGUCGUAAUUCGGAGGUAAACGGGACUGGGUUUUCUGAUGUCUCCUCCUCAUCACCUCAUUGGACUUGUUUAAGCUCAUCGUGAGCUGGUAAGCUUCUGACUGUAGCCGCUGCGCCCGGGCAUCUAGAGCCGCCAAGGCCUAGUGUCCUCAGCUGCCAAGGCCUCCUUGGCCUGAGCUAUUUCCUCACGCACCCGUGCCACCUCCGCAUCAUGCUCAUCUUUCGCGGGAAUAACCGUUGCGGUUAACAGGGUCGUAAGCUUGUCCAUGAGAUCUAUCAGCACCUGAGUCGGCGGGCGCACAGGGCCGCCUGCCCCGGCUGCUCCUUUCCCGGACGUUAUUGCUGCAACAGCUGUAGAGUUUGAGCCGGGCUGAGUCCCAGCCAUGAAGACUCCUGCCCAUCUUGGCGGCUCACACGGGUCCAAAAUACUGGUGCCAUCGGAACAGCCCUCGAGCACAUCGUCUUGCACUUCAUACAACGAAUAUGUUGAACCGACGGAUGAAUCACCGUUCGAGAGGACGACCGUCUCACCACCAUCUUCAGAUCCUUCAGAAAGUUCCUCUCCAUGGAUGCAGCCCACGAAAGCACGCUUCAUGAUGGGUUGAAUUCGGGUCUUCCUCGCACGCUGAGCCGUCCCGAUGAGGUCGGUGCAGCUGUCCGGCUCAGGGCCCGACUCACCAAUCUGGCCGAUGAAGACGUGGAUUCCGCCAAAGGGGACCCGGUACCCGUACUCAAUUGAGCCGGCGUCGGGGCCCCAGCCUUCGUCAUCGAUGUAGAUCUUGCCGCGAUGACUCUUGUUCAUCCGGCCCACUACGUAUCCCUUGAGCCCUUUGAAGUUGCCCUUCAAGAACUCAAAUCCACCAUGCGCUGGCCCCACGGUCGGCGCCAACUGUCAUGGAAUUGUCAUGUCAGUUGUCCUCGUGAAAGGACUUAGUUGUGGAGCCAUCGCAACUAGGAAGCUUGAAGGGGUUAGUCAGGACAAAGGACACGAGAGGUUUAUACUAGUUCGGCCCCUUACGGUGAAGGUAAGGCCUACGUCUAGUUGGGUUGGUAUUGAUGUUUCGAUGACCAGGGAGCGAGAUACGCUAUGCCCGGCUCUAGAUGAGUUGUUUCCCGUCCUAAGCCGCCAGCAGGUUGUCCCCUUAUAUACACGGGUUGACGCCCUAUGGCUUACAGAGUCCCGGCCGGCUUAUAAACAGUGUCCGGCUCGGUGACUAGUUAAAUCUACCUUAUGAUACAAGUCGUGCCAUUACGGCGGUUUGUUACAACGGGCCUUAAGUCGCCUGUGGGCCUUAAGCUCUUUAUUGAACCGCCAUCUUCAUGCUUGGUCAUGGGCUUCUUUCUGGUGAGUCUUCUUUGCGUAACCCGGCCCAUCCUGGGCAGCUUACACAAAUAGUUAUAUCCCCAACAAGGUGAGGUCAUAAUCAAUGUAAAGUUGAACUCAAAUAUUUGCAUAAGAGAUCAUGAUGUUUGAAACCCAUGCAUGCAUGAAUAUAACGGAGAUCUGCGCGGUGUGGUUUAGAAACAAGCAUGUUGUAAUGUAUGUGUGUGUGUUGUGCGUGUUAAACACAUUGUAGUGGGAUUAUAGUGGAAUGUCGUCUUGAAUGGUGUUUGUGGGUGUGUUGUGCGUGUUAAACACAUUGUACGUAGUAUAUCAUACAUGGUUUAGAUUCCGAACAUCUAGCUAGAGCAUACAUGUACCAUGAUUUGAAUUCAACACAAAAUGGAUACAUAUAUUUGAAUUUGAGAUCGUAUGUACAUGUAGUUCGUAUUUAUAUAGGAAUUUACUUCUCCUAUAUUCAUCUCAUGUGUUCUGAAGAUAAUAUUUAGAUGGUUGUAUAACUAACCCGAGUACAAUCCCAUUCAAACAGGGAAAAUGUACUCAAAUUUAGUACAUAUGCUAGACAACACACAUUGUUUUUUUAUUGUUGAGGGAAGUGCAAAUUGUUUUGGUACUCUACACGUUAUGUUUGUUGUACCGAUUUUUUAGUUUUUUGUUGUAUUUGAAUGCAUUUCAAGUAAAUAGUAAAACGGGACAUGGUUCUCUCUAGUGAUGAGGUGCGAAUUGUCUUUUUUGGUACAUGUUAGCUUGUUCUCCAGAAAUUUCAAGCCGCGCCUUGUUAUGCCAAAAUUUCAAGCUAGCAUCUCUAUCUAUCGUGUUGUGAAACUCCCGCCUCUUGAACCCUCACCUUGUUACCCUGAAAUAUUUAAGAUAUAUCUUUGUCUCGUUGUGCGUGUUAAACACAUUGUAUGUAGUAUAUCAUACACUCAAACACACUAAGAACGCGGGAAUAGUAAAAACACGGGAUUAUAAUGGAAUGUCGUCUUGAAUCCUACAGGAUUGUACGAGUGUUUGAUUGUGCAUAGAAAAAACGCAGAAUUCUUUCAAAGAGGUUUGAGUGGAUGGGAUGUUUCCUAUGAAAUCUAGUGCAAAUGAAUCAUAUGGAAAAAUUCCUAUGGUUUACAAUCCUACGAAUCAAACAACCAAGAUAGGAAAAAUUCCUAAUGAUUAGAAUCCUCCAAAAUUCCUUUGAGAAUCCUUUGAAUCAAAGAAGCCCUUAAUCUAUUUUAUGAUUCAUGGAAUUGUGCGUUGUAAAGCAUAAAGUGAAAACAAAUAAUGGCAAUUCAACUAGAAAAAAAGUUUGGGCAAUUAUGAUACGGAAAAUUCUAGAACAAAAGAGAACCACUGUUGUUUUGAGGUUUGUGCAUUAUGCUUAAGUUCAACCAUGGAGUCUGCUAGAUUGUACAUGUGGCAAAGUCCGGUGGGGGCUAGAAGAUGGUGCGAGGGGCCGAGUGGAGGGAGACUAUGAAGGAAUGCAGAAGUGCGAGAUCGAUAUUUAGAGAGAGGGGGCGAGAACGUGCGCUAUUGCACGCAGUGGCGGAGCCAUGAAAAAUAAAUGAGCUAGGGGGCCAAGCAUUGCUAAUCCUUUACGAGGAGGGUCAAUUCAUGAACUUAAACCAUUUUUAGCAGCAAUUGUCUAAAGAUCACAUUCAUAUUAGCCUCGAUAUAUAGUGAUGUUAGGGGGGGGGCAGGGCCCUUACUGCCCCUGUCUUCGCCAUUGUGCACGCGUCUGAGAGAUGAAGCGGAAGGCAUGGAUGAUGAGAGGGGGACGUUGGAUAUAUAAUAAAUGUGGGUGUAUUAGCUAUAUAUGUUAAUCCUAUAUAGAGAGGUAUAGAUUGAUCGAUGUGGACGCGGGAAAGAGGGUGAGACCUCAUUGGAUAUAUCGAUUGAUCGGUUUGUGUGGAAAACUAUGAAAGACCUAGCUAUAUACACACAUACAUAGAGGAACAUCGAUCGCUGCGCAUGCACGCGUGAGAGAUAAAGAAUGCCCGAUAUGAUGGAUAGGGGGAUGUGUGUGGGUGUGUGCCUUCAUGGGAGACCGACCUGAAGAAAAAUAUUGCAUGUGUGCGACGGAUAAUGCCGACUGGUAGUGUGUGUGCAUGCAUGCAUGAGAGAAAGUUACUGGUACAAUUAUAAAGAGAAGACGACUGUGUGGGUGUAAAAGACUAGGUGAGGUCAUAAUCAAUGUGAAGUUGAAUUCAAAUAUUUGAAUAAGAGAUCCUGAUGUUUGAAACCCAUGCAUGCAUGAAUAUAACGGAGAUCUACGCGGUGUGGUUUGGAAACGAGCAUGUUGUAAUGUAUACACAUUGAACAAGGUCAGACUGAUUUGAAUUUGAGAUACCGAUGGCAGACAUCGUUUGGCCACAUUGCAUCCGUGCAUGGACACACUAUUCUAAUUGGAGAUGAUGGGUGGCUUUCGCAUCACAUAUCUGUACCUAUACCCCUAUAUAGUGUGCGGGUAACUUUAACUUUGAAAGAUGGUCGUUGGAUGAGGUGAAUCCGAUGGUGCAGAGAUGGCAAAUUUGAGCACUACUGGCCAUUGGAUAUCAUCUAGAUUCCACCAGAUUUCGCCACAUGUACGAUCUAGAAGACUCCAUGGUUGAACUAAAGCAUAAUGCACAAACCUCAAAACACAAGCACUUCUUCUUUGUUCUAGAAUCUUCCGUAUCAGAAUUGCCCAAAUGUUUUUCUACAUGAUUUGCCAUUAUUUAUUUUUACUUUAUGUCUUACAACGCACAAUUCCAUGAAUCUUAAAAUAGAUUAGCUUUCUUAUAAAAACUAGAUGAUUUUGAAUGAAAUGAACUAUAAGAAUUAAAUGAACAUCUACAUCAUGCAUAUAUGACUCAAAGCUUACAUGUUAUAAUGUGGUAUUUAUUCAUAAUUUGAUUGCCAAAUCUCAUGCGUGCAAUGCAUGUGUACCUUACUAGUCUAAAUGGUGUUUGUGUGUGUGUUGUGUGUGUUAAACACAUUGUACGUAGUAUAUCAUACAUGGUUUAGAUUCCGAACAUCUAGAUAGAGCAUACAUGUACUAUGAUUUGAAUUCAACACAAAAUGGAUACAUAUAUUUGAAUUGAGAUCGUAUGUACAUGUAGUUCAUAUUUAUAUAGGAUUUUACUUCUCAUAUAUUCAUGUCAUGUGUUUUGAAGAUAAUAUUUAGAUGGUUGUAUAACUAACCCGAGUACAAUCCCAUUCAAACAGGGAAAAUGUACUCAAAUUUAGUACAUAUGCUAGACAACACACAUUGUUUUUUUAUUGUUGAGGGAAGUGCAAAUUGUUUUGGUACUGUACACGUUAUGUUUGUUGUACCGAUUUUUUAGUUUUUUGUUGUAUUUGAAUGCAUUUCUAGUAAAAAGUAAAACGGGACAUGGCUCUCUCUAGUGAUGAGGUGCGAAUUGUCUUUUUUGGUACAUGUAAGCUUGUUCUCCAGAAAUUUCAAGCCGCGCCUUGUUAUGCCGAAAUCAAGCUAACGUCUGUGUCUAUCGUGCUGCGAAACUCCCACCUCUUCAACCCGCGCCUUGUUACCCCGAAAUAUUUAAGAUAUAUCUUUGUCUCGUUGUGCUCCGACAACUCCCUCCAUCUCAACCCGCGCCUUGCUAUUCCAAAAUUACAACGCGCGUGAAAAAUCACACCUCCUGUGAAACCCCAACACGCGAAAUGCCCGUGGUACCCCUGAACUGAAAGAACUGCCUCAAAUCGGUGGGGGUACUUUCGUAACUUACCCCACAUUUCAAACAAGCGCGUCCCUAAGCCAUGGUUCCCCACUCCCAUCCCAUCCGCACACCCAUUCGUACACCAAGGUCGCGAAAACCCACGAAGCCCCCACACCCUCCUCCGUCUGCCACCUAGCUAGAGCCUCUUCCCCGACGACGUCUUCCACAGCAACACCUUGACGUCCCUCAUCCACCGUACCGAAUGAGGAUCCAUCAUCGAUCUCGUCGUCUCGUCGGUUCAGCCACCAUGUCCUCCACCUCCAAGGAGCUGCCCGAUGUUCCCCUCGUCUUUUGUGCCACCUCCAUUCCCACACCGCUGUCUUCACCUGCACCACCAGAAGAGCAGCAUCAUCACCGUUUCCUUGGAUGAAGUUGCGGCCUAAUCAGCGCCACCAAAGAGGUUGUACACUAAUUGCCACAUUUUCUUCUUGAUUCGAUCUCAUGGUGCUGCCGACGCUAGGUCCCGAGCCGACACGACGCGGCUCCAUCCACAGCGGCGUCGCCGGCCACUUCCACCAUGGUGUCACUCCCUCGACGGCGACGUCCACAUCAGUAGGAGCUGCUGCUACUUUAGCUCUCGCUCGUGCUGCUACUCUGCUCUUGCUCUCGGUCCCCUACCUGGUCUGCUCUUGCUAUUGCUCUUUCUUGCGUUGCUGCUCUCGCUCUUGCUUGUUCUUGCGAUGUUGCUCCGAUUUAGCUACACUUUAGUCAACUGAAUCGACUUUUGGGUCAGUCGAUUUUUAGGGGGUGGGGGGGCUUGCCGGAGCUAAGGAAGAACCAGCCGCAGUGGGGAGGGGGGCUCACUGGAGAGGUACCCCACUAUCUAUCUUAGGGUUCAGGGUGGGGGCGGUGGUCACCGUCGGUGGUUGGACGAUGGCGUGGGGAUCGCCGGAGAAAAAGCUCAGCACAAGGGGCCUAGAGGGAUGGCCAGGGCGGCGACUGAUAACCCACAAGUAUAGGGGAUUGCAACAGUUUUCGAGGGUACAGUAUUCAACCCAAAUUUAUUCAUUCGACACAAGGGGAGCCGAAGAAUAUUCUCAAGUAUUACCAGUUGAGUUGUCAAUUCAACCACACCCGAAUAACUUAGUAUCUGCAGCAAAGUAUUUAGUAGCAAAGUAGAAUGGAAGUAACGGUAACAGUGGCAAAAGUAACGGUAGCAGUUUUGUAGUAAUUGUAACAGUAGCAACGGUAAAGUACAUAAGCAAAACACAAUAUGUGAAAAGCUCGUAGGCAUUGGAUCAGUGAUGGAUAAUUAUGUCGGAUGCAAUUCCUCAUGUAAUAGUUAUAACAUAGGGUGACAUAGAACUAGCUCCAGUUCAUCAAUGUAAUGUAGGCAUGUAUUCCGAAUAUAUUCGUAUGUGCUUAUGGAAAAGAACUUGCAUGACAUCUUUUGUCCUACCCUCCCGUGGCAGCGGGGUCCUAGCGGACCAAAGCAUUAGCACAUAGUGAAUACAUGAACUCCUCAAACUAUGGUCAUCACCGAGAAGUAUCCCGAAUAUUUUCACUUCGGGGUUGUCGGACCAUAACACAUAAUAGGUGACUAUAGACUUGCAAGAUAGGAUCAAGAACUCACAUAUAUUCAUGAAAACAUAAUAGGUUCAGAUCUUAAAUCAUGGCACUCGGGCCCUAGUGACAAGCAUUAAGCAUAGCAAAGUCAUAGCAACAUCAAUCUCAGAACAUAGUGGAUACUACGGAUCAAACCCUAACAAAACUAACUUGAUUACAUGGUAAAUCUCAUCCAACCCAUCACCGUCCAGCAAGCCUACGAUGGAAUUACUCACGCACGGCGGUGAGCAUCAUGAAAUUGGUGAUGGAGGAUGGUUGAUGAUGACGACAGCAACGAAUCCCCCUCUCCGGAGCCCCGAACGGACUCCAGAUAAGCCCUCCCGAGAUAGAUUAGGGCUUGGCGGCGGCUCCGUAUCGUAAAACGCGAUGGAACUUUCUCUCUGAUUUUUUUUCUCCGUGAAAGCAAAUAUAUGGAGUUGGAGUUGAGGUCGGGGGACGUCCAGGGGGGCCACGAGGUAGGGGGGCGCGCCCAGGGGGAGGGGGUGCGCCCCCACCCUCGUAGACAGGGUGUGGCCCCCCUGAUGCUAUUUCUUUCGCCAAUAUUUUUUAUUAAUUCUGAAAAGUUGCUCCGUGGAUUUUCAGGUCAUCCUGAGAACUUUUAUUUCUGCACAAAAAUAACACCAUGGCAAUUCUGCUGAAAACAGCGUCAGUCCGGGUUAGUUCCAUUCAAAUCAUGCAAGUUAGAGUCCAAAACAAGGGCAAAAGUGUUUGGAAAAGUAGAUAUGACGGAGACGUAUCAACUCCCCCAACCUUGAACCUUUGCUUGUCCUCGAGCAAUUCAGUUGACAAACUGAAAGUGAUAAAGAAAAACUUUUACAAACUUUGUUUGCUCUUGUUGUUGUAAAUAAGUAAAGCCAACAUUCAAGUUUUCAGCAAAGAUUAUGAACUAACCAUAUUCACAAUAACACUUAGGUCUCAUGUUUACUCAUAUCAAUGGCAUAAUCAACUAGCGAGCAAUAAUAAUAAAACUCGGAUGACAACACUUUCUCAAAACAAUCAUAAUAUGAUAUAACAAGAUGCUAUCUCGCUAGCCCUUUCUGAGACCGCUAAACAUAAAUGCAAAGCACCUUUAAAGAUCAAGGACUGACUAAACAUUGUAAUUCAUGGUAAAAUAGAUCCAAUCAAGUCAUACCCAAUAUAAACUAAUAGUAAUGCAUGCAAAUGAUAGCGGUGCUCUCCAGCGGGUGCUUUUUAAUAAGAGGGUGAUGAUUCAACAUAAAAGUAAAUAGAUAGGCCCUUCACAGAGGGAAGCAGGGAUUUGUAGAGGUGCCAGAGCUCGAUUUUGAAAUAGAGAUGAAUAACAUUUUGAGUGGUAUACUUUCACUGUCAACAUAACAACUAUGAGCUCUCGAUAUCUUCCAUGCUACACACAGUAUAGGCGGUUCCCAAACAGAAUGAUAAAGUUUAUACUCCCCCACCACCAACAAGCAUCAAUCCAUGGCUUGCCCAAAACAACGGGUGCCUCCAACUAGCAACAAUCCUAGGGGAGUUUUGUUUAAUUAUUUUGAUUUGAUUUGAGCAUGGGACUGGGCAUCCCGGUUACCAGCCAUUUUCUCGUGAAUGAGGAGCCGAGUCCACUGCCCUUGAGAAUAACCCACCUAGCAUGGAAGAUACAGACAACCCUAGUUGAUACAUGAGCUGCUCAAGCAUACAAAAUAGAAUUUCAUUUGAAGGUUUGGAGUUUGGCACAUACAAAUUUACUUGGAACGGCAGGUAAAUACCGCAUAUAGGGAGGUAUGGUGGACUCAUAUGGAAUAACUUUUGGGUUUAUGGAGUUUAGAUGCACAAGAAAUAUUCCCUCUUAGUACAGGUGAAGGCUAGCAAAAGGAUGGGAAGCGACCAACUGAGAGAGCAACAACAGUCAUGAACAUGCAUUAAAAUUAAUCAACAUCGAGUGCAAGCAUGAGUAGGAUAUAAUCCACCAUGAACAUAAAUAUUGUGGAGGCUAUGUUGAUUUUGUUUCAACUACAUGCGUGAACAUGUGCCAAGUCAAGUCACUCGAAUCAUUCAAAGGAGGAUACCACCCUAUCAUACCACAUCACAACCAUUUUAAUAGCAUGUUGGCACGCAAGGUAAACCAUUAUAAGCUCCUAGCUAAUUAAGCAUGGCACAAGCAACUAUAAUCUCUAAUUGUCAUUGCAAACUUGUUUAUUCAUAAUAGGCUGAAUCAGGAACGAUGAACUAAUCAUAUUUACAAAAACAAGAGAGGUCGAGUUCAUACCAGCUUCUCUCUUCUCAAUCAGUCCAUCAUAUAUCGUCAUUAUUGCCUUUCACUUGCACGACCGAACAAUGUGGAUAAUAAUAAUAGUGCACGUGCAUUGGACUAAGCUGGAAUUUGCAAGCAUUCAAUUCAAGGCUGAAGACAAGGUAAUAUGGGCUCUUGGUUAAAUCAACAAUCAUGCAUAUUAGAGCCACUAAACAUUUUCAUUAUGGUCUUCUCCUCUCGACUCCCAAAGGAAAGAAAAGAAAUAAAACUAUUUACACAGGAAAGCUCCCAACAAGCAAAAGAAGAAAUAAAAUCUUUUUGGGUUUUCUUUUUAAUUACUACUACUAGCAUGGAAAUUAAACUAGCUAUUUUUUUGGUUUCUUAAGGUUUAUCAAACACACAAAAAGGAAGGUAGAAAAAGAAAUUAAACUAGCAUGGAUAGUACAAUGAAAAAGCAUGAGCACCGACAACUAGAAUGAGUGUGUGUGAACAUGGAUGUAAUGUCAGUGAGAGAUACAUACUCCCCCAAGCUUAGGCUUUUGGCAUAAGUUGGUAUAUGCCCAUGGAUCGCGGCUACUCUCCCCGGUGUACUAAGGAGUGUCAUCGUACUGCCACUGGCUGGCGAUCUGCUCCGGAUCCCACUGAUAAGAUGAUGGAUGAUAAGGGUCAAGUGGUGGUUCCGGCUCAGGCUCUGGAGCUGAUGUCUGGCCUCGGUGCACGUAAAUGACUGCCGGCAAGACGAGGUAACGGUCUGCAGUUAAAUCAAACAAAGAGGGCGCGGGUAAGAUAAUAAUCUCAUUGUGUUUCUUAUUAAAUCUCAGAUUAUAUAGAAGCAUCGUAUCAUCAUUGUUGACAAUAAAGUCAUGUGCUACCAUGCUCUUAUAGUCUAGAAAAGUAUGGGGCAGCAGUUUUUCUUCUUUCUCAAAAUGCCUAAUAGGUAUCGUGAAAUGUUUAGCAAGGCGUGCAACAUAGAUACCUCCAAAGAUGGGGCCCUUUGUACGGUUCAGGCUUAAUCGUUUAGCAAUAAUAGCACCCAUACUAAAAGAGUUCUCACGAAAUAAAGCAUGGAACAAAAUAAUAAUAUCAGGAACACUGAUGUUUCCAUAGUUUCCGUGACCGAUUAAGCAUCGACUAGCAAAUAUUGCAAAGUAACGUAAAACAGGAAAAUGUAUGCUGGUAAUUCUUGCAUCGAAACCUUCCUCGAUUCCCCUACAGUAAUAGUAUCAAUAAGACCAUCCACAUCGUUAUGAUGUGGUUCCUCUAAGAUGCCCUCGAAGGGCAUUCUGUAGACCGCGCAAAAAUCACGUAAUGACAUCUCCCUAGCCACAUCAUAUAAAGUGAAAGCUACUGAAGGAGGUGAAUUCUUAGGAUAAUAGUAGAAGUUUUGCACGAAAGUAUUGGUGGGUAAGAGAUACUGUUCGAUCCGGUCGUGGAGAAAGUCGAUGAGGCCCACAUUAUCAGCCAAAGAAUAAAAGUCUUCAUAAAUCCCGUCCGCUCUCAAGAAAUCAUCACAAGUCCAUUCACACGGCCGUCCUUCCGCCACGCGAGGAAGAUUAUACUUGGCCUUUUCUUUCUCCUUAGCUUGUUUACCCUGGGAGCCUUGGCUAGAAGAGCCCCUCAAGAACAAUCUCUUCAUCUUUUUCUGAAAAUUUCUGAAAUUUUUAGUAACUCAAAAUAAAAGGGAAUCAAACAUAAAACUGAUAGCAACUACUCCCAUAAGUUCCUAGAGCCUAUAUCAUGUAUUAAAAUUACUUGGGACCUCAUAAAUUUGACAUGCAAGCUCAAGAACAGGGUCACCUAGGCAGCAAAAAUUUGCAAUGAAUAAAGCACUAGAACAAAAACUAAUUGGACCAUUGGAGGAGUCACAUACCAAGGAAUAAUCUCCCAAAGCAGUUUUGUGAAUGGAUCUUUGAGCAAGGAGAUCGAAAAUCGCAGCAAAAUGAGCUAGAACUCGUGCUUGAGCUGGAUGGUGAUUUUUUUGGGAGGAAGAAGAAGUGUGUGGUUGCAGGAAUAAGUGGAGGGGGGCCACCAUGGGCCCACGAGGCAGGGGCGCACCUUGUAAGGGUGGGCGUGCCCUGGACCCUCAUGGCCAGGUGCCAGCUCCCCCUGCUGUGUUCUCAGUGCCAGAUAUUCUCAAAUAUUCUAGAAAAAAUCAUACUAAAUUUGCAGGGCAUUUGGAGAACUUUUAUUUUCGGGGUAUUUUUUAUUGCAUGGAUAAUUCAGAAAACAAACAGAUAAUACUAUUUUUACUUUAUUUAAUAUAAAUAACAUAAAGUAAAAGGAGGGUACAGAAGGUUGUGCCUUCUAAUUUCAUCCAUCUCAUGCUCGGGAAUAUCAAGAAUAACAAAGUCCGUUAAGAUAGUGACAUUUGCAACCACAACAGGCACAUCCUCACAAAUGCCGACAGGUAUAGCAGUUGAUUUAUCAGCCAUUUGCAAAGAUAUUUCAGUAGUUGUCAACUUAUUCAAUUCAAGUCUAAGAUAUAAAGAGAGAGGCAUAACACUAACACCGGCUCCAAGAUCAGAUAAAAUAGUUUUAACAUAGUUUCUUUUAAUGGAGCAUGGUAUAGUUGGUACUCCUGGAUCUUCAAGUUUCUUAUGUAUUCCACCCUUAAAAGUAUAAUUAGCAAGCAUGGUGGAAAUUUCAUCUUCCGGUGUCUUUCUUUUAUUUGUAAUAAUAUCUUUCAUAUACUUAGCAUAAGGAUUCAUUUUAAGCAUAUCAGUUAAGUGCAUACGUAAGAAGAUAGGUCUAAUCAUUUCAGCAAAGCGCUCAAAAACCUCAUCAUCCUUUUUCUUAGAUGGUUUAGGAGGAAAAGUCAUGGGUUUCUGAACCCAUGGUUCUCUUUCUUUACCGUGCUUCCUAGCAACAAAGUCUCUCUUAUCAUAACAUUGAUUCUUUGAUUGUGGGUUAUCAAGAUCAACAACAGGUUCAAUCUCUACAUCAUUAUUAUUGCUAGGUUGAGCAUCAACAUAAACAUUAUCAUUAACAUUAGGUUCAUGUUCAUCACCAGAUUGUGUUUCAGCAUCAGAAAUAGAAAUAUCAUUGGGAUUCUCAGGUGUGUCUACAAUAGGUUCACUAGAAGCAUGCAAAGUCUGAUCAUUUUUGUUUUUCUUCUUUUUAGAAGGACUAGGUGCAUCUACAUUAUUUCUCUGAGAAUCUUGCUCAAUUCUCUUAGGGUGGCCUUCAGGAUACAAAGGCCUGAGUCAUUUUAUCGGUUCUAGUAGCCAUUCUAACAGCAAAUUCAUGUUUAUUAUUUAAUUCAUCGAGCAAAUCACUUUGGGCUUUAAGUACCUGAUCUGCUUGAGUGGUAACCAGAAGCAUAUUCACUAAUGAGUUUAAGUUCACCUUUAACUCUAGCCAUAUAAUCAUUCAAGUGUCCAAUCAUGUAAGCAUUACUCUUUAAUUCUCUACCAACAUAAGCAUUAAAGUUUUCUUGUCUAGCCAUAAAGUCAUCAAAUUCAUCUAAACAUUGGCUAGGAAACUUAGUAGAAGGGAUUUCAACUUUAUCAUAUCUAUAGAGAGAAUUUACCUUUACUACCUAUGUCGGGCUAUCAAGACAAUGUGUUUCUUCAAUAGGUGGUAUAUUAAGACCAUGUAUUUCAACAUGAGGUAAAUUCUUAGCAUCUUCAGCUUUAAUACCUUUUUCUUUCAUAGAUUUCUUUGCCUCCUGCAUAUCUUCAGGACUGAGAAAUAGAACACCUCUCUUCUUCGGAGUCGGUUUAUGAAUAGGCUCAGGAGUUGGCUCAAUUGGCUCAGGAGGAGUCCAAUUAUUUUCAUUAGUCAACAUAUUAUUCAAUAGCAAUUCAGCUUGGUCGACUGUUCUUUCCCUGAAAACACAACCAGCACAACUAUCCAAGUGGUCCUUGGAAGCAUCGGUUAGUCCAUUAUAAAAGAUAUCAAGUAUUUCAUUUUUCUUAAGAGGAUGAUCAGGCAAAGCAUUAAGUAAUCGGAAAAGCCUCCCCCAAGCUUGUGGGAGACUCUCUUCUUCAAUUUGCACAAAAUUAUAUAUUUCUGUCAAGGCAGCUUGUUUCUUAUGAGCAGGGAAAUAUUUAGCAGAGAAGUAAUAAAUCAUAUCCUGGGGACUACGCACACAACCAGGAUCAAGAGAAUUAAACCAAGUUUUAGCAUCACGCUUUAAAGAGAACAGAAAGAUCUUAAAGAUAUAAUAGUAGCAGGAUUUCUCAUCAUUAGUGAAUAGGGUGGCUAUAUCAUUCAAUUUAGUAAUAUGUGCCACAACAGUUUCAGAUUCAUUGCCAUAAAAAGGAUUAGAUUCAACCAAAGUAAUUAUCUCAGGAUAGAUCCAGAAUUCAUAAUCCUUAUCAGUAACAAAGAUAGGUGAAGUAGCAAAAGUAGGGUCAUAUUUCAUUCUAGCAUUUAGAGAUUUCUGUUUCAGUUUAACUAAUAACUUCUUAAGAUCAGAUAUAUCAUUGCAAGCAAGAAUAUCUCUAGUAGUUUAUUCAUCCAUAACAUAACCCUCAGGAACAACAGGCAAUUCAUACUUAGGGGGAGAACCUUCAUCAUCACCAUCUUCAAUAAUUUCAUUUUCAAUAAUUUCAUUCUGUCUAACCCUAGCAAGUUGUUCAUCAAGAAAUUCACCUAAUGGCAAGGUAGUAUCAAUCACAGAAGUAGUUUCAUCAUAAGUAUCAUGCAUAGUAGAAGUGGCAUCAUGCGACAUAUUAGAAUUUAUAGCAGAAGCAGGUUUAGGUGUCGCAAGCUUACUCAAAACAGAAGGAGAAUCUAGUGCAGAGCUAGAUGGCAGUUCCUUACCCCCCCCCCCUCGUAGAUGAGGGAUAAAUCUUAGUUCUUUCGUCUUUCAAGUUCUUCAUAGUGAUCAGAUGAUAUAAUCCCCAAGUGACUCAAAGAAUAGAGCUAUGCUCCCCGGCAACGGUGCCAGAAAAUAGUCUUGAUAACCCACAAGUAUAGGGGAUCGCAAUAGUUUUCGAGGGUAGAGUAUUCAACCCAGAUUUAUUGAUUCGACACAAGGGGAGCCAAAGAAUAUUCUCAAGUAUUAGCAGUUGAGUUGUCAAUUCAACUACACUUGGAUAACUUAGUAUCUGCAUCAAAGUAUUUAGUAGCAAAGUAGUAUGGAAGUAACGGUAACAGUGGCAAAAGUAACGGUAGCAGUUUUGUAGUAAUUGUAACAGUAGCAAUGGUAAAGUAAAUAAGCAAAACACAAUAUGUGAAAAGCUCGUAGGCAUUGGAUCAGUGAUGAAUAAUUAUGUCAGAUGCGAUUCCUCAUGUAAUAGUUAUAACAUAGGGUGACACAGAACUAGCUCCAAUUCAUCAAUGUAAUGUAGGCAUGUAUUCCGAAUAUAGUCAUACGUGCUUAUGGAAAAGAACUUGCAUGACAUAUUUUGUCCUAUCCUCCCGUGGCAGCGGGGUCCAAAUGGAAACUAAGGGAUAUUAAGGCCUCCUUUUAAUAGAGUACUAGACCAAAGCAUUAACACAUAGUGAAUACAUGAACUCCUCAAACUACGGUCAUCACCGAGAAGUAUCCCGAUUAUUGUCGCUUCGGGGUUGUCGGAUCAUAACACAUAAUAGGUGACUAUAGACUUGCAAGAUAGGAUCAAGAACUCACAUAUAUUCAUGAAAACAUAAUAGGUUCAUAUCUGAAAUCAUGGCACUCGGGCCCUAGUGACAAGCAUUAAGCAUAGCAAAGUCAUAGCAACAUCAAUCUCAGAACAUAGUGGAUACUAGGGAUCAAACCCUAACAAAACUAACUUGAUUACAUGGUAAAUCUCAUCCAACCCAUCACCGUCCAGCAAGCCUACGAUGGAAUUACUCACGCACGGCGGUGAGCAUCAUGAAAUUGGUGAUGGAGGAUGGUUGAUGAUGAUGACGGCGACGAAUCCCCCUCUCCGGUGCCCCGAACGGACUCCAGAUCAGCCCUCCCGAGAGAGAUUAGGGCUUGGCGACAGCUCCAUAUCGUAAAACGCGAUGAAACUUUCUCUCUAAUUUUUUUCUCCGUGAAAGCAAAUAUAUGGAGUUGGAGUUGAGGUCGGUGGACGUCCAGGGGGCCCACGAGGCAGGGGGCGCGCCCCCCACCCUCGUGGACAGGGUGUGGGCCCCCUGACGCUAUAUCUUUCGCCAAUAUUUUUUAUUAAUUUUGAAAAGUUGCUCCGUGGAUUUUCAGGUCAUUCCGAGAACUUUUAUUUCUGCACAAAAAUAACACCAUGGCAUUUCUGCUGAAAACAGCGUAAGUCCGGGUUAGUUCCAUUCAAAUCAUGCAAGUUAGAAUCCAAAAGAAGGGCAAAAGUGUUUGGAAAAGUAUAUACGACGGAGACGUAUCAGCGGCGGACCGGUGGUGGGGAGUGUUUUCGGGGCGGGCGGGGCGGCGCACCACCGGCCGCGGGCAGCGGGGGGUGGCUGUUUGGCCGGUGGUGGCUGGAGGCUGAGAUGGGUGGAGGUUGAAGAUGAACUGCAGGCCCUUGAUUUCAUAUCCAACGGCUACAAAAUCGACUAACCAGAGAUGAAAAAGUCAGUCGACUGACGUGUAGCCUCACCUCUAAUGCGUUCAAUUUCAACAGUAAAAUUCAGUUUCGACAUCAAAAUUCAGUUUGCAUAGUUAAGUUCAGUUUCGACAGUUAAAUUCAGUUUCGACAGUUAAGUUCAGAGAUGAGCGGUUGAUGUAUUUUACAGCUAGAACUUUGUGGUUAUGUAUUUUACGUCAUCUAUUGGAAAUGCUAUUAGAAUUCCACUCAGGUUAACAUUGUUUCUCUUGUCCUCAGCUCGGUGUCGUACAACUCACCGGAACUGCUCCAACGACGAAAGCCUCCAUCAUAGCGGAGUAGUACCUCGGGCUCCAUCUCCAGACGCCUAAGAUCUUCUUCCCCUCCUCGCUCCAAAGCAUCUAUCCUGAUAUUUCUACUACAGAGUUCCCUGAAGAAUUGUCCCAACUCUGCAACUGCUCUGUAUAAGUCAGGACGGCCCAAUCCUCUAAGGAUAACAGGUAAAACCCUUUGAAGUAGGACGUGGCAGUCAUGAGUUUUCAACACUUGUACCUUGUUUCCAUCUGCACUGACUCUCCUUUCUGGGUUAGAAGAAAGUCCAUGUGGGAAUCUCACAUGUGAAAGGACCUCGCAGAAUUCUUUUGUUUUUACCUUGUCCAAGACGUACACAGCUGGUACCAUAUCAUGUGGUUUACCUUCAUCUUGCACUUGCAAAUCCUUUCUGAUACCCAGGUGUGUUAAAUCAAUCCUAGAUUUUAAGGUAUCUUUCAUCUUGCCUUCAAUAUUAAGAAGUGUGCUGAUAAUGUUGUCACAUAUAUUUUUCUCGAUGUGCAUCACAUCAAGAUUAUGCCCCAAAUCCAAAUCUUUCCAAUACCCCAAGUCCCACAAAGUGGACCUCCGGGUAAAUAAUAAUUUCUCUUCUGCCCUGCCAUGUUUCCUUUUCCCGCUGCCAUUAUCAGGAUGGUUUCCUAGUGUAAUAUGUCUGACCUUCUCUAAUUCCACUUGCAAGUCAUCGGCGGUGAGCCUCUUUGGUGCGUCACAGUUUUCAUGCUUUGCAUUGAACACAUAUCUUCAGUAUUUUGUAGGACGCGUCUUGUCCUUGGCAAGGAAACGGUAGUGUCCAAUGUAACAGAUCUUGCUAAGUAUUGCGUAUGACAGCGGAUUCCUGUCACAGUGAACACAUGCAUUGUAACCAUGUGUCAUUCGCCCUGACAUUGUGCCCAAAGCCGGAUAAUCAUGGAUGCACCAAAUUAUAACAGCUUGCAAAAAGAAAUCAGCUGGUGGGCUGCUAUAUAGGUCUUGAAUGAGAACACCCCUCUCAUAAAUCCCAUACCUCGUGGUAAAAGCUGUCUUAGGUAUAUCCUGCUCUCGGAUCUUCAACUAAUGAUAACCUGAUCGAAGAUCGAUCUUGGAGAAAACUUUAGCUCCCUGCAGCUGUCAAACAAAUCAUUGAUCAUUGGCAGAGGGUAUUUGUUCUUGAUCGUCACCUCAUUCAAUGCAUGAUAAUCAACAACCAUCCUCAAAGAUCCAUCCUUCUUCUCAACUAGAAGUACCGUGUCGGUGUACUAGAAUAGGGGUACCCUAGUAUCCCGAACUUGUGCACGGGCAGUUGCAGCGCCCCGCGGCAAGGCUUGUCGGGCGACCGCCAAGGUCCUCCACGGUUCCCUUGGAGCCAUUCAAGAACAAAGUAUUCAAGCCAAGGCAUUCCAAGGAACUUGCCGUGACGCGCCACGCGUCCCGGCAAGGCGACAAGGCCCCGGCAAGAGGAGCUUGCCGGGAAGACCAACCAAGGCAUCUCAAGGCCUGGUGAGCGACAAGCUCCUGGGCGCGACAAGGCAACGACCGCGGCAGGGUGCUUGCCGCGGCAAGUAAACCACCCUGCACCUACGCUCCAGCACAUCCACCUACGUGUCGCCCUGAGGCCUUCCCAGGCGCGCGUGGCGAGAGGCUGUGCACCCAGCGGCGUGCGGUGGCAUGCGACGCUGACAAGAUCGCCAUCGUGGCGAAUGGUGGUGUCCCUAACGGUCCUUUUCUGCACCGUUCGGGCGACACAGAUGGGCAUUUAAUGCCCCUGUCCCCUGCUGUCAGGGUUAGGUAGGAUACACUGUACGUAGCAGUUGUACCAACCACAACUCCUUUUACGUUUUUACCCUCAUCUGCGUUGCCACCUAUUGGUGACCCCUUUAGCGUAUAAAAGGAGGCCCAUGCGCAACGUAGGGGAGGUUCGGCUCAUUCGGAAGCUAGAGAAACACUUAGCUCUCUCUCUCGAGCAAAAACACAAUACAAUCAGACAAGCAGCAGUAGGGGUAUUAUCUCUCCGGAGAGCUCCGAAGCUGGGUAAACUGCUCAUGUGCUUCGCCUCGAUCCGCUCUUCGUGCGACCUCCGCCCCCCGCCGAACCGAAAGGGGCUCGGUCCGCCGGUCCCAUAGGUGUUCGUGGAUCAAUUUCCCCGACAUCUUUGGCGCGCCAGGUAGGGGGCGUCGAGAUUGUGUGAAUCUGAUCCGGCGUUCACACGAGCCAGAUCUUCAUCUCCUUCAUCGACAUGCCACCGAAGAAGAAGAUUUCGGCGGCAGCGGCUCCGUCCACGUCACUUCCACCACCACCGGAGCAAGAGGGCGGUGGAGUAGACGCCGGCGGAAGAAUGGACAUCGACGAGGAAGUUCACGGUGCUGCCAGGUCCAAGGACAAGGCCGCGCAGACUUCAGCGUCCGUACAUGCACCGCGCCCAUCUCAGGAGGCGCAGGACCGACAGCGUCAUGGUAUUCGCAGUACCAUACGCUUGUUGGACCAAGAUCAAGCUGGUGGAUCUCGUGGUGCUCAGGACCAGCAUGCACGCCUGCGUGCUGGCACGAGCGAGACACGGUCGCCUGGAUGGGAUACUGCUCCUUCUAACAUAGUUAGAAGUCCGAGCAUAUCCCGCUCCUCGCACCGUUCGCCACUGCCACCCACAACUCCAGCAGAAGCUUUGGCGCGAGCUCAACUGCUCCUGGAUUACCCUCCAACGGAAGACAAGAUCAACCAAUGGAGGGCCACUAUCCAGAGUCUCAUCGGCUUCGCCAAUGGCGACACUCCGCGGCAGCCGAGUACAUCGCUGCCGCGACAAGACCGCCAGGCACGGGCCGGUGGCGACGAAGCCGGUGGAGGUGCAACCACCAUGCACUCUCCAUCCCAAAGGCCAAGAUCGCCGACUCGCCGGAUCCACCUCGACAGCGACUCCACUGCAUCGUCGGAUCCACGAGUUUGUCGCGAUCAACGCCAAGUUCUUCACGAACGACAGCAAGAAGACGCUCGUACUCGCAUCGAGCGCCGAAGAGAAGCGCGACGUCAAUCCGACAAGCGCGCUGGGCCCUCUGUCGACAUGCAUGCGCCAGGGGAACCAGGCGACUUGCCGUACGCGGCAGGUUGCCCUGCGUUCACUCGUGAGCUGCGGCAAGUCCAGUGGCCCAGCACGAAGAAUUUCAGACCAAAUGUGCCAGAGAAGUACGACGGCAAGACGCAUCCGUCAGAGUUCCUCAGCAUCUACACCAUCACGGUGCAAGCUGCUGGGGGACGGGACGACAAGAUCCUUGCAAACUACUUCCCGCUGGUGCUCAAGCCCAAUGUCAGAUCCUGGCUCAUGCACUUGCCGGACAACUCCAUAUCCUCCUGGGCUGACUUGUGCCAUCAGUUUGUCGGCGCCUUUACAGGCGGCCACAAGCCUCAUGGCCAAGAAAGCGACCUUCAUCUGCUCGCCCAGAAGGAAGGAGAGCCCCUGCGCAAGUACAUUCAAAGAUUCAGCCGCGUACAGCACAACAUCCCAGAUGUCCACCCUGCCGCGGUAAUCAGCGCGUUCCAUCAGAAUGUGCGAAACCGCAGGAUGCGGGAGGAGAUGGCGAUGUGCAAGAUCAGAGACGUCAGUGAGCUAUAUGCCCUGGCCAACAAGUGUGCGCGUGCUGAGGAAGGGAGGAAACUCCCCGGAGAGAAUACAGGAGCAGGAGGAUCUGACAGUGAGGAUGCUGCCCCGGCAAAGAAAAACCGGCGGCGGAACAAUAGGAAAAAGAAAGGCAAAGAUGUCCUAGUCGUUGAGCAAUCCGGCAAGCAAGCCAAAGCUGGAAGCUCCGGCAAGAAUGUUGCCGCAGGCACCAACCACCAGGCUGUGGCGGUCGCUGACAAGCAGGACAGCAUCAACAGGUAGUACUGCAAGAUCCACCGCACUAAGGGCCAUGACCUCUAGAGCUGCAAGAAGGUCGAGCAGCUUGUCGAGCAGCAGAAGGCUGAAUACGAGCGGCGCGACAAGGAGAAGGGCCAGGAAGGUGCUGGAGGAUCCGGCAAGAAACGCCCCGGCCGAGGAGGACGCCGCGGCAAGGCCAAGCAGCGGCAAGGAGACAGACCUCCCCGCGGCCGCGACAAGGAUGAAGAUGACGAUGAUGAUGAAGAUAUGGAUGAUGACGAGACCGACGAGCAGGAGUUCCAGAAAGCCACAGAGGUUCUAUGCGUUGACGGUGGUGCUUCUCUGCAUACUUCACACCGCCAGCUCAAGCAGUGGGUGCGGGAAGUCAAUGCAGCAGAGCCACCCGUCGAGUCGCGCAAGCCUCUGAAAUGGUCCAGCACGCCUAUCAUCUUUGAUAUUGAGGACCACCCUGAUCGCAUAACUGCGGUCGGGUGCUUGCCAAUGUUGGUUUCACCAACUAUCCGCAACCUCAAGGUCACUAAGAUGCUAGUUGACGGCGGGGCCGGCUUGAAUCUGAUCUCCUCUGCGGUACUCCAGAAACUUCAGAUCCUGGAUAGUGAGCUCGAAGAGACCGACACAUUCCAAGCAAUCAAUCCGGGAAGGAGCAAGCCGAAGGGAAAGAUCACGUUGCCGGUAACAUUUGGCAGCGAGUUGAACUUCAGGACUGAGAGGGUCACUUUUGACGUUGCUGACUUUCCAUUGCCUUACAAUGGGAUACUCGGCCGUCCAGCACUCGCCAAGUUCAUGGCAGCCUCUCACUAUGCAUACAACAUACUGAAGAUGCCAGGCCCGAUAAGUGUCGUCUCUGUCCCUGGCGACAAGAAGGAUGCCCUUAUCUACGCCGACAAGAUUUACCGGGAAGCAGCAGCCGCAACAGAUCGCAGAUCACUUGCCGUUGAAGCUCCCGGGGGAAAGAAGAAGACUAAGUCCGGCAAGAGUUCUGAUACCCACUCCGGCAAGCGCACCUCUUCGGAGUGCUGCGCUACCGUCGAGGACGCACCAUCGAGCUCCACCGGCAAGUGUAAGAAGACAAUGGUGGCUCCCCCAGAGACCAAGAAGGUGUCCGCCAAGGAGGACGGCACUGGUGGUACCUUCACCAUCAGUGCCACUCUCGACCCUAAAUAGGAAAGCGCGCUCGUUGCUUUCCUGCGGGCGAACGUCGACGUGUUUGCAUGGCAACCGUCUGACAUCCUCGGUGUUCCCAGGAAAGUAAUUGAGCACCACCUUGCUGUCUGUCCUCAUGCGUGGCCCGUCAAGCAGAAAGUCAGGAAGCAAGCAGUGGAGCGCCAAGAAUUCAUCGCAGAAGAAAUCAAGAAACUGGAAGCAGCAGGCCUUGUCAGAGGAGUGCUCCAUCCUACGUGGUUGGCCAAUCCUGUAGUCGUGCGCAAGGCAAACGGGAAAUGUAGGCUUUGUAUUGACUUUACCGAUGUUAAUAAAGCUUGUCCCAAAGACCCAUUUCCCUUGCCACGCAUUGACCAGAUUGUUGACUCCACGGCCGGAUGUGACUUGCUUUCAUUUCUUGAUGCAUACUCAGGAUACCAUCAGAUCUUCAUGGCAGAAGAGGAUGAGGAGAAGACCGCAUUCAUCACCCCAUGUGGCACAUACUGUUUCGUAUGGAUGCCUUUUGGUUUGAAGAAUGCUGGUUCAACAUUUGCAAGAGUAGUCCAUGAUGCUUUUGAGCCGCAAAUGCACAGAAAUGUAGAAGCUUACAUGGAUGACAUAGUGGUCAAGAGCAAGGACAAGGCAACUCUGAUCCAAGAUCUAGACGAAACCUUCGUGAAUCUGUGCAAGAUCAACCUCAAGCUUAACCCCGAGAAGUGUGUGUUCGGAGUCCCUUCCGGCAAGCUUCUCGGGUUCUUUGUGUCUCAGCGGGGAAUUGAAGCCAAUCCCGACAAGAUCAAGGCCAUUGAGCAGAUUGAAGCACCGAAGCGCGUCAAGGAUGUAUGAAGACUUGCCGGUUGCGUGGCUGCUCUCAGCAGGUUUAUUUCUAGGUCUGCUGAGCGCGCCCUGCCAUUUUUCAAAAUAUUGAAAAAGGCAGGUCCAAUGAAAUGGACUCCGGAAGCGGAGGCUGCGCUGCAGGACUUGAAGAGAUACCUGUCCUCCACUCCAAUACUUGUCGCACCUAAGCCACAAGAGAAGUUGCUGCUGUAUAUAGCGGCGACCAACCAAGUGGUUAGUGCUGCGUUAGUAGCAGAGAGGGAGGCAGACGAUGAGUCAGCAACCACGGCAAGUACUUCCAGCGACAAGAAAGGGACUUCACCGGCAAGCUCUGGUCCCGACAAGGGUGGAUCUGCGCAGGAGCAUGAGAAGAUGCAGAAGAGAAUGGUGCAGCGACCAGUUUACUUUGUCAGUUCCCUUCUGCGGGGGGCUAGGUCAAGGUACUCUGGCGUGCAGAAAUUGCUUUUCGGCCUUCUCAUGGCCUCGAGAAAGCUGUGUCAUUACUUCCAAGCACAUGAGAUCACAGUUGUCACUCGCUUUCCGCUGAAGAGGAUACUGCAAAAUCCAGAAGCAACAGGCAGGAUUGUCGAGUGGGCACUGGAACUUUCAAGCUUUGGCCUCAAGUUUGAGAGCACUUCAACUAUCCAAAGCAGAGCAUUGGCAGAGUUCAUAGCAGAGUGGACGCCAACACAAGAUGAAGAAAUUCCAGAGACGAGCAUCCAAGUCAAGGAAGCAAGCAAAGAGUGGCUGAUGUACUUUGAUGGUGCCUUCUCGCUGCAAGGCGCCGGUGCUGGCGUGCUACUUGUCGCACCCACCGGAGAGCACCUCAAGUACGUUGUCCAGAUGCACUUUCCCAAGGAGCAAGCAACGAACAAUACUGCAGAGUAUGAAGGAUUGCUUGCCGGUCUCAGGAUCGCAGCAGACCUUGGGAUCAAGAAGCUCGUUGUCAGGGGUGACUCACAACUUGUCGUCCGCCAAGUGAACAAGAAUUACCAGAGUCCAUUGAUGGAAGCUUAUGUCGACGAAGUGAGAAAGCUAGAAGAGCACUUUGACGGCCUGCAGAUGGAACAUGUUCCGAGAGCUCAGAACGACAUUGCCGAUGGCCUGUCGAAGUGCGCCGCACUAAAGUUACCUGUGGAACCAGGGAUCUUUGUGCUCAAGCUGACUCAACCAUCCGUAACACCAUCAACUGGACAGAACAAGAAGAGGAAGUUUAUUUCUGGUGACUACUUUCCAGCAGAGCUCCCCAAAGCCACCACCAAGAAGAUCCCCAAGAUAAACACCAAGGGUGCUGAGGAGCAGUCUGCUCUGACAAGCCCUAGGGUUUGUUCCGUUGAAGCAGACGCUCCCAACAAGUUUUGCUCCGGCAAGCUUGCAGGGGAACAUCAAGCUCCGGCUGAGCCGCAGGUUCUCACCGUAGAAGCGAAUGUUCCCGCAGCAGCAGAUGUGCCUUUAGUCCUGGUUGUCGAGCCGCAAGCUCCAACAUGGGCACAGCAGAUUGUCCGUUUCCUUCAGAUAGGAGAACUUCCCGAAGAGCAAGAAGAAGCGGAAAGAGUAGCCCGGCAGUCAAGUAUGUACCAGUUUGUUGACAACACACUGUACAGAAGAAGACUCAACGGUGUGAAAUUGAAGUGUAUUCACCGGGAAGACGGACAAAAGCUGUUGGCAGAUAUACAUGGAGGCAUAUGUGGUCACCACAUUGGCUCGAGAGCACUUGCCGGCAAAGCGUUCCGGCAAGGUUUCUUUUGGCCGACAGCCCUCCAGGAUGCAACUGCACAAGUAACCAAGUGUGAAGCGUGCCAGUUCCAUUCCAAGCAGAUACACCAGCCAGCUCAAGCUCUCCAGACGAUCCGUUUAUCCUGGCCAUUUUCGGUCUGGGGGCUCGACAUCCUCGGCUCCUUUCCCCGAGCUGUCGGGGGCUUUGAGUACUUGUACGUAGCAAUCGACAAGUUCACAAAGUGGCCGGAAGUGGAACCAGUGAGGAAGGUGACAGCACAGUCAGCAGUCAAGUUCUUCAGGUCGAUUGUUUGCCGUUUCGGAAUCCCUAACAGGAUCAUCACCGACAACGGCACGCAAUUCACGAGCCACACCUUCAUGCAGUACGUCCAAGAUCUUGGCGCCAAGGUCUGUUUCGCUUUUGUUGCUCAUCCGAGAAGCAACGGUCAAGCGGAGAGGGAAAAUGCUGAAGUGCUGCGAGGGCUCAAGACCAGGACUUUCGACAGGCUGCACAGGUGCGGAAAGAACUGGAUUGAGGAGCUGCCGGUGGUUCUUUGGUCGAUCAGGACGACGCCAAAUCGAGCCACUGGCCAGACACCUUUCGCUCUAGUUUAUGGAGCAGAGGCAGUUCUCCCCACGAAACUCGUAUACGGGUCACCUCGAGUGCUCGCCUAUGAUGAGCUUGAGCAAGAGCAGCUGCGACAAGAUGACGCGCUGCUCCUUGAGGAAGAUCGUCUUCAGGCUGCUGUACGAGCUGCUCGAUACCAGCAAGCUUUGUACCGCUACCAUAGCUGCAAAGUUAAUGCCAGCAGUUUCGAGGAAGGCGACCUUGUUCUUCGGCGCGUUCAGUCCGCCAAGAAUUCCAACAAGUUGACGCCGAAGUGGGAAGGCCCUUAUCGGGUGAAACGAGUCACUAGGCCCGGCGCUGUCCGCCUUGAGACAGAAGAUGGCAUCCCGGUGAGCAACUCCUGGAACAUUGAGCAUCUUCGUAAGUUUUACCCAUAGGGCGCGGUUGCCGGAACCCGUUCCGGCAACCACCUUUUGUACAAGUCUUGCCGAUGUUGCAUGUAAUCCUUUGUACAAAGCCGGGCGCAGACCCCGUGCAUAAGUAAAGCUCAUGUGCUCCGCACAUCCUGUCGGUUUCAUGCUUUCUACUAUUUUUUGCAUGCAUUACCUGACGCUCUGUGCAACACCUAUCCCCGGUAAGCAAUAACGAGCCAUAAGGCUCCAUAUCUUUAUUUUCUAUUCUUUCUUUUUCUCAAAAAGGAAGAUUCCCUCGCACACAAGUUUGCCGGGGGGAAAGGAGAAGAUAAUGGCAUGGACCAAGCGUCGCUCGAGGAAGUCUUGCCUCGCCGGGAAGCAAACGACAGAAAAGCUAAGUUGCCAAAGUUUGAGCAAUCAGUUUUUAAAUUUUGAAGUUAUUCUCCUCGAAUGACCGUACUUUGUAUGGAAAACCUGUGCGCGGAGGAACCAACUCGUAUCUAGUUGCGCCCUUACUUUGUUUCGAGUCCGCUCAACAAUUUAAGUGAGCUGCGACUAGUUGCGACAAGGUUUCUUGUCGGUAGCGGCACCGCCAGCAGGCUUCUGAUGUUCCGCACUCAGCACUCGCGGCUAAGGUGCCUGCGCCGGCGAGUUCCCUAAAAGCGUAGGGCAAAAACAUACAAAGGAACGAAUCAAGUAAAGGAAAUAACAUAGCAAAUCUCUACCCAAAAUAGAGUUAUAUUACAAGAUAGCUUGUCGCAGCUCUAAUAGAUGUUCUCGUGACAUGACCAGCAGCGACAAAGAGAAAAAGAAAAGAAGGGCGGCCUAAACUACACGAUCUCCCUCAACCCUCUUGAUUACGCUCACCUUGUCCACAAUGGGUGCGACAAGGGCCUUGAGCGCUUCCACGUCAGCAUCCGGCGGCAAGGACUUGAGGACGUUAGUGAAGUUGAGGCCUGGGUUGCAGAAGGCCACCUUCAUCAGCACCUUCUGGAGAGCUCCUGCACAGAUUUUGCGCGACUCGUCGGCCAGCUGCUUUGGGAUCUUCUCCCGGAGUCGCUGGAGUGCCGUCGCCACGCCCUUGAAGAACAAGCUGAGCUUGGCGCUGGGUUGGAGGUGCUCGUCGGAGGAGUACCCGAGAUCCUCCACCCCCAGCUGCGCCAACUCCCCGUCGAUGGCGGCGGCAGUAUUCACCAGGCCCUCAGUCCAGUGCUCCACAGUCUCCCUGAAGGCGUCGUGGGCGGCAGCAGCAUUCGCCAGCAGCGCCUCGUCGGCCUUGAUCUUCUUUGACAAGGCCACCUCCCGCUCCCUGGCGCCGUCCAGCGUCUGAGUCAAGGUGGCCAGCUUCAACUCGAGAUCCGCAUUGGAAUCCUUGGCGGCGCUGAGCUCCUUGCUCCUCUCUGCGAGAAGGCCUUGCAGUUCACCGUGAGCGGCAGCAUCCUUCUCGCGCUCACGCUUGAGCGCGGCGAGCUCCUCGCCGCUCGCCCGGAGAUCAGCCUCCAGCUGCGCUACCUUCGCCUCCAGCUCCUUCUUGGCGGCCUCAGCAGCUGUGGCGGCAUCCCUUGCCUCCUUGAGAGCCCCGCCAAUCGCUUGCUCGCGCGCGGCAAGCUCCUCCUCGUGGCUGUCAAGAUUGACCUUGCACUGCGCCAACUCUCCUUCCUGCGCAAAUAAGUUUUCGGCGACAAGCCAUUGCUUCUCUUCAGCUUCAGCCUUCUCGAGGAGGAAGGCUUUCCGCUCCUCGAGAAGUUGCUCCCGCCCCUCCGCCAGGGACCGGAGAGCCUCCUGCCUAAGACCCCGGAGCUCCUCUGCGCGCUUCUCAAUAUCCACCCCCGCCUUCGCGACAAGCGCCUCUCGGGACGCCAGUUUAGCUUGGCGGGCGCGGUAAAGGGACAGCAGCUUCCGCAGCAGCCGCUCCUCCUCAGGCUCGUCGCUGCUGCCGCUUGGCGCAUCGACAAGCGCCAGCCCAACGGAGGCGAGCACCUCUUCGUCAAAGGUUUCUCCUUCGACCGGUGCCCUGGAGCUCGACGCCCAGGGGAGCUUGAUGAAGACGCCGUCGCCGGCCUUCAAGUAGGCGCCGGGCUGGGGCUCUUCGGAGCCUGGCGCUGCAGCGUCGGCGGAGGGAUCGGCGGUCGGCAUAGCACCUAGCGCUCCUGCGGCCUCGGGGCCGUCAGUGCGAUCGCCGGAUCCCUCGCCAGCUUCUGCGGUGGCAGCCUUGGCGGCCUCUUCGCCGGCGGGUUCAUCAGCGCCGGCCUCUUCUUUGGUGGCAGUGGCAUCGUCGUUGUUGCCGUGCGCGUCCUCCUCGCCGGUGGCCUCGGUCUCCAUUGGAUCCGCGGCAGGUGGAUCUGACAACCGAAGAAGGGAGAAAGGUGAAUCAAAUGUUCAAAAAGAAAACCAGAAGAAGAAGAAUCCAAGGGGAGUUUUCAGGCAAAAGGGUUACCUAUGCUAGGAUCCGCAGUCGCGGUCUCCACCUUCGAAGGAUCACUGGCGCUGUCCCUUGCCGGAGAACUGCCCCUUGCCGGAGAAUUCUCCCUUGCCGGAGAACGCUCCCUUGUCGGGGAAUCCUCCCUUGGCGGUGUAGUCGAAGCAGAUGGCGCUUCGGGAGCAGCCUCCGGGCCCUCCUGGUGAGGCUGCUCUGCUCCUACACAAACCAACAGACAGAUAUCAACAAAAGAAGGACACCCAUGUGCACUUGACAGCAUGAAGUAAAUUAUACACUUACGCUGGGGGCUGCGCUGGGGGCUGCUUUGGUGAGUAGUUGCCGGGUCCGGCAAGGUGGUCUCAGGCGUGUCCCCCGUUGCCGCGGUGGGAUCAUCCUCGAUGACAAUCACCGGGGCCUUGGCUCUCUUCACCGCUCUCUGGGCCAGCGUCCUAAAAAGGAAUGGAUUCAGAUCGAAGCAAGUCAGAUACAAGACGAAAGCAACAAGAUAGCAAGAAUUGAAGAACUACGAGGACGGCAGGGGGAUCUUACUCUUCUUCUUCAUCGUCGGAGCUGAGCGCGGAGAGAUCGAAGUCUGGCUCGCCUCCGGUGCGGCGAGGCGGAGGAGUAGGCUCCCUCGCCCGCUUGGCGGGAGCAGUGGUGGUGGACCGGGAAGACCCCGCUCCAGUUGCCGCAGCGGGGUGAGGCGCUCCCGCGGCAACGGUGCUUGCCGCGGUAGAGCGUGUCGCGCGGCUCGGCGGCUGUUGACCCGUCUGCCGCCCCGCUACGUCUGCGGCCUUGCGGAGACGCCUUCUUGGCGGGGCCGGGGGCUCCGCCUGCGGCAAGCUAUCUGAAGGUUCGGGCUCUUCCUUGCCGGGCUCGCUCGGCUCAGCUUUAGGGCCGGCAAGAUCUUCCUCGCCGGCAAACUCGUCGCGCUCGGCAAGGCUUGCCUCCUCUGCUGCCUCUGCCUCCUCCACGGUGAACCCGAACUCGCCCGCGGCAACUGCUGCCGCCACCUCUUCCAGCCUGGUGGCAAUGCGCUACAUCUCGUUAUCAGUGGUGUCGCGGGUGAGGCUCUUCUGCUCAUCAGUGCGGACUGGCACUUCUGCCAAGUCAUCAAAGAACGCCCACACGAUGUCAUCCGCAGGUUCUUGCCAAGUCGGAGCGAUUCCGUGCGAAUCGCACAACGGUAUCAUUGCGCGGAUCCGGUCGAGCGAAGAGUUGUUGCACAACGGAACAACGGUCCUCGACAACGUGAAUGGAUGCUGAGGAUCGCGCUUGAACAGCUCCAGGAGCAUCGCAUCCAGCUCCAGGACGGUGAAGUUAAAGUUGAGGCCCGGGCGCAGCCUCAUGAUAUCCGCCGAGUUCUUGAACUCCCAGGCGGGUCUCCCCCUCUCCUGCAGGGGAGCGAUGCGGCGGCGAAGGAAAUCUGCGCCUACAGCGCCUACAGUGAGCCCGGCAAGCCUGAGGCGAAGGAUGCGGGUGACGGCAAUCUUCAGCCUGUCAUCUUCCGGGGCCACGUUGCUCCAAUCAUUGCCGCGUACUAUUGGGGCUUGGCGCACGGCAGUGAAUGGCUGCAGGUUCUCGUCGACGAUCCAGCACCACUCUGCUCUCCACUCCUCCCAUUUGCUGCGGAGCUCACCCUCUAGAUAUGCUUCCUUCUUGCCGACUCUCGAGAUCCAAGCGAUCCCGCCGGCAAGAGGCUCUCCUCUCUUAACCCGAGGCAUGAAGAAGUGGCGAAAAAGGGCUACGUUUGGGUGGACUCCAACAAAGUUUUCGCACAGAUGUGCGAAAACUGCCAUGGUCAGAACGGCGUUGGGGGUGAAGUCAAGGAGGCGGAACCCGUAGGUGUUCAUGAUGUCGCAAAAGAAUUCAGAGAAAGGCGGGCAGAGCCCGCAGUAGAAGAACAACGCGAAAAAGGGGUACCCGUUCGGAGCCAGUCUCGAAGCGGUGGCCGGGAGUACCCUCGUGCGCGGAUGCGCUCGUGUCUCCGCCGACCAGAAGAGGUAGAAGUACUCCCUCAGCUCCUUCGCGCCGAGCUGAGGGGAGAAGAGGGCCCGCUCCUUCCGCAGCGCCGCGAGCCACUGCGCCUCGACCGAUUUCGCGACCUUCCCCUUGUCGGCUUUCGGAGCCAUGGCGGAGGUGGUGGGGGAGAUCGGCGGCGUUGGUGGCGCCGGUGGCAAUGGGGGGGUGGAGCGCUUCUCUCUUUAGGCUUUGAGAAGAAGGGGGGAGCGGCGGAGAUUUUGGAGAAUGGAGUAGCAACCGGCGAAGUGGGGAAACUGCCCCUGUUUCCCCUGCUUAUAAAGAGGGAGGGGGCGGACGUUUCGCCCUUCCGAAUAAAGAAACCACCCACGAUCUCUCCCACGAUGCCGCAUUCAACGUGUGCCGUUGGGAGAGGGCGCGGUGGAUACGGAGUAAGAUUCGGCGUUACCCGGGCCGCGCGUGCCCGUGCCCUGUUUUGGGCCUGGCCCAACAGCGCUCGGCAUCGUGUGUGGCCCAGGCCUGGGGGCUCCUGUCGAUGUACUAGAAUACGGGUACCCUAGUAUCUCGAACUUGUGCACGGGCAGUUGCAGCGCCCCGCGGCAAGGCUUGCCGGGCGACCGCCAAGGUCCUCCACGGUUCCCUUGGAGCCAUUCAAGAACAAAUUAUUCAAGCCAAGGCAUUCCAAGGAACUUGCCACGACGCGCCACGCGUCCCGGCAAGGCGACAAGGCCCCGACAAGAGGAGCUUGCCGGGAAGACCAACCAAGGCAUCUCAAGUCCUGGUGAGCGACAAGCUCCUGGGCGCGACAAGGCAACGACCGCGGCAGGGCGCUUGCCGCGGCAAGUAAACCACCCUGCACCUACGCUCCAGCACAUCCACCUAGGUGUCGCCCUGAGGCCUUCCCAGGCGCACGUGGCGAGAGGCUGUGCACCCAGCGGUGUGCGGUGGCAUGCGACGCUGACAAGAUCUCCAUCAUGGCGAACGGUGGUGUCCCUAACGGUCCGUUUCUGCACUGUUCGGGCGACACAGAUGGGCAUUUAAUGCCCCUGUCCCCUGCCGUCAGGGUUAGGUAGGAUACACUGUACGUAGCAGUUGUACCAACCGCAACUCUUUUUACGUUUUUACCCUCGUCUGCGUUGCCACCUAUCGGUGACCCCUUUAGCGUAUAAAAGGAGGCCCAUGCGCAACGUAGGGGAGGUUCGGCUCAUUCGGAAGCCAGAGAAACACUUAGCUCUCUCUCUCGAGCAAAAACACAAUACAAUUAGACAAGCAGCAGUAGGGGUAUUAUCUCUCCAGAGAGCUCCGAAGCUGGGUAAACUGCUCGUGUGCUUCGCCUCGAUUCGCUCUUCGUGCGACCUCCGCCCUCCGCCCUCCGCCGGUCCCAUAGGUGUUCGUGGAUCAGUUUCCCCGACAUACCGUGGCUCCCCAAGGUGAUGAGCUUGGUGUCGGUGGGAAACGACACCUAUGGGAUCACUGGAAUCCCUACUACGGUUGCGGGGCGCUAGAUCAUGAGAAGAGCAGGACUAGCAGACAGCACAAAGGGGAUUUACCCAGGUUCGGGCCGCAAAGAUGCGUAAAACCCUACGAUCCUGCUUUGGUGGAUGUAUUUAGUGUUCUUGAGCACUUGAACUAGCUCUGGGUGCUGCCAGGUUCGAAAGAGCCGAAUCCUUCUCUAGUGCACCAUGGGCCUCCUUUUAUAGGCGAAAGGGGCUGCCACAGUGGCACACAGGAGGUGGAAAGUGCUACAACGCUAUGAGCUUAUUGCUGGUAUUACAGGACAAAAGUGCAUUUAAUGCGAGGCUUAGGUGUCCCUUUGCUUUAUCGAGGACGGGAGCGAGGCCCAUCCCAUCCGUCGCCGCUCCUCCUUGCUUUGACUCGUGUCCUGGCCACCGAUGCAUGCGGUGCCAUGUAGGCAGGCAGGCAGCUGAGAUGGCGCGGUGGUGGAGCCUCCACGAAGGGCUGCAUGUUGCCACGCAGGUGCCUGCCCAACUGGUUGGGUCGGCAGCUGCAUGCGAACGGCGGCGGAUACUUGGUUGGCGCGGGCCUGGCAGUGGCCCUGCUGGCGUGCUUGGCGAGGGCCUUGCCGGGUGGCCCGGCAAGGGUCUUGCCACGGCACGCUGUCAUUCCCGGCAAGGACCUUGCCGGGGGUCUCGUGGGAUUCCUUGGCAAGAACCCUGCCGAGGAUUAGUUGCCUUCCUAUCCUCAUUUGAUCUUGGCUAUUCUUUGUCUUCACAAAGAUCUGUAUGCCACCACGGAGGUGCCUCCCGAGCCCUGUCCCAACGCGUUUGUCUAGCGUUGGUGGGCUCAAAGGUGGCUCGCUCAGCUAGUGUGGGCGAGCUGCCCCGGCAAGGGUCCUUGCCGGGGAAACCUGCUUCGUCCAUCUGAUCUUUGUGGCCUUGAUCCUUGUCAUUGCUUUGUUUGUCUUGUGCCUUUGGCUUCUCUCCGGCUUCCCUUUCCUACCCUGUUAUGCGUGGCCGUGGCGGGAGGCUCUGAAUGACCAUGCACAAGUAAAGGGGUCAAAAGCAGAGCCCCUACUUUUGUACACCGAUAGGAGCCCCGGGGCCUGGGCCAUACAUAAGUGCAGCACGUUGUUGGGCCUGGCCCAGAAUGGUGCGCGGGCAGUUGGGGCAGAUUUUUACGGCGGUAACUGUUCCAUCCGUUGCGCUUCCCCACGACCCAUGUUGAACGCGCGAUGUUGGGGUCGUGUGCGUGCAUGACGGAAGCAUGCUGGCAUCAUCUCGUGGUGGACAGUAAAGAGGCGGCUUGCGUGCCUCUUUGAGACCGCAGGGCCGCUGCUCAUUUACUGCCCUCGCUUGGGAACCGUCGCUCCACGCAUCCCACUGCGCCUAUCCCUCGCGCCACGUUCAUUGCAUGCACGACGCAGGGCGAAUGACAGGCGCGCGGGAUGUGAGAAGUUGUGCGCAUGUGUGGGUUGAUUCCCACGCGCCUUCAAUGGAGCGGGGAGGGCGGUCGAUGGCCCCGCUUGCUGUCACUUCAACCGGCCGGAUUGGCCGAGAGGGGGCGGCCGAGCCUCGCCCCGCCCCUUUAUAAAGAGGGGAGCAGGAGGAACGGUGCCUCACAACCCUUCGCCAUCUGUCUCUCCCCAUUCCUGCUUCCUCCUUUCUUCUGCCAUGGCGAGGGGGCGUCAUGACACUUCAUCGGUGGCGGGCGAGGGUUUCGGCCAGACAGGGCAUCGCUCCUCCCCAAGAGCUCAUAGCAGCGGAGCCGACCGCUCGAGCAAGGGGGAGGGGGCGAGGUCGAGGCCGUCGUGGUGCUCGAGGGAGAGGAGGACGGGGCGACAGAUCAGCCUCGCCUCCGCCAGCAGCCCCUCCUCUGAUGGAGGGCCACGCCGGGGAAAACCCUUGCGAAUUCUUCAUCAGGUUGUGCCAGCCACCGCGUCGUCGCCUUUGCCUCCCGACUCCAUUUGUGCGGGAGAUGGAGCUAGAUCCACCGCAGGCUUUGCGGCUGCAUAUGAGGGGUUGUGGGAACUAUGGCACAUGGGCCAACGUCGAGUUCCCCACCCCUCAUGUCAUGUAUCUCCACCGAGGGUGGAAGACCUUCGCUCGCCUCCACAGUUUGACGGAGGGGCUCACUCUCCAUUUCAAACUAAUGGAGAGUGGCCUCCUCUCCGUUAAGAUCUUCGGGCACUUCGGGACUCGCGUAAGGUGCUGCGUGGAGAGCUCUUCUGAUGAUGAAGAUUCCUCCUCGAGCGAGAAUGGCGACGAAGACAAUGGCAACAAUGACGAGGCUAGCGGGCGGCAAGAUCACGGGUCCGACUAGGCAUCGGGUGCCGCUCCGAGCGGCACCGGCAACCCCAUCAUCCGUGUUGCCGGCUCCUUGAACUUCUCGGGGUCGUCUCCUUGGGCGGCUGGCACUGGGAGGCUACGGAAGAGGAAGAGGGCGGGCGGCAAGGCCAUCAAGUCAGAGUACGCGGGCACCGACGCCUUCGUCGUGUAUUGACGUCCUGCCGCCUCGGCUCUUCCUCCGGCUCCGCCAUCACCAUCUAGCCCUCGGACGGCCACCGGGAUGUUCUCUUGGUGUCUUCUGCCACUCGUAGCUCGCCUAGGCGCGCCUUUUGCCCUUCUGCUUUCUUGUUCCAUUUCCUGAGGAGAGGUACAAGAAAGGGAUUACGGGCACCUUAUCUUUUUUUAGUCUUGUAAGCCUUCGAGCCUUUGUUAACUUUAUAGCUUGUAAUCCCCUUGCUCAUGUUUUUCAUUUCGUAUGAACUGUACCUGUACGGGAUGUUUUUAAUGGAAAAAGGGAUGUUUGUCAGGCUUUUCGUUCGUGGGUGAAACCCACGGCAAGGAUCGAAUCCUUGCUACCAUCUAAAGUAAACGUUUUUCGCCUGGCAACAGGCCUCGCCGUUCCCCCAUCUCACUCGACCUUUCUCAUGCUCUUGGCGGAGGCAAGGAUGAGAUGAGUUUGGGCUCCACGUUUUAUCCCCUUGCUACCGCGACUACGACCAACUUCGGACCCAGGAGAUAAUCCUUGGGUUCGAAAAGAGGGAAGCAUGGUAGCUUGGAUAUAAAAUGCGGUUCCACAUACCCCAGUUCAUAACGGAAUGCAUGAUUGAGGAUAAAAGACUUAUCUGGACUUGCAGCCCCCGACAACUUUGGCUUACCGUGGACGGAUCCUUAUAUUUGCAGCCCCCAGCAACCUUGGCUUGUUGGGGUCAGGGCACCAGUCCGUUCCUCUCUUCCAAACAGCUCAGCAGAAAAACUUAUGUGUCCUGCGAACCAAAAAAGAAAAGGGAAGAAAUAGAGAGAUGCAUACUCAACCUCUAAGCUAGGGGUUAGCCGCUGCCAAGCACUAUCAACCCUAACCGAGGAGGAGACUCGACCUAGCAUGCAUGCUAUAACUUAGGGCGCCAGCGCUUCGUUUAUUUAUGCUCAGGAUCUGCGCCUGGCUUUGUACAAAGGGUUAUAUGCCUUGCCGGCAAGGCUUGCACAAAAGGGUGGCUUGCUGAGAGGCCUGGCAGCCGCGCCUUAUGGGUAAAACUUGCGGAGAUGCUCGAUGUUCUAGGAGUUGCUCACUAGAACAGCAUCUUCAGUCUCCAGCCAGACUGCGCCAGGCCUGGUGACUCGUGUUACCCGAUAAGGGCCUUCCCACUUCGGCGUCAACUUGUUGGAAUUCUUGGCCGACUGAACGUGCCGAAGAACAAGGUCGCCUUCCUCAAAGCUCCGGGCAUGAACCUUGCGGCUAUGGUAGCGGUGCAAGGCUUGCUGGUAGCAUGCUGCUCUCAUAGCCGCCUGGAGAUGAUCUUCCUCAAGGAGCAUCGCGUCAUCUUGCCGCAAUCGCUCUUGCUCAAGCUCAUCAUAAGUGAGCACUCAAGGUGACUCGUAUAUGAGUUCUGUGGGGAGAACUGCUUCUGCCCCGUAAACCAGGGCAAAGGGUGUCUGGCCGCUGGCUCGAUUUGGUGUCGUUCUGAUUAACCAAAGAACUGCCGGCAGCUCAUCAAUCCAGUGCCUUCCACUCUUGCGCAGCCUGUCAAAAGUCUUCAUUCUUAAGCCUCGCAGGACUUCAGCAUUUGCUCUCUCUGCUUGGUCGUUGCUCCGUGGAUGUGCCACGGAAGCAAAACAGACCCUGCUGCCGAGAUCCUCAAUGUAUUGCAUGAACGCAUGGCUUGUGAACUGUGUGCUAUGGUGGGUGAUGAUCCUGUUGGGCACCCCAAAACGGCACACUAGUCCCUUGAAGAACUUGAUGGCUGACUGCGCUGUCACCUACCUCACUGCUUCCACCUCUGGCCACUUUGUGAACUUGUCGGUUGUAAAGUACAAGUAGUCAAAGCCCCCGACAACACGGGGGAAAGGGCCCAAUAUGUCGAGCCCCCAGACCGAGAAGGGCCAGGAGAGAGGGAUAGUUUGAAGGGCUUGAGCUGGUUGAUGGAGCUUCUUCGAAUGGAACUGGCACGCUUCACACUUGGCUACUAGUGCCGUCACAUCCUGGAGGGCGGUGGGCCAGAAGAAACCUUGCCGGAAAUCCUUGCCGGCAAGGGCCCUCGACCCUAUGUGGGAGCCACAUAUGCCUCCAUGUAUCUCUGCCAACAGCUUUAGUACUUCCUCCCGGGAGAUGCAGUACAAUUUCAGCCCAUUCGGUCUUUUUCUGUACAAUACGUUAUCAACGAAUUGGUAUAGAGCAGACCGGCGGGCUACUCUUUCUGCCUCUUCCUGCCCCUCAGGAAGCUCUCCUUUUUGAAGGAAUCGGACAAUGUGUUGUGCCCAUGUCAGAGCCUGUGGCUCAAUGACAAGGACCAAAGGCAUCUCUUCUGCCACGGGAGCGGCCCCUUACACGGCCAUGACCUGAGUUCCUGCCGGAGUCGGUUGUCCCGUGGCAGGAUCGGCAUCCACAACAACAUCUUCGUCGGCGGCUUCGGGGAGCUCGGUGGGGAAGUGCUUGCCGGAGCCUAGCUUCCUCCACUUGUUCUGCCCGGUCGACGGCUCAACGGAUGGUUGAGUUAACUGAAGCACAAAAGUACCUAGUUCCACAGGUAGCUGGAGGGCAGCGCGCUUUGACAGGUAGUCGGCGAUGUCGUUCUCUAUCCGAGGGACAUGCUCCGCAUGUAUACCGUCAAAGCGCUCCUCCAGUUUCCUCACCUCAUCUACUUAAGCUUCCAUCAACGGGCUUUGAUGAUCUUUGUUGACCUACCUGACGACGAGUUGCGAGUCGCCCCUGACGAUGAGCUUUUUAACUCCGAGGUCCGCCGUGAUCCUGAGACCGGCAAGCAAACCCUCGUACUCGGCGGUGUUGUUGGUUGACAUCUCCCAUGGAAAUUGCAUUUGGAUGACGUACUUGAGGUGCUCUCCGGUGGGUGCGACAAGCAGCACACCGUCAUCGGCGCCUUGCAGCGAAAAGGCCCCAUCAAAGUACAUGAUCCAGUUGCCGCUUGUUUCCUCACCGGGGAGAGUAGUCUCCUGUACCUCUUCGUCAGGCGUCGAGGUCCAUUCUGCAACAAACUCCGACAAGACUCUGCUCUGGAUCGUCGAGGUACUUUCAAACUUUAGACCAAAACUUGACAGCUCUAGGGCCCAUUCCACGAUCCUUCCUAUUGCAUCAGGGUUAUGCAGUAUCAUUUGCAAAGGAAGGCGGGUAACCACGGUGAUCUCGUGCGCUUGGAAGAAAUGGUGCAGCUUCCUCGAAGCCAUCAGGAGGCCGAAGAGCAGCUUUUGCACACCUGAGUACCUCGACCAAGCCCCCUGCAAGAGGGAGCUGACGAAGUAAACUGGGUGUUGUACCAUUUUCUUCUUCUGCACCUCUUCACCCGGUCGCGUGGGCCCUGUCGCGCUGGCGUCAGCCUUUGCCGGGGACUCAAUCUUGCCGGGAUCAAGCCCUGCCAGAGAGGGUUCCGGCUUGCCGUCUGUUGGCUCUGCCACUGCCGCUGCCUUCUCGUCGACCUCUCUCUGCGCCACUAGUGCGGCGCUAGCCACCUGAUUUGUUACCGCUAGAUAAAGCAGCAACGGUUCUUGUGGCUUGGGCGCAACCAGCACUGGGGUAGAGGAAAGGUAUUUCUUCAAAUCCUGCAGUGCUGCCUCGGCCUCUGGGGUCCACUCCACUGGCCUUGCCUUCUUCAAGAUCAUGAAAAAAGGAAGGGCAUGCUCCGCGGACUUGAAGAUGAACUGGCUCAUGGCGGCAACGCAACCAGUGAGCCGAUGCACGUCCUUGAUCCGUUUGGGUGCCUCAAUCUGCUCGAUGGCCUUGAUCUUAUCUGGGUUUGCUUCAAUCCCGCGCUGGGACACAAAGAACCCGAGAACCUUGCCGGACGGGACGCUGAAGACACACUUCUCAGGGUUCAAUUUGAGGUUGAUCUUGCGCAGGUUCCCGAAUGUUUCCUCUAGAUAUUGCACAAGGGUUGCUUUGUCCUUGGUUUUGAUCACUAUGUCAUCCAUAUACGCUUCCAUAUUUCUAUGUAGCUGGGGCUCAAAACCAAUUUGUACUGCUCUUGCAAAGGUUGAGCCAGCACUCUUCAACCCGAAAGGCAUCCGUAAAAAGCAAUACGUACCACAUGGGGUGAUGAGUGCUGUCUUUUCCUCGUCUUCUUUUGUCAUGAAGAUCUGGAGGUAUCCCGAGUAGGCGUCAAGGAAUGAUAAUAGGUCACACCCAGCCGUGGAGUCAACAAUCUGGUUGAUGCGCGGUAAUGAGAAGGGAUCCUUUGGACAGGCCUUAUUGAUGUCUGUGUAGUCAAUACACAGCCUCCACUUCCCAUUUGCCUUGCGCACUACUACCGGAUUGGCCAACCACAUUGGAUGGAGUACUCCUCUCACCAAACCUGCCGCCUCUAGCUUUCUGAUUUCCUCUGUGAUGAACUCCUGCCUCUCCAGAGCUUGCUUCCUGACCUUCUGCUUCACGGGCCGCGCAUGAGGACAGACAGCAAGGUGGUGCUCAAUCACCUUCCUGGGAACGCCGGGGAUGUCGGAGUCUUGACAUGCAAGCACAUCGACAUUUGGCCGCAUGAAGGUGACAAGCUCGCUUUCCUAUUUGCCGUCGAGGGUGGAGAUUAUGGUAAAAGCUCCCCCCGUGUCGUCCUCCUUGAUGGGCACCUUCUUGGUCUCUGGUGGUGUGGCUCUGGACUUCUUGCUCUUGCCGGCGGAGCUCUCUGGCACGCAACACCCUGGCGAGGUGCAUUUGCCUGAGUGGGUGCAAGGGGUCUCCUCAUUCUUCUCCCCUCCCCCCCCCCCCGGGCUCCGUCGGCAGGAGCAGGUGCCUUGGUGGUAGCUGCUGCAACUGCUUCUCGGUAGAGUUGAUCGGCGCAGAUCAACGCAUCUUUCUCGUCGGAGGGGACGGUGAUGAUGUUCAUCGGCCCGGGCAUCUUCAGCAUGUUGUAGGCGUAGUGUGAAGCCGCCAUGAACUUGGCUAGCCGGGCGGCCGAGGAUCCUAUUGUAAUGCAAGGGGAUCUCGGCUACAUCAAAAACAAUAAUUUCCGUCCUGUGGUUUUGCUCGCCUCCGAAUGUCACGGGCAGCGUGACCUUUCCCUUUGGCUGGCUCCUCCCCGGGUUAACCCCUUGGAACGUGCCUGUCUCCUCGAGGUCCCCAUCGGGGAUCUGCAGCCUUUUGACCACAACAGGCGAAAUCAAGUUCAGGCUGGCCCCGCCAUCAACCAACAUCUUUGUCACCUUGAGGUUGCGGAUUGUUGGUGAAACCAACAAUGGCAAGCACCCGACUGCAGUAGUGCGGUCAGGGUGGUCCUCGGUGUCGAAGAUGAUGGGCGUGCUGGACCAUUUCAGCGGCUUCCGUGUGUCAAACGAUGGCUCCGCUGCGCGCCCACUGCUUGAGUUGGCGGUGGGACGUAUGCAGCGAGGUGCCACCAUCGAUGCACAUGGCCUUUGUGGCUUUUUGAAACUCGUGGUCGCCGGACUCGUCGUCCUCGUCAUGAUCAUCAUCUUCCUGCUUCUUGUCGCAGCCCCGGGCGGGCCUCUCCUGCUGAUUAUCCUUGCUGCGGCGGCCUCCUUGGCCGCCACAUUUCUUGUCGGAUCCCUCGGCACCAUCUGGGCCUUUCUCCUUGUCUCGCCGCUCAUACUCAGCUUUCUGCUUCUCGGCGAGCAGCUCUACCUGCCAGCAGUUUUGGAGGUCAUGGCCCUUGGUGCGAUGGAUCUUGCAGUACUGCUUGUCGGAGCCUCCUGGCUUGUCGGCGGCCGCCAAGGCCCAGCAAGCGACACACCCGGCAACCUCCGUGCCGGGGUCGCUCGCCUUGGUCUUCUUGGUGGCACCAGUGUCGUCGGAACCCUCAACGGCAAGCACGGCUUUGCCCUUACGCUUCCUGUUACGGCGCCGGCCCUUCUUCGCUAGGGUGGCAGUGUCGCCAGUGGACUCGGUUUCCGCGUCGGCAUCUUCGCCGGGGUACUUCCUUCCCUCUUCAGCGCGAGCGCAUCGAUCGGCCAGGACAUAAAGCUCGGCCACAUCCUUGACCUUGUUCAUCGCCAGCUCUUCAUGCAUCUUGCGGUUGUGCACAUUCUGAUGGAACGCACUGAUCACGGCGGCGGGAUGAACAUCGGGGAUGUUGUACUGCACCCGGCUGAACCUUUGGAUGUACUUGCGCAGGUUUUCUCCUUCCUUCUGGGGGAUGAUGUGUAAAUCACUCGCCUCGCCAUGAGCUUGGUGACCUCCGGCAAAGGCGCCAACAAACUCAUGGCACAGAUCCGCCCAAGAAGAGAUGGAAUCCACCGGCAAGUGCAUCAACCAUGACAUAACAUUAGGCUUGAGUGCCAAUGGGAAGUAGUUGGCAAGCAUCUUAUCAUCGCGGGCCCUAGCAGCUUGCAUCGUGAUGGUGUAGAUGCUGAGGAACUCUAACGGGUGAGUCUUGCCGUUGUACUUCUCGCCAACGUCGGGCUUGAAUGUACGGUGGGAGGGCCACUGGAACUGCCGCAGCUCACGGGUGAAAGCCGGACAACCCACCUCAUAAGGUAGGCCACCGUAGCCUCCCGGCGCCGGCUGGUCCGUAGCGGGCCCUGCCCGCCUGUCCGACUGGUGGCGCAUGUCACGUCGGUGCUCGAUCGUAGUUUGAGCGUCCUCAUGAGCCCGCUCCCGGAGGACUUGACGCUGAUCGCGGUUUGUUCGCGGGUCGGACGAUGCGAUGGAGAUAUCAUCACGAGCGUCGUCGCGACGGACCGAUGCCCGGGGUGGCGAGGAUGGAGGUGGGGAAUACACCAUGGCCGCAUCGCCUCUGGCACAGCCUCCGCUGGGAUGCGGCGGCCCGGAGGAGAGAUGGCCUACGGGUCCUACCGGCCGCAACUCAUCGUUGUUGGCGAUGCCGACAAGGCUCUGGAUGGUGGCCCUCCAUUCGUUGAGCUUCUCCGCGGUGGGAGGAAAAUUGAGGAGCAGCUGCGCGCGUGCUAGGGCCUCUGCUGGCGUGGGUGGCGGGGAAAGCUGGGUGGACCGCGAUGCGCCUCGACUUCUAACCACGUUACAAGGAGCUGCAUCACGGCCCCGCAGCCGUUCACCGCCUUCAUCAGCACCUCAGCGCACAUGCUGGCCCUCCUCAUCAUGUGAUGGGCACACCGAACUCUUCCCAGGGCGGCGUGCAGGGUCACCGGUAGGGUGACACUUCUCAUCACGCACAACCUGGGAAGAGCGCGCCGUGGGCGCCGGUGUUGGCGUCUUGGAGGUCGCUGCGCCGCCGUCUGGCAUGAUGGCGGCACCCCUGGAGGGUGCCGCGCCGCCUGCGGGGGGCCUAACUCCACCUCUAGAGCCCGCGACUGGUGGCUCGUCGCCUGACGCCCGAACGAAGCCACUCGCCAGGCCUUGACCAUCAGGGUGAUGUGGAUGUUCGCGGGCCGCGCCACGGGUUCUCUCCGCGAGUGGCCCGCUACCGGUCUGCACCGGUACCAACCCGGUCCCGCACGAACUGAUCGAUGUGGUCGUCUUCUUUCUAGGAGCCAUGGCGAUGAAGAACAGCUAUGUCCACUGCUACACCAGAUUCUCACAAUCUGGGUGACCCCCUACCUGGCGCGCCAAAGAUGUCGGUGGGAAACGACACCUAUGGGAUCACUGGAAUCCCUACUAUGGUUGCAGGGCGCUGGAUCAUGAGAAGAGUGGGACUAUCACACAACACAAAGGGGAUUUACCCAGGUUCGGGAUGCAAAGAUGCGUAAAACCCUACGAUCCUGCUUUGGUGGAUGUAUUUAGUGUUCUUGAGCACUUGAACUAGCUCUGGGUGCUGCCAGGUUCGAAAGAGCCGAAUCCUUCUCCAGUGUGCCAUGGGCCUCCUUUUAUAGGCGAAAGGGGCUGCCACAGUGGCAUACAGGAGGUGGAAAGUGCUACAGCGUUGUGAGCUUAUCGCUAGUAUUACAGGACAAAAGUGCAUUUAAUGCGAGGCUUAGGUGUCCCUUCACUUUAUCGGGCACGGGAGCAAGGCACGUCCCGUCCGUUGUCGCUCCUCCUUGCUUCGACACGCGCCCUGGUCAGCGAUGCAUGCGGUGCCAUGUAGGCAGACAGGCAGCUGAGGUGGCGCGGUGGUGGACCCUCCACGAAGGGCUGCAUGUUGCCAUGUAGGUGCCUGCCCAGCUAGUUGUUUCGGCAGCUGCAUGUGAACGGCGGUUGAUACUUGGCUGGCGCGGGCCUGGCAGUGGCCCUGCUGGCACGCUUGGCGAGGGCCUUGCCGGGUGGCCCGGCAAGGGUCUUGCCGCAGCACGCUGUCAUCCCCGGCAAGGACCUUGCCGGGGGUCUCGUGGGCUUCCUCAGCAAGAACCCUGCCGAGGAUCUGUUGCCUUCCUAUCCUCAUUUGAUCUUGGCUAUUCUUUGUCUUCACAAAGAUCUGUAUGCCACCACGGAGGUGCCUCCCGAGCCCUGUCCCAACGCAUUUGUCUAGCAUUGGUGGGCUCAAAGGUGGCUCGCUCAGCUAGUGUGGGCGAGCUGCCCCGGCAAGGGUCUUGCCGGGGCCGCUGAGGCUUCCCCGGCAAGGGUCCUUGCCCGGGAAACCUACUUUGUCCAUCUGAUCUUUGUGGCCUUGGUCCUUGUCAUUGCUUUGUUUGUCUUGUGCCUUUGGCUUCUCUCCGGCUUCCCUUUCCUGCCCUAUUAUGCGUGGCCGUGGUAGGAGGCUCUGACUGCCCGUGCACAAGUGAAGGGGUCAAAAGCAGAGCCCCUACUUUUGUACACCGACACUUGGUCGAAUAUAACCUUUCUCCAAUAACUCCUUAAUCUGCUUCUUAAUUUCCCCUAGAUCAUUUGCAGGCAUCCGAUAUGGUCUCUUGGAUAUUGGUCUGGUGCCUGACAAUAACUCAAUCAGAAACUCUAUGUCUCGGUCUGGUGGCAUGCCUGGUAACUCCUCUGGAAAUACAUCGGGAUAAUCCUUCACAACUGGUACUUCCUCCUUAACAACUCCCAAAAGGGAAUUCGCCCGAGUCCUCCUUGGGGCAUGCCUAGACACAUACUUGAUCUGUUUUCCCUCUGGGGUGGUGAGAAGAAUCGAUUUACUGGCACAAUUGAUGUUUCCUUCAUACUUGGGUAGCCAAUCCAUGCCUAGGAUCACAUCUAAUCCUUGUGAUUUCAGGAUAAUGAGAUCUGUGGGGAAAAUGUGUCUACCUAUGGUCAAUGGCAACUGAUAACAUCCACAACUAGCCAUAUACUCUGCUCCUGGGGAACUCACUAACAUAGGUGACUUAAGGGCUACGGUUGGCAACUUAAACUUGUCCACAAAUCCCCUUGAUAUGAAUGAAUGCGAUGCACCAGUGAAAAAAAGAACAAGGGUAGUAAAUGCAUUUAUCAAAAACUUACCGACAACUGCGUCAGGCUACUCCUCAAUUUCCUCCACACUGACAUGAUUCACCUGACCUCUGGUGAAAGGGUUGGGCUUCUUUUCAGAGCUUCCAUUGCCAUUUCCAUUCUUUGCCUCAGGACAUUCAGUGGCGUAGUGUCCGGUCUUCCCGCACUUGAAAUAGGUAAUGUGACUCAGAUCUUUCUUGGCGGGUGUCGCGGGGUUGGAACGGCUCUGACUGUUGAUUCCUCCAUUCCCAUUACCAUUCUUAGGGCCACUAUGGUUGUGUGAACUUCCUCCAUUGUGCGAAUGUCCUCCAUGGUUAUGUCCUCCAUGGUUAUGAUGGGUGUGUCCUCCCGAGUAUGAGGAAUAGCGAGGCUUCUGCUGAGCUCCAGAAUUAUACUUCCCCUGUCCAUACUUCCUCUUGCGGUUAUCUAUCUGCUACUGCUUGCCUUCAAUCAUGAGGGCCUUGUCCACCAGAUCCUGGUAGUUGUUGAAGGUUUCCACCAUCAACUGCAUACUCAGCUCAUCAUUGAGUCCCUCAAGAAAUUUCUCCUACUUCGCAGCAUUUGUGGCCACAUCAUCUGGGGCAUAGCGUGCUAACUUACUGAACUCAUCCACAUACUGCCCCGUUGUACGACUCCCCUGACAUAAGUCACGGAACUCAUGCUUCUUCAAACUUAUGGCUCCAGCUGAGACAUGUGCGGUGCGGAAGGCCUGCUGAAACUGACCCCAUGUAACUGUAGCAAUGAGGUAAGUGGUGGUGUAAUUCUCCCACCAAGAGGCUGCGGGUCCAUCAAGCUGAUGUGCGACAAAGUGCACUCUCUCCACAUCCAUGCAUCCAGCAGUGGUUAGCUCCCUCCCGAUCUUGCGGAGCCAGUCAUCAGCAAAAAUCGGCUCGGUGCUGCUAGAGAACACCGGCGGAUUCAACCUUAGGAAACGGGCUAGGUUAUCAACUAGGGGUGGUGGCGGUGGGUUGUUGUUGUUGUUGUUGUUCUUGUUGUUGCCUUGGUUCUGGAUCAUCAUCUGCAUCAAGGCAUUCUCUUGUUGGAUCAACUGGGUGAGCUCCGGCGGGAAAGUGAAUCUGGGUUCACGUCUCGGAGGCAUCUGAUGGGUUAGAGGGGUGAGAAAACAGAAUAGAAUAAGGUCUAUUGAGAGAUUUCAUUACCCAUAUGCAUAUGGGGCAAAAUACAUUCAAUUCACACCACUCAACAUCAAACAAGAUUCACACAAACAAUCUAAACUACUAUUACAAAACGAUCGAUUCUAACUACUUGGAAGAAUACUAAUAGUAAUAGGGUGGUUGUCUAAAAGUUUUGAUCGGUGGAAGACUCCAUGGGCUCAUAAUUGUGAUCUCUAGCAUCAUCUUCACUGUCUUCAUCCUCAUCAUUGUCUUCAUCUCCAUCACUGUUUGUGUCUGUGUCAACUAGUUUGAUGUAGUCAUCUUCAUGAAUAUGCACUUCACGUUCUUGUUUCACCUUGGGUAUUCCUAGCCUCCUCUUCUGGUCUUCAUUCUUCUCCAGUAGCACAACAAUUUCAUCUUCAUAUCCAUCGCGAGUUUACUUGAGUUCCUCUUCUAGCUCGAUAUUCCUGGUCAUCACCUUCUUGGUCUUGUUCAUGAUAGCGCACAUUUGGUUCUCGUAUCGAUGAAUGUGUUUAUCCAUUUUUGGAAUGUAUGCUGCAAUUGAUCCAUCCUUCCCGGUGCAAAUCAUCUCCCAUUGCUCAUCCCGGUGUCCACAUAUCUGGUAGAUGGUGUCUUCAAGAUCCUUGCGGUACUCCUCACAAAUGCGCCCAAAGGUGAUGUGGGCUACCAUGCUCUUUCCUAAGCUCCAAGUUGGUGCAUCCAAGGUAAACUCGAUGGGCUCGGUAGUUGGUGCAAAAGUCCUUCCAGGUACACGAACUUUGAUCCUCCAGCGCUCCUCUUCUGGUAAAGUUGUAGUGAAGGUUCUGGAGAAACUUGGUAGUCCAAUGUUCAGGUACUUUGUGACUUCCUUCAAGUGUCGUCCGAAACGGGUGUCGUCAUCCGACUGAGUGAACUUGUUCCUGGGGUCCGACAUCUAUAGAGUAGAAAUAGAGGAGGAUUAGAAAUGAAAGAGAAGAGUAUCAUGUGGCUUUUCCUAGUGGUCGUGUCCUACAAUCAGCGUGUGCUCUGAUACCAUCUUGUAGUGACCCGAUCCCAAUGGAUCGAAGUCUCUAUGCUUAAGUGUCAUCCCUGGAUCGGUAUGCUGACACACAUAGUACUCGAGGAAUUAUAACAGAGUUCAAUCACACACUUAUUACAUCAAGGUCCUCAUAAAGAGUAUUUAUUACAAAAAUAAUAUGGUUGAAGGCCAUCUAAAUAGAGUAAUUGGGGAAGCUUCGAAGAUAAAUGAGUCCAUCAACUCCAUAGCAUAACUGAGUGCAUGACAACGACCUAGCACACCUUAUUCUUUGUCGGAAAACUCUGCAAUAUUUGACGUUGCAGCCGUGUAGGUCAGCACAUGGAAUAUGCUGGCAGAGUCACACUAUAGAGCAAAUGAAUGAAAAAGACUAUAUCUACAUGCAUAUUUGGCUGGUGGAGGCUCUAAGUUUAAUUUUUGCAUAAAGCUAAUUUUUCCCUACAACAAAGGAAUAAAUGUUAUUUACUACAAAGUUUAAGCCAUUAUUGAGAAGUUUCCUCCAACUCAAUCCCAAAAUUAACCAAGUAUAAUCAAUAAACCCAAUACAUUAACUAAAGAGUGAUGAGAUCAACAAACUAUUCACUUCCAGAUACUCAAAUUGUCCAUAACCGGGGACACGGAUAACCAUGAUUAGUUUGUACACUCUGCCGAGGUUUGCACACUUUUCCCCACAAGACUCGACCGCAUCCAUCAUCGUAAGAUUGAGACAUAGUCUUUCUGAAGCAUUAACUCUUUACUCUGGGUAGACCGGUACACCUACUUACCCUACAUCUGCUAGUCCACCAUUGAAAGAGGUCACACAACUUACUCAACUAUGCCAAAGCCCAUAAUGGAUUGUGGCUGCACACGGAAGUUUCUAGGCAUGAAAUAUCAUAUGAUCCCUUUGAGCCUAGGUGGCGGACCUAGGGUAAUCACACGGGUACUCCGGGAUUCCCAUGGUUAAGCACUGGUUUCUUCAGGUGCCCCAAACAAUCCACCCAGAUGUGUAUUAAAGUUGCCACCGUAAUGUUGUCCAAAAUUAUUAUCUCUCACAUCUUGCAUGAAUCUCACAAAGCAAUCCCGUCUACGAGCAUGGCUAAGCAAUAUAUGAGCAUAACGAAUAUUCUUGGGGUGAUCAAAGGUAAUAGGUUCCUACCUCAUGUACUACAACCAAACCACAUGUUCCCAAAUCCUACCCAUGCAAAUCUUUGAGGGGUAAAACUAAUGCAUAGUAAAAACUGGGUAUUGAAAAGUAUGAUCAAAGUGUAACUUGCAUUGCUGACAAUUGGAAAACUCUACGGAUUCAUAGUAACAAUCUUCGCACGCCGGAAAAUCUAUCGUGAACAAACAAUAGCAUACAUAAGCACUCAAGCAAACGAUGCAAAGAGAAAAUGAAGAAAAGAUCCAGAAAAGUCAAAAACAAGCAAAUAAUUAACUAAAUAGUAAAGAAAUUUUAACAGCAUUAUAAUUAUCUAGAUUAGAUCUUAACAGAAGGUACAUGUGAUUAGCUACGACUUGCAAAAAGAAUCAACUAAAACAGAGCUACAAAACUCAAGAUACGAGCAAAAGAAGUUCAAAUUCAAAUCUGAACUAAACUCAAAUUUUAAAUUUUCAAAAACAUGUUCAGGUUGGUUUACUGGAUAGAUGAGAUUGCCCUGAAGAUUUUGGUGUUGGUUUCGUUGAAUUUGGACAAACGAGCAAUAAGUUGUGCUAGUUUGAAACAUAUGGACUAAUCUGUAAAUAAAAACUACGAAUAGGUCCCUAGCAGAAAAAGAAAAAGGAAAAGAAAAAUCUACCAAACCAACGUUUGCUACAGAAAUUAAAUGAACGAAUACAUUCGCUACCAAAGACUAACGAGCAAACGCUCGCUAUAUAACAAAACAAAAAAACCAAACGACACCUGACCCGUCGGAUCGAGAUCCGACGUUCGAGAGGGGAUCGGGGCUAUCGGUAGCAGCGGCGGUCGACGGCGACGAAGCGGACAGCGGCGGCGGCUCCGGAGGCGUCGGCUGGGGCGACGGCAUCGGCGAGCGGCGACGGCGGAUGCGGCGGCGGCGGCGGCGGCUAACGAUAGUGGCGGCUUGCGGCAGCGGUGCGGGCGGCGACGGUGGUGAUGUGCGGCGGCGGCAGCAGCUCGAUGUGGAGAGGAGGGGGCCUCGGUGGCUAGUAUUUAAGGAGGAGAGGGCGGCAGCUUGGAGUGCGGGUCAAGGCGGCGGGGCGCGCGAAGUCCGAGUCGGACUCACGAUGGCGGCGGCAUGCGCCUGCCGGUCUCCUGCUCAGAGUCGGUCGGAGCGGGGCAGCUGGCUUGGCCACGGCCUGGUGGGUGCUGGGCCGGCCCUGUUCGGGGGGAAGUUUUUUUUUUACAUUUUUUCAGAAAGACAAAAACACGCUAAACUUAAAUAAAUAAAUCUAUAAAAUUCCAGGAAAAUUCACAUAAUAAUAUGGCCUUAUUAGUGACCUAGUGAAGAUUUUUCUUGGCCUAAAUGCCUAAACUAAAAACAAACAUUAUAGUUAUAAUUACUCCGUGAAUAAAUAAAUAAACUAGCAAAUAAAAUCAAAUAAAAUCUCUAAAAAAUCAAAAUUCAAUUUCCAAUAUUUCUUUGCUGUUUUUUUAAGAAGUCCUUCUAUCUUCUCUCUUCAUUUUGAAAUAAUUGAAAAAGAAUUUUGAAAAACAAUUUGAUCCAAUUUACCAAAUUUUGAUAAAUCAAAAAUGGAAGUUUUAGUGAAAUCUCCAACUCUCUCAAAUUGGUCCUUGAGUUGCUUAAGGUCUCCUGGAUAAAAAUGCAACUAAAACAAAAGAAACAAAAUGUAUAAAUCAUGGAUGCAUAUGAAUGAUCUAUGAAUAACAUCCUAAUUGAAAAUUGGGAUGUUACAAUGUAACAUGUGUGAAUGUGUAGUUGAUGUAUUUGGCAGGGCCUAGAGAGGUAUGUGUGUGUAUUACGUAUUCGAGAGAGGCAUGGAUAUAGGGGCCGGCGGGGUGGGACAUGGGAGAGAUAGCACGAGAAAUGAGAGAGGUCUAGAGAGAGAGACGAAUAUGAUGUCACGGCGAGAGAUGCCCUUGAGUCUGUAUAUGCAAGGGGGAGGGGAUAGAGGCACGAGGAGAAAUUUUUUGUGUGGUGUCUGUGUUGGUAUGUGUGGGUGUGAGAAUAUAACAAGACCUGGGGGUAGAGGGUGUGUUACCGCGUGAGGUCCGGUGGGCCGAGGUGAGGCCCUUGGUUCGGUUCCAUCCUAUGCCACAUUGGUCGGCCCGUGAUGCAUUUAGGGAGACCCAUGGAGGACUAGUCGUACAAGAAAAAGAUAGCAGAGUCGUGAAGGACUCUGUGUCAACUGACAAAGCCGGCUAGGAUUUCUAACCCUAGGUCCUCAGAAUAAGGUAACCCCGUAUCUCUGAUAUUACUAUUCAUCCAACCUAACUUUAAGGGGCAUCCUACAGAAUGCUCUGCUAGAAUCAUACUCGUCAAUUAGGAAGAGAUGUGGAGACAAUGCGUGAGAGACAGGCCUAAAGAUAAUGUGCGUGCGGGAGACACGUAGGCAGGUCUAUGGAUAUAAAAAGGAUAGAUGGGGAUUGUACGUGUGUAUGCUUGUGAGAGGAAGAGUGCUUGUGAUAAAGGUUAGUGAAAACAGUCAUAAAUGGUUACGAGAGGGAGGGAGGGUUAUAUCGAGAGAAUGUCUGCAAGAAAGACACCUCAUGAGGAGUGUGUGAGCAUGUGUGAGAGACCACCGAUGGAGAGUGAAACUACACAUAAAAGACUGAUGUACACAUUGAUUAAAAAUAUAAGUUGUAUCCAAAUAUUAGGAUGGGAUCAUGAUAUUUGCAAUUCGCGUAAGGAACGGUCAUUGAUUCAUGAGACAUCUAUAUUCUAUCGAAUUUGAGCAUGUCUAUGUUAAUAUUUGACAUAGUUGAUCCACAUAGUUAGUAUUUUGAACUCCAGACAAUGCAUCGCUUUAGCAAUCGAAUAUAAAUGUGAGUAUAGUUCAUGUUGUGUGUGUAAAGCACAUUAUACAUACAAAAGUUACACAAUGAACAUUAUAAAUAGCUAGCUAUGAACUAGAAUACAUUUGAAUUCAACUUAAGGUGAUUUAAAAAUUAGAAUUCAACAUGAAGUCCAUUCAAUUAUUUGAAUUCGAUAUCAUGGCAUUGGUAAAUCAUACCUAAAUUAUGGGGGCACAAAUCUUUGCUCUGCUUUUGUACAUAAUAGCAUAUAUAGUCAUGUACAAAAUAGAUUCAAAUUUACCUCCUCCAUUCCAAACUAAUCAUAGUUAUAGGAUUUUCAAGUGUCAAAAUUUCAAAAAGAAGUGCAUAAUUUCAUGAGGUUUUCAAACAUACAAGGUCAAAUUUAACGUUGUCUGUCUAGUUAAUCAUCAAAGUUCAAGAGUACUCUAAACGUGAAUGCUUCUAUUCAAAAUUUUGAACGAAGCGCCAAAAGAGCCUCUACUCGCCCGAAACCGCAUGAUACCAAUGCUUGGUAGAAGGAAAUUACUUUUCUAACUCCGACCCGUGAAACCUACCGGCCCGACGUCCAAAGGUCUAAACCGGGGUAGGUUUGUAGCUUCAUCUAGAUGCCACACUGAAAGAACAUGCGGUGCCCCCAUGUUUGGUUUUGGUAAUUGAUGACAAUCUCUAUGGACUAAUGGUUGUCUUGAGUUAUAUUUGAAGGAUUUGUCCAUAGGAUUUUCAUGAAGUCCAGGUGUUGGUUUCAAGGAGUUUAUGAGUUGACCAAGGUGCUAUUAAGGAAUUAUCCAAAGAUUGGUCAUGCGAGUGUUGAGCUUAUUGCAAGCAUGUCUUGAAGAAGAAGGUUGUGUGAUCAUUCAUGUUUACCUUCAAUACAUCAUCCAAAUGAAGAGAUUUGCAAAGAUUUAAGGUUGAUCAAGACUAAGUCAAUAGUGAAUCAGGUUGAUCAACUCACAAAGCGUAGAAGAUGUACCGAGAGGGAUCAAGUGAUCCCAUGGUAUGGUAAGCAUUGUCCAUUGCACUUUGUGUACUAACCCAUGGUCUAUGUGAGAGUUCUAUGUGGGGUUAGGUACGUAUCCAUGGGCUUGUAUCAAGAGGAAGAUAUCAUACAACCCAUGGAAAGGAUGACAUCAAGUGGUGAUCGUCAUCAAGAUUGCCGUGUGCAAGUUCAAGUGGAGCAUCACGAAGAGAUCAAGUGCUUGAAUCUUUCCAUCCAUUGUGGUGUCAAUGGACUUGUGAAGAUGAGCCGAAGAGUGGCUCACCCAUAGUGGACUAUGGGGGAGCAAUCAUCUAGUCUUCAUCGAGCCAACGCAAUCAAGAAAGGUGGUCCAUCUUGAGGGAGUCAAGAUCGUCAUCAUCUAGCUCAAGUGGACCAUGUGCAAGGCAAAGGUUUGCCCUUGAUAGGUUUUCUAUUUUACCGGUCUCAUGGUGGUAGUAGGGAGACCGGGUUAUAUGAUAGUUUGCCGUACUAUCAAGGGGGGCUCUCAAGUUGGUAGCUUGAUCGUAUCGUUAGUAGAGAGAUCCAACACUUGCAUCCUUGCAUCAUGUUUCUUGGUUCUUGUUUGGUUCUCUUUGUGAGUAUUAGAGCUUAUGGUCAUCUUGAUGACAAGCUUGAGUUCAUCAAAAACGGAGUUCACAUGCGUCUUCUAUGAUGUUUUCGGUGUUGGAGGUUUUACCAGUCUUUUCCGAGGAAGGGUUCUCACCAUUUUCCUUUGGGACUUUUCUCAUUUGCUUAUUCUUGAUAUUUCUAUCAAGAUUGUGUUAGACCAUGUCAUUAGCUUUCCAACAAACUUGGUUUCAUUGAAUUCGGAGUCCGUUUGCAAAAGUUGUGGCUGUUUUGGUAAAGGCUGCAGCGGUACUACCGCGACUAGAGCGGAUGUAAUUUUUUACUACUGCUCCAGAGCAGUACUAGCACGGCUCCUGAGCGGUAGUACCGCCCUAGAGAAGUACUACUGCGGCUCCUAAGUGGUAGUACCGCUCCGGACCAAAAUCUCGUGUUUUGCUUAGCGGAAGUAGGCACAGAAGUAUUUUUUUAGUACCGCUCACAAGCAGUAGUACCGCUACCAUUUGCGUUAGUACCGUGAGGUCGAGUUGUAGUACCGUGAGGACGAGCGGUACUACUGCUCUGAAGGUUCUUUUGGCCUUUUUGCCUCCUCGCUGUUGUGUUUCGAAGGGGUACUACCGCCCUAGCGGUAGUACCGCUCUGUGCGGGCUGUGAGCAUAACGGUUGGAUUCGGGAGCUCCUAUAAAAGGGGGUCUUCUUCCCCAUUCAACCUUAUCCUUUGAGCUCGUGUUCUUCCCCCAUUGUUGACCUUCUUCGAGCUUGCUAACUCUCAAUCCCUCCAUGGAUUCUUGCUAGUUUUUGAGGGAAAAGAGAGAGAAGAUCUAGAUCCACAUUUCCACCAAUCACUUUCUCCUCUAUGUGAGGGGAACCCCUUGGAUCUAGUUCUUGGAGUUCUUGGUGUUCUUCUUCUUGUUCUUCCUCUCAUUUUCCUCCCUAGAAUUAGUUGCUUCGGUGGGAUUUGAGAGAGAAGGACUUGGGCACUUCGUGUGCCCUUGCCAUUGCAUUUGGUGCAUCGGUUUGAGUUCUCCACGGUGAUACGUGGAAGUUACAAGUUGAGAAGCUUAUUACUCUUGGGUGCUUGGUUCCCUUGAGCUUGUUACUCUUGGGUGCUUGGGCACCCUAGACGGUUGGUGGUGUUCGGAGCUCAAUCAUUGUGGUGUAAAGCUCCGGGCAAGCGCCGGGGUCUCCAAUUAGGUUGUGGAGAUCGCCCCGAGCAAUUUGACGGGUACCGGUGACCGCCCCCAAGGGUUGCCAAAGUGUACGGGUUCGGUGACUGCCCCCAAGGGUUGCCAUUUGUACGGGUUCGGUGACCGCCCUCAAGGGUCCCUUAGUGGAAUCACGGCAUCUUGCAUUGUGCGAGGGCGUGAGGAGAUUACGGUGGCCCUUGUGGCUUCUUGGGGAGCAUUGUGCCUCCACACCGCUCCAAACGGAGAUUAGCAUCCGCAAGGGUGUGAACUUCGGGAUACAUCAUCGUCUCCGCGUGCCUCGGUUAUCUCUUACCCGAGCCCCUUUACUUAUGCACUUUACUUUGUGAUAGCCAUAUUGUUCUUUGUCAUAUAUCUUGCUAUCACAUAGUUGCUUAUCUUGCUUAGCAUAAGUUGUUGGUGCACAUAGGUGAGCCUAGUUGUUGUAGGUUUUGUGCUUGACAAAUUAACCGCUAGGUUUAUUCCGCAUUUGUUCAAGCCUAAACCGUAAUUAUUUUAAAGCGCCUAUUCACCCCCCCCCCCUCUAGGCGACAUCCUCGAUCUUUCAAUUGGUAUCAGAGCCUCGUCUCUCUUUAUUAGGCUUUACCACCUAGAGAGUAAAGAUGUCGACUAGGGGAUUAUGAUUCUCUGACACUCUUAGUUUUGAUGGAACAAAUUUUGAUGUUUGGGUAAUUCACAUGCUUAAUCUCUUUAGGGUCAUGGACCCAAAUUUAGAGCGAAUUGUAGAUAUGGGUUUUUCUUCUCCAAAGGAUCCCCAAAGAUUAUCUUUAGAGGAUGAGAAAAACUCUUAUCUCAAUGCUCAAGCUUCUAAUGUGCUUUUCGAUGCUUUGAGCAAUGUAGUUAUAUUUCAACUCAUGCCGUUCUGAGAUGCUCAUGAGUUGUGGACGAAGCUUCAAGAUAAAUAUGGUGUGUCCAAGAUUUGUGGGGAUGAUUGUUCUCCCUCCACCUCCGGUCAUAUAGUCUUCUCAACUUCUUCUACUUCACCUACAUGUGGUUUGCCACAAGGUAAUGACAUGGUGAGUAGUUUUGGUCAUUGCAAUGAUGAUAGUAUGCUUAUUGUGGAUGAUCCUUCAUCACUAUAUUAUUGCAAUGCUCCUUCUUUGGGCUUUAACACUUUGAGCACUCCAAAUGUUUCUCAUGCUUGUGUUGAUAUUCCUUGCAUAUCAUGUAGAAAUUGCUUGACUAAAUCUCAUGAUGAUAUGCUUGCUAUGUCUUGUUGCCAUUAUAAAAAUGCAUCUAUUUCCUCGAAUUGUUGUGCUAACAAUGUAGUGGAAACUGAACACUCCAUGGAACAAGAUGUGGUGUUUAAUGGUGCCUCAAGGGAUCCUACAUCAUCAUCUAUUGCUUUUUGCCUUAUGGCUAAGGCGUCAAAGUAUCUCCUACUUUGUACCCCAAUAUGUCUCUUGAUGAUGAUGUUGAUGCUAAUGAUGAUGAGGAUAAUGAUGAAGAGAAUUAUACUGUUGCCUCCUUAAAAACUAAGGGGAAAAUGAUUUUUAAAGCUCUUCAUAAAAAUAAAAUUGCUCGUUCCAACUUCAUGGAAAUAAUGUCCAUUGCCAUUGAUGGCAAGAAAUACAUUGAGGAGUUGGAAUCUCAUCUAGAGGAGCAUGAGGCUACCAUUGAUAAAAUGGAAGGUCAUGGGCGUGAUUACGCUAAUGAGAUUGCGGACCUCUCUCAAGCUCUUGAACUUGAACAAACCACCAAGGAAUCUCUUGAGGAGACUUUUGCUCUAGAAUUGUCUAAAGUGAAGGAAUCUACUGAUAGAGCUCUUAAGGUGGCCAAUGUUUUUGAAACUAAAAAUGCUAAGCUUGAAGUUGCUCAUGCUAGACUCCUUGAGGAUUUUGAGCACCUCGAAAAUGGCUCAAGGGUCAUCAAGGGUGAGCUCAUCAAACUCACCGAGUCUCAUGCUCAACUUGAAGCUUCUUAUUUAAAAGAGCUUUCCAAGUUGCCUUCUCCUCUUGUUGUUAAUGAUGAUGCUUGUGCUACUAAUUCUAUUACUUGUGAAGCAUCCAUUUUGAAGGAGAAUGUUGAGCUACGGGCUCAACUUGAGGUGCUAUCUUCCAAUUAUGGGAAAUUGGAAGAAAGUCAUGAAAAGCUCUCAAGCUCUCAUGAUGAUCUUCUAGUAUCCCAUAGUGUGCUAAAGAUAGCUCAUGAGGCCAUGAUUGCUAAGGUAACAUCUAGUGAGCCUCAUGUGGAUACUAGCACUACUUCUAGUCAAAAUAGUAUAUUGCCAUGUUCUAGUCCUUGUAAUUCAUCUACUCACAAUGUUGGUACAUCUUGUGAUGAAUUGCUUUCCUUGCCUUGUUGCUCUAACGAUGAAGCUUAUACUUCCUCUAGUACUUGUGUUGAGACUAACCAUGUAGAGGAAAUCAAAGAGCUCAAGGCCCAAGUCACUUCUUUGAAUAAAGACUUGGAAAAGUGUCAUGAAGGGAAGGCCACACUCAACAAUAUCUUGAGUGUGCAAAAAUCCCCCAAUGACAAAGGUGGACUUGGAUUCAACUCCAACAAGAAGAAGAAGUCCAAGUUGAACAAUAAGAAGAGCCAAGAACAAGUCAAGAAUUCGGCCAAGAUUGUUUGCUUCAAGUGCAAAGUUGAAGGGCAUCAUGUUAGAUCUUUCCCAUUGAAGAAGAAGGCCAUUAGUGUCAAGCAACAAGGGAAGACGGAACAAGUUCAAUCUCAUGCUCAACAUCAAGUUGAAGAAAGGCCUCUUCCCAAGAAGACUCAAGUUAAUGCUUCUCAAAUUGAGAAAUCAAGUGAGAAGAAAGUGAAGAGUAGACGUUGCUACUUAUGUCGUGAGAAAGGUCACGCCGCUUCUUCAUGCACUAGUGGUAACUUAUCCAACCCAAUUAUUAUUGAUGAUAUCUAUUCUCUUGGUAAGGAUAAGGUUGGCAAUGUGUUUGCCAAGUUUGUUGGUACUCAAAGUGGUGUCAAGCAAAGAACCAUUUGGGUAGCCAAACCUAUUGUGACUAACCUCUUAGGACCCAACUUGGUUGGGGACCAACAAGCUCAAACUUGAUCAAUAGGUGUUGUUGGAGGGCAUUGGAGACUUGGUUACAUUAUGAAGAAUUAAGGGGACUUCAUCAUUCUCUUUGUCUCAAGCCAAGUCAAUUGGAUUAUCAAGUUUCUAUCUUAUAUCCAAUGUGCCUCCUUGCGGUAACUUGUACUUAAAUUGUUUACCUUGAAAGUUACUUGCCCCCUUGCAUGUUUUGGUUUUGUUCCUUGCAUGUGUUUGUAUAUGUUGCGCUUCCAACUUGCUUACCUUGAGCAAUCAAGUAUGUGUGUGUUGGUUUGCACAUCAUGUACAUGUGCGUCGUGCGUUGAGCCUUUUUGCUUCCUGUUUGUAUCCUAGUUGGCUCAUGUGAGAGAUCAAUGGAACAUCCCAUUUUGGGGGAAUGAUGUGCUUUGUGCACCUCACAAUCCUAUAAAUGUGUGUACAUGAGGAAUACCAUCUAGUAUUGAUAUUACAAGAUUAUCUAGUCGCUAGGUGGUAUAUCUCUCAUGAGAAAUUCAAAUUCUAAAAAUUCCAUUGAUUAUCUCGUGUUGGAUCCUAUUACUGCCUCUUGUUUAGUUCUUAUUGGUAUCACAUUAUGGGGGAGUAAUAUGCUAAGUGCAUAUUACAAGCCUAGAAAAUGUGUACAUUUGAGAUAUUGUCACCUAGAAUUGAUAUUGUAAAUUAUCUUGUUCCUAGGUGGCAUGUUAGCUCUACAAGUUGCAAUUUGCUUGUGUGUGGUGUGAAGAUGAUGUUGGAUAUCCUUGCUAUCUACCACCGGGAAUUAUUUCCAUCUAAUUCUUGUCUUUUGACAAUUUGUAGUCACUUAUGUGUGGUAGAAUUUAAUUGAUCAUCUUUACAUUGGCUUUUGUUUAUUUGCCUUUUUCUCUUGCCAAGGUUUGUGUUAACUCCUGUUGUCUUCCAUACCACUUGUGGAUCUUGUUUAUUUCUUGUUCUUGUCUAGUGUUUUCUAGAUAUAGUGAAAGCAGUGAUCCCACCUUGUGCAUUUUGUAUUCAAAUACAAAUCCUAUAUAAUGCACAACUCGUGGGGGAGCUAUUCUAUUUUCAUCACUCUUCUUGUGAUCCUUAUCAAGUGUGUUUUGGUGGAAGGCAAGCCAUUUCUUUUUGGUACUUUGUGCCAUCAUGAAACUUUGUUGAGAGCUUGGUAUGUUUGGAACCAUCCUCUCUUUGGGAGUUUGACAUCUUUAGUUUAGUGUGUAUCAAUGGAUAUCUCAUUCCUUGAUGUAUCUUUAAUGAUAUCUUCCAAGUGAUGAUUUCUCCAUUUGGUAUCCUUUUCACUUGGCAUUUAUUUGUCUUUUGGUUUCGGGUUUUGAAAGUCUUGAGCAUGCAUGUUUACUUCAUGUAUUUCAUUUGGCAUGCUUUCUUUCUUUGACUCAAUAUAUAGGGGAAACUCCAUCUAGUCUCAAUUUGGAUGAGAUGUGCAUGAAAUUCAUUUUCAUAUCUAUAUGCACAUAUUUAUGUGGAGUUUGUCCUAUGUAUUGGUGUUUCUAACUAUUUGGUCCCGAUGAGUUUGGGUACCAUUUAGUUUGUGUUCUUCUUCUAGGAACAUUUGGAGAUGCAUUGGAUGCUCGGCUCACUCACAAGGAAGGUGUUGUCACCAUGUGCAUAUUGGAGUCAAGCUAGGAUGAUCAAUGAACUACUAUCUACCUUCAAUUGGUAUCUACUACAUCCUUCCAAUGAUAUCUCGGUAACAAGUAUCUAUUCAUGCUUUCUCCUCUUGCAUUCAACCUUGUGUAGGUUGCAUCUUGGCAUGAUUUUCAUUUCAUAUCUUGUGAUACUUGUUUCCUUUCUCAAAGCAUCCCAACGAUGAUCUCUUUUUGCUAGUUGUGAUGCCCUUGAUGGAUGUGUGUUUGGACUUCAUUUAUAUACAAUAAGACCAUAUCUAGCCAAGUGCUAUGCUUUGAAGCAAACAUCUUAUUGGUAUAUUUAUGACUUCCUUGUGGAUAUCUUCUUCCUUCGUGUUGUAACUAUUUCGGGUGUACAUUCUUCUUUGUAGAUAUAUAUAUCAUCAUGAUUUCGUCUACAUAGAACCUUAUACACUUGAGAGAAAUUACAUAUCUAGUUGAUAUCCUUUCUUUCACGUCCACCUUGUCUUUCUUAUGUUAUUUCUUUGGUGGCUCCGUGAAAGCUUUUGCCUUGAGUGCGUGUCCUCUAUCGUUGCAUCUUGAUGCACUCUUGUGUGGCGAAGAUUAUUUUCCUCAUGCUUAUCGUUACGAGGCUUUUGCCAUCUUAAUUGGCAUCCCUCGUCUUGAUGAGGCUUUCAUCUUCUAUCUUCACCACGGGUUGUCACAAGCAUAAGUUCUUUAUAUGCUUAUUAGUAAACUUGUGAACCCAUUUGCUAGUUGUGUGUGGGAAUGACAGGCCUUGCACCGUGUGCCUCAUUCUUUCAAGACUAUGUUGAUGCUUAAUGCUCAUCCUAAUUUUAGUCUUCUCAAGUGCUUCGCCAUGACUCACACACAUCAUUUUGGUUGAGCCCAUUCUUAAGUUGACUCUUUUACUUGUUGCUCAAUCAUGUGUUUGUUGCAAGUACUAGGCUUUGUUUCCUAUAUGCUCACUUGCACUUGUUGUAAGUUUCUAUUGAUUUUGGGGGAGCUAUGAUCCUAUUUUGUGCACUUUGUAUCCAAUUAAAAAACAUUCUUUUUUGUGCACAAAUCAUGGGGAGCUUCUCUAGUUUCUUUAGAACACUCCUCGUCUCAUAUCAUAAUAUCCUUCAUUCAUGUGGCUCAUAGGAUCCUUGGUCUAGUUGGUUCAAUUGAUAUCCUUUGAUUGCUUGCUUCAAUUGGUAUCUUUUGAUUGCUUGAUUGCUUGUUUCUCUCUUUGUUAUGUCUUUGUGGCAUAUCAUUCUUUUGCAAUCUUUGGGCCUCAAUAUAGUUUGUGUUCCUCCAAGUAUUAACCGUUGGAUAUGUGUAUUGCAUUCCACUCUCUCGUUGAGAAAUACACAAUUUAUGGAGGACCACAAUUUAUAUUGGUCUUCUUAGCUUUUCGCCCAUUUUGGCAAUUGAUGCCAAUGGGGGAGAAGUUUCAGAGAGUUUUGUGGAGAAGUUUAGAGAGUUAUCUCCUCUUUUUUGGUUUUGUUCCUUAGCAUUUGCAUCUCAUACGCAUGCACUAUUGGUUGUUGCAUUGCAUAGUGAAGCAUAAUUCCUUAUAUAAACUCUCUUGAAAGUGAUUGUCAUCAAUUACGAAAAUGGGGGAUAUUAAAAUAACAUGCGGUGCCCCCAUGUUUGGUUUUUGUAAUUGAUGACAAUCUCUAUGGACUAAUGGUUGUCUUGAGUUAUAUUUGAAGGAUUUGUCCAUAGGAUUUUCUUGAAGUCCAUUUGUUGGUUUCAAGGAGUUUAUGAGUUGACCAAGGUGCUAUUAAGGAAUUAUCCAAAGAUUGGUCAUGCGAGUGUUGAGCUUAUUGCAAGCAUAUCUUGAAGAAGAAGGUUGUGUGAUCAUUCAUGUUUACCUUCAAUACAUCAUCCAAAUGAAGAGAGUUGCAAAGAUUUAAGGUUGAUCAAGACUAAGUCAAUAGUGAAUCAAGUUGAUCAACUCACAAAGCGUAGAAGAUGUACCGAGAGGGAUCAAGUGAUCCCAUGGUAUGGUAAGCAUUGUCCAUUGCACUUUGUGUACUAACCCAUGGUCUAUGUGAGAGUUCUAUGUGGGGUUAGGUACGUAUCCAUGGGCUUGCAUCAAGAGGAAGAUAUCAUACAACCCAUGGAAAGGAUGACAUCAAGUGGUGAUCGUCAUCAAGAUUGCUGUGUGCAAGUUCAAGUGGAGCAUCACGAAGAGUCAAGUGCUUGAAUCUUGCCAUCCAUUGUGGUGUCAAUGGACUUGUGAAGAUGAGCCGAAGAGUGGCUCACCCAUAGUGGACUAUGGGGGAGCAAUCAUCUAGUCUUCAUCGAAACAACGCAAUCAAGAAAGGUGGUCCAUCUUGAGGGAGUCAAGAUCAUCAUCAUCUAGCUCAAGUGGACCAUGUGCAAGGCAAAGGUUUGCCCUUGAUAGGUUUUCUAUUUUACCGGUCUCAUGGUGGUAGUAGGGAGACCGGGUUAUAUGAUCGUUUGCCGUACUAUCAAGGGGGGCUCUCAAGUUGGUAGCUUGAUCGUAUCAUUAGUAGAGAGCUCAAACCCUUGCAUCAUUGCAUCAUGUUUCUUGGUUCUUGUUUGGUUCUCUUUGUGAGUAUUAGAGCUUAUGGUCAUCUUGAUGACAAGCUUGAGUUCGUCGAAAACGGAGUUCACAUGCGUCUUCUAUGAUGUUUUCGGUGUUGGAGGUUUUACCAGUCUUUUCCGAGGAAGGGUUCUCACCAUUUUCCUUUGGGACUUUUCUCAUUUGCUUAUUCUUGAUAUUUCUAUCAAGAUUGUGUUAUCCCAUGUCGUUAGCUUUCCAACAAACUUGGUUUCGUUGAAUUCGGAGUCCGUUUGCAAAAGUUGUGGCUGUUUUGGUAAAGGCUGCAACGGUACUACCGCGACUAGAGCGGAUGUAAUUUUUUACUACCGCUCCAGAGCAGUACUACCGCGGCUCAUGAGCGGUAGUACGGCCCCAGAGAAGUACUACCGCGGCUCCUAAGUGGUAGUACCGCUCCGGACCAAAAUCUCGUGUUUUGCUCAGCGGAAGUAGGCACAGAAGUAUUUUUUUAGUACCACUCACAAGCAGUAGUACCGCUACCAUUUGCGGUAGUACCGUGAGGUCGAGUGGUAGUACCGUGAGGACGAGCGGUAAUACUGCUCCGAAGGUUCUUUUGGCCUUUCUGCCUCCUCGCUGUUGUGUUUCGAAGGGGUACUACCGCCGUAGCGGUAGUACCGCUCUGUGAGGGCUGUGAGCAUAACGGUUGGAUUCGGGAGCUCCUAUAAAAGGGGGUCUUCUUCCCCAUUCAACCUUAUCCUUUGAGCUCGUGUUCUUCCCCCAUUGUUGACCUUCUUCGAGCUUGCUAACUCUCAAUCCCUCCAUGGAUUCUUGCUAGUUUUUAAGGGGAAAGAGAGAGGAGAUCAAGAUCCACAUUUCCAUCAAUCACUUUCUCCUCUAUGUGAGGGGAACCCCUUGGAUCUAGUUCUUGGAGUUCUUGGUGUUCUCCUUCUUGUUCUUCCUCUCAUUUUCCUCCCUAGCAUUAGUUGCUUCGGUGGGAUUUGAGAGAGAAGGACUUGGGCACUCCGUAUGCCCUUGCCAUUGCAUUUGGUGCAUCGGUUUGAGUUCUCCACGGUGAUACGUGGAAGUUACAAGUUGAGAAUCUUAUUACUCUUGGGUGCUUGGUGCCCUUGAGCUUGUUCCUCUUGGGUGCUUGGGCGCCCUAGACGGUUGGUGGUGUUCGGAGCUCAAUCAUUGUGGUGUAAAGCUCCGGGCAAGCGUCGGGGUCUCCAAUUAGGUUGUGGACAUCGCCCCGAGCAAUUUGACGGGUACCGGUGACCACCCCCAAGGGUUGCCAAAGUGUACGGGUUCGGUGACCGCCCCCAAGGGUUGCCAUUUGUACGGGUUCGGUGACCGCCCUCAAGGGUCCCUUAGUGGAAUCACGGCAUCUUGCAUUGUGCGAGGGCGUGAGGAGAUUACGGUGGCCCUAGUGGCUUCUUAGGGAGCAUUGUGCCUCCACACCGCUCCAAACGGAGAUUAGCAUCCGCAAGGGUGUGAACUUCGGGAUACAUCAUCAUCUCCACGUGCCUCGGUUAUCUCUUACCCGAGCCCCUUUACUUAUGCACUUUACUUUGUGAUAGCCAUAUUGUUCUUUGUCAUAUAUCUUGCUAUCACAUAGUUGCUUAUCUUGCUUAGCAUAAGUUGUUGGUGCACAUAGGUGAGCCUAGUUGUUGUAGGUUUUGUGCUUGACAAAUUAAUCGCUAGGUUUAUUCCGCAUUUAUUCAAGCCUAAACCGUAAUUAUUUUAAAGCGCCUAUUCACCCCCCCCCCCUCUAGGCGACAUCCUCGAUCUUUCACACACAACUGCCUCCGAAAAACAUUCAUACACAAUGGCCGCCUAAGCACACGUGCGUGCGGCCGAAAUUGCUCCCGCCCACUAUUUGGGACACCUGGGAUUACCAUCCUACCCCCGACCCGCGGUACGUCCGAAUUUAAGAGGGGUGGCAAUGUUUGUACUUUCCCCAAAUUUCAAACAAGUGCGUCCCAUCUGUUCAUAAAAAUCAAAAACAAGCGCGUCCCAGACUGAAACAUGGUUCUCCCUUAGCUCUCCCCCUCCCCCGCCCCCUCCCCUCCCCCUGUCUGAUUCCCCAUUCAUACUCUAUGGGUGCCAAAAACUACCUCUCCACCAGCCGCGAAACCCCGGUGUCCUCCGUCUGCCACCCCAUCCCACCCAUCAACCGCCGCCCUCCUCCAUCACCCCGGAGCCGAUACCCCGAUGUCAUCGUCCACCGCAACCUCAGCAACGCCCUCCACGGCUAGUAGUUGAAGCCGAGGCCGAGUUGUCCGUACGCGAGCCAGUUCAACCACGUCGUCCUGCGCCUCAUCACUGCCGCUCCAACUUCGCCACCGUCCACCGCACCGGAGCUGUUCCCGCUACACCGUCCUCCGCCGCCUUGGAUCUGCUUCCCCUCCGCUGAUAGACGGCCACCACAACACAGUCAACAAUUUGUCCAUGGGUUCGUCCAAUGCUCCACCAUCCUCCAAAACAUCGGUUCCCCGGUAAAAACAAGAAAAUCAUUGUGACAUCUAGAGGACACAACACUGGCAACUGGAAAUGGUACUCCUCUUCCCUUAUUCGUGCAAACCUUACAUGUCUUCUUGCUCGGUAUUCAUCCCAUAGAAGACACUAGUUGACCGCUUCUUCUUGAUACUAGAUGUUCCUAGUAACUCGCGAUGCACAAGGUUUCUCCUCGUAUACUAUUUCACCUUAGCUAGAGGUCCAUCGCCCCCUGGAUUUCAAUUCCUGGCCAGUUGAUUCCCAAUUAAAGGAAGUAUUCCUCAGUGUAACUGGCGCUAGUCCGCCUAUUACGCUGGGGAACCAGAGCCUCGGUGUUUAUCUUAGGGGUGUGUGGGGCCUAGGAGCUGCUGGCGCCUGAUCUAGAGGUUGGUCGGGAUUAAAGGGAUGGACGGGGGUGCUGCCAAGCACGGCAGUGGUGUGAGGUCAAGGGGAAGGCGGGGCGACGGAGGCAGGGGUCUGGGCCGGUGGUCGCUGGUGGUUCGAGAAAGAUCAUCAACAGUGACUAGCGGGAGGUAGACAUAGGCCAUCUGCCCGUUCCCUUUAGAUCGGACGGUUCAUAAAAAACGACUUACCUAUUUAUUUUCAGUCGACUGUUAUUUUGAUAGGACCACAUGUGGUGGUGUCCUGGAGGAGUACCUGCAUCUCCCAGCCAUCCCUGUGCUCAUAUAUUACAAAAUCAUGCGGAGUAGAAUCUAAUUUCGUUUGCCAUGCAAUGUUUUAGAGCUAUCAUAUGUCUCAUGUCAUUUAUUUUUCAGCCACCUGCUAUCUACUACUUUUACAGUGUACUAGUUCUGCACACACUUCACCCAUACUCUCACUAUUGUUUUUUUAUGCAUCGGUAUUUCAGACUCUACCAAUGUGACGCCCCAAGUCCGAUGCUCCAGUUGCCUUCCAUUUAUUUUAGUUAUUGCCGUGUGUUUAUUGUGUGUGGCAUUGUCAUAGUUGUUUUGCAUAUUUCUUUUCCCUAUGUUUGUUGCCAUGAUCAUGUUGAGUGCCUUGUCAUAUUUUCUUCUUGCUUCAUGAUCAUCUUUGUUUACAUUGCUUUGUGCCUUUUGUCAUUUUGCAUUUCAUCAUAAUCACCAUGUGCAUCGCAUUCUUCAUGAUGUUGUCUUGCUCUAUGCACGUUGCAUGUGACCAAACCCCUUGCUAUGUCUCUCAAAUCUACCCAUGCAUCAACACCUCCUUCUUCCUUCCUAUUCCUUUCAUUUUUGCUAGUGCCAUUUUCUGUCCUCCAUAAAUGUUUAUUCUUUCCCUAAAAAUCCCGUACAUUGCUUACACCCUCUCUGUCAAAUUUCAUCUCUUUCAAAGUUGUUUUGGUUGGGCGAAGAAUUUACUCAAGUUUGAAUAAAAAUUCAAACUUGUUUAAAUUUUCUGUCCCUAAUUCUGUCAAACCAAUUUUAUUAAAUCUUGCAUGUUCCCAGGAGCAUGAGGAUAUUCUAAUAUCUUCCAAAUUCUCUUCCUAGCUCCCCCUUCUUUUCCUUUUCAGAAAUAUGUUUAUUAUAAAAACAGAGAAAAGGGAACUGCCUUUUCCUUAUCUGGGCGCUGCACUUGGGCCUUCCACUCACCUGCAGCUAGCAUCAGUGGCCCAACAGCAGCCUCGCAGCGCAUCCCACCAGUCCUCCAGCACAGGGUCGUCCCCUACCUUUGUACGGCGCACAUCCAGGGGCGCCACGUUGGCAGCCGGCUUGAUUUGACGGCCGGGAUAGCCUCCCUACCUCCUAUAAAUCAUGCCCCGGUGCCCUAGGGUCUCUCCUGUUUCCAUUCCUCCCUCUUCCUCGUCUAGCUGCUGCAAGGUAAGCCACUCCACACCAUAGCCGUCGCCAACGCCAUGCUCGAGCUCUACUCCAGCGCGAUCAAGCUCAACGUCGUCCUCUUCUUCCUCGGGGAGCGACGCCGCGUCUCCUUCUUCUUCUCGACCUCGCAAGCGCCCAUUCGAGCCACGGAUCGACCUCCUCCUUGACGUCUUCUUCCCCUGCUUCCUCUGCUUCAUGGACCCGAAGCCCCGCCAAGUCUCCGCCGCCGUUCAACACGCUUCCUGCCGUCUCCACUGCGUCCAGUUGAACCACGGCGUCGCCAAAACCCGUGGUGAGCUCAUGCUCCUCCCGGUCUUUGUCCCUUUGUUGAUUCCGUCCACGAAGCCGGCGUUCUGUGCAUAUCUGAGGCCUUGAUCGCCGGAAAUCUUUGCAACCUCUGUUGUACCCCUGCUUGCAUGCCCGAGCUCGCCCACGUACACGCGUCCGUAGCCCCCGCAUGCAUCUGCACCCGCGCGCGCACCUUGCCUUCUGCCGCUCGCUCGCCGCGCCAUGCUCGCCUCUACCGCACUUGCUCGCCGACGCCCGAGACGAGCACGGCCUCGUGCUCGAGCCAAUCUCUCGCAGCUGCUCCGCACGCACGCAUCCAUACCCCAUUCCCGCAGCCUCCCUAGAAGGAUUCCGCACCCCCGCCGGUCCUCUGAAGCCACAGCAGUUGUUGCUGCUGGCUCCCGUCGCCGGCGAGUCCCCGCGCUCGCGCUUCAGUUUUGGUCCUGGUCGCGAUGCGUAUAUGGUUAUGUUCUGCCAAUCUCCCAUUGCAUCACUAACUCGUAGCUAGCCCGGUGGCUAGCGCAGCCACUAUCCAUCCGAGAGGUUCUGGGUUUGAUCCCAGGUUCUCCCGUUUUCCUUUUUUCCCUUGCUUCUUUGUUUUACAUCGAGCCCACACACCCACAGCCACUUGGGCCCGAUUCCACCUCUGGGCCGCUGCACUCUAGUGCUUCUGGCCCGGGCAUAUUUUUUUUUACCAGUCUGUGUAUUUUAGCAUUUUUCCAAUGCAUUCGUAUUUACAGUAAAUGCCACUGUUUUGUAUUGUUAAUAACUAAAUAUGCAUGCAUCCAAUUUGAACAAACUAUAUAUGUAAAAUGCUUAGAAUUUUGUGUAGAUUAAUAAUAUGCCACUUUCAUCCAUGUUUAAAAUGUUUAAAAUGUUGUUUCUUUAAAUUUGCUUAAAUGCCAUAUUAAAAUGAUUUAUUUCAUAACUAAAUAACCGUUGCUCCUAUUUUAAUAAACUUUAUAUGUAAAUGGGGUGGAAAAAUGCCUAGUUUAACAUGGUGCACUUUGUUUUACUAUUUAACAACUCUAAAAUUGUGUUUAGGGCAGAACAGUACCAAAUUCAUAAUUUGGACAUGAGGAUUUUCCAGAAUUGUUGUUUGUUGUUUUCGGCCUCAUUUAAACCUGCCUAAAUAGCUACUUUACUUAUGCUUCACCCCCUUGCCAUGCUAAUAACAUUUAAUAUUGUUGGGUACAUAACCGAGAUCAAACUAAAUAAUUGCAUGUGGUGUUUUGUCAAUAUGCAACUCGUUGCAUAUUGAUCUCCACUUAACUUGUAGUAUUGUUUGUUGCACUUGCCAUGCCAUGCCUUAUUAAACCGGACAUGCAUCAUACUUGUUUGUGCAUCAUGCCAUGUUUAUGCUUGUGCAUUUAUCAUGUUGUUUGUUUCUUUCUGGUGUUGCUUCUUAGUUCCGGUAAUGUUGAGGAUUCGUUCGACUACUCCCGUUCGUCUUCUUCAUGGACUCGUUCUUCUUCCUUGUGGGAUUUCAGGCAAGAUGACUGUGACCCUGGAUCUCACUACUAUCAUUGCUAUGCUAGUUGCUAUGUUCUAUCGCUUUGCUGCGCUACCUACCAUUUGUUCUUCAAGCCUCCCAAUUUGCCAUGUCAGCCUCUAACCUUUUCACCCUUCCUAGCAAACCAUUGCUUGGCUAUGUUACCGCUUUUGCUCAGCCCCUCUUAUAGCGUUGUUAGUUGCAGGUGAAGUUGAAGAUUGCUCCAUGGUGGACAGGAUUAUGUUGGGAUAUCACAAUAUCUCUUAUCUAAUUAAUGCAUCUAUAUACUUGGUAAAGGGUGGAAGGCUCGGCCUUAUGCAUGGUGUUUUAUUCCACUCUCGCCGCCCUAGUUUCCGUCAUACCAGUGUUAUGUUCCCGGCUUUUGUGUUCCUUACGCGGUUGGGCGAUUUAUGGGACCCCCUUGACAGUUUGCUUUGAAUAAAACUCCUCCAGCAAGGCCCAACCUUGGUUUUACCAUUUGCCUCACCACCACCUAUACCCUUUCCCUUGGGUCGGCCAACCCGAGGGUCAUCUUUAUUUUAGCCCCCCCGGGCCAGUGCUUCUCUAAGUGCUGGUCUGAACCGGGCAGACUGCGGGGCCACCUCGAGGCAACUCGAGGGCUGGUUUUACUCGUAGGCUGACCUAUCCGGUGUUGCCCUGAGAACGAGAUAUGUGCAGCUCCUAUCGGGAUUGUCGGCGCAUCGGGUGGCUUUGCUGGUCUUGUUUUACCAUUGUCGAAAUGUCUUGUAAACCGGGAUUCCGAGUCUGAUCGGGUCUUCCUGGGAGAAGGUAUAUCCUUUAUUGAUCGCGAGAGCUUAUCAUGGGCUAAGUUGGGACACCCUUGCAGGGUAUAAUCUUUCGAAAGCCGUGCCCGUGGUUAUGUGACAGAUGGGAAUUUGUUAAUGUCCGGUUGUAGAUAACUUGACACCAGAUCCGAAUUAAAACGCAUCAACCGCGUGUGCAGCCGUGAUGGUCUUUUCUCGACGGAUUCCAGGAAGUGAACACGGUUUUUGGGUUAUGUUUGACGUAAGUAGGAGUUCAGGAUCACUUCUUGAUCAUUGCUAGCUUCACGACCGGUCCAUUUGCUCUCUUCUCGCUCUUAUUUGCGUAUGUUAGCCACCAUAUAUGCUUAGUCGCUGCUGCAACCUCACCACUUUACCCCUUCCUUUCCCAUUAAGCUUUGCUAGUCUUGAUACCCAUGGUAAUGGGAUUGCUGAGUCCUCGUGGCUCACAGAUUACUACAACAACAGCUGCAGGUACAUGUUCUGCGAUGAUCAUGACGUGAGAGCGAUGUCACUUGUCUUGGAGUUCUACUUUUGCUUCUUCUUCGAUCAGGGGAUAGGUUCCAGGUCGGCAGCCUGGGCUAGCAGGGUGGAUUUCAUUUGAGUUUUUGUUUGUGAUUCAUCCGUAGUCGGAUGUUGCUCUUACGUAUUGUGAUGUUGUAUUCGUGUGGCAUUGUAUGCCUUUUGUAUGUAUCCCCAUCUAUUAGGUAAUGUUGAUGUAAUGAUAUCCACCUUGCAAAAGCGUAUCAAUAUGCGGUUCUAUCCUUGGUGGGACCUUCGAGUCUCUUUAGGAUAGUAUCGCAUAUUGGGCGUGACAACCAACCGGUUGAUAGAAGCACAAAAUAAAAGAGAGAAGCAGCUCCAGAUUUCUUCGGGCUUAGGCAAGGCAUGUUUCAGCCUUAUAAAGGGUGCGGUCUUAGCAGAUGGAGACGGUAAACAUAGCUCUGGAGUUGAUGACCUUGCUCGCCAUGAACCACCAUCCCAGGUGCUUGCUUUAACUUCGCGGUGUCAUAUGUGUUUGCAUGUUGCAUAUGGUGUCUAGCUUGUAUCCGAAAGGCCGAAGUCGGUCUUUAUUAAGAUAAGGAAAGAUAUUUUUUACAUGAACCACCAUCCAGGGAGCACUAGAAGACAAAUAGCUAGCCAGGGCACUGGCCGAGCCAGUGACAAGCCCAGCACAGACAAGCAUCACCUGGAAUCCAACUACAAAGCCACGAUGGUGGCGAAGCAGCCCGCCUCCCACCAGGCUCUCAGGUCCUCGAUGAUCAUGCUCACCACUCCAGCCGGAUGUCUAGCUUGUAUUGCUUCCAAUUUUGUUAAAUUGCAUCUGCUUAGCUUACACAUUAUACCUUUGAAUAUGACAUGCCUUCCUAUUUUUGGUACAUACUAGUACAUCUGUCUAUUAACCAUGUUCUUACAUCAAACUAAUGUUCUUGUGUAUCCCUCAUCAAUCACUUAUGAUGAGACAGUCACCCCAGUGGGUUACUGUGAGAAAAUACGCUCUUUUAAACAAUGCAGCAUCAGCCUCCCCACAUGAUUCUUGAGAAACAACAAGGCUAGAUGAAUAUAGUGAAUGUAGCUAUGUAGUUGAUGAACGCAUUUCCCGUACACCAGCAUCGCAGGUGCUUGCUCUAACUUGGCAGCGUGAUACGUGGUUGCAUGUUGCAUAUGGUGUCUAGAUUGUAAUUCUUCCAAUCUGGUUAAAUUGUUGUCGGCGGGAAACGACACCUAUGGGAUCACUGGAAUCCCUUCUACGUUUGCGGGGCGCGGGAUCGUGAGAAGAGCAGGACUAGUAGACAACACAAAGGGGAUUUACCCAGGUUCGGGCCGAAGAGAUGCGUAAAACCCUACGAUCCUGCUUUGGUGGAUGUAUUUAGUGUUCUUGAGCUCUUGAACUAGCUCUGGGUGCUGCUAGGUUCAAAAGAGCCGAAUCCUUCUCCAGUGCGCCAUGGGCCUCCUUUUAUAGGCGAAAGGGGCUGCCACAGUGGCACACAGGAGGUGGAAAGUGCUACAGCACUGUGAACUUAUCGCUGGUAUUACAUGACAAAGCGCAUUUAAUGCGAGGCUUAGGUGUCCCUUCACUUUAUCGGGGAUGGGAGCGAGGCCCAUCCCACCCGUCGCUGCUCCUCCUUGCUUCGACACGUGCCCUGGCCAGCGAUGCAUGCGGUGCCAUGUAGGCAGGCAGGCAGCUGAGGUGGCGUGGUGGUGGAGCCUCCACAAAAGGCUGCAUGUUGCCACGCAGGUGCCUGCCCAGUUGGUUGGGUAAGCAGCUGCAUGCGAACAGCGGCGAAGACUUGGCUGGUGCGGGCCUGCCAGUGGCCCUACUGGCACGCUUGGUGAGGGCCUUGCCGGGUGGCCCGGCAAGGGUCUUGCCGUGGCGCGCAGUCGUCCCUAGCAAGGAUCUUGUCAGGGGUCUUGUGGGUUUCUUCGGUGAGGAUGGUUACCUUCCUAUCCUCAUUUGGUCUUGACUAUUCUUUGUCUUCACAAAGAUCUGCAUGCCACCACAGAGGUGCCUCCCGAGCCCUGUCCCAACGUGUUUGUUUAGCGUUGGUGGGCUCAAAGGUGGUUUGCUCAGCUAGUGGGGGCGAGCUGCCCCGACAAGGGUCUUGCCGGGGCUGAUGAGGCUGCCCCGGCAAGGGUCCUUGCCAGGGAAACCUGCUUCGUCCAUCUGAUCUUUGUGGCCUUGGUCCUUGUCGUUGCUUUGUUUGUCUUGUAUCUUCGACUUCUCUCCGGCUUCCCUUUCCUGCCCUGUUGUGCGAGGCCAUGGCGGGAGGCUCUGACUGCCCGUGCACAAGUAAAGGGGUCAAAAGGAGAGCCCCUACUUUUGUACACCGACAGGAGCCCUCGGGCCUGGGCCACACAUAAGCGCAGCAGGUUGUUAGGCCAGGGCUGGAAUGGUGCGCGGGCAGUUGGGGUGGAUUUUACCGCGGCCACUACUCCAUCUGCUGCGCUUCCCCAUGACCCGUGUUGAACGCGCCAUGUGGGGGUCAUGCGCGUGCGCAUGACGGAAGCAUGCUGGCAUCACCUUGUGGUGGACAGUAAAGUGGCGGCCUGCGUGUCUCUUUGAGACCGCAGGGCCGCCUCCCAUUUACUGCCCUCGCUUGGGAACCUCGCUCCACGUGUCCCACCGUGCCCGCCCCUUGUGCCACGUUCGUUGCAUGCAUAAUGCAGAGCGAAUGAUAGGCGCGUGGGAUGUGGGAAGUCGUGCGCGUGCAUGGGUCGAUUCCCACCGCCUUCAGUGGAGCGGGGAGGGCGGUCAACGGCCCCGCUUGCUGUCACUUCAGCGGGUUGGAUUGGCCGGGAGGGGCGGCCGAGCCUCGCCCCUGCCCCUUUUAAAAGAGGGGAGCGGGAGGAACGGUGCCUCUCAACCCUUCACCAUUUGCCUCUCCCCAUUCCUGCUUCCUCCUUUCUUCUGUCCUGGCGAGGGGGUGUGGUGAUGCUUCAUCGCUGGCGGUGAGGGUUUCGUCCAGACAGCGCACCGCUCCUCCCCAAGAGCUUGUAGCGGCGGAGCCGGCCGCUAGAGGAAGGGGGAGGGGCGAGGUCAGGGCCGUCGUGGUGCACGAGGGAGAGGACGGGGCGGCAGAUCAGCCUCGCCUCCGCCAGCAGCCCCUCCUCCGAUGGGGGGCCACACCGGGGAUAACCUCUGCGAAAUCUUCAUCAGGCUGCGCCAGCCACCGCGUCGUCGCCUUCGCCUCCCGAGUCCAUUUGCGCGGGAGAUGGAGCUGGAUCCGCCGCAGGCAUUGCGGCUGCAUAUGAGGGAUUGCGGGAACAGCAGCACAUGGGCCAACGUCGAGUUCCCUGCCCCUCACGUCAUGUAUCUUCACCGAGGGUGGAAGACCUUUGCUUGCCUCCACAGCUUGACGGAUGGGCUCACUCUCCAUUUCAAACUAAUGGAGGGUGGCCUCCUCUCCGUCAAGAUCUUCGGGCACUUCGGGACUCACAUAAGGUGCUGCGUGGAGAGCUCUUUUGACGACGAAGAUUCCUCCUCGACCGAGAGUGGCGAGGAAGACAAUGGCGGCGACAACGAGGCUAGCGGGCGGUAGGAUGACGGGUCCGACUAGGCGUCGGGCGCCGCUCCGAGCGGCACCGGUGACCCCAUCAUCCGUGUCGCCAGAUCCUUGAACUUCUCGGGGUCGUCUCCUUGGGCGGCUGGCGUUGGGAGGCUGCAGAAGAGGAAGAGGGCGGGCGGCAAGGCCGUCAAGUCAGAGUACGCGGGCACCGACGCCUUCGUCGCAUAUUGACGUCCUGCCACCUCGUCUUCAAGCUCUGCCUCCGGCGCCGCCAUCACCAUCCAGCCCUUGGACAGCCACCGAGAUGUUCUCUUGGUGUCUUCUGCCACUCGUAGCUCACCUAGGCGCCCCUCUUGCACUUCUGCUUUCUUGUUCCGUUUCCUGAGAAGAGGGACAAGAAAGGGAUUAUGGGCACCUUAUCUUUUUUUAGUCUUGUAAGCCUUCGGGACUUUGUUAACUUUAGAACUUGUAGCCCCCUUGCUCAUGUUUUUCAUUUCGUAUGAACUGUACCUGUACGGGGUGUUUUUUUAGUGAAAAGGUUUGUUUGCCGGGUUUUUCGUUCGCAGGCGGAACCCACGACAAGGAGUGAAUCCUCGUUAUCCUUAAGAUAAAAUGUUUUUUCACCCAGCAACAGGCCUUGCCGUCCCCCCAAUUCGCUCGACCUUUCUCACGCCCUUAGCGGAGGCAGGGAUGAGGUGGGCUUAGGCUCCUCGUUUUAUUUCCUUGAUGUCGCGACUAUGACCAAACUCGGUCCCAGGAGAUGAGUCCUAGGGUCCGGAAUGAGGGGAGCAUGGUAGCCUAAGGAUAAAACGAGGUUUCACAUACCUCAGUCCAUAACGAAACGCAUGAUAGGGGAUAGAUAACUUAUCUGGAUCUGCAGCCCCCGGGAAGCUUGUCUUGCCGUGGAUGGAUCCUUGCUCUUGUAGCCCCCGGCAACUUUGGCUUGCCGGGGCCCGGACGCCGGUCCGUCCCGUUUCUUCCAAAGCAGCUCGGCAAGGAUAUUCAUGUGUCCUGCGAACCAAAGAAGACAGAGAAGAACCGAGAGACGCGCACUCGACCUCUAAGCUAGGGGUUAGCCGCCGCUAAGCACUAUCAACCCUAACCAAGGAAGAGACUCAACCUAGCAUGCAUGCUAUAACUUAGGGCGCCAGCGCUUUGUUUAUUUAUGCUCAGGGUCUGCGCCUGGCUUUGUACAAAGGGUUACAUGCCUUGUCGGCAAGGCUUGUACAAAAGGGUGGCUUGCCAGGAGGCCCGGCAGCCGCGCCUUGUGGGUAAAACUUGCGGAGAUGCUCGAUGUUCCAGGAGUUGCUCACUGGAAUGGCAUCUUCGAUCUCCAGCCAGACUGCGCUGGGCCUGGUGACUCGUGUUACCCGAUAAGGGCCUUCCCACUUUGGCGUCAACUUGUUGGAAUUCUUGGCCGACUGAACAUGCUGAAGAACAAGGUCGCGUUCCUCAAAUCUCCGGGCAUGAACCUUGCGGCUAUGGUAGCGGCGCAAGGCUUGCUGGUAGCAUGCUGCUCUCACAGCCGCCCGAAGAUGAUCUUCCUCAAGGAGCGUCGCGUCAUCUUGCCGUAAUCGCUCUUGCUCAAGCUCAUCAUAAGCGAGCACUCGAGGUGACCCGUAUAUGAGUUCUGUGGGGAGAACUGCUUAUGCCCCGUAAACCAGGGCAAAGGGUGCCUAGCCAGUGGCUCGAUUUGGCGUUGUUUGAUCGACCAAAGAACCGCCGGCAACUCAUCAAUCCAGCACCUUCUGCUCUUGCGCAGCCUAUCAAAAGUCUUCGUUCUUAAGCCUCGCGGGACUUCAGCAUUUGCUCUCUCUGCUUGGCCGUUGCUCCGUGGAUGUGCCACGGAAGCAAAACAGACCCUGCUGCCAAGAUCUUCAAUGUAUUGCAUGAAGGCAUGGCUUGUGAACUAUGUGCCGUUGUUGGUGAUGAUCCCUUUGGGCACCCCGAAAUGGCACACUAGCCCUUGAAGAACUUGGUGGCUGACUGCACUAUCACCUUCCUCACUGCUUCCACCUCUGCCACUUUGUGAACUUGUCAAUUGUGACAUACAAGUACUCAAAGCCCCCGACAGCACGGGGGAAAGGGCCCAAUAUGUCGAUCCCCCAGACCGAGAAAGGCCAGGAGAGAGGGAUAGUUUGAAGGUCUUGAGCUAGUUGAUGGAGCUUCUUUGAAUGGAACAGGCAUGCUUCACACUUGGUUACUAGUGCCGUCGCAUCCUGGAGGGCGGUGGGCCAGAAGAAACCUUGCCUCAAAGCCUUGCCGGCAAGGGCUCUCGACCCUAUGUGGGAGCCACAUAUACCUCCAUGUAUCUCUGCCAACAGCUUUAGUCCUUCCUCCCGGGAGAUGCACAUCAAUUUCACCGCAUUCGGUCUUCUUCUGUACAAUACGUUAUCAACAAAUUGGUACAGAGCAGACCGGCGGGCUACUCUUUCUGCCUCUUCCUGCUCCUCAGGAAGCUCUCCUUUUUGAAGGAAUCGGAUGGUGUGCUACGCCCAUGUCGGAGCCUGUGGCUCGAUGACAAGGACCAAAGGCAUCUCUUCUGCCACGGGAGCGGCCCCCUCCACGGCCAUGACCUGAGGUCCUGCCGGAGUCGGUUGCCUCGCGGCAGGAUCGGCAUCCACGGCAACAUAUUCGCCGGUAGCUCCGGGGAGCUCGGUGGGGAAGUACUUUCCGGGGCCUAGCUUCCUCCGCUUGUUCUGCCCGGUCGACGGCUCAACGGAUGGUUGGGUUAACUGAAGCACAAAAGUACCUGGUUCCACAAGUAGCUUGAGGGCAGCGCGCUUUGACAGGUAGUCGGCGAUGUCAUUCUCCACUCGAGGGACAUGCUCCGCUUGUAUACCGUCAAAGCGCUCCUCCAGUUUCCUCACCUCAUCUACGUAAGCUUCCAUCAACGGGCUUUGAUAAUAUUUGUUGACCUGCCUGACGAUGAGCUGCGAGUCGCCCCUGACGAUGAGCCUUUUAACUCCGAGGUCUGCCGUGAUCCUGAGACCGGCAAGCAAACCCUCGUAAUCGGCGGUGUUGUUGGUUGACAUCUCCCAGGGGAAGUGCAUCUGGAAGACAUACUUGAGGUGCUCUCGGGUGGGUGCGACAAGUAGUACACUAGCACCGGCGCCUUGCAGCGAGAUGGCACCAUCAAAGUACAUGAUCCAGUUGCAGCUCGUUUCCUUGCCGGGGAGAGCGGUCUCCUGUACCUCUUAGUCGGGCGUCAAGGUCCAUUCUCCAACAAACUCUGCCAAGACUCUGCUCUGAAUUGUCAAGGUACUUUCAAACUUCAGACCGAAACUUGACAGCUCCAGGGCCCAUUCCACAAUCCUCCCCGUUGCAUCUGGGUUAUGCAGUAUCCGUUGCAAUGGGAGGUGGGUGACCACCGUGAUCUCGUGCGCUUGGAAGUAAUGGCGCAGCUUCCUCGAAGCCAUAAGGAGGCCGAAGAGCAGAUUUUGCACACAUGAGUACCGCGACCUAGCCCCCUGCAAGAGGGAGCUGACAAAGUAAACUGGGUGUUGUACCAUUUUCUUCUUCAACGCCUCUUCACUCGGUCGCGUGGGUCCUGUCGUCCUGGCGUCAGCCUCUGCCGGGGACUCAAUCUUGCCGGGAUUGAGCCCUGCCAUGGAGGGUUUCGGCUUGCCAUCUGUUGGCCCUGUCGCUGCUGCUGCCUUCUCGUCGACCUCUCUCUGCACCACUAGUGCGGUGCUAACCACCUGAUUUGUUGCCGCUAGAUAAAGCAGCAACGGUUCUUGUGGUUUGGGCGCAACCAGCACUGGGGUAGAGGAGAGGUAUCUCUUCAAAUCCUGCAGCACUGCCUCGACCUCUGGGGUCCACUCCACUGGCCCAGCCUUCUUCAAGAUCUUGAAAAAAGUAAGGGCACGCUCCGCGGACUUGGAGAUGAACCGGCUCAUGGCGGCAACGCAACCAGUGAGUCGAUGCACGUCCUUGAUCCGUUUGGGUGCCUCAAUCUACUUGAUGGCCUUGAUCUUAUCUGGGUUUGCUUCAAUCUCGCGCUUGGACACAAAGAACCCGAGAAGCUUGUCGAACGGGACACCAAAAACACACUUCUUAUGGUUCAAUUUGAGGUUGAUCUUGCACAGGUUCCCCAAUGUUUCCUCCAGAUCUUGCACAAGGGUUACUUUGUCCUUGGUUUUGACCACUAUGUCAUCCAUAUAAGCUUCCAUAUUUCUAUGUAGCUGGGACUCAAAACCAAUUUGGACUGCUCUUGCAAAGGUUGAGCCAACACUCUUCAACCGAAAGGCAUCCGUAAAAAGCAAUACGUACCACUGGGGUGAUGAAUGCUGUCUUUUCCUCAUCUUCUUUUGUCAUGAAGAUCGGGUGGUAUCCCGAGUAGGCGCCAAGGAAUGAUAACAGGUCACACCCAGUCGUGGAGUCAACAAUCUGGUCGAUGCGUGGUAACGGGAAGGGAUCCUUUGGACAUGCCUUAUUGAUGUCUGUGUAGUCAAUACACGGCCUCCACUUCCCAUUUGCCUUGCGCACCACUACCGGAUUGGCCAACCACGUCAGAUGGAGUACUCCUCUCACCAAGCCUGCCACCUCUAGCUUUCUGAUUUCCUCCAUGAUGAACUCCUGCCUCUCCAGAGCUUGCUUCCUGACCUUCUUCUUGACGGGCCGCACAUGAGGACAGACAGCAAGGUGGUGCUCAAUCACCUCCCUGGGAACGCCGGGGAUGUCGGAGGCUUGCCAUGCAAACACAUCGACAUUCGCCCACAGGAAGGUGAUGAGCUCGCUUUCCUAUUUGUUGUCGAGGGUGGAGCUUAUGGUAAAAGCUCCCCCGUGCCGUCCUCCUUGACGGACACCUUCUUGGUCUCUGGUGGUGUAGCUCUGGACUUCUUGCUCCUGUCGGCGGAGCUCUCUGGCACGUUCUCAACGGAAGCGCAACACCCCGAAGAGGUGCGCUUACCGGAGUGGGUGCGAGGGGUCUCACCAGUCUUCUUCCCCCCGGGGCUCCGUCGGCAGGAGCAGGUGCUUUAGCGGCAGCUGCUGCAACUGCUUCCCGAUAGAGUUGAUCAGCACAGAUCAAUGCAUCUUUCUUGUCGGAGGGGACGGUGAUGAUGUUCAUCGGCCCGGGCAUCUUCAGCAUGUUGUAGGCGUAGUGUGAAGCCUCCAUGAACUUGGCUAGUGCCGGGUGGCCGAGGAUCCUGUUGUAAGGCAAGGGGAUCUCGGCUACAUCGAAAACAAUCCUCUCCGUCCUGUGGUUCAGCUCGCCUCCGAAUGUCACGGGCAGCAUGAUCUUUCCCUUUGGCUGGCUCCUCCCUGGGUUAAACCCUUGGAACGUGCCCGUCUCCUCGAGGUCUCCAUCAGGGAUCUGCAGCCUUUUGAUCAUAACAGGCGAGAUCAAGUUCAGGCCAGCCCUGCCAUCAACCAACAUCUUCGUCACCUUGAGGUUGCGGAUUGUUGGUGAAACCAACAAUGGCAAGCACCCGACCGCAGUAGUGCGGUCAGGGUGGUCCUCAGUGUCGAAGAUGAUGGGCAUGAUGGACCAUUUCAGCGGCUUCCGUGACUCGAACGAUGGCUCCACCACUGUGACCUCACGCGCCCACUGCUUGAGUUGGCGGUGGGAUGUAUGCAGCGAGGCGCCACCAUCGACGCACAUGGCCUUUGUGGCUUUUUGAAACUCGUGGUCGCCGGACUCAUCGUCCUCGUCAUGAUCAUCCUCUUCCUGCUUCUUGUCGUGGCCCCGGGCGGGCCUCUCUUGCUAAUUAUCCUUGUCGCGGCGGCCUCCUUGGCCGCCACGUUUCUUGUCGGAUCCCUCGGCACCAUCUGGGCCUUUCUCCUUGUCCCGCCGCCCAUACUCGGCUCUCUGCUUCUCGGCGAGCAGCUCUAUCUGCCGGCAGUUCUGGAGAUCAUGGCCCUUAGUGCGGUGGAUCUUGCAGUACUGCUUUUCGGAGCCUCCUUGCUUGUCGGCAGCUGCCAAGGCCCGGCAAGCAUCGCACCCGGCAACCUCCUUGCCGAGGUCGCUCGCCUUGGUCUUCUUGGUGGCGACGGUGUCGUCGGAUCCCUCGGCGGCAAUCAUGUCCUUGCCCUUGCGCUUCCUGUUACGGUGUCGACCUUUCUUCGCUGGGGUGGCGGUGUUGCCAGUGGAGUCGGUUUUCACACCGGCAUCUUCACCGGGGUACUUCCUUCCCUCUUCAGCACGAGCGCAUCGAUCGGCCAGAACAUAGAGCUCGGCCACAUCCUUAACCAUGUUCAUCGCCAGCUCUUCACGCAUCUUGCGAUUAAGCAUGUUCUGAUGGAACGCACUGAUCAUGGCAGCGGGAUGAACAUCGGGGAUGUUGUACUGCACCCGGCUGAACCUUUGGAUGUACUUGCGCAAGUUUUCUCCUUCCUUCUAAGGGAUGAUGUGUAAAUCACUCGCCUGACCAUGAGCUUGGUGACCUCCGGUAAAGGCGCCAACAAACUCAUGGCACAGAUUCACCCAAGAAGAGAUGGAAUCCACCGGCAAGUGCAUCAACCAUGACAUAACAUUAGGCUUGAGUGCCAACGGAAGUAGUUGGCAAGCACCUUAUCGUCGCGGGCCCCAGCAGCUUGCAUCGCGAUGGUGUAAAUGCUGAGGAACUCUGACGGGUGAGUCUUGCCGUUGUACUUCUCGCCAACAUCGGGCUUGAGCGUAUGGUGGUAGGGCCACUGGAACUGCCGCAGCUCACGGGUGAAAGCCAGACAACCCACGUCAUAAGGUAGGCCACCGUAGCCUCCCGACGCUGGGUGGUCCGUAGCGGGCCCUGCCCGCCUGUCCGACUGGUGGCGAGCGUCACAUCGGCGCUCGAUCGUAGUUCGAGCGUCCUCAUGAGCCCGCUCCCAAAGGACUUGACGCUAAUCGCAGUUGGUGCACGGGUCGGACGACGCGAUGGAGAUGCCGUCUCAAGCAUUGUCGCGAUGAACCGAUGCCCGGGGUGGCCGGGAUGGAGGAGGGGAGUACACUGUGGCCGCAUCGCCUCCGGCAUGGCCCCCGCUAGGAUGCGGCGGCCCGGCAGAGUGACGGCCUACGGGUCCUGUUGGCUGCAACUCAUCGUUGUUGGCGAUGCUAACGAGGCUCCGGACGGUGGCCCUCCAUUCAUCGAGCUUCUCCCUGGUGGGAGUAAAAUCGAGGAGCAGAUGCGCGCGUGCUAGGGCCUCCGCUCGCGUGGGCGGCGGCGAAGGCUGGGUGGCCCGCGAUGCACCUCGACUUCUAACCAUGUUAGAAGGAGCUGUGUCACGACCCCGCAGCCGUUCGCUACCUUCAUCAGCACCUUGGCGCGCACGCUGGCCUUCCUCAUCAUGUGAUGGGCGCGUCGGAUUCUUCCCAGGGCGGCACGCAGGGUCACAGGCAGGGUGACGCUGCUCAUCGCGCACGACCUGGGAAGAGCGCGCCAUGGGCGCCGGUGUUGGCGUCUUGGAGGUCGCCGCGCCAUCGUUUGCCGGGAUGGCGGCGCCCCUGGAGGGCCCCGCGCUGCCUGCAGGGGGGCCGACUCCACCUCUGGAGCCCGCGACUGGUGGCUCAUCGCCUGGUGCGUGAACGACGCCACUCGCCAGGCCUGAACCGCCAGGGUGAUGUGGGUGUUCGCGGGCCACGCCACGGGUCCUCUCCACGACUGGCCCGCUACCGGUCCACACCGGUACCAGCCCAGUCCCGGACAAACCGAUCGCCGUGGUCGUCUUCUUCUUAGGAGCCAUGGCGAUGAAGAAUAGCUAGGUCAACUGCUAGACCAGAUUCUCACAAUUGCGCCCCCUACCUGGCGCGCUAAAGAUGUCGGUGGGAAACGACACCUAUGGGAUCACUGGAAUCCCUUCUAUGGUUGUGGGGCGCGGGGAUCGUGAUAAGAGCGGGACUAGUAGACAACACAAAGGGGAUUUACCCAGGUUUGGGCCGCAAAGAUGCGUAAAACUCUACGAUCCUCCUUUGGUGGAUGUAUUUAGUGUUCUUGAGCUCUUGAACUAGCUCUGGGUGCUGCUAGGUUAGAAAGAGACGAAUCCUUCUCCAGUGCGCCAUGGGCCUCCUUUAUAGGCGAAAGGGGCUGCCACAAUGGCACACAGGAGGUGGAAAGUGCUACAGCGCUGUGAACUUAUCGCUGGUAUUACAGGACAAAGCACAUUUAAUGUGAGGCUUAAGUGUCCCUUCACUUUAUCGGGGACGGGAGCGAGGCCCAUCCCAUCUGUCUCCGCUCCUCCUUGCUUCGACACGCGCCCUGGCCAGCGAUGCAUGCAGUGACAUGUAGGCAGGCAGGCAGCUGAGGUGGCGUGGUGGUGGAGCCUCCACGAAAGGCUGCAUGUUGCCAUGCAGGUGCCUGCCCAGCUGGUUGGGUCGGCAGCUACAUGUGAACGGCGGCGAAGACUUGGCUGGUGCGGGCCUGGUAGUGGCCCUGCUGGCGCGCUUGGUGAGGGCCUUGCUGGGUGUCCCGGCAAGGGUCUUGCCGUGGCACACAGUCGUCCCUGGCAAGGAUCUUGCCGGGGGUCUUGUGGGUUUCUUCAGUGAGGAUGGUUGCCUUCCUAUCCUCAUUUGAUCUUGACUAUUCUUUGUCUUCACAAAGAUCUGUGUGCCACCACAGAGGUGCCUCCCGAGCCUUGUCCCAACGCGUUUGUUUAGCGUUGGUGGGCUCAAAGGUGGUUUUCUCGGCCGGUGGGGGCGAGCUGCCCCAGCAAGGGUCUUGCCGGGGCCGCUGAGGCUGCCCCGGCAAGGGUCCUUGCCGGGGAAACCUUCUUCGUCCAUCUGAUCUUUGUGGCCUUGGUCCUUGUCAUUGCUUUGUUUGUCUUGUGUCUUCGGCUUCUCUCCGGCUUCCCUUUCCUGCCCUGUUAUGCGUGGCCGUGGCGGGAGGCUCUGACUGCUCGUGCACAAAUAAAGGGGUUAAAAGGAGAGCCCAUACUUUUGUACACCGACAAUUGCAUGUGCUAUUUUGCUUAGUUUAUACAUUAUACCUAUUAAUGUGACAUGACUUCCUAUUUUUAGUACAUAGUACAUCUGUCUAUUAAGCAUGUCCUUACAUAAAACUAUUGUUUUUUUGUAUCCCGCAUCAAUCAAUAUGACGAGACACCUUUAGUAUAUGCAGUGUGAUAUUAGUUGCAUCUUUCAUAUGAUUUAUAGCAUGUGUUGCUUCUAAUUUUUUGAAACGUCAUUUAAGAUGGGACGCUUUUAACUUGGCAGAGUCAUAUUGGUUGCAUAUUUCAUGUGGUGUCUAGCUUGCAUUGCUUCUUAUUUGUUGAAAUGGCUUCUGCUUAGUUCACAAAAAUAGUUGUGAAUAUGACAUGUCGUCCUGUUUUUCAUACAUAUUCCAUCCUGGUAUCAUGUGUUUGCCUUACAUAACAGUAGUGAUUGUCAGUAUCAUGCACGAAUGAGUUCUGAAGAGUGAAUUUUAUUGCUUUUUCUUGUCGGUUUUACUUGACAAUUCAAAAUCAAUAAAGCGGAAGGAAAUUAGCAAGGCAGUGGAUAAAGGUGUUCCUUCCAAACGGGGGGCCUCUACAGAUUCUACUCUGCCACCCCCCAAGAUUAUUUGCAAGACAACACAUGCAUAGAAACUCAACAUAGUUGUGUUGAUGAUGAGCACAUCUCCCCUAGUGCACCAUCGCAGGUGCUCCCUCUAACUUGGCACUGUUAUAUGUGGUUGCAUGUUAUGUACGAUGUCUAGCUUGUAUUGCUUCUAAUUUUGUUGAUUCCAUCUGCUUACUUUACACAUUAUACUUGUGAAUAAGACACGUGUUCUUGUUUCUAGAACAUACAAUAUAUGUCUAUCACACCAUGUUCUUACAUCAAAGUUGUAUUUUUGUGUAACCUGCAACAAUCACUUAUCAUAAGACACGUUUGACUUGGGAGUGUGAUAUAGGUUACAUCUCGCAUUCUUUUCUAGCUUGUACUACUUCUAAUUUUUUGAAAUGGCACUUAUGACGAGACAAUUUUAACUUGGUAGAGUGAUAUUCAUUGCAUCUUUCAUAUGGUGUCUCGCUUUCAUUGCUUCUAAUUUGUUGAAAUGUCUUCUGCUUAGUUUACACAUCAUAGCUGUGAAUAUGCAAUGUUGUCCAUUUUCUUACACAUUCAAUCGUCUUAUCAUGCGGUCGCCUUACAUUAAAGUAGUGCUCAUCAGCAUCGUGCGUCAAUGAGUUCUGAAAAAGCGAAUUUGUAUUCAUUUUUCUUGUGGGUUUGACUUGACAAGGCAAUGCAAUUAAGAAAUAGGAAGGAAAAAAUAAGGCAGGGACUGAUGGCGGUCUUCCGGCGAAACCGACAUCCCAUGUGCUUUCUCUAGCUUGGCAGUGUGAUAUUGUCUUGCAUGUUGCAUACGGUGUCUAGCUUGAAUUGCUUCUUAUUUGUUGAAAUGGCUUCUGCUUACUUUAAACAUCAUAGUUCUGAUUAUCUCAUCUCGUCCUAUUUUUCGUACAUAUUACAUCCUCCUAUCAUGUGGUUGUCCAACAUCAAAGUUCAGUUUGUUUGUAUCACACAUCAAUUUGUUCUGAAGAACUAAAUUUUUAUUCCUUUUUCUUGUUGGCUUGACUUAACAUGGCACAAAGAAAGAGGAAGGAACACAGAAUGACAGGGGGUGGUGUUAGUACUAAGGACACACGGAAACAGAAGCGGAACAAUUAUGCAGAUUCUACUGGUACUGAUGGUGCAAUAGAAGGUCAAAGUCCAGCGAAAAAUUGUACAAACGGGUAUCCCGUGCUACACGAGUUGCAAAACAAGCCAAACAGAAACCAAUAGCUGCCACCAAACAAGCAGAGACAGCCCUAGUUGUUGCAACACCUUCCAGAGUACCACCAGCUGCACGAGUUACUCGUUUGUCAACUCGGCUAGCAGCACGUUCCCAAGCUCCCUUGCCACCUGACACUACUUCCGAAGCACUCUUGACACAAGAUGAGUUGGCAAGAUCAGAUGAACCAUGUGAGCUUCAACAGCAAGAAGGUAGUUGUUGGAGUCAAGUUAUAGUUAGAUUCUUCUUUAUAUGUAGUCUCACAGUUUGAUGUACACUAACACUUCCUAUGUUUGUUGUUAGACUAGCACCUAGGCGCAAGAGGAAACAAAUUAGGUUAACUAAAUCUAGAGGAGGAAGAAUGGAGAUCCAUUUUGAGGCAGGUUUAAAAAGACCACGUGAUGCUACAGAGUCAGCCAAGUUAGUAUCAGAGGCAGCAGUUGCCAUUAGGUGUCAUGCACGUAUCCUCCCAACAUGGAUUCAGUACAGGAAUGACAAAUACGAAACCCAGUUCAACACCUUCCUCGACCAUUUAUCUAUAAGUAUGGUUAUGUAUGGAAACUAGUAAUAUCGUCUUGCUUUGUCCCAUACUUUCUAGGUUGCUGAUAAUCAGACUCCCAUAAUUUUCAACAGAUGAGGUUCAAGUUGGAUAGCCAAGAUGAUGCAACCAGACAAGCUUGCACCCAUGUUUUCAAGUUUGCUCUGCGGUAAUAUCGGUAUAACUUGAGGAAAACUCACUUUGAAGGCAAGGCUAAUAGUGAACUUGCCCAAACAUCUCCAGUGGAAAAUAUAUCAGAUGAAGACUGGAGAGGCCUCGUUAAACACUGGUCUGAUCCAAAGUAUUAGGUACGUUAUAUGUAUGUGAUCAGAUCACAUGUUGAACUCCUAUUUACGCAUGUGCCUCACAAAUCUAUCUUCUUGUAGGUGAACUGUUCAAACAACAAGGCCAACCGUACGAAAGUGAAAUUCCAAUAGACGACAGGAUCUCGUAGUUAUAUUGCACACUGCGAGGCUCUUGUAAUUAACUGUUGUUUCACUCUUUUCGUUGUGCCAUAUUAUCAGAUCUACAUUGACUUGUUCCAAAUGUAGAGGAAAUCCCGCAAGGACCAAAAAGUACCUGAACCAAAUGUUGUGGAAAUCUUCAAGGACUGUCACACCAGCAAGACGAAGGGCAUGACUACACUAGUCAAAGCCGAUGUUGUAAGUCCUUAAUCCUCAUGCCUUUUAACUACUACUUACUCUGACUCAUGCAUUGAACUGCAUGGAUUGCAGCCAAUGUCUAUUGCUCUUUUCAAUUUUAUACACAAUUGUCUUAGCGUAUCAUUGCACCUUACAAGGUUUAAAAGAGAGGAGUGAUGUUCCUUCGAUCUUGAUCUGUAAUCUAAUUCUGUGCUGGACUUGCCCACACAACAUUACAAUUGUAUGUUUGUCUGUUCACAGUUGUUUUGUGAUAUGAAUGAUGUCAUACUAUGCUUACCGUAUUAUAAACUUUGUCUCUUCAUCCUUGGCUGUCAAUACAAUGUGAAGAAAUAGACAAUACAUUAGCCAUGGUACAUGGUCAUAUGUUUGGAACCUGGUUUUAUUAUGUACUUUGCAGUAAAAUACAACUAAUAUUUUACACGGGUUCACCAGAAUAAUUUCUGUAUAUAGACCAAAGCUAUUUUGUUUGGUUUUGUUGCCUCCUUAAUAUCUUCUGUUCUGGUACUAAUAAUGUAAAAACUCAACUUUUCAGCAAGCUAUGGAAAAAAUGGUGGAACCACCACCUUCUAAAGGUGACGAGGCAACUAUAACCGUAAUGUCACCUCUUGCUGGUUAGUACUUGUCCACUAACAGUGCCAAAAGCAUGUUCCUGCGUAAUACUGGGUUGGUUGUCAAGGCAAUCUCAUCCAAACUGCCUCAUGAUCAAGAUAUGCAAGAUCAAAACAAUGUUAUAUCUACACUCCAGACACAUGUCCAUUCCCUAACAGAGACCCUUUGUGAAACAAGGACAACCAUUGUUCGAUUCGUCAAGAUAAGCAUGGUUUUGAAACCAGACUAUCAGACAUUUGCUAUGUUGUUCAGGAGCCUAGGAGAAAUGGAGGCGAAGAUUAUGGUGCUCCAUCAGACAAUACAGCAUGAAAACGUAACAGUCAGGUCAAAUGAACUGAGCUUCUGAACUUCCGGUGGUGCAUUUAUCUGCCAUACUGUUAACUUUUAUGCCAACCUUCCUUUUGUUUUAUGGUUGUAAUUUGUUUUGUUGCGAUACAAAAUUUGUUCUUAACAUGCAUCCAUCGACUGAAGAAAACAGCAAGGCGUUUUUUGUAUAAUGUAGAGUGUUCCCUAUAUUCGCACUGGUGGCGAACUUUGAUGCCCAGUGGAUGUAAUCUGUGCAAUUGCCUUAAUAGCUUAGCGUUAGUUUCGGGCUUAUUUAUUUCCUAGUCUUCUUUUCCCCUGGUUUGCUAGUGGCCACAACAACCAUGGGCCAUAUAUGGACCGUGGUAACCUUGACCCUGCUACAGGCCAUAGGAUCCAUGGGCCUCCUACGGACCGUCGGAUAAAUGGGCCUCCAACGAGCCGUAGAAUCGGUGGGCCUCGGGCCAUCGGAUAAAUGGGUCCACAUGGGUCGUAAACGGGUGUAAUUGGUAUCGGGCCAGCACGGUAACGGGCCAUUAACAGGACGAAAGACAGCAAAGGCUUAAUUCUGUAACAGGCAUAACGGGUCGUUAAUGGGCCAGAAUAUAGGAUGGGCUGGAAACGGCACAACGGGUUAACAGGCCACAAAUGAGCCGAUUCUAGCCACAGGCGGAAUUUGGCCCAUUAGGGGAAUAGGCCAGUAACGGGUAGGAAGUAAUCAAGGGCCGGAAAGGAGCCCAAGAACGUAUGGGCUGUCAGUAGGCCGAAAGCUAACAUGGGAUGGAAAUGGCCCAUGUGAAUCAGGGGCCGUUAAUGGGUACAAAUAAAUUUACUAUUCAUUAUGGCCUAGAGUUACCGUGGGCCACUAAAGGGCCUAAAGAUACGAAAGGCCUCAUAUGGGUCGGAAGACAUCGUGGGCCAUACGUGGGCCGUAAGUGAAAUGGGAUGGUGUUAUAUUCGACGGCCCACAUGACGCUGUUGGGCCAAUUUGGGAAGGCCCUAAUGGGCCGUGAGUUACCGGGCCAUAAAAUGGGCUAUAUGCGAACAGACCGUUAACACGCUUUUCAUGGGCCGGUCCGCUAACUUUUGACCAAGUCAAACGAGUCGGCCUUUGUAAGAUAAAUGGGCCAGUGGUGGGCUAUCUCACGUGUCGACAUAUCAUAGGCACCUAUCUGACCUAAUGACGAGCUGACGCGUGUUUCCUUCGGCCAAUGAGAAUUUUACACGUGGAAAAUCCCCAUUGGUCUGACCCAAAAUCGGACCCGAUAGCUUAAGGGCGACCUGUUACGGUGGAUGCCACGUGUCGGUUACCCUUGACGAAAGAACUUCCAUGACACGUCAUUUGUCUUCAUGGAAGUGAACACUUCCGUGAUGAUAAUUUUGGUAUUGUCAUGGAGCACUUCUAGGACAGCACAGGUAUGACUAUCUUGAUUCUGUCAUAAAAUCGUCAUGGAUGUACAUACAUGACAGAAAAGGUGACCUACUGUGACAAACAUGUAUCAUCACGGAAGUGUACUUAUUUGUAGUGUUAUAGCUCUUAGUGCAUCCGUUGCAUGGCAAUCCCUACUCCUCGCAUUGAUAUCAAUUGAUGGGCAUCUCCAUAGCCCGUUGGUUAGCCGCAUCAAUGUGAGACUUUCCUACCUUUUUGCCUUCUCUAUAUUUACCCCUAUCAUCAUACUCUAUUCCACCAGAAGUUCUAUAUCCAUGGCUUGCGCUCAUGUAUUGUGUGAGGGUUGAAAAAGUUGAAGCGCGUUAAAAAGUAUGAACCAAUUGCUCGGCUUGUCAUCGGGGUUGUGCAUGAUAAAUACUUUGUGAAGAAGACAGAGCAUGACAAGACUAUACGAUUUUGUAGGGAUAACUUUCUUUAGUGUCGAUAUUUUGAAAGACAUGAUUGUUUGUUGGGAUGUCUGAGUAUUGAUGUAUUUAUGUCAAAUUAUAGACUAUUGCUUUGAAUCACUUGUGUCUUAAUAUUCAUGCCAUGAUUAGAUAUAUGAUCAAGUUUAUGCUAGGUAGAAUUCCACAUCAAAAAUUAUCUCUUUAUCAUUUACUUACUCGAGGAUGAGUAGGAAUUAAGAUUGGGGAUGUUGAUACAUCUCCAUCGUAUCUAUAAUUAUUGAUUGUUUCAUGCCAAUAUUAUACAACUUUCACAUACUUUUGGGCAACAUUUUAUAUGAUUUAUUGGACUAACCUAUUGAUCCAGUGCCCAGUGCCACUUCCUGUUUUUUGCAUUUUCUUCUGCAAAAAUUCCAUAUCAAACAAAGUCCAAACGCAAUAAAAAUUUGUAGAGAAUUAUUUUGGAAUAUAUGUGAUUUUUGGGACUUGGAAUCAAUGCAAACGGAGGCCCACUGUGACCAAGAGACACUAGGGCGCGCCACAGGCUCCAGGCGCGUGGUGGUGGGUUUUGCUCACCUCAUCAUCAGUUGGAGCUCUACUUCGGGCGCAAGGAAGCUUAUAUCCGGAAAAAAAAUCGUGUUAAAAUCUCAGCGCAAUCGGAGUUACGGAUCUCCGGGAAUAUAAGAAACGGUUUUCGGCCAGAUCUGGGGAACGCGAAACAGAAGCGAACAGAGAGGGAGAUCCAAUCUCGGAGGGGCUCCCACCCCUCCACUGCCAUGGAGGCCAUGGACCAGAGGGGGAACUCUCCUCCCAUCUAGGGGGAGGCCAAGGAAGAAGAAGAAGGAGGAGGGCUCUCUCCCCCUCUCUCCCGGUGGCGCCAGAGUGCCGCUGGGGCAAGGAUCAUGACGGUGAUCUACAUCGACAACCUUGCUACCGUAAACACCAACUUUCUCCCCCUCUAUGCAGCGGUGUAACACCCCUUCUCCUCGCUGUAAUCUCAACUUAAACAUGGUGCUCAACUCCAUAUAUUAUUUCAAUGAUCUAUGGUUAUCCUAUGAUGUUUGAGUAGAUCCGUUUUGUCAUGUGGGUUAAUCGUGAUCUUGGUUGGUAUGAUUGUAUAUUUUAUUUAUGGUGUUGUCCUACGGUUCCCUCCAUCUCGCGCAAACAUGAGGGGUCCCCGCUGUAGGGUGUUGCAAUAUGUUCAUGACUUGCUUAUGGUGGGUUGCGAGAGUGACAGAAGCUUAAACCCGAGUAAGUGGGUUAUGGCGCAUGGGAGUAAAGAGGACUUGAUACUUAAUGCUAUGGUUGGGUUUCAUGACCUUAAUGAUCUUUAAUAGUUGCGGAUGCUUUCUAAGGGUCCAAUCAUAAGUGCAUAUGAUCCAAGUAGAGAAAGUAUGUUAGCUCAUGCUUCUCCCUCAUAUAAAAUUUACAAGAAUGAUUACCGGUACUUGUUAUCGAUUGCCUAGGGACAAAUGACUUUCUUGUUGACAAAAGCUAUCUACUUUUACUACCUUGCAUUUUAUUCAUAGUUUUAUUCUCACAAAGUACUCGUAGUUUUAUUCUUGCAAAAUAGUUUUAUACUUGUUCUAGGUAAAGCAGACAUCAAGUGUGCCUAGAGUUGUAUCGGUGGUUGAUAGAACAUGAGGUAAUAUUUGUUCUGCCUUUAGGUACUCGUUGGGUUCGACACUCUUAUUUAUAGAAGAAGGCUACAAAUGAUCCCCCACACUUGUGGGUUAUCAGAACUAGUGGACCUGUUGCGCCAAACGGCACAGAGGCACCCUAAAUCCAUGUGCGCGAAGAAAAAUAUAUCCAUGGUUCAAUCACCUUUAAUAGGAAAUAUGGUGGAUUAUUGUCUACAAUGACACACACACACACACACACACACACACACACACACACACACACACACAUUUUAAUAUGAUAUCACAAAAAUUUUGCUACCAUGUUCGAAGAGACCCAUUUGAAAUCAUGUUCGCGUUGAAAAUAUUUGCAUUUUGUAGUGACUUUGUGAUUGAGCAAAAAAUACAUAGGCUUUUGUUUAAAAAUAUAUGUGCCUUUAAAAUCAUGAGUGCUUUCGCCCAUAGACAUAAUAAAUACAAAGAGGCCAGGGGACUACAUAUCAACUCCUAUCUUGCUCUUAAAACAAAACAAACAAAAAACAUAUCAUGUCCUCUCUUCAUAGCAUUAUCCUCUUCUCCUCCUCGGGUGCCCUGUUUGGCUUCCAACGAAUCUUGCACCACCACCACCACCAAAGCCAAGGCAAGUGACCCAUUGCGCCAGAUGGCACAGAGACCCAUUGAAUUCAUGUGCGCAUUGGAAAAAAUUCCAUGUAUUAGUUGGUUUAGUUGUGGCCAUGUAUAUAGUAUGGUAACGACUCUAACCCCUUUGUAUAGAAAUUUGAUUUAUUAGUAGGUUGUGUCAAUAUUUGCAUUUGUUGGUAACUUUAGAUUUGGGCAAAGUACAUAGGACAUGAAAUGUAACUUGAUCCAUUUGCGCAAUCACUUAGGGUGAUUAAGAGCAUCAUUAUGUCUCACAUAGAUAGCCUGGGCAAGUCUUCAGGCAGUAUAGGUGAUUCCCAAAACUUCAGUACACAAAAACAUAGACCCAACAAAAUAUUCCAAAAUUGCAUUAGCAGAAGUGUUCAUCAAUUCACAGCUUUGGAGUUGGUUUACAAAGAAUAAUUUGAAGAGUUAUAGGUUGUACAAUAGAGAUUAAAGAACCAGAAAUUGAUAUAUUGUUUGAAAGGGUGAUGGCAACGGACACAAUUGUCGAAGUUUCUUGCCAAGUUUAAUCGAAUGUGCGUACAAAGGGAUGCCUAUAGAACAAAAAAUGGGUCGCUCGUGUUAUGCUUUUUCCAGGUGGAAAGUGUCAUCUUGGAGAAACUUCUAAAGUAAAAAAAUAGAGGACAAAUGCUCACAACUUGGCAAUACUCAGGACCCUUUUAAUUAUUAAACUUGCGGAAACAUAAAGGUACAUUGUAUGAUGGGAAAGAAAACUAAAGCCACUCCAUGCACAUUCCUUUUAUUUUCUUUCUCAACACCGGAUCAUUAACCAUUAGUCGAGUUGUUUCUCAUAAAGUGAGUGUGAUAUAUGUGAGGUCACAAUUAUAAAUUUCGUUGGGGGAACAAAAUUACAUGAAAGGGUUCAGAGUCACACCCAACGCUAUCACUACCACUAAAUGUUAACUAAGAGGAGACGGAGAACUGUCAACUGGGCGAAGCCAAAGCUAUAAGACUGUCGUUCUUCUCCUGGAUCGCAACUUUACCAGAUGUCGGUAAGGAGAGGCUGAUGCGCAAAGGAUCCUGUAAUACAAUGAAUCGGAUUAGAAUCACAAAUUCCAAUUGUUAUAAAAACUGGGGCUGAGUGUUAGAUAGCAAAUGUGGCAUACAUAUACACAAGCAUUGCCUGCAUGCACAACACACGAUAGCUUCAUCUUUGCUUUCUUCCCAGCCCUAGGUAAUUUCCAUAGAAGCUUUUCACACAAAAAUUGGCUUAUCUGAAGCUUAACACAUAAAUGUUAUUUCUAGCAUGCUUCAGCUAGCCUUAUGUUUGUUAUACACUGGACUGAACCAAGCAUUUAAGCAAGGCCUUUAUAAUAGAGCAACAUCACAUAGUGUAGCUUAAAAUCCGUACAAUUAACUAUAUUUCUCUUUCUCUUGCUGAAAAUCACAAUAUUGCACAUGUUCCUACCUACUUUGUGAUCACUGACCAUGUGCAUGCCUAAACAUGGGAUUAUGAUUCUUUUGUUUCCUCUGCCUACACACCUAAAUCAAACCAGCAAGUUAGCACACCAUUUAUUCAUAAAGCAAUACCACAUAAGUCUAAUCUUCCAAGAGCAAGAGCCUAAAAUAUUUUCAGAGAUGACCAAUUAAGAUCAUGCAAUCAAAAAUAAAUGAUAUGAUAAUAAAUCUAUACAAUUUGUUAUUCAAUCAUUUCCCUUCCACAAUGAUUUAUCCCCAGUUUAAUCUUGCACUGAAAUCUGAAUAUAAUGUGCGUCAUGUAUGUUUAUGCACCCAGGCUAAAAUCUGAAAAGAGAAAAAACACCAACAUUAAUAAAUUCUUCUUUGGCAAAGUAUUACAUGGAGUAAGAGGUUCAACUAUGUGUGCAUCAAACAUCGUAAAGCACAAAUACUCACUGAAAGAAACAUCACAUGCUUGAACCUAUACAUCAUAUCUACCAUUAAAUAGGAGAGAACCAUACCAAAACACAAUAAAGGCCAGCCACCUCCUUCUUCUCCCACCUUGCAUCAAUAUAUCGUUAUAUAUAUAAUGAAAGACUCCAAUAAUGAAAGAAUUCCUGGUUAGGGUUGCAUGAAUGGUGCAGAAAGACAAAAAGGAAGCCUCUACUCGAUCACAUGUAAUAUUUUUGACCAUCUAUAGGCAGUGCGAGAAGAACAUGUAACAUGUGUUAGCAAAAGAAAUACAAAAACAUACCCCAAGUACACACUUACAAUCUCAGUUGCCAGCCUUUGGCGGACUCUGCUGCUUUCUGGUCUGAAAAUUAGUAACAUUUUAAAGGCAUAUCAGAUCAAAAUCUGGCAAUAAGUAUAUUCUCAGUUUAAAAAACCUAGAGAAAGUGUAGAUAAAAUAAAUGUUUAUCAAGCUGGACAGCUGCAUGCACAAACAGAGGUCCAAGGAAGCUACCACCAACUCCAACUGAGACCACAUUUGUCAAUGGUUUCCCAUUUGCUCCAACCUGCAUUUCAGGAAGUAGCGGUGAUUAAAUCUUAGUUAUUUCUGCUACAUUUGACAAGUUAAGAAAUUUGUGUUUCAAAAUUUACCCAGGAGCCAGAACUAAAAGUUUCUGAAAACUGCUUGCUUUUAUCCUUAAUGUCCCAAACUUCAGGGACCAGUCACUGUCUAUGACUGCAUCUCUUGGAGCCCUUAGACACACAUAGAGCACUGAUAUGUUCUCCAUGCUAUUUAUCUGACAAACAAAUCGAUCAAGUUAACUGAGACAUGUAUUCCAUCCGUUCCAAAUGAUAUGUUAUGAACUGUACAGCUUAAAAUACAAAAGUCGUCAGGACUAAUAAUUGUUUUGCAGAAUUAUUCUUCCGGAUGAUCUGUGCGUCAUGAAGUAAUUACAUACAAACUUUAGAUAAGCACCCAAGGAUACAUGGAAUGGAAGACAUAUAUACAGACAACAAGUAGAUGUCAAAUAGACACAUGUGAUGUGAUAGAAUAAUUGAAGACUGGCUACACAGCAGGACACUGACCCUUUCACCUUUAAACAUAGGAUACAUUUGGUUCCAGGCCGAUAUCAUUUUUUAUUUUCAGUAUCGGGAAGCGCUGCUUCCGAUAUAUCCUCUUGAAUACGUGUUUUGUUUGGUUCGGACGCGAGCGAAUACAUAGCGGAGAGGAUUCUAUAUCCAGCCAUGAUCGGACGUUUUCACAGAAGUGAAGCGGCUGUAUUGGAUAGCAUCGUAACAGAAAACAGAAGGGCUGAACCAAAUGACUUCUACUGUCUUACGAAAGCACUAUAAUCGGAAGCGGGACUUUUCCACCCAACCAAACACAUAGAUAUUGUCACUUUUAAUCUAAAUCAUUUGAGGCAAUACAAUCCUAUAUAACCUGCCUCAUCCCGCACACAGAAAAAGUGUACUCUUAGCAAAAAAUGAGAUAAUGGAUAGGAUAAACACUACAAUGUCUACUUCCAGAUCCAUGGGCGUGCAAGCACCAUCGAGUACAAGUGCAGAAACAAAUAGAAAAUACAUAGGAGGGGAAGGAGCAGGAAGAGAGGCAACACAAGGGAUUGAAGGAAGGAGCUCACGUAGGGAGAUGCCACAAGAAGGACGGGAGAGGUGUUCGCACACGAACACGUCACCGUGUACCCUCAAUGCCGGGGGUGAUGCACCGCAGCUCACGUUGAAGGAGACCCGUCCGGAAGCGCGGUACGCAAGCAAGUCGGCAGGCGCUUUUGAGAACCCGAAACCCCACACGCCCGGGAGGGACCCCGUCAGGGCGGGCGGCGGCUAUGGGCUACCCUAGGUCGGCCUGACCGCCCCUAGGGCCUCAAGGUUCGCCGCCCUGCAACAAGAAGAACGAACGAAGAACGAGGAAGAAGAAGAACUAGGGUUAAGGAGAAAAGAUAAAAAAUAUAAAGUGGUAGAUGAAUUGAUCGAUUGUGUGUUGUUCAAUCGGCUGUCACCCCUUAUAGAUAUAUAAGAGGCGGCUGGACUUCCCGUGCAAGGAAAAGGCUUGGAUUCACGUCCAAAACCCUAGUCAAAUUCGGAUUGGUUUUGCGAAAUCACUAGUUAAGGAUUACUCCUUGCGGAGAUCACUCCAACUUCCCCAGGUUGUGACAAGUGGCGUGCUGCAUGUGCGCCACUUGUCACAACCUGGGAGUCUUCCCUUUUUUCGUAGAUCCGUUUAUUCAAAACGUUUUAUCUCUUAAACCGUGCGUCCAAAUCUCGAAUCACUUUCGUUGUUGGAUUCCUCACAUCCAGAUCUUCAAGACUAGAUCCCAUGUUGAUAGAUUUUGACGAAUUUUUUUUCACGAAAAAACAGACAAAAAAACCGAACCGGGAACACGGUUUUUUUCCUUUCUAAAAGAGGCACGCCCGUGCCUCUGACGAAAUCACAACCGUGCCUCUCGCGGAAGCAAAACCAUGCCUCUCACAAAAGAAACAAAACAGAAAACACAUUUUUCCCUUUCCGAAAGAGGCACGCCCGUACCUCUCGCGAAAGCACAACCGUGCCUCUCGCGGAAGCAAAACCGUGCCUCUCGCGGAAGAAAAAAAAACAGAAAAUGUGUUUUUUUUGUUUCCGAUGAGGCACGGCCGUGGCUCUCGCGGAAGCAAAAUUGUGCCUCUCGUGAAAGGAAAAAACCAGAAAACAUGUUUUUUCCGUUUCCAAGAGGCACGGCCGUGCCUCUCACGAAAUCACAACCGUGCCUCUCGCGAAAACAAAACCAUGACUCUCACGGAAAAAAAUGCAUUUUUUGCAGAAAAAAAAAUUUUGAAAAAAAAAUUGGUCGAAAAGCUAGGGAAGACCGGUGGAAAACCAAAACGUCAAAAAAAACCCAGGAAAAACCAUUUAAAAAGCCAAAAACGCGUUCGGGAAAAUAAAAAAACAAAAUUUGGAGGGAGCGCCCAGAGCGCGACAUAUGGCGAAUGCCUGAGAGCACGCCAAGUGGCGCUGAUUGUUGCGAGGCUCCAGAAGGAGCGCUCGUUAAUUAGUUGCUCCCUUGGUUUUGUCCGAACUUUCCAAAACUGUUCGGUUUAAACUGGCUGAACCUUGCGGGUCUUUUUUGUGGUGGUAAACGAUCUCGGAUGGAAACGAGCCCAAAAGCAAUCUUGACCGUUUCGACGAGAUGAACAACUUUGAUGUUGAAAUUUUUUGAUCAGAGAUCAUCUUGAGGUUAAAUCGGUCGCGCAAAAUAGGCUAUUCCCUCGCGCUACCCAUCACACAUGUGUCUGGUGGGGCGCACCACAUCUCGCCUCGUGACAGGGCUGCACUCUGAUUGCUCUAAAUUUUUCAUACGAACUUGGAUUUGGACGUUUUUUAUAUCAAAGUCGAUCGUUUUGAUGAGACGAAGACAACCCGUGUAGAUCAUUUUUCUAUUUGAUGCGUUUUGGGGACUUAAUAUGCCAAACUGUACUCUGAAUAUAAGAUCUUAGUACUUUGAGCAUAGUUUCCGCCUUCGAGAUGAAAUCGUACGGCGAUGGCCCAAACUUAAAAGAUGUUCGUAUCGACAAUAUGAAACUUUUUUAUGUAGAUCACUUCUCCAUUUGAGGUCAUAUUAAUUAAGUUCUUGACCGUGCCAAAAUCUGGUGUCAACACAUGCCCCCCUGUUUUUCGGCAGAACUUGGAUGCCGAAAAAUAAUUUGCUCAGAGUUUGUUCUAAGGACGAUGUCAACACUCCAUCGUACAUUUAUAUGUGCUUGGGGCGAUAAUUAUAUAUCGGCCAUGAUUUAUGCUAAGGGCGAUAGUCAUAUAUCUGCCAUGUCUUUGCUUAGGGCGAUAGUUAUAUAUUGGUUGUUGCCUAUCUAGGCUUCUUGCCACACACUUGGGUGAUACUUCUUUAAAUACUUGCCAUUGAGAGCUUGAGGUGACAAUGUGCCUUGUAUAGAUUCCACCAAAUAUGAGUUUCCGGGAACUACUCUUGUAAUCUUAAAAGGACCUUCCCAACUAGGAGACCACUUCCCGAAUUUUCUAUCUUUUGAACCAAUUGGUAGAAUCAUCUUCCACACGAGAUCGCCAACUUGGAAAUUCUUCAACUUGACUUUCUUAUUGUAAGCCCUUUCCACCCUCAACUUAUUUCUCUCUAUGGUCUUCAAAGCAGCCAAACGUUCAUCGGUGACUUCAUCAAUAUUGUCCAUCAUCAAGUUAUAAAAGUCUACCGCCGAUAAAUCAUUUUGUUUGGCUAUUCUCAAAGCAUUCAAAUUCACUUCCACUGGUAAAACAGCCUCUUAACCGUAUACGAUCUCAUAUGGAGUUACCUUUGUAGCACCAUGCCUUGAGAUUCUCUGUGCCCACAAAGCUUCGGAUAGUAGCUCAUGCCAUCUCCUUGGAUUAUCCUCAAUCUUCUUCUUGAUGAGCUUGAUUAAUAUUUUGUUGCUAGACUCAGCUUGUCCAUUGGCUUGGGCAUAAUAUGGGGAGGAAUUGAGCAACUUUAUCUUAUAUGAUUUGGCAAAUUCUUUAACUUGAUGUGUCAUAAAGGAUGAACCUUGGUCAGUAGUUAAUGUUUGAGGAAUGUUGAAUCUAUGAAUAAUGUGCUCAGUUAUGAAUUGAAUUACCUCUGAAUGCGUCAUAUUUUUGAGCGAUAUUGCCUCAGACCAUUUAGCAAAAUAAUCAGCUGCCACCAACACGAACUGAUGCCCUUUUGAAGAAGAAGGAUGAAUCUCUCCAAUAAAGUCUAAUCCCCAACCUCUAAAAGGCCACGGCUUGAUAAUAGGAUGUAACAUAGCAGCGGGAGCCAACUGAAUAUCACUAAACUUUUGACAAGCUUCACAUCCUUUAUAAUAUCAAAAGCAGUCAUUAACCAUUGUUGGCCAAUAAAACCCAGCACGUCGUAAUAACCAUUUCAUCUUGGGAGCUGACUGAUGAGUGCCACAAAUACCUUCAUGGACCUCUCCCAUAGCAACUCUUGCUUGGUCCUCGUCCAAGCACUUUAAAAGAACAUCAUCAACCGUUCGACAAGAGAGAUCAUCAUCUCUCAUUGUGUAUUUGAAAGCCAUACGUCGAACAGUCUUGUCCACCCUUUUACUAGGAUCACACAAAUAAUCAAUAAUGGGUUUCCUCCAGUCUUGAUUUUCUCCUACGUUAAAUAUUUCAUUAGUGGCCGAAAUGGUGGGCUCCGGUUCAGCCUCCCCUAUGUUGGCAAGACUAGACAUCGGCCUUUCAGAAAUAUGAAACAUGCCACGAUCAACAUGAUAGCCGGAUGCUUGUUGUGCCAACUCAUUUGCUCUCCAAUUGUCAUGUCUUGAUAUAUGAGCAAUGCUAAAAUAAUCCAAGAUAUAAAUUAUAUCUGGACAUUUAUCAAGAUAAACAUUAAGUGAUUCAUCAAAACAUUGAAAAACUUUGGAUAUUUGUUGCACUACUCAUAACGAAUCACCGAAAUCCUCAAUAUGUUUAGCACAUAUGGCAAAAGUUCCAAACCGAAUAACAUUGCAUAUUUGGCUUUGAUUAUUGUGCAACAAAUAUUUUAAGAGGCAAGGCUUCACAGAACAUCACUAUAUGGAGAUAUAUAAACAACACCGACACUGUGGCCAUUGUUAUGAAUUCAACUAUCAAAACAUAAUCUCCACAGUACUUGUCUCGCUCUCCAAUUGAACUAAGGACGAUGUUAGAAUACUACACCGGCCAUACUUUGACAUAAUCUUAGGACGAUAGAUAAAUAUCGGCCAUUACCAUGUAAACUUCAUUCAAAGCACAUAUAGCCGAAAUAAACAAAUGAAAUGACAAAUCAAGUAUUUCGGCCCUUUGGAUCAGCAACAAACUUGUAGCUAAUCAAAUGUAUAGUGAUUUGGCAAUACCCUUUCAUGAUGUAAGAAAUUAUAUUGCAUUCAUGGAUUAAAAUAAGCCCAUUGAGGGUUACCAACCAUACCUGAUGACGAGUUCCAUGGCAUAGUCGUUAAUGGCAUAGUUGAAGAAUAUGGAUAAUGUGUAGAGUGAAGAUGUUGAAACCUUCGGCUUGGCCCUUCAUAGUUUUCACUCUUUUCCUUCUUCACCUUCGCUGCACUUCUUGUAAUGGAAUCUUGCACAUAAUUAUUGUUUUGAGUACUUCCUUUGGGAACCCAUGUCAUGUUCCUUUCUUCAAGUUCUUGUGCACUAAGCUUUUGUAACUCCUUCGUUUGCCAAUACGAUAAGCCGAGUGAGCACCUCGAGUGUGAUUUUGUUUCAACCAAUGGCAACUCUUUUUGGGCCUUGUGCACCCUCAACUUCUUUUCUUCAGAUUUGGCACUCUGAUUUUUAUCAAUUGAUUGCUUCACUUCUUUGCCUUUUGUAGCCAAUGUCAACACUUCAAUUGGCUCUUUGUUAUUUGAGAUCAAAUCUGAAGUACCACACUUAUGACCAUCUCUUUUCACGCGGUAAACUUGCUUUACCACCUCUUUCUUCUUCCUUGAGCUCCGGACCGAUUCCUUAUGAUUGAAACGGUCUUUGACGCGUGAUUGUUCAAAAGUUGAUCUUCUUGGAGCUGCAUAGUAUUGGUGAGAUGAUCUAAAACAAGAUGGAGAAUGUGCCCUUGUAUCAUACCUGUCCCAUGAUGAAUAUGGAUCUAUAUGAGCAUAGUGAGGCAUCCACGGCAUUGGCAUUGGCCGCCCAAAAUAAGGAUAUGAAUAUGUUGCAUUAAAAUUAUCACUUUGCCAAUACCGAUCCUCGUAUUUGCGCCUUGGGGGUGAUCUUGGUUUCUUUGCAUGAUUUUGCUGAUAAGCAUUCUGCUCUUCACUCUUCUUUUGAUAUUUAUCCAAUAGUUCAGCGAAGGUGAUUUUCGAUCUCUUACACUUGCGUUUAUUUUGGCCUUUGUUUUCUUUUGGUUUGCUUUCAUCGAUCAUUGGAUUUGUUUGCUGCCCCCCAGUCCUUGGUGUCUCCAUUGUAGCUUCGAUGGAAUUUUCACCCUCAAGAUUAUGUUCAUUAUGCUCUUCAAUAAUUUCUUUACUUGAAAGUUUGAUCCCAUCACCUGCAGUUUUUACCUUCUCUUUAAAUGGAUCGGCUUGAAGCAGCCGAUGCAAAAACUUUCUGCCAUUGGGACCAAUCGGAAUAGACUGAUCAUCUCUUGGUGUCUCAACAAAUUUCAAUCGUCCUUUAUCAAUGGUCUAUUUAACUAUUUGACGAAACAUGUUGCAAUCCUCAAAAUUAUGCUUGGACGAAUCAUGCAACUUACAAUACAUUCAUCCCUGGACAGAUGGCUCGACAUGGUGAUCAAGAAUUCUGAUAUAACUAUUUCUCAACAACAAAUCAAAUAUUUGAUCACACAUUCUUGAAUUGAAGGUAAACUUCUUAUUGUUUAGCCGGUCCUGCUGUGAGAACGGCUUUGGAGGUAAGCAAACAAAUGGUUCAGCUUUGGAAUCUCCCCAUUCGGCUACACAAUGUGUUUUGCACUCUAUAUCCGAUGUCUUUCGAUAAGAUAUCAUAAUAGCAUCGGUUUUCUCAAAAGAAUUUAACCUUGGCUUUAAAUUUCUAAAACAAAAAUAGUUAGCGCAUAUAUGUCUCAAUGGAGAACAAAUGCAAGCCAAGUAAUAAAUAAGAAAAGCUACACAAUUAGAUAUGAACUUUAGAUAAAGCAAUAGGGAAAGCCUUGGCUGCAACAAUGUCGGGGGAAACUGAUCCACGAACACCUAUGGGGCUGGCAGACCGGGCCCCUUUCGGUUCGGCGGGGGGGCGCAUAUCGCACGAAGAGCAGAUCGAGGCGAAGCACACGAGCAGUUUACCCAGCUUCGGAGCUCUCCGGAGAGAUAACACUCCUACUGCUGCUUGUUUGAUUACCUUGUGUUCUUGCUCUAGAGAGAGAGCGUAGUGUUUUUCUGGGUUACGAAUGAGUCGAACUGCGCGAACCAGUCGAACCGAACCCUCUCUACGUUGCGCAUGGGCCUCCUUUUAUACGCUAAAGGGGUCACCGACAGGUGGCAACGCAGAGAAGGGUACAAAUGUAAAAAGUGAGGUGGUUGGUACAGUUACUUGUACAGUGCACCCUACCUAACCCUGACGGCAGGGGACAAGGGCAUUAAAUGCCCGUCUGAGUCGCCCAAACAGUGCAGAAAAGGACCGUUAGGGGCGCCACCGUUCGCCACGAUGGUGAUCUUAUCAGCUUCGCAUGCCACUGCGCACCGCUGGCUGCACAGCCUCCCGCCACGCGUGCCUGGAGAGGCCCCCAGAGUGACACGUUGGUGGAUGCGCUGGAGCGUGGGCACAGAGUGGCCGCCUGCCGCGGCAAGCACCUUGCCGCUGCUGUUAUCUUGUCGGGUCCGGAGGCUUGUCGCUCACCGGGCCUCGAGGUACCUUGGUUGGUCUUCCCGGCAAGCUCCUCUUGCCGGGGCCUUGUUGCCUUGCCGGAGCGUGUGGCGCGUCGCGGCAAGUUCCUUGGAGUGCCUCGGUUGGCCUUCCCGGCAAGCUCCUCUUGCCGGGGCCUUGUCUCCUGAGCUUAAAUACUUUGUUCUUGAAUGGCUCCAAGGGAACCACAGAGGAUCUUGGUGUUAGCCCGGCAAGCCUUGCCGCGGGGUGCUGCAACUGCCCGUGCACAAGUUCGGGGUACUAGGGUACCCCUAUUCUAGUACACCGACAGGAGCCCCCGGGCCUGGGCCAGACACGGUGCCGAGCGCUGUUGGGCCAGGCCCAAGACUGGGCACGGGCACAUGUGGACUGGGCCACGCCGAAUCUCGCUCCGUAUCCACCGCGCUCUCCCCUAACGGCACGCGUUGAAUGCGGCAUCGUGGGAGAGAUCGUGGGUGGUUCUUUAUUCGGAAGGGCGAAACGUCCGCCCCGUCCCUCUUUAUAAGCAGAGGAAACAGGGGCAGUUCGUUCCCCCUCGCUGGUUGCUACUACUCCAUCUUCACGAACCUCCGCCGCCCCCCGCCCCUUCUUCUCGAAGCCGAGAGAGCAACGCUCCGCCCCCCAUUGCCACCAGCAUCACCAACGCCGUCGACCUCCCCCACCACCUCCGCCAUGGCUCCGAAAGCCGACAAGGGAAAGGGCGUGAAGUCGGCCGAGGCGCAGCGGCUCGCGGCGCUGCGGAAGGAGCGGGCGAUCUUCUCCCCCCAGCUCGGCGUGAAGGAGCUGAGGGAGUACUUCUACCUCUUUUGGGCGACGGAGACGCGGGCGCAUCCGCGCACGAGGGUACUCCCGGCCGCUGCUUCGGAACUGGCUCCAAACGGGUACCCAUUCUUCGCGCUGUUCUUUUAUUGCGGGCUCUGCCCGCCCUUCUAGGAGUUCUUCUGCGAUAUCAUGAACACCUACGGCUUCCACCUCCUUGACUUCACCCCCAACGCCGUUCUGACCAUGGUAGUUUUCACACAUUUGUGCGAAAACUUUGUCGGAGUCCACCCCAAUGUUGCCCUUUUCCGCCACUUCUUCAUACCUCGGGUAGAGAGAGGAGAGCCGCUUGCCGGAGGGAUCGCCUGGAUCUCGAGAGUCGGCAAGAAGGAGGCGUACUUGGAGCGUGAGCUCCGCAGCAAGUGGGAGGAGUGGAGAGCGGAGUGGUGCUGGAUCGUCGAGGAGAAUCCGCAGCCCUUCACCGCCGUGCGCCAAGAUCCAAUAGUGCGCGGCAAUGACUGGAGCAACGUGGCCUCGGAAGUCGAGAGGCUGAAGAUCGCCAUUACUAGGAUCCUUCGCCUCAGGCUUGCCGGGCUCACUGUAGGCGCUGUAGGCGCAGAUUUCCUCCGCCGCCGCAUCGCCCCCCUGCAGGAGAGGGGGAGGCCCGCCUGGGAAUUCAAGAACUCGGCGGACAUCAUGAGGCUGCGGCCGGGCCUCAACUACAACUUCACCGUCUUGGAGCUGGAUGCAAUGCUCCUGGAGUUGUUCAAACGCGACCCCCAGCACCCAUUCACGCUGCCGAGGGGUGUCGUUCCAUUGUGCAAUAAUUCUUCGCUUGACCGGAUCCGCGCCAUGAUGCCGUUGUGCGAUUCACACGGAAUCGUUCCAACUUGGCAAGAGCCUGCGGAUGACGUCGUGCAAGCGUUCUUCGACAACUUGGAAGAAGUGCCGGUCCACGCUGAUGAGCAGAAAAGCCUCACCCGUGACACCACCGACGAGGAGCUGCAGCGCAUCGCCACUAGGGCGGAAGAGGUUGCGGCUGCAGCGGCCGCGGGCGCGUUCGGGUUCACUGUGGAGGAGGCGGAGGCUGCAGAGGCGGCAAACCUCGCCGAGCGCGUGGAGUUCAUUGGCGAGGAAGAGCCUACCGGUUCUGAAGCUGAGCCGAGCGAGGCCGGCGAGGAAGAGCCCGAGCCUUCAGAAGGCUUGCCGCAGGCGGAGCCCCCAGCCCCGCCAAGAAGGCGUCUUCGCAGGACCGCGGACGUAGCGGGGCGGCAGUCGGGUCAACAGCCGCCAAGCCGUGCGACACGCUCUACCGCGGCAAGCAAUGUUGCUGCAGGAGCGCCCCACGCAGCAGCGGCAACUGGAGCGGGAUCUUCCCGGGCCACCGCCACCGCCCCCGCCAAGCGGGCAAGGGAUCCUACUCCUCCGCCUCGCCGCACCGGAAGGGAGCCGGACUUUGAUCUUUCCGCGCUCAGCUCUGACGAGGAGGAAGAAGAGUAAGUUUCCUUGGUACUCUUGUAGUUCUUUAAUCUUGCUGUUUUUAUCUUGUAUCUGACUUGCUUCAAUCUAGACUCCUUUCUUUUCAGGACGCUGGCCCAGAGAGCGGCGAAGAGGGCCAAGGCCGCGGUGAUUGUCAUCGAAGAUGACCCCACCGUGUCAGCAGGGGGUGGGUCCGAGACCACCUUGACGGACCCGGCAACCACUCCUCAAAACAGCCCCCAGCGCAGCCCCCAGCGUAAGUUCAUAGUUAGCUUUCUGCUGUCAGGCGCGCAUGAGUGCUUUUUCCUUUGUUGAUAUCUUGCUUGUUGAUUUGUGUAGGAGCAGAGCAGCCAUAUCAGGAGCGCCCGGAAGCUGGUCCCGAAGUGCCAUCUGCUUCGACUACGCCGCUAAGGGAGGAGUUCCCGGUAAGGGAGCGCUCUCCGGCAAGGGAGAACUCUCCAGCAAGGGGCAGCACCGUCGAUCCUGCGGCGGCCGAGACCGCAACUGCAGAUCUUGGCAUAGGUAAUUCACUUGCCCAAAAACUUUUCCUUGGGUUCUUCUUCUUCUGAUUUUCUUCUCUUGGAUUUUUGAUUGAUUUUUCUCCCUUCUUCGUUCUUCAGACCCAUCUGCUGCUGAGCCAAUGGAGACAGAGGGCGCCGGCGAGGAAGGGGCCGGUGCUGAUGAGACCGCCGGCGAGGAGGCCGCCAAGGCUGCCGCCGCAGAAGCCGGCGAGGGGUCGGGCGAUCGCACUGACGACCCUGAGGCCGCAGGAGCGCCAGGCGCUGCGCCGACCGCCGAUCCCUCUGCCGCUUCUGCGGAGCCGGGCUCCGAGGAGCCCCAGCCCGGCGCCUACUUGAAGGCCGGUGACGAUAUCUUCAUCAAGCUACCCUGGGCGUCGAGCUCCAGGGCGCCGGUCGAGGGGGAAACUUUCGAUGAGGAGGUGCUCGCCUCUGCUGGACUGUCGUUGGUCGACGCGCCCAGCAGUAGCAGUGGCGAGCCUGAGAAGGAGCAGCUGCUGCGGAAGCUGCUGUCACUCUACCGCGCACGGCAAGCCAAGCUGGCUUCCCGGGAAGCGCUUGUCGCGAAGGCGGGAGUUGACAUGGAGAAGCACGCGGAGGAGCUCCGGGGCCACAAUCAAGAAGCUCUCCGGUCCCUGGCACAGGAGCGGGAGCGACUCGACGAGGAGCGCACGGCCUUCCUUCUCGAGAAGGCCAAAGCUGAGGAGGAACAAAGGUUGGCCGCCGAGAAGCGGUUCGCGCGAGAAGGCGAAUUGGUGCAGCGAAAGGCCAACCUCGACAGCUACGAGGAGGAGCUCGCCGAGCGUGAGCAAGCACUUGGCGGGGCGCUCAAGGAGGCAAAGGACGCUGCCGCAAUCGCAGAGGCUGCCAAGAAAGAGCUGGAGGAGAAGGUGGCGCAGCUAGAGGCCAACAUCGGGAAGAGCGGCGAGGAGCUUGCCGCGCUCAAGCGUGAGCGUGAUAAGGAUGCUGCCGCCCACGGUGAGCUGCAAGGUCUUCUCGCUGAGAGGGGCAAGGAGCUCAGUGCCGCCAAGGAUUCCAAUGCGGUCCUGGAGUUGAAGCUGGCCACGUUGAUGUAGACGCUGGAGGCCGCCAAGGAGCGGGAGAAGACCUUGUCGGAGAAGGUCAAAGCUGACAAGUCGCUGCUGGAGAGCAUCGCAGUUACCCAGAACUCGUUCAGAGAUACUGUGGAGCACUGGACCGAGGGUCUGGUGAAUAUUGCCGCAGUCAUCGACGAGGAGUUGGCGCAGCUGGGGAUGGAGGACUUUGGGUAUCCCUCCGACGAGAAUCUCCAACCCAGUGCCAAGCUCAGCCUGUUCUUCAAGGGCGUGGCGACGGCACUCCAGCGGCUCCGGGAGAGGAUCCCAAAGCAGCUGGCCGACGAGUCGCGCAGGAUUUGCGCGGGGGCUCUCCAGAAGGUGCUGAUGAAGGUGGCCUUCCGUAACCCAGGCCUCAACCUUACCAACGUCCUCAGGUCCUUGCCGCCUGACGCUGAUCUGGAUGCACUCAAGGCCCUUGUCGCACCCAUUGUGGACAAGGUGAGCGAGAUCAAGAGGGUUGAGGGCGAUCGCGUAGACUAGGCCGCCCGUUUUCACUUUUCCCUUGUCGCUGCUAAUCAUGUUAUGAAAACAGUCUGUUAGAGCUGCGACAAGUUAUCUUGUAAUAUAACUUUAUUUCUGUUAUCAAUUGCUAUGUUAUUUCCUCUACUAGAUUCUUUCCUUUGUAUGUUUUUACCCUACGCUUCUAGGGAACUUGUCAGUGCAGGCGCCCGAGCCGCGAGCGCUGAGUGCGGAACGUCAGCAGCCUGCUGGCGGCGCUGCUUCUGACAAGAAACCUUGUCACGACUAGAUGCAGCACACUCAAGUUGUUGAGCAGACUCGAAACAAAGUAAGGGCGCAACUAGCCACGAGUUGGUGCCUCCGCGCACAGGUUUUCCAUACAAAGCAGGGUCGUUCGAGGAAGAUAACUCAAAAAUUUAAAAACUGAUUGCUCAAACUUUGGCGACUUAGCUUUUCUGUCGUUUGCUUCCCAGCAAGGCAAAACUUUGCUUGAACGACGCCUGGUCCAUACCACAAUCUUCUCCUUCCCCCCCGGCAAACUUGUGUGCGAGGGAACCUUCUUUUCCUUUGUUGAAAAAGAAGAAAGAAGAGAAAAUAAUGAUAUGGAGCCCUUCGGCUCGUUAUUGCUUACCGGAUGUAGGUGCUGCACAAAGUGUCAGAUAAUGCAUGCAAGAAAGAAACUAAUGCAUGAAAUGGACAAGUUGUGCGGAGCACAUGGGUUCUAUUUAUGCACGGGAUCUGCGCCCGGCUUUGUACAAAGGAUUACAUGCAACAGCGGCAAGACUUGUACAAAAGGUGGUUGCCGGAACGGGUUCCGGCAACCGCGCCCUACGGGAAAAACUUACGAAGAUGUUCUAUGUUCCAGGAGUUUCUCACCGGAAUGCCAUCUUCGGUCUCAAGGCGGACAGCGCCGGGCCUUGUGACUCGUUUCACCCGAUAAGGGCCUUCCCAUUUCGGUGUCAACUUGUUGGAAUUCUUGGCGGACUGAACGCGCCGAAGAACAAGGUCGCCUUCCUCGAAGCUUCUGGCUUUAACUUUGCGGCUAUGGUAGCGGCGCAAAGCUUGCUGGUAUCGAGCAGCUCGUACAGCAGCCUGAAGACGAUCUUCCUCAAGGAGCAGCGUGUCAUCUUGUCGCAGCUGUUCUUGCUCAAGCUCAUCAUAAGCGAGCACUCGAGGCGAUCCGUAUACGAGUUCCAUGGGGAGAACUGCCUCUGCUCCAUAGACUAGAGCGAAAGGCGUCUGGCCAGUGGCUCGAUUUGGCGUCGUUCUGAUCGACCAAAGAACCACCGGUUGAUUGCUCAAACUUUGGCGACUUAGCUUUUCUGUCGUUUGCUUCCCGGCAAGGCAAAACUUUGCUUGAACGACGCCUGGUCCAUACCACAAUCUUCUCCUUCCCCCCCGGCAAACUUGUGUGCGAGGGAACCUUCUUUUCCUUUGUUGAAAAAGAAGAAAGAAGAGAAAAUAAUGAUAUGGAGCCCUUCGGCUCGUUAUUGCUUACCGGAUGUAGGUGCUGCACAAAGUGUCAGAUAACGCAUGCAAGAAAGAAACUAAUGCAUGAAAUGGACAAGUUGUGCGGAGCACAUGGGGUUCUAUUUAUGCACGGGAUCUGCGCCCGGCUUUGUACAAAGGAUUACAUGCAACAGCGGCAAGACUUGUACAAAAGGUGGUUGCCGGAACGGAUUCCGGCAACCGCGCCCUACGGGAAAAACUUACGAAGAUGUUCUAUGUUCCAAGAGUUGCUCACCGGAAUGCCAUCUUCGGUCUCAAGGCGGACAGCGCCGGGCCUUGUGACUCGUUUCACCCGAUAAGGGCCUUCCCACUUCGGCGUCAACUUGUUGGAAUUCUUGGAAGGCCGUGCGCUCCUCGUCGAGUCGCUCGCGCUCCUGUGCCAGGGACCGGAGAGCUUCUUGAUUGUGGCCCCGGAGCUCCUCCGCGUGGUUCUCCAUGUCAACUCCUGCCUUCGCGACAAGCGCUUCCUGAGAAGCCAGCUUGGCUUGCCGUGCGCAGUAGAGUGACAGCAGCUUCCGCAGCAGCUGCUCCUCCUUAGGCUCGCCACUGCUACUGCUGGGCACGUCGACCAACGACAGUCCAGCAGAGGCGAGCACCUCCUCAUCGAAAGUUUCCCCCUCGACCGGCGCCCUGGAGCUCGACGCCCAGGGUAGCUUGAUGAAGAUAUCGUCACCGGCCUUCAAGUAGGCGCCGGGCUGGGGCUCCUCGGAGCCCGGCUCCGCAGAAGCGGCAGAGGGAUCGGCGGUCGGCGCAGCGCCUGGCGCUCCUGCGGCCUCAGGGUCGUCAGUGCAAUCGCCCGACCCCUCGCCGGCUUCUGCGGCAGCAGCCUUGGCGGCCUCCUCGCCGGCGGUCUCAUCAGCACCCCCCUUCCUCGUCGGCGCCCUCUAUCUCCAUUGGCUCAGCAGCAGAUGGGUCUGAAGAACGAAGAAGGGAGAAAAAUCAAUCAAAAAUCCAAGAGAAGAAAAUCAGAAGAAGAAGAACCCAAGGGAAAGUUUUUGGGCAAGUGAAUUACCUAUGCCAAGAUCUGCAGUUGCGGUCUCGGCCGCCGCAGGAUCGACGGUGCUGCCCCUUGCCGGAGAGUUCUCCCUUGCCGGAGAGCGCUCCCUUACCGGGAACUCCUCCCUUAGCGGCGUAGUCGAAGCAGAUGGCACUUCGGGACCAGCUUCCGGGCGCUCCUGAUAUGGCUGCUCUGCUCCUACACAAAUCAACAAGCAAGAUAUCAACAAAGGAAAAAGCACUCAUGCGCGCCUGACAGCAGAAAGCUAACUAUGAACUUACGUUGGGGGCUACGCUGGGGGCUGCGCUGGGGGCUGUUUUGAGGAGUGGUUGCCGGGUCCGUCAAGCUGGUCUCGGACCCACCCCCUGCUGACACGGUGGGGUCAUCUUCGAUGACAAUCACCGCGGCCUUGGCCCUCUUCGCCGCUCUCUGGGCGAGCGUCCUGAAAAGAAAGGAGUCCAGAUUGAAGCAAGUCAGAUACAAGAUAAAAACAGCAAGAUUGAAGAACUACAAGAGCACCAAGGAAACUUACUCUUCUUCCUCCUCGUCGGAGCUGAGCGCGGAAAGAUCAAAGUCCGGCUCCCUUCCGGUGCGGCGAGGCGGAGGAGUAGGAUCCCUUGCCCGCUUGGCGGGGGCGGUGGCGGUGGCCCCGGGAAGAUCCCGCUCCAGUUGCCGCUGCUGCGUGGGGCGCUCCCGCAGCAACAUUGCUUGCCGCGGUAGAGCAUGUCGCACGGCUUGGCGGCUGUUGACCCGGCUGCCGCCCCGCUACGUCCGCGGCCCUGCAAAGACGCCUUCUUGGCAGGGCCGGGGGCUCCGCCUACGGCAAGCCUUCUGAAGGCUCGGGCUCUUCCUCGCCGGCCUCGCUCGGCUCAGCUUCAGAACCGGCAGGCUCUUCCUCGCCAAUGAACUCCGCACGCUCGGCGAGGUUUGCCGCCUCUGCAGCCUCCGCCUCCUCCACAGUGAACCCGAAUGCGCCCGCGGCCGCUGCGGCCGCAACCUCUUCCGCCCUAGUGGCGGUGCAAUUGCAGCUCCUCGUCGGUGGUGUCAUGGGUGAGGCUUUUCUGCUCGUCAGCGUGGACCGGCACUUCUUCCAAGUUGUCGAAGAACGCUUGAACGACGUCAUCCGCAGGCUCUUGCCAAGUUGGAACGAUUCCGUGUGAAUCGCACAACGGCAUCAUGGCGCGGAUCCGGUCAAGCGAAGAAUUGUUGCACAAUGGAACGACGCCCCUCGGCAGCGUGAAUGGGUGCUGGGGGUCGCGUUUGAACAACUCCAGGAGCAUUGCAUCCAGCUCCAAGACGGUGAAGUUGUAGUUGAGGCCCGGCCGCAGCCUCAUGAUGUCCGCCGAGUUCUUGAAUUCCCAGGCGGGCCUCCCCCUCUCCUGCAGGGGGGCGAUGCGGCGGCGGAGGAAAUCUGCGCCUACAGCGCCUACAGUGAGCCCGGCAAGCCUGAGGCGAAGGAUCCUAGUAAUGGCGAUCUUCAGCCUCUCGUCUUCCGAGGCCAUGUUGCUCCAGUCAUUGCCGCGCACUAUUGGAGCUUGGCGCACGGCGGUGAAGGGCUGCGGAUUCUCCUCGACGAUCCAGCACCACUCCGCUCUCCAGUCCUCCCACUUGCUGCGGAGCUCACCCUCCAAGUACGCCUCCUUCUUGCCGACUCUCGAGAUCCAGGCGUUCCCUCCGGCAAGCGGCUCUCCUCUCUCUACUCGAGGUAUGAAGAAGUGGCGGAAAAGGGAAACAUUGGGGUGGACUCCGACAAAGUUUUUGCACAAAUGUGCGAAAACUGCCAUGGUCAGAACGGCGUUGGGGGUGAAGUCAAGGAGGCGGAAGCCGUAGGUGUUCAUGAUAUCGCAGACGAACUCCGAGAAGGGCGGGCAGAGCCCGCAAUAGAAGAACAGCGCAAAGAAUGGGUACCCGUUUGGAGCCAGUUCCGAAGCAGUGGCCGGGAGUACCCUCGUGCGCGGAUGCGCCCGUGUCUCCAUCGCCCAAAAGAUGUAGAAGUACUCCCUCAGCUCCUUCACGCCGAGCUGGGGGGAGAAGAUCGCCCGCUCCUUCCGCAGCGCCGCGAGCUGCUGCGCCUCGGCCGACUUCACGCCCUUUCCCUUGUCGGCUUUCGGAGCCAUGGCGGAGGUGGUGGGGGAGGUCGACGGCGUUGGUGAUGCUGGUGGCAAUGGGGGGCGGAGCGCUGCUCUCUCGGCUUCGAGAAGAAGGGGGGCGGCGGAGGUUCGUGAAGAUGGAGUAGUAGCAACCAGCGAGGGGGAACGAACUGCCCCUGUUUCCUCUGCUUAUAAAGAGGGACGGGGCGGACGUUUCGCCCUUCCGAAUAAAGAACCACCCACGAUCUCUCCCACGAUGCCGCAUUCAACGCGUGCCGUUAGGGGAGAGCGCGGUGGAUACGGAGCGAGAUUCGGCGUGGCCCAGUCCACAUGUGCCCGUGCCCAGUCUUGGGCCUGGCCCAACAGUGCUCGGCACCGUGUCUGGCCCAGGCCCGGGGGCUCCUGUCGGUGUACUAGAAUAGGGGUACCCUAGUACCCCGAACUUGUGCACGGGCAGUUGCAGCACCCCGCGGCAAGGCUUGCCGGGCUAACACCAAGAUUCUUUGUGGUUCCCUUGGAGCCAUUCAAGAACAAAGUAUUUAAGCUCAGGAGACAAGGCCCCGGCAAGAGGAGCUUGCCGGGAAGGCCAACCGAGGCACUCCAAGGAACUUGCCGCGACACACCACGUGCUCCGGCAAGGCAACAAGGCCCCGGCAAGAGGAGCUUGCCGGGAAGACCAACCAAGGUACCUCGAGGCCCGGUGAGCGACAAGCCUCCGGACCCGACAAGAUAACAGCAGCGGCAAGGCGCUUGCCGCGGCAGGCGGCCACUCUGUGCCCACGCUCCAGCGCAUCCACCAACGUGUGGCUCUGGGGGCCUCUCCAGGCGCGCGUGGCGGGAGGCUGUGCAGCCAGCGGUGCGCAGUGGCAUGUGAAGCUGACAAGAUCGCCAUCGUGGCGAACGGUGGCGCCCCUAACGGUCCUUUUCUGCACUGUUUGGGCAACUCAUACGGGCAUUUAAUGCCCUUGUCCCCUGCCGUCAGGGUUAGGUAGGGUGCACUGUACAAGUAACUGUACCAACCACCUCACUUUUUACAUUUGUACCCUUCUCUGCGUUGCCACCUGUCGGUGACCCCUUUAGCGUAUAAAAGGAGGCCCAUGCGCAACGUAGAGAGGGUUCGGUUCGACUGGUUCGCGCAGUUCGACUCAUUCGUCACCCAGAAAAACACUACGCUCUCUCUCUAGAGCAAGAACACAAGAUAAUCAAACAAGCAGUAGUAGGAGUGUUAUCUCUCCGGAGAGCUCCGAAGCUGGGUAAACUCCUUGUGUGCUUCGCCUCGAUCUGCUCUUCGUGCGAUCUCNNNNNNNNNNNNNNNNNNNNNNNNNNNNNNNNNNNNNNNNNNNNNNNNNNNNNNNNNNNNNNNNNNNNNNNNNNNNNNNNNNNNNNNNNNNNNNNNNNNNNNNNNNNNNNNNNNNNNNNNNNNNNNNNNNNNNNNNNNNNNNNNNNNNNNNNNNNNNNNNNNNNNNNNNNNNNNNNNNNNNNNNNNNNNNNNNNNNNNNNNNNNNNNNNNNNNNNNNNNNNNNNNNNNNNNNNNNNNNNNNNNNNNNNNNNNNNNNNNNNNNNNNNNNNNNNNNNNNNNNNNNNNNNNNNNNNNNNNNNNNNNNNNNNNNNNNNNNNNNNNNNNNNNNNNNNNNNNNNNNNNNNNNNNNNNNNNNNNNNNNNNNNNNNNNNNNNNNNNNNNNNNNNNNNNNNNNNNNNNNNNNNNNNNNNNNNNNNNNNNNGGGGUCGAACCGUCGGCGCCAAAGAUGUCGGGGGAAACUGAUCCACGAACACCUAUGGGGCCGGCGGACCGGCCCCUUUCGGUUCGGCGGGGGGGGCGGAGAUCGCACGAAGAGCAGAUCGAGGCGAAGCACACGAGCAGUUUACCCAGCUUCGGAGCUCUCCGGAGAGAUAACACUCCUAUUGCUGCUUGUUUGAUUAUCUUGUGUUCUUGCUCUAGAGAGAGAGCGUAGUGUUUUUCUGGGUUACGAAUGAGUCGAACUGCGCGAACCAGUCGAAGCGAACCCUCUCUACGUUGCGCAUGGGCCUCCUUUUAUACGCUAAAGGGGUCACCGACAGGUGGCAAUGCAGAGAAGGGUACAAAUGUAAAAAGUGAGGUGGUUGGUACAGUUACUUGUACAGUGCACCCUACCUAACCCUGACGGCAGGGGACAAGGGCAUUAAAUGCCCGUCUGAGUCGCCCAAAUAGUGCAGAAAAGGACCGUUAGGGGUGCCACCGUUCGCCACGAUGGCGAUCUUGUCAGCUUCGCAUGCCACUGUGCAUCGCUGGCUGCAUAGCCUCCCGCCACGCGCGCCUGGAGAGGCCCCCAGAGCGACACGUUGGUGGAUGCACUGGAGCGUGGGCACAGAGUGGCCGCCUGCCGCGGCAAGCGCCUUGCCGCUGCUGUUAUCUUGUCGGGUCCGGAGGCUUGUCGCUCACCGGGCCUCGAGGUACCUUGGUUGGUCUUCCCGGCAAGCUCCUCUUGCCGGGGCCUUGUUGCCUUGCCGGAGCGCGUGGCGCGUCGCGGCAAGUUCCUUGGAGUGCCUCGGUUGGCCUUCCCGGCAAGCUCCUCUUGCCGGGGCCUUGUCUCAUGAGCUUAAAUACUUUGUUCUUGAAUGGCUCCAAGGGAACCACGGAGGAUCUUGGUGUUAGCCCGGCAAGCCUUGCCGCGGGGUGCUGCAACUGCCCGUGCACAAGUUCGGGGUACUAGGGUACCCCUAUUCUAGUACACCGACAAACAAUGAGUCACUAUCGGUCUUUAUAAAUGGCGCUAUGGGUUGACCGAUAUGCUCAAUAACAAUUUUACUGCUAACAAGUAAAUUACCCUUCUUCAUUGGUCUUUCAAAAUUACUUAUGAGAAUAUUUCUUAUAGAUGCAUCAAUAAUGAAGUUGCGACCAAAUCUAAAAAUACGUAAAUUGCUUGCUAUGCAUACCUCUUCAAAUACGUUGGGAGAGCAUGAUGGUGUUGUGACUUGAACAAUAUCUAGCUUCGUCUUUGGAUGACUCUCAAAUGCCUUUUCAUCAUCUUUUUCUUUAUUAUGUGCAUCAUUACCUUGAAGAUCCUUAUCAGCCAAAGUUUGUUCGGCUACUUGCUCUUGUCCUUGAGGCUUGUCAAUUUCUACGGCACGAAACUCAUAGGGCAGGAAGUAGGUUCCAUUAACUUCAGAAAAAUCAAGCAUGGUUGUUUUGCUAUGCUUGCCAUGCCCUUUCUCAAUAAUGCUUGCCUCUUUGGAUUUGAUGGAUUUGGAAUAUAUACUACUUGAUUUGGCUUUUUCAACCGAAGCACUUUCAAGUUCCGAAUCAUCCUUCUUUUCAUUGAUACUACCAAUUGUCAAUGCUUCUUUUAUUUGAGCCAAUUCUUUUUUUAUUUGUUUCUGGCGGCGAGCGGCAAAAUUGGCUUUAAGUUUUUUCUCAUUUUCAGCCCACUCCGGAUAUGAUUGCCCCCCAAUGUUUUUAGAUUCUUUCGGCAAUGACACACAGGUGUUGCCGAAAUUUUGCGAUAGUGUAGGGGUGUAUAAUAUGAUGUAGUACUAGGUGAAGGCAUAUGCAUUGUUGUAAAACCAUAUUUUUGCUUGCCAAUUUUAUCAAUUGGCAAAGAUUCAUCUUCUUGCAAAACUCUAGUUUUUAUUGCGGCAUAAUCAGGAAAUAGCCCCUUUUCAUGUUGUUCAAGGCGAAGAGCACUAAUCCUCUUAUUUUGGGCUAAACUCUUCAAUGCAGCCACUACUACCUCAUCUUCUACAAUAUUGGGCACAACCGCUCCUGUAAAAUUUACAUUCAUUCGGCUAUGACCAGGAAGGUCGGAAGCCAAAUUAUGAACAUCUACAGUAGUGUAUGGUGCUGAAAAAUUAUUGUCAUGAGGUGUAGCAUAUAACUGUUGGGAAUAACUGGCUGAACAUCUAGUAGUAGCAUGGCCAGUUCUCUUGUUCAUCGGCAUGGCUGGAUUAGUAUAUUGCACAUUACUUGCCGAUGAAUAAAAGGGUGAAACACUUUCUUGCAUGGCAUUGGAAAUUCUAACAUGAGGUGUUUCAUAUUUAUUAACUGAACUCACCAUGUUGUUCAUCGGCAUAACAAUUUGUGGGGUUGCCGAUGCAUGACUGUUGGGAUACAUAUGGUGCGGGCUACUAGUAUCAUAAGAAGUUGAAGCAUGCAAAUUACUUUGAAUCAGCCCUUGCACGUAAUUAGAUGCAUUAUUGAAAAAACUAGGGCUGGCCGAUAGAGUAUACUCAUUGAACGAUCUAGUAACACCAUAUAAAUUAUUCACAUCUAUAGCAGGGAAUUGGGUAUUCAUAUUACCUUUGUGGAUUGCAAACCCUAGAUGACGAUCCUUUCGUAGCAAGAACAGGCCGAAGACCGUUCAAAACUUCGUACCCAGCGGAGUCACUAAAAAGUGUGUUCGCACAUGAACACAUCAUCGUGUACCCUCGACGCCAGGGGUGAUGCACCGCAGCUCACAUCGAAGGAGACCCGUCCGUAAGCGCGGUAUGCAAGCAAGUCGGUGGGCGCUUUUGACGACCCGAAACCCCACACGCCCGGGAAGGACCCCGUCAGGGCGGUCGGUGGCUAUGGGCUGCCCUAGGUCGGCCUGACCGCCCCUAGGGCCUCGAGGUUCACCGCCCUGCAACAAGAAGAACGAACGAAGAACGAGAAAGAAGAAGAACUAGGGUUAAGGAGAAAAGAUAAAAGAUAAAAAGUGGUAGAUGAAUUGAUCGAUUGUGUGUUGUUCAAUCGGCCAUCACCCCUUAGAUAUAUAAGAGGCAGCUGGACUUCCCAUGCAAGGAAAAGGCUUGGAUUCACGUCCAAAACCCUAGUCAAAUUCGGAUUGGUUUUGUCCGAACUUUCCAAAACUGUUCGGUUUAAACUGGCUGCACCUUGCGGGUCUAUUUUGUGGUGGUAAACGAUCUCAUAUGGAAACGAGCCCAAAAGCAGUCUUGACCGUUUCGACAAGACGAACAACUUUCAUGUUGAACUUUUUUUUAUCAGAGGUCAUAUCAAGGGUCAAAUAUGUCAAGCAAAAUAGGCUAUUCCCUCGCGCUACCCAUCAGACAUGUGUCUGGUGGGGCGCGCCACAUCUCGCCUCGUGACAGGGCUACACUCCCAUUGCUCUAACUUUUGCAUACGAAAUCAGAUUUGGACGAGUUUUAUAUCAAAAUCAAUCAUUUCGAUGAGACGAAGACAAUCUGUGUGGAUCAUUUUUCCAUUUGAGGUGGUAUUGGGGGAUUAAUCGGCAAAACUGUACUCUGAAUAUAAGAUCUUAGUACUUUGAGCAUAGUUUCCGCCUUCGAGAUGAAGUCGGACGGCGAUGGCCCAAACUUCAAAGAUGUUCAUAUUGACAAUACGAAACUUUUUUAUGUAUAUCACUUCUCCAUUUGAGGCCAUAUUAAUUAAGUUCUUGACCGUGCCAAAAUCUGGUGUCAACAAGAGGGAGACGGUCGUGUGCUCCGACGACGGCCUUUCUCGCUGACAUUUCCCUACAGGGACGACAUACAUGUGGAUCAAAAGUUCCUCGCCGAUGGAUGCAACCUGGGGAGGGCAUAGAUCGGACACUCAUAUUUGUCUUACCCAGCUGCCGUCAAUGGCGGGGCAGAUGCCGAAGCAACGGGGGUGGGAGAGCUAGCGGGUUGACCGCUCGGCUCGGACAAGCACUAGGGUAGAAUGGUGGCCGAGCGAGCCGCCGCUCCUGUCUACUUUAUCUGGCAGCGCAGAAGAGAGAGAGAGAGAGAGAGAGAGAGAGAGAGAGAGAGAGAGAGGAGGCGGGCAGAGGAGGCGGUGCCCAGGCGGGGUUGAGGAGGACGGGAAGAAAGGUGCGGCAGGUGCGGGAGAAAGGAGUUCUUGCGGGAAGGAGCGGACGGCUCGGGACCGGUUCAUCCUUUUUGCGCGCACGUUCUCUGCAGCGUACAAGGCGCGGAAUGGAAGGGACAAGCCGCCCAUGCCGUCUCCUUUUCUCUCUCCUAUAUCUGACGCUGAAGGCAGAAUGAACAACCCAAGACACUGACGUGUGGGACCAAAAGCCAACAUGGCUCACCUGUCACAACACGCGGGACGGGUGUGUAUGCGGGUAUAUAUGUGUCAAUCCAUCUCUCUCUUUCCAAUAUCCAAUCCUAGAAUUGGAGGGAGUUGUUGGUUGACCUGGGCAAAGCGUUCAUGCGAGGCAGACUCCCAUGCCAGUCCGUGUCUCUUCCCUCCACACGAACCAAGCCACAGCAGGCCACGGACAGGUGGGGCCAGAAUGAAAACAGGGCCACUUGCAGCGAGAUCACACAAGGACCAGACGAGGGAAUAACAAUAGGAGAAGCCACGUCUCCUAGCGAGAAUCGCGUGCCGCACACGCGGCGCAUCAGGAGAGGGCAUGUGCGCACCUCAAAACGGCUCAGCCAGCCAAUCGGCAACAAGCACGAGCCCACCAGUCAUUGGAUUUUGAAACUACAGCGAGGUAAAAACAGACGACGCAGAUCCAACAUCCCAAAAGAGUUUGGAGACUGGUUUGACCACCAUCCGACGUCUGAAAUCAAAGAAAAACGGGGGAACCUCCUAGAGCCAAGUUGGCUAGCAACCUUAUAUGUUAUAAUGCUACCUAACAUAUUUAUCCAUAUAAUUUUCUUUAUUGUGGCAUGAAUAUUCAGAUCCAUAAGAUUCAAAACGAAAGUUUAAUAUUGACAUAAAAACAAUAAUACUUCAAGCAUACCAAUAAAGCAAUCAUGUCUUCUCAAAAUACCAUGGCCAAAGAAAGUUAUCCCUACAAAAUCAUAUAGUCUUGCUAUGCUCCAUCUUCAUCAUACAAAAUAUUAAAACAUGCACAACCCCGAUGACAAGCCAAGAAAUUGUUUCAUACUUUUGAUGUUCUCAAACUUUUUCAACUUUCAUGCAAUACAUGAGCGUGAUCAAAGGAUAUACCACUAUAGGUGGAAUAGAACAUGGUGGUUGUGGAGAAGACAAAAAGGAGGAUAUAGUCUCACAUCAACUAGGCGUAUUAAUGGGCUAUGGAGAUGUCCAUCAAUAGAUAUCAAUGUGAGUGAGUAGGGAUUGCCAUGCAACGGAUGCACUAGAGCUAUAAGUGUAUGAAAGCUCAAAAAGAAACUAAGUGGGUGUGCAUCCAAUUCGCUUGCUCACGAAGACCUAGGGUAGUUUGAGGAAGCCCAUCACUGGAAUAUACAAGCCAAGUUAUAUAAUGGAAAAUUCCCACUAGUAUAUGAAAGUGCCAACAUAGGUGACUCUCUAUCAUGAAGAUCAUGGUGCUACUUUGAAGCACAAGUGUGGUAAAAGGAUAGUAGCAUUGCCCCUUCUCUCUUUUCUCUCUUUUUUUGUUUUUUGUUUGGGCUUCUUUGGCCUCUUUUAUUUUUUGUAAAGUUCGGGGACUCAUCCCAACUUGUGAGGGAAUCAUAGCUUCCAUCAUCCUUUCCUCACAUGGGACAAUGCUUUAAUAAUGAUGAUCAUCACACUUUUAUUUACUUACAACUCAAGAAUUACAACUCGAUACUAGAACAAAAUAUGACUCUUUAUGAAUGCCUCCGGCGGUGUACCGGGAUGUGCAAUGAUUAAGAGUGACAUGUAUGAAAAAUAUGAAUGGUGGCCUUGCCACAAAUACUAUGCCAAGUACAUAAUCAUGCAAAGCAAUAUCAAAAUGAUGAUGCGUGUCAUAAUAAACGAAACGGUGGAAGUUGCAUGGCAAUAUAUCUCGGAAUGUCUAUGGAAAUGCCAUAAUAUGGUGGGUUUAAUGCACCGGCGAGAAUUGCGCGGUGCUAGAGAGGCUAGCAAAGGUGGAAGGGUGAGAGUGUGUAUAAUCCAUGGACUCAACAUUAGUCAUAAAGAACUCACAUACUAAUUGCAAAAAAAUAUUAGUUAUCAAAACAAAGUACUACACGCAUGCUCCUAGGGGGAUAGAUUGGUAAGAAAAGACCAUCACUCGUCCCCGACCGCCACUCAUAAGGAAGACAAUCAAUCAACAAAUCAUGCAACAACUUCAUCACAUAACGGUUCACCAUACGUGCAUGCUACAGGAAUCACAAACUUUAACACAAGUAUUUUUACCAAUCCAUAAUUACUCACUAGCAUGACUUUGAUAUCACCAUAUUUAUAUCUCAAAACAAAUGCAAGGAAUCAAACUUCUCAUAGUAUUCAAUGCUCUUUAUAUGAAAGUUUUUAUUAUAUCCCUCUUGGAUGCUCAUCAUAUUAGGACUAAAUUCAUAACCUAAAAAAAUUACCAUGUUGUUCGGAGACUCUCAAAAUAAUAUAAGUGAAGCAUGAGAGUUCAACAAUUUCUAUAAAAUACAGCCAUCGAUGUGCUCUAAAAAGAUAUAAGUGAAGUACUAGAGCAAAUUGCCUAGCUCAAAAGAUAUAAGUGAAGCACAUAGAAUAUUCUAAUAAAAUUCACGAUUAAUGUGUGUCCCUCUCAAAAGGUGUGUACAGAAAGGAUGAUUGUGGCAAACUAAAAAUCAAAGACUCAUAUCAUACAAGACGCUCCAAGCAAAACACAUAUCAUGUGGUGAAUAAAAAUAUAGCCUCGAGUAAAUCUACCGAUGGAUUGAAGGCGAAAGAGGGAAUGUCAUCCGGGGCAUCCCCAAGCUUAGAUGCUUGGUUGUCCUUGAAUAUUACCUUGGGGUUCCUUGGGCAUCACCAAGCUUAGGCUCUUGCCACUCCUUAUUCCAUAGUCCAUCAAAUCUUUACCCAAAACUUGAAAACUUCACAACACAAAACUCAACAGAAAACUCAUGAGAUCCGUUAGUAUAAAAAAUAAAUCACCACUUUUUGGUACUGUUUUGAACUCAUUAUUUAUUUGUAUUGGUCUAAUAUCUACUGUAUUCCAACUCUUACAUGGUUCAUAGCCCCCGAUACUACCCAUAGAUUCAUUAAAAUAAGCAAACAACACAUAGAAAACAGAAUCUGUCAAAAACAGAACAGUCUAUAGCAAUCUGUAAACUUUGUAUACUUAUUUAACUCCAAAAAAUCUGAAAAAUUAGGACAACAGAGGAAUUAAUAUAUAAAUCUUGUUUAAAAAAUUUAGGAUUUUAUCAUGCUUAUGUGAUUUUUAACAAUUCUGGCAAUGAGCGCAAAAGUUUCUGUUUUUCAGCAAGAUCAAAUCAACGAUAUACCAAAGUUUCCCAAAGGCUUUACUUGGCUCACACACUAAUUAAAAACACCAAAAAACAAUUAAUACAGAGGUAAUAAUGUGUAUUCACAUAAAAACAGAAAAGAAAAAUUUUGGGUUGUCUCCCAACAAGCGCUCUUCUUUAAAACCUUUUAGCUAGGUGUUGAUAAUUUUAAUGAUGCUCACAUGAAAGAUAACAAUAGAAACACGAAGAGAGCAUCAUGUAGCAUGUGAAAAACAAGUUUGAGUCUAACAUAUUUCCUAUGCAUAGGCAUUUUAUAGGGAAAAUAUUUAUCAAGACAAGCAAAAACUAGCAUAUGCAAGGAAGAAGAAAGAAACAAUACUAAUCUCAACAUAAUGAGAGGUAAUUUAGUAACAUGAAAAUUUCUACAACCAUAUUUCCCUCUCUCAUAAUAAUUACAUGUGGGAUCAUAUUCAAAUUCAACAAUAUGGCUAUCACAUAACAUAUUUUCUACAUGGUCCACAUGCAUGCAAAGUUGACACUCUUCCAAUAUAGUGGGAUUAUCAUCAAAUACAGUCAUGACCUCUCCAAGCCCACUUUUAUCAAAAUUUUCCUAAGAUUGAUCAUUCUCCAAAGUAGUGGGAUCAUUAUUACCUAGAGUUGACACUCUUCCAAACCCACUUCCAAUAUUAUCACAAACAUAUUCGUCAUGAGACUUAAAUAAAUUUUCAAGAUCAUAAGAAGCAUUAUCACCCCAAUCAUGAUCAUUACAACAAGUAGUGGACAUGGCAAAAUUAGCAUCCCCAAGCUUGGGGUUUUGCAUAUUAUUAGCACAAUUGGCAUGAAUAGAAUUUAUAAUAAUACCAUUGCAAUCAUGCUUUUCAUUCAAGGAGCUAUCAUGAAUCACUUCAUAAAUUUCUUCUUUUAGCACUUCAUCACAAUUUUCAGAUUACUCCAUAAAGAUAAUCUAGUGCACUCAACUCACUGGCAAUUGGUUCAUCAUAGUUGGAUCUUUUAAAAAGAUUAGCAAGUGGAUGAGGAUCCAUAAACUCUUUGCUUACUGAUUUUGAAUAAAUACACAAUUAUGCCAAGCAAACAAGCAAACAAACCAAGUAAGACAUAAGGGCAAACGAAAAGACGAAUGAAAGAAGGGAGAAUAAAAAGGCAAAUAUUUUUGUAUUUUUCCGAAAAUGUUUUAGAAGUGGGGAAGAGGAAAAUGAGAGGCAAAUGGCAAAUAAUGCAAUGCAAGAGAUGAGAGUUUAUGGUGGGUACUUGGUAGGCUUGAUGUAGAACCUCCCUGGCAACGGUGCCAGAAAUUCUUCCUGUUACUUCUUGAGCUUGCGUUGGUUUUUUCCUUGAAGAGGAAAGGGUGAUGCAGCAAAGUAGACAUAAGUAUUUCCCAGUGUUUGAGAACCGAGGUAUCAAUCCAGUAGGAGGUACACGCAAGUCUCCAAUCUAUGCACCUGCACAAACAAUCAAACACUUGCACCCAACGCGAUAAAGGGGUUGUCAAUCCCUUCACAGUCACUUGCAAAGGUGAGAUCUGAUAGAUAUAUAUAUAAAAGAUUACUAAAACAUAGAACAAAAUAAAAGUAAAUAAAUUGCAGGAAGGUAUUUUUGGCUUUUUUGGUUUAUAGAUCUGAAAAUAUAUGAUGAAAAAUAGACCCGAUGGCCAUAGGUUUCACUAGAGGCUUCUCUCUUGAAAGAAAAUAUACGAUGGGUGAACAAAUUACUAUCGAGCAAUUGAUAGAAAAGUGCAAAGUUAUGAUGAUAUCCAAGGAAAUGAUUAUGAAUACAGGCAUCACAUCCGUGUCGAGUAGACCGAAAUGAUUAUGCAUCUACUACUAUUACUCCACACAUCGACCGCUAUCCAUCAUGGAUCUAGAGUAUUAAGUUCAUAAGAGCGGAGUAACGCCUUAAGUAAGAUGACAUAAUCUAGAGGGUUAAACUCAAGGAAUAUGAUGAAACUCCCAUCUUUUUACCCUUGAUGGCAACAAUACAAAUACGUGCCUCGCUACCCCUACUUUGUCACUAGGUGAGGACACCGCAAGAUUGAACCCAAAACUGAGAACCUCUCCCAUUGCAAGAAGAACCAAUCUAGUUGGCCAAACCAAUCCGAUAAUUUGAAGAGAAAUACAAAGAUACCAAACCAUGCAUAUAAGAAUUCAGAGAAGAUUCAAAUAAUAUGCAUAGAUAAAAUGAUCAUAAAUCCACAAUCCGUCGAAUCUUGAAAAACACACCGCAAAAGAAUAUUACAUCAGAUAGAUCUCCAAGAACAUCGAGGAGAACAUUGUAUUGAGGAUCAAAGAGAGAGAAGAAGUCAUCUAGCUACUAGCUAUAGACCCAUAGGUCUAUGGUAAACUACUCAUGCUUCAUCAGCAAUAGAGUUGAUGUAGAAGCCCUCCAUGAUCGAAUCCCCCUCCGACAGGGUGCCGAAAAAGGCCCCAAGAUGGGAUCUCACGGGUACAGAAGGUUACGGCGGUGGAAAAGUAUUUUGGUGGACGCCUCUGGUCGUUUGGAAUAUUUGGGAAUUUAUAGAGCAAAAAUUAGGGUUGGAGGAGUCCUGUGGGCCCACAAGCCAGCCCCCCCCCCCCGGGCGCGCCCUGAGGGCUUGUGGAGCCCUCGGGACUCUUCUGGCCCCUUUCCAAGUUUGUUGGGUGUCUUCUGGUCCAAGAAAAAUCAUCGCGAAAGUUUAUUCCAUUUGCACUCUGUUUGAUAUUUCUUUUUUGUAAAACUCAAAAACAAGGAAAAACAGAAAUUGGCACUGGGCUCUAGGUUAAUAAGUUAGUCCCAAAAAUAAUAUGAAAUAGCAUAUUAAUGCAUAUAAAACAUCCAAAACAGAUAAUAUAAUAGCAUGGAACAAUACAAAAUUAUAGAUAUGUUUGAGACAUAUCACUUCUCCACUACCAAAUGCUCCUUGAGCUCCUGGCUUUACUUCGUGCACCAUGGCCUAGGACGGUGAUUAUUUCGAGGAUGGGUCGAUGAUUUGGGCGAAAGGUGUCGUGCUGACGGUCGGGGCAUGUGGGAUGGAGAAGGAGGAGGAGGAUGGGGAUUGAGUGUGGAUUACCUGACUAGAUCGACGAGGCCGAGCGGCAGGAAGGAGCGUCACCGGUGAGGAGGUGGCGCUGCAAGCAAGCAAUGAAGGCGGAAACAAGGGAAAUGUGGCUUUUGGUGAGGAGGAGGGGGAGUAGAUAUUUCUAUGAAUGCUGAAAUUUUUCAUUUGGUGUAGCAAAAAACUGGUGCGCAAAGUGUCAUCAGACACAACCCCUUAUUCAGCACUGUGUACAAUAUCUGAACAUUACAAACGAUUAAUAUGGCUUACCCCGUGUAUGAUGAGUUUGAACGUGCAAAGUUUUGUUUGAAUUUCCCUUGUUACAGUGGGCAUCCAUGUCAUUGCAUAGUUUGGGUACACAAAAGAGCCUACAACACACCCACACUUCUUAAUCGAGGAAGUUCAGCAAUUAAACAGAGCUAGCUGACCUAAACAUUACUCUAACAAAAUAUCGACGCUCUAAACAAAGACUACUACUCCGCCUGGCGCUCAUCGAUCACCGUCGCCUCCUCCAUGUCUAGCUUGUUCUCGACGAUCUCCUGGGGAAGGGGCUCCAUGGCAUCCAUCGCAACAUACUCAAGCAUCUCGCCAUCUGAUGACCCACAAGUAUAGGGGAUCAAUCAUAGUCCUUUCAUAAGUAAGAAUGUCGAAACCAACAAGGAGCAGAAGGAAAUGAAAAAUUGUCAGGACCCCGACUCAAUGCCACAUCGAUCUAACAUGUAACACCUCAUAUCACUUUGCGGCCUAACGCACGGUAUUCCCACGGGUGUCGCCUUACCUUUGUCCGGGACCGUUUGCGUCUUUUGGCACACGUAUAUGAUAGUGUCGCUAGCAUCCAUAUGAUAAGGAGCCCGGGCUGACAUGGCUAGUCGUAAACCCAAAGUGGCUCAAACUUACAGGGACAGGCAUCCAUGACCCAGCAUCGAACGUGUCGGUCAUCAGCGAGUGAAUCCAGGCUGUAGCACUGGGCUAGCAGGACUCUGGUGAACCCGGCUGUAGCGGGCUAACAGGACUCCGGAAUUCAUCACGUGACAUUUCCCCGAGGGGACAGACACAGGAACGAAGAAGGACACAUGCCGGCCAGCCUAAGUGUUCCGGAGCAGUAGCAAGCUACCAUGGCUCAGUGGAAACACUAGGAGACAUUUCCCGGUAAGAGAGGCUACUAAGGAUAAACAACUAGAUAGUCAGAUCCCACACAUACCAAGCAUUUCAAUAACAUACACACAAUAUGCUCGAUAUGUGAAAAUACAACAUGGCAUCACAACAUGACUCUACAACUCAAGUAUUUUAUUCAAUAGGCUCCAAGGAGCGAGAUAUUACAAACAUGGGUCUCAUGACCCAACAUUCAGAGCAUACAAGUCAAAGCACAAGCGGAAGCUUAACAUGUCUAAGUACAAACAUCUACAAAUGAAAAAGGCUAAGAAGCCUGACUAUCUACUAGAUCCUGCUGAGGGCACAAAGUCAUAGCUGAGGUAACAAGCUAAAGUCCACGCGGAACUACUAGUGAGACGGAAGUCUCUGCAAAAAUGUAAAAUAGGCAAACCUGAGUACAAAUGUACCUAGCAAGACUUACAUCAUAACUAACUACAUAUGCAUCAUUAUCAACAAAGAGGAUGGUGGGGUUUAACUGCAGCAAGCCAGCUUUGACUCGGUGGCUAUCCUAAACUACGACUGCAAGUAACUCUUUUGAGGUGGCGCACACGAGUCCACAUAUUCACCAUAUCAAUACACCACUAUGGAUCCGCUCCCGUCUCCCUACGAGAAUGCCAUCCAUAGCACUCACACUUAUCUUGCAUAUUUUAGAGUAUCCACUUUCACUUGUCUAUGAACUGUACAGGCAACCCAGAAGUCCUUUUCCACGGACACAGGUAUUCGAAUAGAUGAUGUUAACCCUGCAGGGGUGUACUUCUUCACACACGCUCUCACCACUUACCGCCGUUUACACGACAUGUACUCGGCAACCUUCAAGCGGAAGCCCAACGAGGGUGUCGGCCACGGCCUACCUAAACACUCAAGUCUCUAGUCCAGGUUUAUCACCUAUUCAGGUUCCAUCCGCAGGGAGUCUGGCCGAGGUUUCCACAUACGGCCCCGAACGAUGUGUACAGGGUUCCGUGACACCAAACGGGCGCCCGGUAUACCCGGCCACAUGCCUACCGCAUCACAGCCCACCCCUCCGGUCAGCGCUGCCCACGGCCUCCAGCAUACUACAAACACCAGAAACUACUUGCAACUCCUGGACAGAGCACAAGGGUGAUUAAGAAGCCGAGAGGGUCCAUUGGUUUCGGGCCCAAUGUGUGGUAGUAACUGUUUCAUGGAUCACAAACACAGAACUCAGUUCCUGAGGACGGCUUCAAUGAGACAACCCACCAUGUACUCCUACAUGGCCUCUCACCGCUACCUUUACCAAAUUGUGUUCACACACUUAGCUCACACACAGUAGGACAUGUUCACACACCUCUGAUUCAUCCCCGAUGAAUCAGACCUGACUCAACUCUAAGCAGUAGCAGGCAUGACAAACAAGCAUGAAUGAGUAGGCACAACAGGGCUCAAACAACUCCUACUCAUGCUAGUGGGUUUCAUCUAUUUACUGUGGCAAUGACAGGUCAUGCAGAGGAUAAAGGGGUUCAGCUACCGCAACAAGUAACAAAUGAAUCGUUGUUGUCCUAAUGCAGUAAAAGAGAGCAGCAGCGAGAGAGUGGGAUUGUAUCGGAAUGAACAAGGGGGUUUUGCUUGCCUGGCACUUCUGAAGAUAGUAUAGCUCUUCAUCGGUGUCAUCGAUCUCGUCGUCGGUAUCACGUCUAACGAGAGGGGACAAAUACUGGCAACACAGAAGGAAACACAAUCAAUGCAAUGCAUAAUAUGAUGCAUGCUCAUGACAUGUCAAUAUGCUGUGUGUUGGGCUAAUGCAACUAAAACCAGAGUGGUUUGAUCUUAUUUGAAUCAAAGAUUCAAAUACAAGCCUAAGCUAUGAACUCAUAUAAGUGCAUUAUCAUGUUUCAUCUAAACAGAAAGGUUAGGUUGCUCUAACAUGCAUGAAACCAGUACAGAUGCAAAGGUUGGAUUUUUCUGAUCAUUUUUCAUAUAUAACUUAUUCCAAUCUGAGUUAUAGAUUAUUUUCUAUGAAUUUUUGAAGUUUGCUACAUUUUCUGGAAUUUCCUAUAUAAGAAUAAAUCCAAUAAAUGUUUUAUUGCGUCAGCAAUGCAUCAGGGUGACGUCAGCCAUCAACGGGGACGGUCCAGGUCAAACCUGACCAGUGGGUCCCGCGUGUCAGUGUCAUUAGUCUAAAUAAUUUUUAGUUAGUCCUAAUCCUAACUUAAUUAGCAGGCGGGUCCCACUUGUCAUAGACCCAGGGGGUUAAACUGGGUCCACCCGGGGUCAACUCGGUCAGCGGGGUCAAACUCACCGGUGACUCGAUGCUGGCGAGGCCCGAUACGGUGGCGCGGCUCGAAAAACACCCACAGGGCACGGUGGAGGCCGUUAUUGGGCUUGUUGGAGAGCUCUUGCAGGCGCGCGUCGAGUGGUGGUGGCGGCCGGGACUAUGGUGGUCGGAGCCGACGACGGCGAGCUCCAAGGCGGCGGCCGGAGUUCGGGUUAGUACGGGGGCGGCGUUAGGGAGCAUGAAAGGGGGUGCGGAGGGGUGCUAUGGCCUCCUGGGGGUGCACUGAGCAUGUCUGCAUGCUCGGUUUGGACGGAAGCAAACCAAAACGAUGACGGCGACAAGUCCGGCGCCGAUGAGGUCUCGGUCUCGACGAAAAUGAAGGCUACGACGAGCUAAUGGACAUGGGAGAACGGGGGUCGGUAGAGGAGCUCACGGCGAGUGCAGAGGUGGCCUCCGCGUGCUCGGGGAAGCACCGGAGCGUGUGGGCGCGCGCGUUGGCCACACGCGCGUCCUCCUGGCAGAGGAGGAAGACGACAGGGAAGGAGGCGGUGGUGGGCUUGGCCAGUUGCAGUGCUGGGCCACAGCUGGGCCGACUAGGUGGCCUGCACAGUGAGGCCAGGUACUAACUCUCUCUCUCUUUUAUUUUCUGUUUUCUAUUUUCUGUAAUCUUUGUGGCUUUAUUAAAAAUACAAAAACGUUUCCAAAAAUCCUGAAAAUAGUUGUGGGCUCUGUUAGGAUUAUUCCUAGCAGCCCACACUUAAGUUCAGAAUUAAUUGAGCACUUAAGAUAAUAUAUAGCAUUUAAAUGCCCAAUUGCAAAUACUAUAUGAUUUAAUUCAGUGACCAAAUAUGUCAUGGAAAAAUGUGCAACACCUCUGGUUAUGGUUCUAGCAUUUCCAGAAAUGAUGAACAUUUUUGAAAGCCAUUUGGAUUCACUAAAAAUAUUUUAGUUGAACCUAGUGAAUUCCUUUGACGCUAGGGUUUAGGCAAUCCCCAUUAAAAGUUUCAUAAAAUUUAAACAUGAUGCAUGGAUGCUUAUGCAAAGACAGAUAAGGUCUAAGCUAGGGCUGUGACACAAAUGGUUUUCAGCAAGCUAAUCUCUGCAAGUACUGAAAGUAGCGGUAACAAAUAGUUUAGUAGCAAGGUAAUUUGUAAGAAGUAAUAAUAGUAACCAAGGGGCAGCAAGGUGGCCCAAUCCUUUUUAUAGCAAAGGAAAAGCCAAAAAGUUCUCUUAUAGUAAGGAAAGCAUUCUCGAGGACACAUGGGAAUUGUCGUCUAGUCAUGUUCAUCAUGUUUAGUUGAUUUGCGUUUGUUACUUUGAUAAUUUGAUAUGUUGGUGGACUGGUGCUAGUGUUGUUCUUACUUGAACAAGCAACACUCUUAUGAUUACCCCCUCUCGCAAGCAUCCACAACUACGAAAGAAGAAUUAAGAUAAAUCUAACCGUAACAUGAAACAUAUGGAUCCAAAUCAGCCCCUUACGGAAUAACGCAUAAAUUAUGAUUUAAGCUUCUAUCACUCUUGCAACCCAUCAUCUACUUAUUACUCUCCAAUGCCUUCCCUUAGGCCCAAGUAUGGUGAAGUGUCAUGUAGUCUAUGUUCACAUGGCAUCACUAAAGGAAGAACAAUAUACAUAUCAUCAAAAUAUCGAACGAAGACCAACUUCACAUGAUUACUUAUAACAAGACUUCUCCCAUGUCCUAAAGAACAAAAGUAACUACUCACAAACCAUAUUCAUGUUCAAGAUCAGAGGUGUAUUGAAUAUGCUUAAGGAUCUGAACAUUUAAUCGUCAACCAAAUAAACCAACUAGCAUCAACUUCAAGAUGUAACCAACACUACUACCAAGCCACAAAUACCAAUCUGAGGUUUUGGGACAAAGAUUGAAUACAAGAGAUGAACUAGGGUUUGAGACGAGAUGGUCCUUGUGAAUAUGUUGAUGAAGAUUAGCCCUCCCAUGAUGAGAGGAUCAUUGGUGAUGUCGAUGGAUUUGAUUUCCCACUCCUGGAGGGAAGUAUCCCUGGUGGAAUCGCUCCACCUAAGAGCAAAAGUGCUCCUGCCCAGGUUAAGCCUCGAGACGGCAGCUCUUCAUCCCGAAAGUCUUCUUUUGAUUUCUUUUCUCCAGGGAAAAUAGCAUCAUAUAGGAGAAGAUAGACCCCAGAGGCCUGGUGGUGGGGUUACGAGCUCACCAGGCAUGCCUGUAAGGGCAUAUUUAUCCCUAAGGUGUUUUGGUGAUUGAUGACAAUGCGUUUGCUGACUAAUUGUGUGCGUUGAGUUUUUCAGAGAUUCAUCCUUUGGCACAAGACGAUUCCCUUCCCUCGGAGUGUUUUUCAAGACGGUGCAGCUCUUUCGUUUCUAUUUUGGUGGACUAGUUUCAUAGGAGUCACCGUACUCUCAAGAGGGGGUCCGCUUUGGUAAGGCUAGGGUGGAAUCAACACGUACACAUCCUUGUCACACCCUCUGAGCCUUUCCGCUUCAAUGGAGAGCUCAUUCCCCUUCAUAUGUGCAUCAUUUGGUCCCAGCGGUAGUACCGCGGGCCACAGCGGUAGUACCGCCCGAGUGCUACAACUGGCAGUACCGCUCCACGGCGGUAGUACCGCUUGAAGCCCUCCGCCGUAGUACCGUUGUGGCUUCGUGCUCCUAUCGCCUCGACUCGAGGGCUCUUUUCUCGUGUCGGGUUUUGCGGCACUAGUUGCGGCAGUAGAGGCGGUAGUACCGCUCUUAAGCGGUAGUACCGCCCUUACCACCACGGUAGUACCGCCCUGGGUCCAGGUCCUCCCUUUGCUCCUUGCUCCCCUCUACUGCGCGGCAGUACCCGAGUUGGGGCGGUAGUACCGCUGGCCUCAGCGGUAGUACCGCCCACCCCUGCAGUAGUACCGCUCUCUGCGGGGCUGCUUUGGGGGGUAACGGUUGGAUUGUCUCCCCCCCCCCACUAUAUAAGGGGAUCUUCUUCCCCAAAGUUGACCUACCUCUUCCCCCAAAAGCUCCAUUGUUGCUCCAAGCUCCAUUUUCGCCCGAUCUCUCUCCCUAGCCAAUCAAACUUGUUGAUUUGCUCAGGAUUGGUUGAGAAGGCCCCGAUCUACACUUCCACCAAGAGAAAUUUGAUUCCCCCCACUAAUCCCUAGCAGAUCUUGUUACUCUUGGGUGUUUGAGCACCCUAGACGGUUGAGGUUGCCGCGGAGCCAUAGUCCAUUGUGGUGAAGCUUCGUGGUGUCGUUGGGAGCCUCCAAUUAAGUUGUGGAGAUAGCCCCAACCUUGUUUGUAAAGGUUCGGUCGCCACCUUCAAGGGCACCAAUAGUGGAAUCACGGCAUCUCGCAUUGUGUGAGGGCGUGAGGAGAAUACGGUGGCCCUAGUGGCUUCUUGGGGAGCAUUGUGCCUCCACACCGCUCUAACGGAGACGUACUUCCGCUCAAAAGGAAGGAACUUUGGUAACACAUCCUCGUCUCCAUCGGCUCCACUCUUGGUUAUCUCGUGCCUUUACUUGUGCAAGCUUAUUUGUCUUGUAUCCCUUGCUUGCUUGUGUACUUGUUAGUGUUGCAUCAUAUAGGUUGCUCACCUAGUUGCAUAUCUAGACAACCUACUUUGAUGCAAAGUUUAAUUUGGUAAAGAAAAACUAAAAAUUGUUAGUUUCCUAUUCAGCCCCCCCCCCCUCUAGUAUCAGAGCCUCAUCUCUUUAUUAAGGACUUUGUCGUACGGAGAGUAUGGUUGACACCAUAGACGGUAGGGAGGAGCACUCUAGUGUGAAUCCGAGCUCAUCUACGGGUGAUGGGGGAACUGCGGUGUCUCGUGAGGAAUUCAAUGUGGCUUUGGACACAUUGAAAACCUCCAUGACAACCGAGGUUGAAAGCAUGUUUAAUAAAUUCUUAGAAGGACUUAAACUAUCUACCUCGCCGUUGAAAGUGGGUGAUCCCACUCACAAGGUGACGGAGAAAAGGAUCCUUCUACUAGUGGUAGAAAUGGCACCGGCAUCUUUGCCCAUGUAGCACCUCCAGUUUAUGGAGGACCGAUUCCUUCUACUCAUUUAAAUCAUGUCGGCCCUCCUCCUAAGAUUGUGAAAAAUGAGGACUUUGAUUCUUGGGUAUAUCGCUUCAAGCGUCGUUUAAAUCAUGUGAAUACUAACCUUUGGAGAAUCAUUGAAGAAGGUUUCCAUCCACAUGACCGAAGCAACUUCACCCUAGAGAAGCCGUGGACCAUCAAUUCAAUGAGAAUGCUCUCUUCAUCAUUCAAGAUGUUGUUCUACCCGAAGAUCUCCCUCGUCUUCGACCCUUCUUCAUGGCCAAAGACGCAUGGCAUUGUGUUGUUUCCCUCUAUAAGGGAAGUGCAAGCAUUCAACGCUCCAACUAUGAACUGGUGCAAGAUGAAGCCGAUGAGUUUGCAAUGAAAGAAGAUGAAGAACCUCGUGAUCUCUUUCGGAGAGUAACCAAACUUGCGGUCUCACUCCGAGAUCAUGGGAGCAAGGACACAUAUGACAAUUGGAUCAAGCGCAAGUUCCUCAAAGCAAUGAUGCCUUUCCACAAGGCCUUGUCCUCCGUCAUCCGUCAAAGACCGGACUUCCACUCCUUGACCUCAAAUGAAGUGUUGGAUGAGUUUGUGGCAAUGAGGAUCUUGGACAAGACCGCCGAAAACGAGGUGUUGUGCUCACAAAGGACAAAGAAGCCAACCUUGCCUUGAAGGCCAAGGUUAUUGUGGAAGAAGAGGAGAGCAACCUCGAAGAUACAAAAUAUGAUUAUCAUGAGCACAUGGCUCUUGCUUCAAGGCAAUUUUGGAGCAAGAAGAACACAAGGCCCAACUUCAAGAAGAACAACUCAAGUGGAUUCAAGGGCAAGCAACGUGUGAGAACAUGUUACAAUUGUGGCAAUGUGAGCCAUUUUGUUGUGGAUUGCCCUUAUGAGAAGCGGGAAGGCAAUGGUGGCAAGCUCAUCCAAAAGGACAAAGCCAAGUCCUUCCCAAACAAGAACAACUUCAGCAAAAAGACUCCUACUCGAGGGUUGGUGAUUCAAGAAGAAUACCAUGAGGAUGAUGAUGAUGAUGAUGAUGAAGAUAGUGAAGCCAUGGCCAUGGCCUCCGUUGCCAUUGCCACAACUCCACGGGUGUCCCUCUUCGACUCACCCGAUGAGAACAUCACCGCCAAGUCUCUCAUGGCUAAAGCCACCAACAAGGUAACCCCCAACAUCAAAACCACCAUCAUUACUAAUCCCUCCUUGACGGAUGGCGUUGAUGAAAGUGAGGGGUCUAAUGAGGAAGUGGAUGAAUUUGAGUCUUUUAUGAGUAAGAUCAAGGGCAAAUCCAAGAAGCACUUUGUUGCUCUCUUGGAACAACUUGGUGAAGCCAAUGACAUGAUCGAGGCUCAUGAAGAAACCAUCUGUAAGAUGGAAGGUCAUAGUCGUGACUAUGCCGAUGAGAUAUUGGACCUCUCUAAUUCUCUUGAGGAAGAGUGUGGGCAUUGUUUGGCUCUUGAGGAGUCACACAAUGAUGACCAUGCUAAGUUAAAGAAAGAUCUUGAUCAUGCUCUUGUUGUUUCUCGUGUGCUAACUUCCAAGAAGGCUAAACUUGGCGUUGACCAUGCUAGACUCAAGGAGGAGUUUGAUUUACUCGACAAGGCCCACAAGGUCUUGAAGGGUGCUCAUGCUAGUCUCAAGGAGUCUCAUGAUCAACUCCAAGUUAAGCUAACCAAAGAAAAGGCCACCUUUCCUCAUAUGGUAUUAAUUGAUAAUGCAAAUGCCACUAACCCGUGUUGUGAGCAUGUGCAUCUUGUGGGGGAGAAUGCCAAGUUGAAGGAGCAACUUGAGAAAGGCCUUGUGACAUGCAUACAAGGUGAUAAGAACCUCAACGACCUUUUGAUCAAUCAAAAGGAAGUUGUGGCCAAGGAGGGAGUUGGGUUCGCACCCAAGUCCAAGAACAAGAAGAAGAACGACAAGACCAAACGACCUCCUCCUCUCAAGCAAACUUUUUUGAAGGAGGGAGAGGGUGAUCCUAAGGAGAAUAAGAACAAUGUGAAGGGUGGUGAUGUCAAAAAGGGCAAAGCCACCUCUUCCAACAAAGCUGACGACUUUAACCCUUCUUAUGUGUUGUGUCGUGCUAGUGAUGGGCAUGUUUAUGCUAAAUUUGUUGGUUCUCCUUAUGAGUACAUUGAAUGAUAUAUUUGGGUUCCUAAGACCCUUGUUACUAACAUCAAAGGACCCAUUACUAAAUGGGUACCUAAAACCAAGCAUUGAUCUCUUGUAGGUGUUUUUUCCGGCGGGGGAUCAUGGUUGCUCGAUAGUGGAGCAACAAAUCAUAUGACCGGAAGCAAGGACUUGGUGGUGGACGUACACAAGAUCCCUUCUACGCCUACCAACAUCGAGUGGGGUGAUGCCUCGUCUUCUAAGGUAUUGGGUCUUGGCAAGGUUGUCAUUUCUCAUGAUCUUACGAUCGAGAAAGUCAUGCUUGUUGAGUCCCUUGCUUUCAAUCUACUUUCGGUUCAUCAACUUGCACUCAUGGGCUUUGCCACUUUCUCUGAUAUUGAUAUCGUGGCCCUCUUGUGGAGCAAGACUCUUAAAGUAGCCUUUGUUGGGCAUGUCAAGAACGGUCUCUAUGUGAUUAACUUUUCAGAGCGACCCACUAAGACCGCGACAUGCCUAAUGGCUAAAGUGGGAUGGCUUUGUGUCACGCCCAAUAUGCGACCCUAUCCAAAAGGAACUCGAAGGUCCCACCAAGGAUAGACCCGCAUAUUGAAACGCUUUUGCAAGGUGGAUAUCAUUACAUCAACAUUACAUAAUAUAUGGGGAUACAUACAUAAGGCAUACAAUGCCACAUGAAUACAACAUCAUCAUACAUAAGAUCAUCAUCCGACUAUGGAUGAAACACAAACAGAAACUCAAACGACAUCCACCCUGCUAGCCCAGGCUGCCGACUUGGAACCUAUCCCCUGAUCGAAGAAGCAGAAGAAGAACUCAACGCAAGCAAGCAUCGCUCUCGUGUCAUGAUCAUCGCAUGAACCUGUACCUGCAACUGUUGUUGUAGUAAUCUGUGAGCCACAAGGACUCAGCAAUCCCAUUACCAUGGGUAUCAAGACUAGCAAAGCUAAAUGGGAAAGGAAGGGGUAAAGUGGUGAGGCUGCAGCAGCGACUAAGCAUAUAUGGUGGCUAACAUACGCAAAUAAGAGCGAGAAGAGAGCAAGCAGAACAGUCGUGAAGCUAGCAAUGAUCAAGAAGUGAUCCUAAACUCCUACUUACGUCAAACAUAACCCAGAAACCGUGUUCACUUCCCGGACUCCGCCGAAAAGAGACCAUCACGGCUACACACACGGUUGAUGGCGUUUUAAUUUGGAUCUGGUGUCAAGUUGUCUACAACCGGACAUUAACAAAUUCCCAUCUGCCUAUAACCGCAGGCAUGGCUUUCGAAAGAUUAUACCCUGCAGGGGUGUCCCAACUUAGCCCAUGACAAGCUCUCACGAUCAACGAAGGAAUAGACCUUCUCCCAGGAAGACCCGAUCAGACUCGGAAUCCCGGUUUACAAGACAUUUCAACAAUGGUAAAACAAGACCAGCAAGACCGCCCGAUGCACCGACAAUCCCGAUAGGAGCUGCACAUAUCUCGUUCUUAGGGCAACACCGGAUAAGCUAAGCGUACAGGUAUCGACGUAACCCAAGUUUCCAAGGGAUGGUCCCGCACGGUGCUCUAGUUUGGACCAACACUUAGACAAGCAUUGGCCCGGGGGGGCUGUAAUAAAGAUGACCCUCGAGAGUGCGACUCCCAAGGGAAAAAGGGCUAGGUGAGGCAAAUGUAAAACCAAGGUUGGGCCUUGCUGAAGGAGUUUUAUUCAAAGCGAACUGUCCAGGGGGUCUCAUAAAUCACCCGACCGCGUAAGGAACGCAAAAUCCGGGAACAUAACACCGGUAUGACGGAAACUAGGGCGGCAAGAGUGGAACAAAACACCAGGCAAAAGGCCGAGUCUUCCACCCUUUACCAAGUAUAUAGAUGCAUUAAUAAUAUAAGAGAUAUUGUGAUAUCCCAACCAAAAUCCUGUCCACCAUGGAGCAAUCUUCAACUUCACCUGCAACUAGCAACGCUAUAAGAGGGCUGAGCAAAGCAGUAACAUAGCCAAACAAUGGUUUGCAUAGGAAAGGUGUCAAAGGUUAGAGGUUCAUGGCAAUUUGGGAUGGCUUGAUAAACACAUGAUAGGUAACACAGCAUAGCGAUAGAAUGAAGCAACUAGCAUAGCAAUGAUAGUAGCGAGAUCCAGGGUAGCGGUCAUCUUGCCUGAAAUCCCGCAAGGAAGAAGAACGAGUCCAUGAAGAAGAUGAAGCCACGAAGAAGUACCAAGCGUAGACGAACGAGUCCUCACGAUCGCAACGAAACAGGAACUAUCGAAAAGAAGCACACAACAUGGUAAACACACCACACAUGAACAAGGCAUGAUGCACAACAAGCAUGAUGCAUGACAAGACUACAUGAAGCUACUCAUGGCAAGAGAUGAUGCAAACAAGAGCAACACAUCAAGGCAAGUUUAAAUGAGGCCGGGAACAACAUAUAACAAUUCCGGUAAGUCCUCAUAUGCAUAUUUCGAAGUUGGUCCAGAUCUGAAUAAACCUUAUGUUCAAGUUGUUAAACAGCAAGUUAAGAUGCACAAGGAUGAUCUACAUGAGAUUCUAGUCAAGUUACAUAUAAAGAUCAUUUAAUUCGGAGCUACGGCCUAGAAGAUAUGAGCAAAGCAAGUUAAACAUGGCAUUGAUGCAAAAUACAAUCAAACAUCAAGCAAACACACCAAAACAAGGAUGCAACAUGAUAAUAUGAAACUACAUGCAAUUCUAAGUAAGUUUCAUAUAGAUCACACUCAAAACGGAGCAACGGUUCAACACAUGCACUCUAUACAAGUUUAAAGGACAAGCUGUCCAAAACAGCAACUAGGCAUAUUGCAAGCAUCAAAACAACAUGCUACAGCACUCCAACAUGAGAACAAAAGGCAUGGACAUGAUGUACAGGUAAAGCAUUACAAAACAUGAACACUGAGCUAUCUCCAGAAAUCACUAGAACAUGCUCAAACACACAUGGUAAGAUUGCAAGUAUUAACAAUUCAGACUUUGCAGAAAAUAACAUCAUGUUGCAAUGUUUAGAGCUAUCAAACAACAUGUUACAGGAACUUAUCAUGGCAAACAAAGGAAUGGAAUGAAUCUACUAAUUGCAUAGAUCAAAAGUCCUUUACUGACCAUAAGCCAAAAAGGAUCAGAAAAUAUGAUGGCACCCACGUAAACAUAGCAAGUUAUUAUACAGAUUCAAACAUGACAGAAACAGAAUUAUGAAGGCAUGUAAAUGAGCUUGUACCACUCACCACAGAGCAAUAAAUAGCAUGGCAAUGCAACCAACAGUAAGAAGACAUAUUUGUGAAGCUAAGCAUGGCAAUAUCAAGUUCAUAGGGUGCAUGGAUCACUAGUAAAACACAUGGAAACAACUGAACUUAAUGUUAACAUGCUGGCAGCUACAUUAUGAAGCAACUUUAGAUCAAGAUUACAACAAGCUACAGCAACCUAUAAAUGCAACCAGGGGCAUGGAUGGAUAGAGGAUGACAUGUAGAUCAAAACAUGUUUAUAGAACAUCUCCAGAUUAUGCACAGAAUGACUAGUAGCAACAUGUUUAUAUAGCAUCACAAAAUAACACAUUCAGCCUAGCAAAAUAGCAACAACAAGUACACUACUUAACAAGCUCGAUUCACUCACCACAAGUCAUUGCAUGACAAGAUAAGCAUAGCAUCAUCAAGAAGGCAUGUUUAUGUAACCAACCAAGGCAAGAACAAGUCCAUAGCAUGCAAGGAUCAACUAUAGCAACCUUGGCCAAAUUGAAUAACAUGUAAACAAUCUGCCAGGAAACAUUUUGAAGCAAAAGUAGAGCACGCAAAUGACAUGCUAGACUACUCCAUAAUUGCAACCAAGGGCAGGGAUGGAUAGAGCAUAGCCACAUGUUCAAAACACCCUUACUGAAGUAUCUCAAAAUAUGCAUGGAUCUCUCUGUAGCAACAUGUUUACAUGGCAUCAAAAUAACAGCAGAACAGGGACUAAAAUUAGCAAUAUCACGAAGCCUAGUUUGCAUGCUUGUGCUAGUCACCACAUUGAUCACAAAAAUACAUGGUAAGCACCUCUGUAAAGAAGACAUGGCAUAGAUCAAAACACAUGUAGACAUCAACCUCGUAGGAUGCACACAUCAAUCAUGGCAAAAAUGACAAAAGAGCUCGUUCUGAUAACAGACAGCAGAAAACAUUAUGAAGCACUCUUACGACGAAGAUUCAGGCACCUAGAUGACCUCAAAUGAAUAUGAUGCAAUGGAAUGAAAUGAUGUACUCGUCGAGGCAAACAAUUUGACAUAUUACACGCACGAAACGAAGCUACAGAUGCAGAGAUACGGCAUGAUGAACAUGGCAUGAAAAUUACAAAAAUCUAGGACUUAGCAGGUUUUGAAAAAAAACAGAUGGGCGUCAUAUAGCUAUAUCUCGCACGGGCGGGGAAAAGACGGGCGCUCGCCAAGCGGGCCAAGCCCAGGAGGAGGAGGAGGCAGGAGGUAGGGGAGGCUGCAGCGGGCCUUGGCCGGAGAUGGGCCAGCGGGGGGGCCCACGCGGGGGAGGAGCUCGGCCCCGACCUGUUGCCGAGGCCGAGGAGGGGCGCGACGGCGCCGACAAACCCUGGCGGCGGCGGCGGCUUGAUCCCGCCCGGAUCUCGCCGGAUCCGGGCGCGGUGGCAGCGGGGAGGAGGGAUCCGGGAGGCGGCAACGGGAGGUGCGGGAGGAGGGCGGCGGAGCUCGCGCGGGACGGCGCCCGCGGGAGUCGGCGGCUAGGCGGCCAAGNNNNNNNNNNNNNNNNNNNNNNNNNNNNNNNNNNNNNNNNNNNNNNNNNNNNNNNNNNNNNNNNNNNNNNNNNNNNNNNNNNNNNNNNNNNNNNNNNNNNNNNNNNNNNNNNNNNNNNNNNNNNNNNNNNNNNNNNNNNNNNNNNNNNNNNNNNNNNNNNNNNNNNNNNNNNNNNNNNNNNNNNNNNNNNNNNNNNNNNNNNNNNNNNNNNNNNNNNNNNNNNNNNNNNNNNNNNNNNNNNNNNNNNNNNNNNNNNNNNNNNNNNNNNNNNNNNNNNNNNNNNNNNNNNNNNNNNNNNNNNNNNNNNNNNNNNNNNNNNNNNNNNNNNNNNNNNNNNNNNNNNNNNNNNNNNNNNNNNNNNNNNNNNNNNNNNNNNNNNNNNNNNNNNNNNNNNNNNNNNNNNNNNNNNNNNNNNNNNNNNNNNNNNNNNNNNNNNNNNNNNNNNNNNNNNNNNNNNNNNNNNCGGCGGCUGAUUGGGCGCGGGGGCGGCUGGACGUGUCCGGUCCGGUCCGGACUGCCCGGUGCGGCGCGGAGGGGAAAUUAGGGUUUCGGGGAGAAAUUGAUCCGAAAAUGGAGAGGGGGAGACGUUUUUAUAGGUGGAGGGAGCUAGGAGAGUCCAAAUGGGGAGCGGUUUUUGCCCUCACGAUCGUGAUCGAAUGACCGAGAGCAUGAAGGUGAGUUAGAUGGGUUUUUGGCCACUUUGGAAGGGUGUUGGGCUGCAAAGAGAGAGGGGCUUUACGGUUACCCGGUUAACCAUUGGAGUACCAAACGAACUCCAAAUGGCACGAAACUUGACAGGCGGUCUACCGGUGGUAUACCAAGGCCGCUUGGCAAACCUCGGGCCAUUCCGAGAAAGUUUAACACCCGCUCACAACGAGAGACAAAAAGGGAACGCCGGAGGGCAUAGGAGCGCCAGAUUGCAAAACGGACAACGGGGAAAAUGCUCGGAUGCAUGAGACGAACGUGUAUGCAAAAUGAAAUGCACAUGGUGACAUGAUAAAAUGCAACACGCAAGCAAAUGACAUGGCAACAACGACGAAUAACUGACAGACACCUGGCGCAUCGAAUCCGGGGCGUUACAACAGUCCUCCACUAACAAGAGAUCUCGUCCCGAGAUCUUAGGACCGAGACGGAAGGGAAAAGGGAUGAGGUGAAACAAGAACUCAAGAGAAGAAGCAAGGAAUCAAGGGCACUCGAGAAGAAGAGGGGAACGACGAGAAUUACGAGAAUCGAAAGCUCACGGAAUCAGAUAGACUAUAAAACCACUCUGGUUAGAACGAGAUAAGAAACGAAUAAGACUGAAAGGAUUUAUGCAGCACUCCGACUGAAAAUGGAAGGAUUAGAACAUGAACUUCACAAGAUGGGAUGACACUUGGCGAGAUGAACAACACAAAGCCUCCGGAAGAAUUGAAGAAUGGAAUCAAAAGAAUUUAGAAGGAAGGGUUGAACAGAGUUGUUGAGAAGAUCAACAACGAAAGAAUAAGCUUGUUUUGGUCUUAUAGGUAACAUCUCAAGAUCAUGAGGUGAUAACCGGCCACAAACGGAAAAGAUUGAAUAGCUGAGAAGAACGAAGGAAUGCAAAACUCCACUUCAAAAGAAAAUGAAGAAUUAAUUGCACUUUGAAAGGCAAGAAGGAAAGAUACUAGAACUCCUUGAACAAGAAUCUUGACGAACUCUUGAAGAAUGAAUUAAAUCAUGACAAUCCACCAUGAAGAACUCCGGUAACAAAAGGAUGACGAGAUAAAAUUGAAGGAUGAAAGAAUAAGAUGAGCCUUGCGAUGAUUUAGAUGGAGGUUCCGACGAAAUGGCUGAGGAAAUUUGAACUCCGGUAAAGAAAAGAUGAAAAACACUUGGAGCUAGAAUUUAUUCAUUAAGAACAGACUCCGAAGAAAGGGAUUACUCACUCUGAUGAAAUGAGAAUAAGAUUUAUUGUAUGCUUAUCCUUCAUCAAAUUAAAUUGAUGACAUGGAUUUUGCAUAUUACUUAUUCUUCUUGAAAAGGAUUGAGAAGUGACAUACCGCAAACUUGAGAAAGUCUUCAUGAACCACCGGUAGGAUUGGAAAGAACAAAUGGAUUAAUAUGAUAAUCAAAGAAAACGAAUGUUGAACGAACCACCGUAAGAAUUUGGAAAUGACUGAUGAAAGAGAAAUAAUUGCCGGGAAGAAUUAGAAGAACAAAUAUGCUCGAGGGGAUUAGAUGCAAGAGAACAAAGAGAUCAUGAGCUGAUUAAAGAACACUUGAAUGAAGCACCGGGAUAAAUAGAGAAUGAUAACUGGAAUGAUGGCCUCCGGUGAAAAGAAACAGGCAAACAGAUUCUGACAUAUUCCUGAUGGGUAAGAAAAGGAAUAUUUGACAAAUGAAAUAAAUGAGAGGAUAAAAAGAAGCUAGAACCGCGGAUCUUCGAAAGAACGGACAAGAUUUAGAGGAAAACUCUUCUUCGGUCUUCAAAUGACGACGCGAAACACCAUCGAAAUUGCUGAGAUACUCCGGGAGAAUGAAAAGCAGAGAGGUUGAGCCAACAAUGAAAUGAUUUGAAAUCGAUCUUGAAAGGCAUGUGACUGAUGGAAUCCAUUCUUACGUCACGCUUGAAAAGAAUUGAGAAUAACUCCGGGAAAAUAGAAGAGUCAGGUAAGAUCCUGGGAAAAGACCUGUGGGUUAGGGCCCACUGAAGAGAAAACACCGUUGGAAAGGGAUGUUGAACAGAUAGAUGAUGCACUGGAACAAUUGAAAUAUUUGAAUGAGGUGACAACCUCGAAUUAAUUCGAAGACAGAUGAAUCUCCUGAGAUGUCUUGAACACUCCGGAAGGAUAAACUGGCGAGAGGCGAACGAGCAAGGAGAACACUUGAUCCAAGGAAAAUAAUAUGAUCAACCGAAAACUUGAAUUGAAUCCACCGGAGAAGAAAAGAGAUGAAGAAUGUCCACCGAAACGAGAAUUCACUAGUUGAAAUAAUUUACGAAAGACUGAAGAGGUUUUGCACGAAUGAGAUAGAUGGUCGAGAGAGAGUCAGACUGCGGGAAGAGAAAGGGUGGGAGGGCGGGAAAACAAAGAUAACUUGGAAGGGGAAACCGACGAAUAUCUUGAAGAGAAAAUACCGGUUGAAAUCAUUGAGGAGAGAGAGGAAAGACUUCGCACGAGUAGGAUGGAUACUCGAUUACGGACUCCGGUUCCAAGAUGAAAAAGGGGUGGGCGGGUGGGAAAAAGAAAACAACUGAGGAUUGAACUCAAAGAUGAAGAGGCUCGAGUCAACUUGACGAGAAAUGCACCGGAUGAAAAGAGCUGAGAACCAACGAUUGGAAAAACCAACUGCAUGAUCCUGAAGAAAAAUUUGAAGGGGAAGAGAAGUAAUUCAAAACACCUACGUCAAGAUUCCUUACCAGAGCGACGAAGGGGACUGAGGAGUAAAAAUAAUUCCUACUCUCCGAAAUAACUAGACUCCGAAAACAGUUUUCUUCUAGACUCAACAACGGCCAAACUACACGAUCAAUCAAGGGGGCUCCUAGGGUCGGUAGAGGCUCUGAUACCAACUUGUCACGCUCAAUAUGCGACCCUAUCCAAAAGGAACUCGAAGGUCCCACCAAGGAUAGACCCGCAUAUUGAAACGUUUUUGCAAGGUGGAUAUCAUUACAUCAACAUUACAUAAUAUAUGGGGAUACAUACAUAAGGCAUACAAUGCCACAUGAAUACAACAUCAUCAUACAUAAGAUCAUCAUCCGACUACGGAUGAAACACAAACAGAAGCCCAGGCUGCCGACCUGGAACCUAUCCCCUGAUCGAAGAAGCAGAAGAAGAACUCAACGCAAGCAAGCAUCGCUCUCGCGUCAUGAUCAUCACAUGAACCUGUACCUGCAACUGUUGUUGUAGUAAUCUGUGAGCCACGAGGACUCAGCAAUCCCAUUACCAUGGGUAUCAAGACUAGCAAAGCUAAAUGGGAAAGGAAGGGGUAAAGUGGUGAGGCUGCAGCAGCGACUAAGCAUAUAUGGUGGCUAACAUACGCAAAUAAGAGCGAGAAGAGAGCAAGCAGAACGGUCGUGAAGCUAGCAAUGAUCAAGAAGUGAUCCUGAACUCCUACUUACGUCAAACAUAACCCAGAAACCGUGUUCACUUCCCGGACUCCGCCGAAAAGAGACCAUCACGGCUACACACACGGUUGAUGCGUUUUAAUUCGGAUCUGGUGUCAAGUUGUCUACAACCGGACAUUAACAAAUUCCCAUCUGCCUAUAACCGCAGGCACGGCUUUCGAAAGAUUAUACCCUGCAGGGGUGUCCCAACUUAGCCCAUGACAAGCUCUCGCGAUCAAUGAAGGAAUAGACCUUCUCCCAGGAAGACCCGAUCAGACUCGGAAUCCCGGUUUACAAGACAUUUCGACAAUGGUAAAACAAGACCAGCAAGACCGCCCGAUGCGCCGACAAUCCCGAUAGGAGAUGCACAUAUCUCGUUCUCAGGGCAACACCGGAUAAGCUAAGCGUACAGGUACCGACGUAACCCAAGUUGCCAAGGGAUGGUCCCGCACGGUGCUCUAGUUUGGACCAACACUUAGACAAGCAUUGGCCCGGGGGGGCUGUAAUAAAGAUGACCCUCGAGAGCGCGACUCCCAAGGGAAAAGGGCUAGGUGAGGCAAAUGUAAAACCAAGGUUGGGCCUUGCUGGAGGAGUUUUAUUCAAAGCGAACGGGGUCCCAUAAAUCACCCGACCGCGUAAGGAACACAAAAUCCGGGAACAUAACACCGGUAUGACGGAAACUAGGGCGGCAAGAGUGGAACAAAACACCAGGCAAAAGGCCGAGUCUUCCACCCUUUACCAAGUAUAUAGAUGCAUUAAUAAUAUAAGAGAUAUUGUGAUAUCCCAACCAAAAUCCUGUCCACCAUGGAGCAAUCUUCAACUUCACCUGCAACUAGCAACGCUAUAAGAGGGCUGAGCAAAGCGGUAACAUAGCCAAACAAUGGUUUGCAUAGGAAAGGUGUCAAAGGUUAGAGGUUCAUGGCAAUUUGGGAUGGCUUGAUAAACACGUGAUAGGUAACGCAGCAUAGCGAUAGAACGAAGCAACUAGCAUAGCAAUGAUAGUAGCGAGAUCCAGGGUAGCGGUCAUCUUGCCUGAAAUCCCGCAAGGAAGAAGAACGAGUCCAUGAAGAAGAUGAAGCCACAAAGAAGUACCAAGCAUAGACGAACGAGUCCUCACGAUCGCAACGAAAUAGGAACUAUCGAAAAGAAGCACACAACAUGGUAAACACACCACACAUGAACAAGGCAUGAUGCACAACAAGCAUGAUGCAUGACAAGACUACAUGAAGCUACUCAUGGCAAGAGAUGAUGCAAACAAGAGCAACACAUCAAGGCAAGUUUAAAUGAGGCCGGGAACAACAUAUAACAAUUCCGGUAAGUCCUCAUAUGCAUAUUUCGAAGUUGGUCCAGAUCUGAAUAAACCUUAUGUUCAAGUUGUUAAACAGCAAGUUAAGAUGCACAAGGAUGAUCUACACGAGAUUCUAGUCAAGUUAAUAUAAAGAUCAUUUAAUUCGGAGCAACGGCCUAGAAGAUAUGAGCAAAGCAAGUUAAACAUGGCAUUGAUGCAAAAUACAAUCAAACAUCAAGCAAACACACCAAAACAAGGAUGCAACAUGAUAAUAUGAAACUACAUGCAAUUCUAAGCAAGUUUCAUAUAGAGCACACUCAAAACGGAGCAACGGUUCAACACAUGCACUCUAUACAAGUUUAAAGGACAAGCUGUCCAAAACAGCAACUAGGCAUAUUGCAAGCAUCAAAACAACAUGCUACAGCACUCCAACAUGAGAACAAAAGGCAUGGACAUGAUGUACAGGUAAAGCAUUACAAAACAUGAACACUGAGCUAUUCAUAGAGGAUGACAUGUAGAUCAAAACAUGUUUAUAGAACAUCUCCAGAUUAUUCAUAGAAUAACUAGUAGCAACAUGUUUAUAUAGCAUCACGAAAUAACAGAUUCAGCCUAGCAAAACAGCAACAGCAAGUACACUACUUAACAAGCUCGAUUCACUCACCACAAGUCAUUGCAUGACAAUAUAAGCAUAGCAUCAUCAAGAAGGUAUGUUCAUGUAACCAACCAAGGCAAGAACAAGUCCAUAGCAUGCAAGGAUCAACUAUAGCAACCUUGGCCAAAUUGAAUAACAUGUAAACAAUCUGCCAGGAAACAUUUUGAAGCAAAAGUAGAGCACGCAAAUGACAUUCUAGACUACUCCAUAAUUGUAACCAAGGGCAGGGAUGGAUAGAUCAUAACCACAUGUUCAAAACACCCUUACUGAAGUAUCUCAAAAUAUGCAUGGAUCUCUCUGUAGCAACAUGUUUACAUGGCAUCAAAAUAACAGCAGAACAGGGACUAAAAUCAGCAAUAUCACGAAGACUAGUUUGCAUGCUUGUGCUAGUCACCACAUUGAUCAAAAAAAUACAUGGUAAGCACCUCUGUAAAGAAGACAUGGCAUAGAUCAAAACACAUGUAGACAUCAACCUCGUAGGAUGCACACAUCAAUCAUGGCAAAAAUGACAAAAGAGCUCGUUCUGAUAACAGACAGCAGAAAACAUUAUGAAGCACUCUUACGACGAAGAUUCAGGCACCUAGAUGACCUCAAAUAAAUAUGAUGUAAUGGAACGAAAUGAUGUACUCGUCGAGGCGAAAAAUUUGACAUAUUACACGCACGAAACGGAGCUACAGAUGCAGAGAUACGGCAUGAUGAACAUGGCAUGAAAAUUACAAAAAUAUGGGACUUAGCAGGUUUUGAAAAAAAACAGAUGGGCGUCGUAUAGCUAUAUCUCGCACGGGCGGGGGAAAAGACGGGCGCUCACCAAGCGGGCCAGGUCCAGGAGGAGGAGGAGGCAGGAGGCAGGGGAGGCUGCAGCGGGCCUUGGCCGGAGAUGGGCCAGGGGGGCGCGGCCCACGCGAGGGAGGAGCUCGGCCCCGACCUGCUGCCGAGGCUGAGGAGGGGUGCGACGGCGCCGACGAACCCUGGCGGCGGCUACGGCUUGAUCCCGCCCGGAUCUUGCCGGAUCCGGGCGCGGCGGCGGCGAGGAGGAGGGAUCCGGGAGGCGGCGACGGGAGGCGCGGGCGGAGGGCAGCGGAGCUCGCGCGGGACGGCGCCCACGGGAGUCGGCGGCGAGGCGGCCAAGGCGGCAUGGAGCUCCGACGAUGUCCGGUGGCGGCGGCACGGCCGGACUGCGGAGGAGAGCGGGCGGCGGAGGCGCGGGGCUUCGUCGGGCCCGGCUUGGCCCGGCGCGGGCCGGAUCUAGGCUUGGCGGGCCCGUGCGGUGGGAGGCGCUGACCAGCGGCGGGGUCGGCGACAUGGCGGCGGCUGAUUGUGCGCGGGGUCGGCUGGACGUGUCCGGUCCGGUCCGGACUGCCCGGCGCGGCGCGGAGGGGAAAUUAGGGUUUUGGGGAGAAAUUGAUCCGAAAAUGGAGAGGGGGAGACGUUUUUAUAGGUGGAGGGAGCUAGGAGAGUCCAAAUGGGGAGCGGUUUUCGCCCUCACGAUCGUGAUCGAACGACCGAGGGCAUGGAGGGGAGUUAGAUGGGUUUUGGGCCACUUUGGAAGGGUGUUGGGCUGCAAAGAGAGAGGGGCUUUACGGUUACCCGGUUAACCGUUGGAGUACCAAACGAACUCCAAAUGGCACGAAACUUGACAGGCGGUCUACCGGUGGUAUACCAAGGCCGCUUGGCAAACCUCGGGCCAUUCCGAGAAAGUUUAAUACCCGCUCACAACGAGAGACAAAAAGGGAACGCCGGAGGGCAUAGGAGCGCCGGAUUGCAAAACGGACAACGGGGAAAAUGCUCGGAUGCAUGAGACGAACACGUAUGCAAAAUGAAAUGCACAUGGUGACAUGAUAAAAUGCAACACGCAAGCAAAUGACAUGGCAACAACGAUGAAUAACUGACAGACACCUGGCGCAUCGAAUCCGGGGCGUUACACUUUGGCAUCGCCGUUUAGCCCACGUCAACAUGAGAUCUUUGCAAAGUCUUCUCAAGGGGGACCAUGUCCGUGGACUAACAAAUGUUAGUUUUGCCAAAGAUCGUGCUUGCAGUGCUUGUAUCGAAGGAAAGCUUCAUGAAAAGGCUCACCCUCCCACGACUAUCAUCUACUCGAAGAGACCCUUGGAGCUCCUUCACAUGGAUCUCUUUGGACCUCCAUCUUUUGAUAGUCUUGGAGGUAGAAAGUAUUGCUUGGUGAUUGUGGAUGAUUAUUCAAGGUACACUUGGGUAUUUUUCUUCAAGAGGAAGAGUGAGACUCAACAAACCAUCAUCGACUUUGCAAAUGAAGCUCAACGUCAACAUGAUGCAAAGAUCUUGACAAUAAGAAGUGACAACGGCACCGAGUUCAAGAACUACACCUUGGAUGAGUUUCUUAGUGAUGAGGGGAUCAAGCAUCAAUAUGCUGCAUCAUAUACCCCUCAACAAAAUGGUGUCGCGGAGAGGAAGAACCGGACGUUGAUGGAUGCGGCAAGGACCAUGAUGGCGGAGUUCAAGUCUCCAUACAACUUUUGGGCUGAAGCCAUCAACACAGCAUGUCAUGCAUCCAAUCGGCUCUAUCUCCGCAAGAGCUUGAACAAGACUCCUUAUGAAAUACUUACCGGUAACAAGCCCAACCUCAAGUACUUCAGGGUGUUCGGGUGUAAGUGUUUCAUUCUCAAGAAAGGUGUUCGCCUGUCUAAAUUUGAGGAUAGAGCUUAUGAGGGCAUAUUUGUUGGUUAUGCUACAAACUCUCAUGCUUACCAUGUCCUCAAAAAGUCCACCGGACUCAUUGAGGAGACGUGUAGCAUGGAGUUUGACGAAAAUAACGGCUCCCAAGUGGAGCAAAGUGGUACUUGUGAUGUAGGUGAUGAAAUUCCUCCCCAAGCCAUAAGAAGAAUGGGUGUGGGUCAUAUCCUACCCAUUGAGGAACCCCUUGUGGCCGAAGGAGAAGGACAAUGCUCCACUCAAGUGGAGCCAUCUCCAACCCAAGACCCACACGCUUCCGAAGAACAAAGUGAAGGCCCUCAACCUCAUGAACAAGACCAAGGGCAAGAUCAACCUCAAGAUGGUGGUGAACCACCAAAUGAUGCCCAAGGUCAAGUUCUCCCCCUCGAGCAAGUUCAAGAUCAAGAGCAAGCUCAAGAUCUAGAACAAGCUCAAGACGACGCUCAAGAUAAUCAAGUUAACCCUCCUCCUUCCACAUCCGAGGAGGAAUUAGAGCAUCGUGCCGCGAAGAUUGCUUCCAAGCUCACCACCAAAGGUCAUCUCAUGGAGAAUGUGGUUGGAAGCCUAAGAAAGGGGGUAAGCACUUGUAGACAAUUAGCAAACUAUUGUGAACAUCACGUGUUUGUCUCUUGUGUUGAACCCCAAAAGGUCUAUGAGGCGCUCGAAGAUUCGGAUUGGCUCAAUGCCAUGCAUGAAGAACUCAACAACUUCGAGUACAACAAGGUGUGGAGAUUGUUGCCAAGGCCAUCGGGGAACCACAAUGUCACUGGAACCAAGUGGAUAUUCAAGAACAAGCAAGAUGCUCAUGGGACCAUCGUUCGCAACAAGGCAAGAUUGGUAGCACAAGGCUACUCCCAAGUCAAGGGUAUCGACUACGGUGAAACCUUUGCUCCUGUUGCUCGCCUUGAAUCCAUUCGUUUGUUGAUUGCUUAUGCUUCCCAUCACAACUUUAAGUUACAACAAAUGGAUGUGAAGAGUGCUUUUCUUAAUGGUCCUAUUAAUGAGUUGGUUUAUGUCAAGCAACCCCCCAGGUUCGAGGAUCCCUACUUCCCGGAUCAUGUGUAUCAACUCGAUAAGGCACUCUAUGGCCUUAAGCAAGCCCCACGUGCAUGGUAUGACCACCUUACCGAGUUGUUGCAAGAUCAUGGAUUUGAGGUUGGGCAAAUCGAUCCCAUUCUUUUUACUAAUAAGGUCAAAGGGGAGUUGUUUGUGUGCCAACUAUAUGUUGAUGAUAUUAUCUUUGGUUCCCAUAACAAAGAUUUCAAUGAGGAAUUUGCCACUCUCAUGACCUCUAAGUUCAAGAUGUCUUUGAUGGGAGAGUUGAAGUUCUUCCUAGGUUUAGAUAUCAAGCAAAGAAGAGAAGGUACUUUCAUCAAUCAAGCCAAAUACACUCAAGACAUGCUAAAAAGAUUCAAACUAAGUGAUGUCAAGCCGGCUUCCACUCCAAUGCCCACCAAGUGCCAACUUGACAUUGAUCCCAAUGGUAAAGCGGUGGAUCAAAAUGUAUAUCGCUCCAUGAUUGGCUCCUUGCUUUACCUUUGUGCAUCUAGACCGGAUAUCAUGUUGAGUGUGGGAAUGUGUGCACGGUUUCAAGCCGCACCGAAGGAAAGCCACUUUGUGGCGGUCAAGCGAAUCAUCCGAUAUUUGGCUCAUACCCCAAACUUUGUCUUAUGGUACCCAAGAGGAGCAAACUUCAAGCUUGAAGGAUAUACGAAUUCCGAUUGGGCGGGAGAUAAAGUGGAUAGGAAGUCCACUUCCAGAGGGUGGCAAUUUCUUGGUUGCUCUUUGGUGAGUUAGUCUUCCAAGAAGCAAAGUUGUGUAUCUCUCUCGUCCACCGAAGCGGAGUAUGUGGUGGCCGGUAGUUGUUGUACACAACUCUUAUGGAUGAGGCAAACUUUAAAGGAGUGCGGUGUCAUUUGUGACAAAGUGCCUCUUUGGUGUGACAAUGAAAGUGCCAUCAAGAUUUCUCUCAACCUGGUGCAACACUUCAAGACAGAGCAUAUUGAGAUUCGGUAUCACUUCAUCCGGGAUCACAUUAGGCAAGGGGAGAUCGAGCUCAAGUAUGGCAACACUCACGAUAACCUUGCAGAUAUUUCACGAAGCCCUUGGAUGAAGCAAGAUUUCGCGAGUUAAGGCAUGAGCUAAAUAUCAUUGAUUCGAGCAAUGUGUCUUGAACCCAUGCACAACCCACCAUUCAACUUGUUGUCUAGUUUAGGUGUAGGCAUGGACAUAGGGGGAGUGUUGUUCUCUCAAUGAACUCUCCCUCCCCCCAUUAUGCAUAAAUUGAUCGAGUCUUUCACAUUAACCAUUUUUAUGGUACUUGUGCUUCAAGGACGAGUUUUGGUCAUGGGCCCAAGGUUAAAAUCUUCGCAGCGCCAUACCUCUUGACUCAAAUAUAGGUGGCCUCGGCCACCACCCUCUCUUGAAGAGCUGUGGUUCCUGUCCUCUUGCUAGUGUUCUCGUUGCUGAGUCUUAAUUUCCUCUUCUUACUGUUUGUUUUCCCUUCUUUUUGAGCCGAGCCGUUUGGUGUCUAGUUGUUGAGUCUUGCUGGGUGGUACUACCGCUGGUGGUGCACGGUACUACCGCUUAUGUUGACAAGCGGUACUAUCGUUGAGGGGUGGGACCAGGGGGUUAUGUCGAGGCGCGGGGAGGUUUCGUCUCCCCCAUACCCAUUCGCUCCGCCCCCUUGUUCCUCUUCGUCUCUCCAGCGUCGACUCGCCGCGGGAGGGCUCCGGUGGGCCGUCAUCUUCGGGCCGUCCCUCUCCAUUUCCUUUGGUGGAGUCGAUCCCCACCUCAUCCUCUUGCCAUGGAUGCCAGUAUUGCCCUCGUUUGAACAUGCAACUAUCCCUAGGUGGUUUUGGUAAUUCCUAACAACAUAUAGCUCAUUGAUCUAAUGCUAUUUCAAGAUAAAUAUUUCAGGAAAGCUCAAUGAUUGGCAUGGCAUGGAUGAGAAAAGUGGACCCCUCAAAAUACUAAGGACAAAAGGAUUGGCUCAAGCUCAAAGCUCAAGACUCUACAUUUUCUAUUUUAGUGAUCCAAGGUCACAUUGAGUCUAUAGGAAAAGCCAAUACUAUCAAGGAGGGAUGAGGUGUUGCUUAAUGGCUUUCUUGCUCAAAGUGCUUAGUGAUAUGCUCCAAAUCCCUCAACUACUUUCUCACAUCCACAUAUGACCUAAACCAAAAGACAAACUCGGCCCCACCGAUUCUUUCUAUCCGGAGCCACCGAGUUCAGAUGUCAUAGCCACUGCCACAAACCCUAGGCAAAUCGGUCUCACCGAUAUGGAUCUCGGUCUCACUGACAUGGGAUUGUAAUCUCUCUGUUUCCCUUCGUAACGUUUCGGUCCCACCAAGAUGAGCGAUCGGUCCCACCGAGAUUGCAAUGUAAACUCUUUCUUUCCCUUUCGUAACACUUCGGUCUCACCGAAAUGAGCGAAUCGGUCCCAUCUAGUUUACCUGACCAACUCUCUGGUUAGCUUAUUACCAAAAUCGGUCUCACCGAGUUUGUGUAAUCGGUUACACCGAGAUUACGUUAUGCCCUAACCCUAACCAUAUUGGUCCUACCGAGUUGCAUGUCGGUCCCACCGAAAAUCCUAAGGGUCACUAGAUUUGUUGAAUCGGUCCGAUCGAGUUUCUCAAUUCGGUCCCAUCGAGAUUGGCAAGUUGUGUGUAAUGGUUAGAUUUUGUGUGGAGGCUAUAUAUACCCCUCCACCUCCUCUUCAUUCAUGGAGAGAGCCAUCAGAACAAACCUACACUUCCAACUCACAUUUUCUGAGAGAGAACCACCUACACUUGUGUUGAGGCCAAGAUAUUCCAUUCCUACCAUAUGAAUCUUGAUCUCUAGCCUUCCCCAAGUUGCUUUCCACUCAAAUCUUCUUUCCACCAAAUCCAAAUCCUGUGAGAGAGAGUUGAGUGUUGGGGAGACUAUCAUUUGAAGCACAAGAGCAAGGAGUUCAUCAUCAACACACCAUUUGUUACUUCUUGGAGAGUGGUGUCUCCUAGAUUGGCUAGGUGUCACUUGGGAGCCUCCGACAAGAUUGUGGAGUUGAACCAAGGAGUUUGUAAGGGCAAGGAGAUCGCCUACUUCAUGAAGAUCUACCGCUAGUGAGGCAAGUCCUUCAUGGGCGACGGCCAUGGUGGGAUAGACAAGGUUGCUUAUUCGUGGACCCUUCAUGGGUGGAGCCCUCCGUGGACUCGCGCAGCCGUUACCCUUCGUGGGUUAAAGUCUCCGUCAACGUGGAUGUAUGAUAGCACCACCUAUCGGAACCACGACAAAAUCAUCCGUGUCUCCUAUUGCGUUUGCACUCUCCAAACCCUUCCCUUUACAUUCUUGCAAGUUGCAUGCUUUACUUUCUGCUGCUCAUAUACUCUUUGCAUGCUUGCUUGAAUUGUGUGAAGAUUGCUUGACUUGUCCAAAGUUGCUAAAAUCUACCAAGAACUAAAAUUGGGAAAAGGAUAAGAUUUUAUUUGGUCAAGUAGUCUAAUCACCCCCCCCUCUAGACAUACUUUCGAUCCUACAAGUGGUAUCAGAGCUUUGGUCUCCAUUUGCUUUGAUUUCCAUAGCUUUUGGUAGUCAUAGCCUUGGUUUCACAACCUAGGAGAGUAUGGCGUCUAGCAAGGGAAACUAUCACCGUAGAGGUCCUUACUUUGAUGGUACUAAUUUUGCUAGUUGGAAGCAUAAGAUGAAAAUGCAUAUUCUUGGACAUAACCCCGCCGUAUGGGCUAUUGUGUGUAUUGGCUUGCAAGGUGAAUUAUUUGAUGGGCGAGAACCAAACCGUGAAGCUACCGCGGAAGAGUUGAAGAUGCUGCAAUACAACGCUCAAGCUUGUGAUAUCCUCUUCAACGGAUUGUGCCCCGAAGAAUUCAACAAAAUCAGCCGUCUUGAGAAUGCAAAGGAAAUUUGGGAUACUUUGAUUGAUAUGCACGAAGGUACCGACUCCAUCAAGGAAUCCAAGUUGGAUGUGCUUCAAAGUCAGCUUGACAAGUUCAAAAUGAAGGAUGGUGAAGGUGUCGCUGAAAUGUACUCUAGGCUUGCUCUUAUCACAAAUGAGAUUGCCGACUUACAAAGUGAAGAGAUGACCGACAAAUUCAUCAUCAAGAAGAUCCUAAGAGCUUUGGACAAAAAAUAUGAUACCGUAUGCACAUUGAUCCAAAUAAUGCCCAAUUACAAAGAUCUCAAGCCAAUAGAGGUCAUUGGAAGAAUUGUUGCUCAUGAGAUGUCACUCAAGGAUAAGGAGGAGCUCCAUAACAAGUCAAGUGGUGCUUACAAAGCCUCAUGUGAAGCUCCCACAUCAUCAAGUGAGAAAAAAACCUUCAAUGAAGAAUUGAGCCUAAUGGUGAAGAACUUUAACAAGUUCUACAAGAGUAGAAGCAAAGAGAGAAGUUCCAAGUCAAGGUCCUACAAUGACAAAAGAUCUUCUAGUCGAGAGCAUAAUUGCUACAAUUGUGGAAGACCCGGACACUAUUCCAAUGAGUGUACGACACCCUAUAAAAGAAGAGAAGAUUCUCCAAAAAGGAGAAGUAGAAGAGAAGAAUCACCAUAAAGAGAGAGAAGGAGUAGAGAUGAUCGUUAUGAAUGAAGAACAUCCCGGAGAAGCAAGGAUUUGGAAAGGAAGGACAAGUCAUCAAGGAGCUACACAAAACAAAGACAUUAAGCUCAUGUUGGUGAAUGGGUAUCCGGCUCCGACUCCGACAAUCACUCCGAGAGAAGCUAUCACUCCGACUCCGAAUAUACUCAAGAUGAAGGUGUUGCCGGUCUAGCACUUGUGUCAACCAACUCCUACGACAUAUUUAAUUCACCAAAUGAAGGACUUGGAAGAUGCUUCAUGGCUAAAGGCCCAAAGGUUCACACCCCGAGUAUGUUGAUUUCAAUAGUGAUGAAGGUGACUUGUUAGGUGAUGAUGAUUUACUUGUUGACAACUCUAGUGAUGAAUACUAUGAUGAAACGUCAAUUAAUCAUGCUAAUCAAGAUAAAACGAAUGACAAUGAUAAGGAGAAGAUUGAGCUUCUAACUAAAGAACUAAACACUCUUAAGUUAGCUCAUGAAACUAUCUUAGGAGAUCAUCGAGAACUUUGAAGGACUCGUGAGAAGUUAUGCUUUGAAAAGCUCAACCUUGAGCAAGAGCAUGAGUUCUUAAAGGCAAUCAAUGAUGAUCUUCACAAGAAAAGUUCUUCUUACAUUGCCAAGCAUUUACUCUUAUCCACUUAUAUGCCUCAAGUCAAGUCUAGUAACAAGAACAAGAAAGAUUCUUCCUCUAGUAGUAAUAAUAAUCAUGCUAAAUCCAAUGUUGUUGCUUCUAGUAGUUCUCUUGAUUCCACUAAUGAUUCUCUUAGCCAAGUUACACUUGAGCAAAAAACAGCUUAUUAAAGGGAAUUAUAGAGAAAGGUGUUUACAAAAGCCUUGCCGGGAGUAAGCAACUCAGGAAAUUGUACGCAAUCAAGGAAGGCGCCAGAAGAACCAAGGUGUUGGUUUUGAAUGAAAGUUCAAUGCCAAUGGAGUUGAGUGGGAAGAAGAUCAAUACCCCAAGACGAAGUUUGUUCCUCAACAAGAGAAGUAUGAUCCUACUUCUUUCAAAGGGACACAAGCUCAAGAUGAUCUUCCACCUCAAGACCACAAGCAAAAAGGCAAGGAUAAGCUUCAAGAGGAGAUUGAUGCAUUUGAAGAAGCUCCUAAGGCCUUGGUCAAGUGGGUUCCCAAGACUACAUCAAGUUCUACUUCAUCAAGUACAACUACAACUCCAAGGAUUCCCAUCAAGAUGGUGUGGAACCCGAAGAAGAAGAACUAGAGAGUUCUUGAGGGUGACUCCGCCAACAUACUCCACUCUUAUCAUUUUUGGCAAGAACAAGUGCAAUCAACUUCCACAUCUUGCACUAGUUAAAGGAGUCACAAACCCUCUUGUUGGUAAGACAAGGGACAAGGUAACCUAAUGCUUUCAUAGACAUCAUCUUGUGUGUGCAUCACUCUAUGUCUAUGGAUAUCCUUGUUUGUUCCUUGUGGGACUAACCCGUGUACGUAUUGAAAGUGCAACUCACUCCAAAGGAUUGCUCCAAAUGAUCUACAUCCACAUUGAGCAUCCACAUCUUCAACACCUACAUGAAGUCAUCAUCGACAAAACCCAAGGUUAGUUCAUCCCUCUUAGGGGGGAUCUCACAUCUAGGGGGAGCUUUACUCUAAGAAUUGAGCUAAAGCAACUCUAAUGGUGUGAACACAACAAUGCAUUAUGUAAAAGUUGUAACCCACUUGUGCUUAAACAAUGAGUAUGACCUAUGAUCAAAUGUUCUCAUUUGACUCCUAAGUCAAUAUACUCAUAUAUAGAUGACCUAGUCAUCGCCAAUUGCUUGAUAGAUGCUAGAAUUGGUUGUGCAUGCUUUGCCACAUAUUUCAUUUGCCAUUUUAUUGUGUGAGCAUGUCGUUUGCAUAUUUUACUCAUUCAAGGACAUCCGCUUGUUGUUUUGCUUGAUUGGCUUCUUUUCUUUUGCCAAGUGAAUGGACAAGAAUGCCUAAGAACCCUCUCUAGCUAUCUAUGCUUUUCUUGUCUCAAACUCUAUUCAUUCUACAUCACAAAGUUUGAUCAAGUCAGAUUCGAACCACUCUGUGUGAGGAGCACUCGGAGUCCCCGAUUCGUCAUAGACUUAAACUUCCAAAACUUCUUUGUGCGUUUCGGUCUGACCGAUUCAUCCAUUUCGGUCAUACCGAGAUCACUAAGUCGAUCUAGGUUUUCAAUCUCGGUGCAACCAUUAGAACUUUUCGGUCACACCGAGUUGCAGUAACUGCUUGCAGUUAUGCAUCUCGGUGCCACCGAGUUGUUCCACUCGAUCACACCGACAGGGUCAGGCUAUAUUUAUCCCCGGGCCAAAAUUUGGAAAUUUCUCCAAACCCCUUCGUCCGCGCUUAGCCUGCUCUGCCUCCCUGGGUCUCCGGGUCGUCCUCCUCAUUGCCAGCUGCCUCCCGCCGCUGGUCUCCGCCGCCGUCAACGGAAAUCGUCUCCGCCGUUGCCGCCGUAGCAGGUCCAUCGCCGCACUUAGGGUAUGGACUUGAUCCUUGUGCUAAUCUCACUCCGAUUCCUAGCACAUUGUUUUGACAUGUAUCUUUCCAUGAUUGAGAUCACUCUAUCCAGCGAAAUCACUUCCUAGUUUAGUUGUGGAUUGAAAAUUUAGGGUUAGGUUUCCGCCGAAAUCAUGUCUGACCAACUGAGUUGUAGAAAUCGGUUCCACCAAUUUGGCUAAGGCCAUUGCACAUGUGAUUCUCGGUCUGACCGAGAAUUGCAAAUUGGUGUGACCAAGUUCAGGACUUUGUGAAACCCUAGCAGUCUCGGUGCCACCAAACUAUGACUCGGUCUGACCGAGUUCACUACUUUAGGUUCCAAAAGCUGCUUCGGUAUCACCGAGUUUUCAAAUCGGUAGAUCCGAAAUGCUUUCUGUGGAAAAUUAAAACUAAGUUCUUGACUCAUUCUUUUGCAAAAACCUAUGUACUUUGUGAUGCUCAUCCAAUCUAUCUCAUCUAUAUCUAUUCACAGGGUCUGCUGUCAGUGUUUGCAUCAUGUCAAAUCAGAGUGACAGUCAGAACAAGUCUGAGGAUCAAGUUCACAUGAGUGAGGGCACUAGUCCCUCUAGCAGCUAUGAUGAUGGUAGCAGGAGUACACCCAGCAACUUGUCUAAGGCAGCCACCAGGGCCAGAAAGAAGAGAACCUCAGAUUCUGAGGAUGAGGACUAUGUGGCUGUUGAAGAUGAGGCCACCUCAAAGAAGAAAGUUCUGAAGAAGGAAUAUGGCACAGCUGCUGCCACUAAGCCAGGAAUGAAAACAAAGAUUCCAUUAAGAAGAGUUCCAAUGUCAAAGGCCAGAGCAUCCACUCAAGAAACUUUGGGAUCUGAACCCAAAGAACCAGUUGUGGCUGAGAAGAAAAGGAAAGAAAGGGUCAAGAAGACUAUGGCCAGAGUAAUUGGGAAGCCCUCAAUGAUGGAAGAAGAGGAAGAGGUUGCUGCACCAGCACCUAAAGCUCAAAAGCUGAUGGGAGAUGCUAUAAGGUCAGGGGCUGCUCCAUCUAAGCCCAAAGAUGCUCCCAAGGCUGCUGCUCCAAAACCCAAAGCUGCACCCAAGAGGAAUACGAGGAAUAUUCCUGCUGGAGAGAAGAACAAGGCCCCAGUGCCUGAAGCUGCUAUAGAAGAAGAAGAUGAUGAGUCACAUGUCUUGAGGAAGUUGAAGCCCAAAAUUCCAUAUCACAAUUAUGCUCAUCCAGUAGCUAAGGAUAUGAAGCUCGGGAAAGUUGCAGGAUUCGGACAGUGGAGAUUGACUGAUCCCUAUGCAGUCAGGAGAAGAACUGUUGUGGACUACAGGUUCCAUACAAAGGAACGGCAGGACUCCUAUGAGACAGUGUUGCUUGACAAGAAGCCUAUAGUCUGUGAUAUGAGAUGGGUGGACUGGAAGCACAUCAGGGAAAAUGAAGAACACUAUCCUGGAGUCUAUGAUAGUUUCAAGUCUUGUGGAGUAGAGAACUUUGUUGGGCAGAAGCUCACAAAGUGGAAUGAUGAGCUUAUUAUGCAGUUCUACUCCACAGCUCAUUUCUACCCAGAUGGAAGGAUUGUCUGGAUGUCUGAAGGUACUAGGUACCAAUCAACAGUUGAAGAAUGGGCAAAAUUGAUCAAUGCUCCUAAGGAGAAUGAAGAUGACUUGGAUGUCUAUGCCAAGAAGAAGAAGGAUCACAACUCCAUGGCACAUAUGUACAGAGAGAUCCCAGAUGCUGCUCUUGAGACACACAAAUUUGGAUCGGUACAUUACCUUCUGUCAGGUUUGCCAACAAUCAACUGGAUCCUCAGGCAUACUCUAUUGCCAAAGUCAGGUGAUCACAAGAUGAUUAGAGGCCAUGCAAUUAACCUGCUUCACAUAUUUGAUGUGCCUCAAAAGUUCAAAGUCAUGAGCCUAAUUUUGGAAACUAUCAAGAGGACAGCUGCUGAUCAGAAGAGAAGGUGUGGGUAUGCCCCACAGAUCCAGGAGCUAAUCAACUCCAAGAUGGGCACUGGCACAUAUCUCUUGGACAAGGAACACAUGCCCAUCUACCCAGACUUUGAGGACAACACUGUGGUAAUGGAUGAGAAUGAACCAUCUUAUGUGCAAGCACAAGAGAAGAAGGAGAAGGCAAGGAUUGAAAAGGCUGCAAAGAUCCAACCAUUAAUGAGGCAUCUCAGUAUCUCCUGAAGAGCAAGCAAGAUCAGCUUGGCUACUUGAUUGCCUCCACUAUGAGGAUUGAGAAGGGAUUGGCCACCCCGACUCAAAACCAGGAGAGCUUGGAGAGGAUCAUGGAGCAGAAGUUCUAUGAUUUAGAUGUGAAGGUCACUGAGAUACAGUCAGUUGUUGAGCAACUUCAGGAUGAAGUGCAGGAGAAGAAGGGCAAGUCUACCACUGAUGCUUUUGCUAGAGUGCCCAGAGGAUAGAGAUCUACUGCAGUGCCUGUUCCAGACACCAGAGCUACAUCAUCUGCACUAGCUACAACUUCAGUGCAUCCAGCUCCAGUAGCCACUCCACCAGCUCCAUCUACAUCAACCGAUGCCUUCGUCCUUGGAGUUUUAUCUACACCACCACCUGAAGACCAAGCCUGAGAGUCGAUCUAGCACUAUGCAUUUUUAUGAACUUUUUGGUAACUUGUUGCCAAAGGGGGAGAAAAUGUAUAGAUCAUAGGCUUCGAGAGAGAGUGUUGCUUUUUGUUCUCUCUUGUUUUUGGUGGUUGAACUUUGUUAUUUGCUUGUUUGAGAUACUCUAUGCUUUUGUGUGAUACUUGGAUGAUCAUGUGGUUGAUCAUAUACGAUGCUACCUUAAUGCUUGUUGGAUGACAUUAUCCUUUUGUAUCUCUAUAUGAUCAUUCACUUUGCUUGGUGAUGAGUGCAUGUAUUUAAUUAUUAUCAUUUUGAGCGCUCCACCAAGAUGUAUGUGACAUGGAAGAGUAACCCAUGAUCCUAACUCAUUGUGCAUUUGUAGUCCAAAGCAAAUCUUAAACUAUGCACAAAUUUAGGGGGAGCUCUUGCUUUUCACAUACUUCUCAAAGCGACAAUGUUUUUCACUCUUAUUAUCAUUUGUCGAAGCUUUGAUCUAUAUGUUGUCAUCAAUUACCAAAAAGGGGGAGAUUGAAAGUGCAACUAUCCCUAGGUGGUUUUGGUAAUUCCUAACAACAUAUAGCUCAUUGAGCUAAUGCUAUUUCAAGAUAAAUAUUUCAGGAAAGCUCAAUGAUUGGCAUGGCAUGGAUGAGAAAAGUGGACCCCUCAAAAUGCUAAGGACAAAAGGAUUGGCUCAAGCUCAAAGCUCAAGACUCUACAUUUUCUAUUUUAGUGAUCCAAGGUCACAUUGAGUCUAUAGGAAAAGCCAAUACUAUCAAGGAGGGAUGAGGUGUUGCUUAAUGGCUUUCUUGCUCAAAGUGCUUAGUGAUAUGCUCCAAAGCCCUCAACUACUUUCUCACAUCCACAUAUGACCUAAACCAAAAGACAAACUCGGCCCCACCGAUUCUUUCUAUCCGGAGCCACCGAGUUCAGAUGUCAUAGCCACUGCCACAAACCCUAGGCAAAUCGGUCUCACCGAUAGGGAUCUCGGUCUCACCGACAUGGGAUUGUAAUAUCUCUGUUUCCCUUCGUAACAUUUCGGUCCCACCGAGAUGAGCGAUCGGUCCCACCGAGAUUGCAAUGUAAACUCUUUGUUUCCCUUUCAUAACACUUCGGUCUCACCGAAAUGAGCGAAUUGGUCCCACCGAGUUUACCUGACCAACUCUCUGGUUAGCUUAUUACCAAAAUCGGUCUCACCGAGUUUGUGUAAUCGGUCUCACAGAGAUUACGUUAUGCCCUAACCCUAACCAUAUCGGUCCUACCGAGUUGCAUGUCGGUCCCACUAAAAAUCCUAACGAUCACUAGAUUUGUUAAAUUGGUCCGACCGAGUUUCUCAAUUCGGUCCCACCAAGAUUGGCAAGUUGUGUGUAAUGGUUAGAUUUUGUGUGGAGGCUAUAUAUACCCCUCCACCUCCUCUUCAUUCGUGGAGAGAGCCAUCAAAACGGACCUACACUUCCAACUUACAUUUUCUGAGAGAGAACCACCUACACUUGUGUUGAGGCCAAGAUAUUCCAUUCCUACCAUAUGAAUCUUGAUCUCUAGCCUUCCCCAAGUUGCUUUCCACUCAAAUCUUCUUUCCACCAAAUCCAAAUCCUGUGAGAGAGAGUUGAGUGUUGGGGAGACUAUCAUUUGAAGCACAAGAGCAAGGAGUUCAUCAUCAACACACCAUUUGUUACUUCUUGGAGAGUGGUGUCUCCUAGAUUGGCUAGGUGUCACUUGGGAGCCUCCGACAAGAUUGUGGAGUUAAACCAAGGAGUUUGUAAGGGCAAGGAGAUCGCCUACUUCCUGAAGAUCUACCGCUAGUGAGGCAAGUCCUUCUUGGGCGACGGCCAUGGUGGGAUAGACAAGGUUGCUUCUUCGUGGACCCUUCAUGGGUGGAGCCCUCCAUGGACUCGCGUAGCCGUUACCCUUCGUGGGUUGAAGUCUCCAUCAACAUGGAUGUACGAUAGCACCACCUAUCGGAACCACGACAAAAACAUUUGUGUCUCAUAUUGCGUUUGCACUCUCCAAACCCUUCCCUUUACAUUCUUGCAAGUUGCAUGCUUUACUUUCCGCUGCUCAUAUACUCUUUGCAUGCUUGCUUGAAUUGUGUGAAGAUUGUUUGACUUGUCCAAAGUUGCUAAAAUCUACCAAGAACUAAAAUUGGGAAAAGGAUAAGAUUUUAUUUGGUCAAGUAGUCUAAUCACCCCCCUCUAGACAUACUUACGAUCCUACACCGUUCCUCCUCUCCUUUUGUCUAGAUUUCAGAUCUAGUGUCUUAGGUGCAAUAGUGGUUGCAUCUCUCGAUUUUUGGCUAAAUCUAGGCUUGAGUAGGUUGGAGAAGGCUACUAGACUUUUUGGAUUCAUGAUUGGUAGGAGUAUUUUUGAAUUUGGCAGUCCGGUAGUGCCGGAUUUGACCACGGCAGUAGGGAACCGCCGUUUCCCCGUCUUGAGCAGUAUUACCGCUCCCGGUGGCGCGGUACUACCGCUGUUUUCCCAGUUCCAUCAUGUUCCUGCCAUUUCCUGAUCUUGUUUGUUGUGUUUGUUGGCUUAUGCUCGUUCUUUCUGGUUGUUUCGUGUGUUCGUGUGUUUGGUUCCAGGUGAUGAACAUCCUGAGCAGCAAGCCCGCCGUGUCAACCCCGGUCGUGCAACGUCAAAGUGCUACCACACAUCUGAGUCAGCAGGUGGUUCCUCUAGUGCUCCACUGCCGCCAGCGGGUGCUUCCUCAAGUGCUCCACCUCCGCCUCAACUCAAGAAGAAGUCUGCCAUCAAGCCGAAGCCGAGGGGCAAAACUGUGCCUGAAAUGAAUGCCAAGGAGUUCUGGGCAAGGCGUCGCCGCAACCCCUAUCUGGAAGACCAAGAACCCACUUUGGUCAACCAUCCAUUCUGGAACCGUUUUCAGUUUGCCAUCUUCUUUGAUGUGAUCAAGGCCAAGAAGAAUCUCUAUGUUUAUGUGCGCUCCAUCGACACGGAUUUUAUGGAGAAGGACCCUGAGUACUUUGGUGAAGCCCUUCAGAUGUGCUCUUAGCUAAACAUUCUCAGAAUCAUGCAGUUUAACAAGGACUUUGAUGCAGAUUUGGUGGCUUAAUUCUAUGCCACUGUCCAUCUAGGAACUGAUGAGGAAAGAACUCUGACUUGGAUGACAAAUGGCAAGUCGCUUUCUGUCAAGUGGAAGGCCUUCAUGGAGUUACUUGGGGUGGAAGAUCACGGGAUUGAGAUUCCAGUCGGCUUCCGCCCUCACCGCAAUGCAACCUCCACUCACAAGCAAGCCCUCUGGCCCUACUGUUCUAUGAAGAUUCACCCCGAGACUAAGAAGGAAACCUAUGAGUUGUCUGCCUUUCUGGACAUCCUUCACCAUGUCUUCCGAGAGACUCUCUUCCCUCGUAUCGGGAAUCUGGAUAUGGUCCACUCCUAUCUCAUGGACAUGCUUCUUUUCUGCCGGCAUGAGAAGGAAGCAAACACUAGCGAGUCCCUGGACAUUUCUCAUGUUAUGUGGUCUGAACUUCUAUCUGCUAUCUCUGAGUGCAAGUGCCUGAUCUAUGGACCGUUCAUCAUGUUGCUCAUCGAGAAGGCCUGGGGACAUGCCUAUCCCAGGGUCAUGCUGGAAACUGGAGAAUUGAUUUCUCAUGAGAUCAAGCGUCUGAGGAAGAAGGACAAUUGGGGCACCCCGGCCCCUAAAACUGGGGGUCCAUCUUCUUCUGCUGCCAUGGAGACCGAGGGCGAGGCUGAUGCUGAUGAUGACGAUGACUACGAGCCUUCUGGAGCAGAGCCAUCUUGGGCAAAGAAGCUCAAGCGUAAGAUGAAGAAACUCUUCUCCAUGGAGUCCCAUGGCCAGUACAUGUCUCAUGUCUCUGAGAAGAAGGCCUGCUGCCGUCACAAGGAGCUCAUGCGUCAGUUGGGUGCAACUGUUAACAGCGGGUCUGAGGGCCAGAUAACUGAUAACCCACAAGUGUAGGGGAUCGCAACAGCUUUCGAGGGUAGAGUAUUCAACCCAAAUUUAUUGAUUCGACAUAAGGGGAGCCAAAGAAUAUUCUUAAGUAUUAGCAGUUGAGUUGUCAAUUCAACCACACCUGGAUAACUUAGUAUCUGCAGCAAAGUAUUUAGUAGCAAAGUAGUAUGAUAGUAAUGGUAACAGUGGCAAAAGUAAAGAUAAUAGUUUUGUAGUAAUUGUAACAGUAGCAAUGGAAAAGUAAAUAAGCGAAACACAAGAUGUGAAAAGCUCGUAGGCAUUGGAUCAGUGAUGGAUAAUUAUGUUAGAUGUGAUUCCUCAUGUAAUAGCUAUAACAUAGGGUGACACAGAACUAGCUCCAGUUCAUCAAUGUAAUGUAGGCAUGUAUUCCGAAUAUAUUCAUACGUCCUUAUGGAAAAGAACUUGCAUGACAUCUUUUGUCCUACCCUCCUGUGGCAGCGGGUCCUAGCGGAAACUAAGGGAUAUUAAGGCCUCCUUUUAAUAGAGUACCAGAACAAAGCAUUAGCACAUAGUGAAUACAUGAACUCCUCAAACUAUGGUCAUCACCGAGAAGUAUCCCGAUUAUUGUCACUUCGGGGUUGUCGGAUCAUAACACAUAAUAGGUGACUAUAGACUUGCAAGAUAGGAUCAAGAACACACAUAUAUUCAUGAAAACAUAAUAGGUUCAGAUCUGAAAUCAUGGCACUCGGGCCCUAGUGACAAGCAUUAAGCAUAGCAAAGUGAUCGCAACAUCAAUCUCAGAACAUAGUGGACACUAAGGAUCAAACCCUAACAAAACUAACUUGAUUACAUGGUAAAUCUCAUCCAACCCAUCACCAUCCAGCAAGCCUACGAUGGAAUUACUCAUGCACGGUGGUGAGCAUCAUGAAAUUGGUGAUGGAGGAUGGUUGAUGAUGACGAUGGCGAUGAAUCCCCCUCUCCGGAGCCCCGAACCGACUCCAGAUCAGCCCUCCCGAGAGAGAUUAGGGCUUGGCGGCGGCUUCGUAUCGUAAAACAUGAUGAAACUUUCUCUCUCAUUUUUUUCUCCGUGAAACGGAAUAUAUGGAGUUGGAGUUGAGGUCGGUGGAGCGUCAGGGGGCCCACGAGACAGGGGGGCGCACCCAGGGGGGAGGGCGCGCCCCCCACCCUCGUGGACAGGGUGUGGGCCCCCUGGUCUUGAUUCUUUCGCCAGUAUUUUUUAUAUUUUCCAAAACUUGUCUCCGCGGAUUUUUCAGGACAUUCUGAAAACUUUUGUUUUCUACACAUAAAACAACAUCAUGGCAGUUCUGCUAAAAACAGCGUCAGUCCGGGUUAGUUUCAUUCAAAUCAUGCAAGUUAGAGUCCAAAACAAGGGCAAAAGUGUUUGGAAAAGUAGAUACGUUGGAGACGUAUCAACUCCCCCAAGCUUAAACCUUUGCUUGUCCUCAAGCAAUUCAGUUGAUAAACUAAAAGUGAUAAAGGAAAACUUUUACAAACUCUGUUUCCUCUUGUUGUUGUAAACAUGUAAAGCCAGCAUUCAAGUUUCAGCAAAUAUUAUGAACUAACCAUACUCAUAAUAACACAUAGGUCUCACAAUUACUCAUAUCAAUGGCAUAAUCAGCUAGCGAGUGAUAAUAAUAAAACUCGGAUGACAACACUUUCUCAAAACAACCAUAAUAUGAUAUAACAAAAUGGUAUCUCGCUAGCCCUUUCUGAGACCGCAAAACAUAAAUGCAGAGCACCUUUAAAGAUCAAGGACUGACUAAACAUUGUAAUUCAUGGUAAAAGAGAUCUAGUCAAGUCAUACCCAAUAUAAACCAACAAUAAUGAAUGCAAAUGACAGUGUGCUCUCUAGCGGGUGCUUUUUAAUAAGAAGGUGAUGACUCAACAUAAAAGUAAAUAGAUAGGCCCUUCGCAGAGGGAAGCAGGGAUUUGUAGAGGUGCUAGAGCUCGAUUUUAAAAUAGAGAUGAAUAACAUUUUGAGCGGCAUACUUUCACUGUCAACGCAACAACUAUGAGAUGACGAUAUCUUCCAUACUACAUGCAUUAUAGGCAGUUCCCAAAUAGAAUGGUAAAAGUUUACACUCCCCCGCCACCAACAAGCAUCAAUCCAUGGCUUGCUCGAAACAACGACUGCCUCCAACUAACAACAGCCCUGGGGGAGUUUUGUUUAAUUAUUUUGAUUUGCUUUGAUCUUUUUGGAUCAUGGGAAUGGGCAUCCCGGUUACCGGCCCUUUCUCGUGAAUGAGGAGCGGAGUCCACUCCUCUUGAGAAUAACCCACCUAGCAUGGAAGAUAUAGGCAGCCCUAGUUGAAACAUGAGCUGCUCGAGCAUACAAAACAGAAUUUCAUUUGAAGGUUUGGAGUUUGGCACAUACAAAUUUACUUGGAACGGCAGGUAGAUACCGCAUAUAGGAAGGUAUGGUGGACUCAUAUGGAAUAACUUUGGGGUUUAAGGAGUUUGGAUGCACAAGCAGUAUUCCCGCUUAGUACAGGUGAAGGCUAGCAAAAGACUCGGAAGCGGCCAACUAAGAGAGCGACAACAGUCAUGAACAUGCAUUAAAAUUAAUUCACACCGAGUACAAGCAUGAGUAGGAUAUAAUCCACCAUGAACAUAAAUAUCAUGAAGGCUAUGUUGAUUUGUUUCAACUACAUGCGUGAACAUGUGCCAAGUCGAGUCACUCAAUUCAUUCAAAGGAGGAUACCAUCCCAUCAUACUACAUCACAAUCAUUUUAAUAGCAUGUUGGCAUUCAAGGUAAACCAUUAUAACUCAUAGCUAAUCAAGCAUGGCACAAGCAACUAUAAUCUCUAAAUGUCAUUGCAAAUAUGUUUACUUCAUAAUAAGCUGAAUCAGGAACGAUGAACUCAUCAUAUUUAAAAAAACAAGAGAGGUCGAGUUCAUACCAGCUUUUUCUCAUCUCAAUCAGUCCAUCAUAUAUCGUCAUUAUUGCCUUUCACUUGCACGACCGAACGAUGUGUAUAAUAAUAAUAAUAGUGCAUGUGCAUUGGACUAAGCUGGAAUCUGCAAGCAUUCAACUCAAGAGAGAAGACAAGGUAAUAUGGGCUCUAAGUUAAAUAAACAAUCAUGCAAAUGAGAGCCACUAAACAAUUUCAAUAUGGUCUUCUACUCUCGACCCCCAAAGAAAGAAAAGAAAACUAUUUACACAGGAAGCUCCCAACGAGUAAGAAGAAGAACGAGAAAUCUUUUUUGGUUUUCAUUUUAAUUACUACUACGAGCAUGGAAGGUGAACUAACUAAUUUUUGGUUUUUCUUAAGGUUUAUCAAACACACAAGAAGAAAACUAGAAAAAGAAAAUUAAACUAGCAUGGAUAAUACAAUGAAAGAGUAUGAGCACCAACAACUAGAAUAGUAUGUGAACAUGAAUGAAAAGUCGAUGAGAAAUACGUACUCCCCCAAGCUUAGGCUUUUGGCCUAAGUUGGUCUAAGGCCAAGGGUAGCUUGGCUGAUAUUCGUAGUUAUAAUUGGGGUCGUACUGAGAUGCAACAGCAAAUGCCUCCUGAGCUGCGGCAUGCUGGCGAGCCGCUUCCGCUCUACCCUCGUGUUCAUCUGCUUCCUCCCUGGUAACAACAUAUCUUCCUUUUGCCUGGUAAUCAAAAAGGAAAGGAGCAGGAAGAGUAACAUGGACAGAGCUAUGUCUGUCAAAGAUUAGUCGAUAAUGGAGGAAUUGUUCAUUCCUCCUAAGAAAAUGAUGUUUGACCAUAGCGUCAUAAUCUAAAUAAGCAGGAGGCAACACCAUAUCCCCCUCUCGUGGCGCUAUACCAAGAUAAUUAGCCACACGGGUCGCAUAAAUUCCUCCAAAUAAAUCUCCAGCCCUAGCAUUAUUAUGCAACCUACGUGCAACUAUUGCCCCCAAGUUAUAAUCUUUAUAACCUAACACAGCGCUCUUGAGGACACAAAGAUCAGGGACACACAUAUGACAUGCUUCAUCUUUACCAAUAAUGCAUCUACCAAUGAAGAGAGCAAAAUAAUGUAUAGCAGGAAAAUGAAUGCUCCCUAUGGUAGCUUGUGCUAUAUCCCUAGAUUCUCCCACAGUAAUACUAGCAAGAAAGUCUCUGAAUUCAGAUUUGUGGGGAUCAUUAACAUUGCCCCACUGCGGAAGUUUGCAAGCAGUUGUAAAAUCCUCUAAGUCCAUGGUAUAAGAUCUAUCAUAAAUAUCAAACACGACACUCUGAGAAUUACGUGAACAUUUAUAUUUAAACCUUCUCACAAAUGAAUCAGUCAAUAGAUAGUACUGAGGACACUUAUCUUGUAAGAAGUCCUCAAGAUCGGGAUUACGCACAUAUGCGUCAAAUUCCUCCUUAAAGCGUACUUCUGCGUCCCUCGGUAGUUCAUCGUAUUGCUCACGCAUAGCAAGUCUAGGUCCCUUCUUUAUUGAGGAACCACCUUGAUACAUUCUCCUAGACAUAUUUCUUUUUCUGAAAAAUUUCUGAAAUUUUAGUAACUUCAAAAUAAAAGUGGAUAAAACUAAACAAGCUUGGUAGCAACUACUCCUACAAGUGCCUAGAGCCUAUAUCAUGCAUUAGAAUUACUUGGGACCUCAUAAAUUUAACAUGCAAGCUCAAGAACAUGGUCACCUAUGCAGCAAAAAUUUGCAAUGAAUAAAGCACUAGAGCAAAAACUAAUUGGACCAAUGGAGGAGUCACAUACCAAGCAACAAUCUCCCAAAGCAGUUUUGUAAAUGGAGCUUUGAGCAAGGAGAUCGAAAAUCGCAGCAAAAUGAGCUAGAACUCGUGCUUGAGCUGGAUGGGGAUUUUUUUGGGAAGAAGAUGGAGUGUGUGGGUGCAGGAAUAAGUGGAGGGGGCCACCAUAGGCCCACGAGACAGGGGGGGCGCACCCAAGGGGUGUGGGCGCGCCCUCCACCCUUGUGGCCAGGUGCUUGCCCCUCCUGCAGUGUUUUCAGUGCCUAAAAUCCUCAAAUAAUCCAUAAAAAUCAUGCUAAAUUUGUAGGGCAUAUGGAGCACUUUUAUUUUCAGGAUAUUUUUUUAUUGCACGGAUAAUUCAGAAAACAGACAGAUAAUACUAUUUUUGAUUUAUUUAUUCUAAAUAACUGAAAGUAAAAAGAGGGUACAAAAGGUUGUGCCUUCUAGUUUCAUCCAUCUCAUGAUCAUCAAAAUGAAUCCACUAACAAGGUUGAUCAAGUCUUGUUAACAAACUCAUUCCGAAUAAUACGGAACCGGAGAAAUUUCGGAUAACACUAGGUUACCUCAACGGGGAUAUGAACAUCCCCAACAAUAAGAAUAUCAUACUUUUUCUUGAUAGUAGGAAGAGGAAAUUCAAAACCUCCAAUAAUGAUAGUUGGACUUUUUCCAAUAGAAUUGAUGUUAUGAACUUGAGAUUGUUUCCUCGGAAAGUGUACCGUAUGCUCAUUACCAUUAACAUGAAAAGUGACAUUGCCUUUGUUGCAAUCAAUAACAGCCCCUGCAGUAUUCAAAAAGGGUCUACCAAGGAUAAUCGACAUACUAUCGUCCUCGGGAAUAUCAAGAAUAACAAAGUCUGUUAGGAUAGUGACAUUUGCAACCACAACAGGCACAUCCUCACAAAUACCGACAUGUAUAGCAGUUGAUUUAUCAGCCAUUUGCAAAGAUAUUUCAGUAGGUGUCAACUUAUUUAAGUCAAGUCUACGAUAUAAAGAUAGAGGCAUAACACUAACACCUGCUCCAAGAUCACAUAAAGCAGUUUUAACAUAAUUUCUUUUAAUGGAGCAUGGUAUGGUUGGUACCCCUGGGUCUCCAAGUUUCUUUGGUAUUCCACCCUUAAAAGUAUAAUUAGCAAGCAUGGUGGAAAUUUCAGCUUUCGGUAUCUUUCUUUUAUUUGUAAUGUUAUCCUUCAUAUACUUAGCAUACGGAUUUACUUUAAGCAUGUCAGUUAAGUGCAUACGUAAGAAGAUAGGUGUAAUCAUUUCAGCAAAGUGCUCAAAAUCCUCAUCAUACUUUGUCUUGGAUGGUUUAGGAGGAAAGGGCAUGGGUUUCUGAACCCAUGGUUCUCUUUCUUUACCAUGCUUCCUAGCAACAAAAUCUCUCUUAUCAUAACGUUGAUUCUUUGAUUGUGGGUUAUCAAGAUCAACAUCAGGUUCAAUCUCUACUUCAUCAUUUUUGCUAGGUUGAGCAUCAACAUGAACAUUAUCAUUAACAUUAUCACUAGGUUCAUGUUCAUCACCUGAUUGUGUUUCAGCAUCAGAAAUAGAAAUAUCAUUGGGAUUCUCAGGUGUGUCUACAACAGGUUCACUAGAAGCAUGCAAAGUCCUAUCAUUUUUCUUUUUUCUUCUUUUUGGAAGAACUAGGUGCCUCUAAAUUAUUUCUCUGAGAAUCCUGCUCGAUUCUCUUAGGGUGCCCUUUAGGAUACAAAGGUUCCUGAGUCAUUCUACCAGUUCUAGUAGCCACUCUAAUAGCAAAGUCAUGUUUAUUAUUUAAUUUAUCAAGAAAAUCAUUUUGAGCUUUAAGUACUUGCUCAGCUUGAGUGGCAACCAUAGAAGCAUAUUUGCUAACGAGUUUAAGUUCACCUUUAACUCUAGCCAUAUAGUCACUCAAGCGUCCUAUCUCGAAAGCAUUAUUCUUUAAUUCUCUACCAACAUAAGCAUUAAAACUUUCUUGUCUAGCCAUAAAGUCAUCAAAUUCAUCUAAGCAUGGGAAUUUAGUACAGGGAAUUUCAACUUUAUCAUAUCUAUAGAGAGAAUUUACCUUUACCACCUGUGUCGGGUUAUCAAGACAAUGUGGUUCAUCAACAGGCGGUAUAUUAAGACCAUGUAUUUCUUCAAUAGGAGGUAAAUUCUUAACAUCUUCAGCUUUUAUACCUUUUUCUUUCAUUGAUUUCUUUGCCUCUUGCAUAUCUUCAGGACUGAGAAAUAAAACACCUCUCUUCUUUGGAGUGGGUUUAGGAAUAGGCUCAGGAGUUGGCUCAAUUGGUUCAGGAAUUGCCUCAGGAACUGGCUCAAGAAGAGUCCAAUUAUUUUCAUUAGUCAACAUAUUAUUCAAUAGUAAUUCAGCUUCGUCGACUGUUCUUUCCCUGGAAACACAACCAGCACAACUAUCCAAGUAGUCCUUGAAGCAUCGAUUAGUCCAUUAUAAAAGAUAUCAAGUACAUUUUUCUUAAGAGGAUGAUCAGGCAAAGCAUUAAGUAAUCGGAGAAGCCUCCCCCAAGCUUGUGGGAGACUCUCUUCUUUGAUUUGCACAAAAUUAUAUAUUUCCCGCAAGGCAGCUUGUUUCUUAUGAGCAGGGAAAUAUUUAGCAGAGAAGUAAUAAAUCAUAUCCUAGGGACUACGCACACAACCAGGAGCAAGAGAAUUAAACCAAGUCUUAGCAUCACCCUUUAAUGAGAAUGGAAAUAUCUUAAAGAUAUAAUAAUAGCGAGACUUCUCAUCAUUAGUAAACAUGGUGGCUAUAUCGUUCAACUUGGUAAGAUGUGCCACAAUAGUUUCAGAUUCAAGGCCAUAAAAAGGAUCAGAUUCAACUAAAAUAAUAAUCUCAGGAUCAACAGAGAAUUCAUAAUCCUUAUCAGUAACACAGAUAGGUGAAGUAGCAAAAGCAGGGUCAGGUUUCAUUCUAGCAUUAAGAGAUUGCUGCUUCCAUUUAGCUAACAACGUUUUAAGAUCAUAUCUAUCUUUGCAAGCAAAGAUAGCUCUAGCAGCUUCCUCAUCUAUAACAUAACCCUCAGGAACAAUAGGUAAUUCAUAAUCAGGGGGAGAACUUUCAUCAUCACUAUCAUCAAUAAUAGCAUCUUCAAUAAUUUCAUUCUCUCUAACCCUGGCAAGUUGUUCAUCAAGAAACUCACCUAAUGGCAAAGUAGUAUCAUGCACAGAAGUAGUUUCAUCAUAAGUAUCAUGCAUAGCAGAAGUGGCAUCAUCAAUAACAUGCGACAUAUCAAAAUUCAUAGCAGUAGCAGGUUUAGGUGUCGCAAGCUUACUAAUAACAGAAGGAGAAUCUAGUGCAGAGCUAGAUGGCAGUUCCUUACCUCCCCUUGUAGUUGAGGGCAAAAUCUUGGUUCUUUCGUCUUUCAAGUUCCUCAUAGUGAUCAACAGAUAUAAAUCCCAAGUGACUCAAAGAAUAGAGCUAUGCUCCCCGGCAACGGCGCCAGAAAUUAGUCUUGAUAACCCACAAGUGUAGGGGAUCGCAACAGCUUUCGAGGGUAGAGUAUUCAACCCAAAUUUAUUGAUUCGACACAAGGGGAGCCAAAGAAUAUUCUUAAGUAUUAGCAGUUGAGUUGUCAAUUCAACCACACCUGGAUAACUUAGUAUCUGCAGCAAAGUAUUUAGUAGCAAAGUAGUAUGAUAGUAAUGGUAACAGUGGCAAAAGUAAAGAUAAUAGUUUUGUAGUAACUGUAACAGUAGCAACGGAAAAGUAAAUAAGCGAAACACAAGAUGUGAAAAGCUCGUAGGCGUUGGAUCAGUGAUGGAUAAUUAUGCCGAAUGCGAUUCCUCAUGUAAUAGUUAUAACAUAGGGUGACACAGAACUAGCUCCAGUUCAUCAAUGUAAUGUAGGCAUGUAUUCCGAAUAUAGUCAUACGUUCUUAUGGAAAAGAACUUGCAUGACAUCUUUUGUCCUACCCUCCCAUGGCAGCGGGGUCCUAGCGGAAACUAAGGGAUAUUAAGGCCUCCUUUUAAUAGAGUACCGGAAUAAAGCAUUAGCACAUAGUGAAUACAUGAACUCCUCAAACUAUGGCCAUCAAUGAGAAGUGUCCCGAUUAUUGUCACUUCGGGGUUGUCGGAUCAUAACACAUAAUAGGUGACUAUAGACUUGCAAGAUAGGAUCAAGAACACACAUAUAUUCAUGAAAACAUAAUAGGUUCAGAUCUGAAAUCAUGGCACUCAGGCCCUAGUGACAAGCAUUAAGCAUAGCAAAGUCAUAGCAACAUCAAUCUCAGAACAUAGUGGACACUAGGGAUCAAACCAUGUCAAAACUAACUUGAUUACAUGGUAAAUCUCAUCCAACCCAUCACCGUCCAGCAAGCCUACAAUGGAAUUACUCACGCACGGCGGUGAGCAUCAUGAAAUUGGUGAUGGAGGAUGGUUGAUGAUGACGACGGCGACGAAUCCCCCUCUCCGAAGCCUUGAACGGACUCCACAUCAGCCCUCCUGAGAGAGAUUAGGGCUUGGCGGCGGCUCCGUAUCGUAAAACACGAUGAAACUUUCUCUUUGAUUUUUUUCUCCGCGAAACGGAAUAUAUGGAGUUGGAGUUGAGGUCGGUGGAGCGUCAGGGGGCCCACGAGACAGGGGGCGCGCCCAGGGGGGAGGGCAUGCCCCCCACCCUCGUGGACAGGGUGUGGGCCCCUGGUCUUGAUUCUUUCGCCAGUAUUUUUUAUAUUUUUCAAAACUUGUCUCCAUGGAUUUUCAGGAUAUUCCGAGGACUUUUGUUUUCUACACAUAAAAUAACAUCAUGGCAGUUCUGCUAAAAACAAUGUCAGUCCUGGUUAGUUUCAUUCAAAUCAUGCAAGUUAGAGUCCAAAACAAGGGCAAAAGUGUUUGGAAAAGUAGAUACAUUGGAGACGUAUCAAUAACUGAGGAGGAGUGGAUUCAGCAGCACUGCCCGUGGACAGAUUCUGACGCCGAGCAGUUUCCGACCGAUGACAACGUUGCAGACGAUCCCGCUGGGAUAUGAUGUUCGAGAUCCUCAGCUUGCUAUCACCUGGAGCCGUAGCAACACUCUUUGCCCUUUUUGGUGUCUCGAUGCCAAAGGGGGAGAGAGUUUAGGGAUUUAUGUCGUUGUUGAGUUGUGAGUGUUUCUUUGUGGUGUCGUUGUGUCUUCUCGCCUUUUGCUUUGUUUGGUUUUGUGCCAGUGAGACCUAAGUUCCAGACAUAUGGUGUGAGACAUAUGCUACCUUAUCUUUAUCUUAUCAUUAUCUAUGUCUAUCUAGGCCUUUGGUAUCUUAUGAGUUGCAUGCUUAUCCUGUUAUAUACCCUGCUCUCAUGUCUCCUGCUUAGGUUGUUGGUCUAUAAAAUAUAGGGGGAGUGUUGAUCCUAGUAUGUGUGUCGUGCAGUCCAAAGCACUUAUCUAGAAAGCACACAUCUAGGGGGAGCCCGUCUAUAUUUUAGAGUUGUGGGGUUUGCUUUUGUCCUUUGUCUUUUACCGUUUGUGCAAAUCCCGUAUUGUCAUCAGUCAACCAAAAAGGGGGAGAUUGUAAGGGCAUAUUUAUUCCUUAGGUGUUUUGGUGAUUGAUGACAAUGCGUUUGCGGACUAAUCGUGUGUGUUGAGUUUUUCAGAGAUUCAUCAUUUGGCAUGAGACGAUUCCCUCCCCUCAGAGUGUUUUUCAAGAUAGUGCAACUCUUUCGUUUCUAUUUUGGUGGACUAGUUUCGUAGGAGUCACUGUACUAUAAAGAGGGGGUCCGCUUUGGUAAGGCUAGGGUGGAAUCAACACGUACACAUCCUUGUCACACCCUCUGAGCCUUUCCGCUUCAAUGGAGAGCUCAUUCCCCUUCAUAUGUGCAUCGUUUGGUCCCAUCGGUAGUACCGCGGGCCACAGCGGUAGUACCGCCCGAGUGCUACAAGCGGCAAUACCGCUCCACGGCGGUAGUACCGCUUGAAGCCCUCCGCCGUAGUACCGUUGCGGCUUCGUGCUCCUACCGCCUCGACUCGAGGGCUCUUUUCUCGUGUCGGGUUUUGCGGCACUAGUUGCGGCAGUAGAGGCGGUAGUACCGCUCUUAAGCGGUAGUACCGCCCUUACCACCACGGUAGUACCGCCCUGGGUCCAGGUCCUCCCUUUGCUCCUCGCUCCCCUCUUUUGUGCGGCAGUACCGCGAGGUGGGAUGGUAGUACCGCUGGCCUCAGCGGUAGUACCGCCCACCCCUGUGGUAGUACCGCUCUCUGCGGGGCUGCUUUGGGGGGUAACGGUUGGAUUGUUCCCCCCACUAUAUAAGGGGGUCUUCUUCCCCAAAGUUGACCUACCUCUUCCCCCAAAAGCUCCAUUGUUGCUCCAAGCUCCAUUUUCACCCGAUCUCUCUCCCUAGCCAAUCAAACUUGUUGAUUUGCUCGAGAUUGGUUGAGAAGGCCCCAAUCUACACUUUCACCAAGAGGAAUUUGAUUUCCCCCACUAAUCCCUAGCGGAUCUUGUUACUCUUGGGUGUUUGAGCACCCUAGACGAUUGAGGUCACCGCAGAGCCAUAGUCCAUUUGGUGAAGCUUCGUGGUGUCGUUGGGAGCCUCCAAUUAAGUUGUGGAGAUAGCCCCAACCUUAUUUGUAAAGGUUUGGUCGCCGCCUUCAAGGGCACCAAUAGUGGAAUCACGACAUCUCGCAUUGUGUGAGGGUGUGAGGAGAAUACAGUGGCCCUAGUGGCUUCUUGGGGAGCAUUGUCCCUCCACGCCGCUCUAACAGAGACGUACUUCCCCUCAAAAGGAAGGAACUUCGGUAACACAUCCUCGUCUCCAUCAGCUCCACUCUUGGUUAUCUCAUGCCUUUACUUGUGCAAGCUUAUUUGUGUUGUAUCCCUUGCUUUCUUGUGUACUUGUUGGUGUUGCAUCAUACAUGUUGCUCACCUAGUUGCAUAUCUAGACAACCUACUUUGAUGCAAAGUUUAAUUUGGUAAAGAAAAGCUAAAAAAUGUUAGUUGCCUAUUCACCCCCCCCCUCUAGUCAACUAUAUCGAUCCUUUCAGUGCCCCAAGGGGGGCACCCCUGAGCUCGUGAUCUCUGGUGGGCACCCUCCUGGCACUUCUUCCUGUCAGGACCCCGAUCCUAAGUAACACCGAUCUAGCAUAUAACACAUCAUAUCACUUUGCGGCAUCAAGCACGGUAACCCAUGGCUUCCACCUUUACCUUGGCCUGGACCGUUUGUGUCUUUUGGCUCACGUAUAUGAUUAUGUUGCUAGCAUCCUGCUACCUCUUGAGCUAGCGUUGGUUUUUCCCUUGAAUAGGUAAGGGUGAUGCAGCAAAGUAGCAUAAGUAUUUCCCUCGGUUUUGAGAACCAAGGUAUCAAUCCAGUAGGAGACGACACAUAAGUCACCUCAUACCUGCACAAACAAUCAAGAACCUUGCAACCAACGCGAUAAAGGGGUUGUCAAUCCCUUCACGGUCACUCACAAAAGUGAGAUUUGAUAGAGAUAAUAAAGUAAAUAUUUUUGGUAUUUUUGUUGUAUAGAUUGGAAAGUAAAGAUUGCAAAAUAGUAAACGUGAUGUGAUGUAAACAAAAGAGAUGUAAGAUAAUAGGAAAGAGAUCUGGGGCCAUAGGUUUCACUAGUGUCUUCUCUCAAGAUAGCAUGUAUUACGGGGGGUGAACAAAUUACUGCCGAACAAUUGAUAGAAGAGCACAUAAUUAUGAAGACAUCUAAGGCAAUGAUCAUGAACAUAGGCAUCACGUCCGUGUCAAGUAAACUGAAACGAUUCUGCAUCUACUACUAUUACUCCACACAUCGACCGCUAUCCAACAUGCAUCUAGAGUAUUAAGUUCAUAAGAACAGAGUAACACAUUAAGCAAGAUGACAUGAUGUAGAGGGAUAAACUCAAGCAAUAUGAUAUAAACCCCAUCUUUUUUAUCCUCGAUGGCAACAAUAUAAUACGUGCCUUACUGCCCCUACUGUCACUGGGAAAGGACACCGCAAGAUUGAACCCAAAGCUAAGCACUUCUUCCAUUGCAAGAAAGAUCAAUCUAGUAGGCCAAACUAAACCGAUAAUUCGAAGAGACUUGCAAAGAUAUCAAAUCAUGCAUAUAAGAAUUCAAAGAAGAACCAAAUAAUAUUCAUAGAUAAUCUUGUUCAUAAAUCCACAAUUCAUCGGAUCUCGACAAACACACCGCAAAAUAAUUACAUCGAAUAGAUCUCCAAGAACAUCGAGGAGAACUUUGUAUUGAGAAUCAAACAGAGAGAAGAAGCCAUCUAGCUAAUAACUAUGGACCUGAAGGUCUGUGGUAAACUACUCACACUUUGUCAGAGAGGUAAUGGUGAUGAUGUAGAAGCCCUCCGUGAUCGAUUCCCCCUCCGGUAGAUCACUGAAAAAGGCCCCAAGAUGGGAUCUCAUGGGUACAGAAGGUUGCGGUGGUGGAAAAGUGGUUUUGUGGCUCCCCCUGAUGUUUCUAGGGUAUAAGAGUAUAUAUAGGCAAAAGAAGUACGUCGGUGGAGCUAUGAGGGGCCCACGAGGGUGGGGGGCACGCCCUCCUGCCUCGUGGCCACCUCGUGGAGUUCCAGACUUCAACUCCAAGUCUUCUGGAUUGCUUUUGGUCCAAGAAAGAUCCUCGCGAAGGUUUCAUUCCGUUUGGACUCCGUUUGGUAUUCCUUUUCUGCAAAACUCUAAAAUAGGCAAAAAAACAAAAACUGGUACUAGGCCUCCGGUUAAUAGGUUAGUCCAAAAAAUAAUAUAAAAGAGCGUAUUAAAUCCCAUUAAACAUCCAAAACAUAUAAUAUAAUAGCAUGGAAUAAUCAAAAAUUAUAGAUAUGUUGGAGAAGUAUCAAGCAUCCCCAAGCUUAAUUCCCGCUCGUCCUCGAGUAGGUAAAUGAUAAAAAAAAUAGAAUUUUUGAUGUGGAAUGCUACCUACCAUAACUAUAAAUGUAAUUUUCUUUAUUGUGGCAUGAAUGUUCAGAUCCGAAAGAUUCAAGACAAAAGUUUAAUAUUGACAUAAAAAUAAUAAUACUUCAAGCAUAUUAACAAAGUAAUCACGUCUUCUCAAAAUAACAUGGUCAAAGAAAGUUCAUCCCUACAAAAUCAUAUAGUUUGGCUAUGCUCCAUCUUCGUCACACAAAAAUGUUCAAAUCAUUCACAACCCCGGUUUCAGCCAAGCAAUUGUUUCAUACUUUAGUAUUCUCAAACUUUUCAACUUUCACGCAAUACAUGAGCGUGAGCCAUGGACAUAGCACUAUAGGUGGAAUAGAAUGGUGGUUGUGGAGAAGACAAAAAGGAGGAAGAUGGUCUCACAUCAUCUAGGCGUAUUAAUGGGCUAUGGAGAUGCCCGUCAAUAGAUAUCAAUGUGAGUGAGUAGGGAUUGCCAUGCAACGGAUGCACUAGAGCUAUAAAUGUAUGAAAGCUCAACAAAAGAAACUAAGUGGGUGUGCAUCCAACUUGCUUGCUCACGAAGACCUAGGGCAUUUUGAGGAGGCCCAUCAUUGGAAUAUACAAGCCAAGUUAUAUAACGAAAAUUCCCACUAGUAUAUGAAAGUGACAAAAUAACAGACUCUCUAUCAUGAAGAUCAUGGUGUUACUUUGAAGCACAAGUGUGGUAAAAGGAUAGUAGCAUUGUCCCUUCUCUCUUUUUCUCUCAUCAUUUUUUAUUUGGGCCUUUUCUCUUUUUUAUGGCCUCUUUUUUUUAGUCCGGAGUCUCAUCCCUACUUGUGGGGGAAUCAUAGUCUCCAUCAUCCUUUCCUCACAUUGGACAAUGCUCUAAUAAUGAAUAUCAUCACACUUUUAUUUACACACAACUCAAUACUUAGAACAAAUUAUGACUCUAUGUGAAUGCCUCCGGUGGUGUACCGGGAUGUGCAAUGAAUCAAGAGUGACAUGUAUGAAAAAAUUAUGAACGGUGGCCUUGCCACAAAUACAAUGUCAACUACAUGAUCAUGCAAGGCAAUAUGACAAUGAUGGAGCGUGUCAUAAUAAACGGAACAGUUGAAAGUUGCAUGGCAAUAUAUCUCGAAAUGGCUAUGGAAAUGUCAUAAUAGGUAGGUAUGGUGGCUGUUUUUAGGAAGGUAUAUAGUGGACGUAUGGUACCGACAAUAGUUGCACGGUACUAGAGAGGCUAGAAAUGAUGAAAGGGUGAGAGUGCGUAUAAUCCAUGGACUCAGCAUUAGUCAUACAGAACUCACAUACUUAUUGCAAAAAUCUACAACUCAUCAAAACCAAGCACUACGUGCAUGCUCCUAGGGGAAGGGUUGGUAGGAGUUAACCAUCGCGCGAUCCCGACCUCAACACAUAAGGAAGCAGUCAAUAAAUAAAUCAUGCUCCAACUUCAUCACAUAACGGUUCACCAUACGUGCAUUGCAUGCUACGGGAAUCACAAACUUUAACACAAUUAUUCUUCAAAAUCACAAUUACUCGACUAGCAUGUCUCUAAUAUCACCAUCCUCAUAUCUCAAAACAAUCAUCAAGCAUCAAACUUCUCAUAGUAUUCAACGCACUUUAUAUGAAAGUUUUUAUUAUACCCAUCUUGGAUGCCUGUCAUAUUAGGACUAGUUUUGUAGCCAAAGCAAAUUACCAUGCUGUUCUAAAAGACUCUCAAAAUAAUAUAAGUGAAGCAUGAGAGAUCAAUAAUUUCUAUAAAAUAAAACCAGCACUGUGCUCUAAAAAGAUAUAAGUGAAGCACUAGAGCAAAAUUAUCUAACUCAAAAGAUAUAAGUGAAGCACAUAGAGUAUUCUAAUAAAUUCCGAUUCAUGCGUGGCUCUCCCAAAAGGUGUGUACAGCAAGGAUGAUUGUGGUAAACUAAAAAAGCAAAGACUCAAAUCAUACAAGACGCUCCAAGCAAAACACAUAUCAUGUGGUGAAUAAAAAUAUAGCCUCAAGUAAAGUUACCGAUAGACGAAAACGGAAGAGGGGAUGCCUUCCGGGGCAUCCUCAAGCUUAGGCUUUUGGUUGUACUUGAAUUUUACCUUGGGGUGCCUUGGGCAUCCCCAAGCUUAGGCUCUUGCCAAUCCUUAUUCCAAAAUCCAUCAAAUCUUUACCCAAAAACUUGAAAACUUCACAACACAAAACUUCAAUAGAAAAUCUCAUGAGCUCCGUUAGUAUAAGAAAAUAAACCACCACUUUAAGGCACUGUAAUGAACUCAUUAUUUGUUUAUAUUGGUGUUAAACCUACUGUAUUCCAACUUCUCUAUGGUUCAUACCCCCCGAUACUACUCAUAUGUUCAUCAAAAUAAGCAAACAACACACGAAAAACAGAAUCUGUCGAAAACAGAACAAUCUGUAGCAAUCUGUACCUUUCGAAUACUUCUGUACCUCUAAAAAUUCUGAAAUAAAUUGUUGGACUUGAGAAAAUUUUCUAUUAAUCAUAUGCAAAAAGAAUGAACCUCAAAGCACUCUCCAGUAAAAAAAUGACAGCUAUUCUCGUGAGCGCAAAAGUUUCUGUUUUUUAUAGCAAGAUCACAAAGACUUCACCCAAGUCUUCCCAAAGGUUAUACUUGGCACAAACACUAAUUAAAGCAUAAAACCACAUCUAAACAGAAGCUAGAUGAAUUAUUUAUUACUAAACAGGAGCAAAAAGCAAAGAACAGAAAAUAAAAUUGGGUUGCCUCCCAACAAGCGCUAUCGUUUAACGCCCCUAGCUAGGCAUAAAAGCAAGAAUAGAUCUAGGUAUUGCCAUCUUCGGCAUGCAAUUCUUCAAUUGAACACACAUAAUCCUUAGAGGUUCUUUGGUUUUGUUAAUGAUUAAACUCCUAGGCAAGAAAUUGAGAAAUUCAUUUGUGGCAAAAGGUUCCUUAAUGAUAUCGAAAAAAUUGGGGUGAACACUUAUUGAUUUGAGAUCUUCAUUUUCCUUACUAGAAGAUUCAACCUUAUUCUUAGGAAUGUAAAUAAACUUGGUGACUUUGGUAGGAGGAGUAUUUGAGGUGUUUUUAACAGCAGAAAAGGCGGAACCCAAGUUGGUAAUAAUAUCUUCGAGUUUAUCAAUUCUAGUAGAAUCUUGAUCUAUCUUUUCAUUAACUAUGGGUUCAUUUUCCCUAAUAUUUUCAGAGUAACUCUUACCUUAGAUCCAUAUUGAAUAAUUUGGUUAUGGAUCUUUUUAUCCAAAUUUUCAAUUAACUCAACAGUGGCAAUUUUAUUUUAAAUAACAUCAAGCCUUUGCAUCACAUGUUCCAAAGUUAAAAUAGUUCCAUUGACCAAAAGAGGUGGUGGGCCUAACAAAUCUAUCAUGGCACUAUAAGAAUCAAAGGUAUGGCUUCCCAAGAGAAUUCCCUCCAGUGAUGGUGUCAAGAACAUAUCUAUUCCAAGGAGUAAUGCCUACAUAAAAAUUGCGAAGAAGACCGGAAGUGGAUUGCUUUCUAGUAGAUCUAUUUUGAGCAUUGCAAAUCCUAUACCAAGCAUCUUUUAGAUUUUCUCCCUCCCUUUGUUUAAAGUUGAGAACUUCAUUAUCGGGAGUGCUAACAAUGAUAGGAGGACUAGCCAUGAUGGCAAAACAAAUGAUCUGACAUACGAACGCACAAGAAGCAAUCGAAAAGAGACGAACAGAAAGGGGCGAAGAAAAGACAAAGGUUUUCAAAAAUCGUUUAGAAGUGGGGGAGAGUAAAACGAUAGGCGAGUGGCAAAUAAUGUAAUGCGAGGGAGAAGAGUUUAUGAUGGGUACUUGGUAUGUCUUGACUUGGCGUAGAUCUCCCCGACAACGGUGCCAGAAAUCCUUCUUGCUACCUCUUGAGCUUGCAUUGAUUUUUCCCUUGAACAGGAAAGGGUGAUGCAGCAAAGUAGCGUAAGUAUUUCCCUCAGUUUUGAGAACCAAGGUAUCAAUCCAGUAGGAGACGACACACAAGUCACCUAGUACCUACACAAACAAUCAAGAACCUUGCAACCAACAUGAUAAAGGGGUUGUCAAUCCCUUCACGGUCACUCGCAAAAGUGAGAUCUGAUAGAGAUAAUAAAGUAAAUAUUUUUGGUAUUUUUUUUGUAUAGCUUAGAAAGUAAAGAUUGCAAAAUAGUAACGAGAUGCGAUGUAAACAAAAGAGAUGUAAUAUAAUAGGAAAGAGACCCGGGGGCCAUAGGUUUCACUAGUGGCUUCUCUCAAGAUAGCAUGUAUUACGGUGGGUAAACAAAUUACUGCCGAGAAAUUGAUAGAAUAGCACAUAAUUAUGAAGACAUCUAAGGCAAUGAUCAUGAACAUAGGCAUCACGUGCGUGUCAAGUAGACCGAAAUGAUUCUGCAUCUACUACUAUUACUCCACACAUCGACUGCUAUCCAGCAUGCAUCUAGAGUAUUAAGUUCAUAAGAACGGAGCAACACAUUAAGCAAGAUGACAUGAUGUAGAGGGAUAAACUCAAGCAAUAUGAUAUAAACCCCAUCUUUUUUAUCCUCGAUGGCAGCAAUACAAUAUGUGCCUUGAUGCCCCUACUAUCACUGGGAAAGGACACCACAAGAUUGAACCCAAAGCUAAGCACUUCUCCCAUUACAAGAAAGAUCAAUCUAGUAGGCCAAACUAAACCGAUAAUUCAAAGAGACUUGCAAAGAUAUCAAAUCAUGCAUAUAAGAAUUCAGAGAAGAACUAAAUAAUAUUCAUAUAUAAUCUUGUUCAUAAAUGCACAAUUCAUCGGAUCUCGACAAAACACAUCGCAAAAGAAUUACAUCGAAUAGAUCUCCAAGAACAUCGAGGAUAACUUUGUAUUGAGAAUGAAAGAGAGAGAAGAAGCCAUCUAGCUAAUAACUAUGGACCCGAAGGUCUGUGGUAAACUACUCACACUUCAUCAGAGAGGUAAUGGUGUUGAUGUAGAAGCCCUCCGUGAUUGAUUCCCCCUCCGGUAGAUCGCCAGAAAAGGCCCCAAGAUGGGAUCUCACGGGUACAGAAGGUUGCAGCGGUGGAAAAGUGGUUUCGUGGCUCCCCCUGAUGUUUCUAGGGUAUAAGAGUAUAUAUAGGCGAAAGAAGUACGUCGAUGGAGCUACGAGGGGCCCACAAGGGUGGGGGUGCGCCCUCCUGCAUCGUGGCCUCCUCGUGGAGUUCGAGACUUCAACUCCAAGUCUUCUGGAUUGCUUUUGGUCCAAUAAAGAUCCUCGCGAUGGUUUCAUUCCGUUUGGACUCCGUUUGGUAUUCCUUUUCUGCAAAACUCUAAAAUAGGCAAAAAAAACAAAAACUGGUACUGGGCCUCCGGUUAAUAGGUUAGUCCCAAAAAUAAUAUAAAAGAGCAUAUUAAUGCCCAUUAAGCAUCCAAAACAGAUAAUAUAAUAGCAUGGAACAAUCAAAAAUUAUAGAUACAUUGGAGACGUAUCACAUCCACAUGAUGGGGAACCCAGGUCGACAUGACUGGUCAUAACCAAGGUGGCACAAACUUACAGGGACAACCAUAGGUAACCCAAAAAUGCACAUGUAGUCGGCAGCGAGUGUAACCAAGUCAUAGUAAAACCACAAGGACUCUAGUAAACACCGUGUGACAUUUCCCCAUAUAUGGGAGCAAAGAAGGAUACAUGAUAGUCAAUCCAUGUGUUCCGGAGCAGUAGCGAGCUACCAAGGCUCAGUGGAAGCACUAGGAGGCAUUUCCCUAUAGGAAAGGCUACCAAACACAAAUAACUAGGUGUCGAAUCCCACACAAACCAAUGCAUUUCACAACAUACACACAAUAUGCACGAUAUGUGUAGAUACAACGUGGCAUCACAACAUAACUCUACGACUCAAAGUAUUUAUUUAAGAGGCUCCGAGGAGCCAUACAUAGCAUGAUAUUACAAACAUGGGUCUCAUGACCGAACAUACAAAGGCAUACAAGCAACGGAAGCAUAAAGAUGUCUGAGUACAAACAACUACAAAAGAAAAAGGCUGAGAAGCCUGACUAUCUACAAGACCCUCCAUAGGAACCAAACCUCUAUAUGGGAUUCCCAAGCUAUUCAAUCAAUGUUGAACUCCACAUGGAACUACAAGUAGACUGAAUUCUCCUCUAUAAAACAUAAAUUAAGUGACCAUGAGUACAAAGGUACUCAAUAAGACUUACAUUGAUACAUACACUGGGCAGCAAACUGAUAACCCAAAAGUAUAGGCGAUCGCAACAUUUUUCAAGGGUAGAGUAUUCAACCCAUAUUUAUUGAUUCGACACAAGGGGAGCCAAAGAAUAUUCUCAAGUAUUAGCAGCUUUGUUGUCAAUUCAACCACACCUGAAAGACUUAAUAUCUGUAGCAAAGUAUUUAGUAGCAAAGUAGUAUGGAGGUAACGGUAACGGUGGCAAAAGUAAUAGUAGCAAUUUUGUAGCAAUCAUAACAGUGGCAACGGAAAAGUAAAGCAACAAAGAUCAAUAUGAAACGAACUCGUAGGCAAUGGAUCGAUGAUGGAUAAUGAUGUCGGAUGGCAUUCAUCAUGCAAUAGUUAUAACAUAGGGUGGCACAGAACUAGCUCAAAUUCAUCAAUAUAAUGUAGGCAUGUAUUCCGCAUAUAGUCAUACGUGCUUAUGGAAAAGAACUUGCAUGGCAUCUUUUGUCCUACCCUCCCGUGGCAGCGGAGUCCUAUUGGAAACUAAGGGAUAUUAAGGCUUCCUUUUAAUAGAGUACCAGACCAAAGCAUUAACACUUAGUGAAUACAUGAACUCCUCAAACUACGGUCAUCACCGGGAAGUGUCCCGACUAUUGUCACUCUGGGGUUGCCGGAUCAUAACACAUAGUAGGUGACUAUAACUUGCAAGAUAGGAUCAAGAACACAAAUAUAUUCAUGAAAACAUAAUAGGUUCAGAUCUAAAAUCAUGGCACUCGGGCCCUAGUGACAAGCAUUAAGCAUAGCAAAGUCAUAGCAACAUCAAUCUUAGAACAUAGUGGAUACUAGGGAUCAAACCCUAACAAAACUAACUCGAUUAAAUGGUAAAUCUCAUCCAACCCAUCACCGUCCAGCAAGCCUACGAUGGGAUUACUCACGCACGGCGGUGAGCAUCAUGAAAUUGGUGAUGGAGGAUAGUUGAUGAUGACGAUGGCGAUGAUUUUCCCUCUCUGGAGCCCAAAACAGACUCUAGAUCUGCCCUCCCGAGGAAGAAUAGGAGGUGGCGGCGGCUCCGUAUCAUAAAACCCGAUGAAUCCUUCUCUCUGAUUUUUUUCUCCCCAAACGUGAAUAUAUGGACUUGGAGUUGAGGUCGGUGGAGCUUCAUGGGACCCAUAAGACAGGGGCGCCCCUCACCCUUGUGGAUAGGGUGUGGGUCCCCUCUAGUUGAUUCUUUCGCCAAUAUUUUUUAUUUAUUCCAAAAAUAAUCCCCGUGAAGUUUUAGGUCAUUCCGAGAACUUUUAUUUCUGCACAAAAAUGACAACAUGGCAAUUCUGCAGAAAACAGCGUCAGUCCGGGUUAGUUCCAUUCGAAUCAUGCAAAUUAGAGUCCAAAAAAAGGUCAAAAGAGUUUGGAAAAGUAGAUACGAUGGAGACGUAUCACAAAGGUCGCCACCAGUGCAUACAAACACGCCAACAAAAUAAUAUACAAAACCAAGAGCACUUCAACACAGUUCAAGAAACGUUAGCCCUACCCCGGAGGUGCACCGCAAGCAACGGAACAAGCCGAUGAGACCUCAAUUGUCUAAACCACAUAUCCUCCAGCUCUAGCCAUGUAGCAAGAAAGCACGCACAACUAUCCUCAAUGAUCUUCGUUAGAGAAUGGACUACAAGUCGGACCUGAGCUGAACCAAGUAUUUCCGCUUUAAGUUGAGACUGAAGAUAUUGAACUGAUUCAGGCGACAACUUCACUGAGGUUGUGUCACAGCUGCUGGUAUGUAGCUUGAACUCACUAUCUUCAUCAAGACAUGACCUUGGGGUCAUCUUGCUCUCUUCAAGAUGGUUUGGCUCACUAUCUUCCCUAAAGUUCUGUCUGGCAUCAGAGAUAUGACUUUGAAAGAGAAACAAGGAGACAAAUAAUAGGUUCCAUAAAUAUACAAGCAACAAUGGCUAGUGUGCUGACAAUUCCAGCCCAUUUUUAUAUUGGCAAAUUCAGAGAUAUAAUUUAAAAUAGCAUUAACAUAAUAUGGCAUUGUCCGUUUCAUCAGCAAAAUCAGUUAAGACAAAGCAGGAAAUGAGAUGAUGUAGGCGUGGAAAGCUACACCACACCACCGGAUUAGAGAUAUAGAACACAUGCAUACAUGCAGGGCUAAAGAAAAUCAAUGGAUUUGUACUGAUUAAUGUGGAUGGUAUGAAUAAGGAACAUGUUUUUACAACUAUAGUUUGAAACCGGCAGUUGUUGCAAACAUCCAAUCUGGUGCAAACACCAAAGUAAACAGUAGUGGAGGAAAUGAUGCCUAUUCAAAUCUAUACUAGAACAAAGUUUGAAGGCUUGAGAAUGAUGGACUUACAUUACAUGUUAACACGGGCUCGACAAAGCCCUUCUCCAUGUCGAUGGAAGGAUAAUUCAAGAAAUUCGCCAAAGAAACUCCUUCACAAGUGUUGCUUUUAUUCUACAUUUUGUAAAGAGUAAAUAUAGAUCUAAUAAUAUUGGAAGAAAUAGGGGAUAAUGAAGCUCAUAUGCAGAGUGAUGAUACAUAAUCAAAUAGCUAUCAAUUAAGUACAACAUUACAAGGCAAAAGGUGCUGACAAGAGGAAUGCAUACCUCAACUUGUCUAGUGGCAUUGGUUUUAUUCAACAUUUUGGUAAGAGUAAAUGUAGAUCUGAUAAUUCGAAGAAAAUGGAGGGCGGGGCUGAUAAGAUGCAGAGUAAUGCUAGACAAUCAACUAUCUCUCAAUGUAAGUACAGUAAUAUGACCUUCGUCCGGAAUUACUUGUCGCUCAAAUGGAUGUAUCUAACCCUAAUUUAGUUCUAAGUACAUCCAAUUGAGCAACAAUUAAUUCGAUACGGAGGGAGUGCAUGGCAACAGGUACUUACAAGAGCAAUCCAGAAUUUCAUAACCAUUGGGUUCAUUCUACAUUUAUGUAAGAGUAAAUAUAGAUCUUAUAAUUUCGAGCAAACGGUGGAUAAGGAAGCGAACAUUUACAUUGAUACUACAUGAUCAAACAACAAUGAGUGUAAGUAUGGUGACAAAGCAAGAGGUACUGACAAGAGCAACAAUGCCCAGUACUGUUGUGAGAUCCUAUGAUCCCUUGAGAAUGGAUAUUCAUCUGCAAGUAGUUUUCAUACAGAAAGAGAUGGUAAGGCACGUGCAAAAAUGUAGGAGUUCAAUUUUUGAUUUGAUAUCAUAGACAUUACCUGACGCUGGGCUCUCUGUAGUUCUAAUAGGGCUUUGGUCAGUGGAGUAGGUGUAAAGUGUGCUACAGUUGGGGCCGUGUUUUCUGGGGCUGGUGAUCUAUCUGAUUUAUCAGGUAUCACUGCCUUUUCCAAAUACUUUGUUUGUACUCCUCCAGGAUCUGCACUCACCCUCUUCCUUUUGGACAUCUAUUACGAAAGAACAACACUUGGCUGGAAAAACAUGGUAUGAUGACACAUGGAAUAGGUACAUAAAAUGGAUAGGCAUGUCAUAUUAUCAUAUAUGACGUGUCAACUAAUCAGAUGGUGGUGUAACAAAGUAGAAGUAAUGAAAGACAUCGUAUGCAAGAUACGUGCGACUAAUACAACCUUGCUAAGUCAAAGCAAGCACCUUGAUGGGUGAAUAAGAUAGGCCAUCCUCCAUCAUGCCCAGUUUGUUAGCCAGUGGAUUGUUCUACAAUAUUCCUCUCGUGCACCAAUUAUGAUAUUCAUUAUGAUCAUGUUCAAUACCUACAUGCAUGAAAACAUAAAAAUAAGCGAGUAUCUUUGUAAUGCAUAGGGGAUUCUAAUCCAAUAGUGCCUCCCUGUAAACCCCUAUGUGUUAUCUCUGUCUCAGAGAUGCCAUGUGCGCUGUAAUUUUGUGUGUGCAUUAAUAUAAUGUGGCCUACUAAUCAAAAUAGAGGCUCCUUGUUGAGAGUUUCAGAAGUAAUGAUACUUCGCAGAUAAUGGAUCGCCUUGUCUUAAACCUCUCGUAGGCUUGAAACUUUCAGUUUCUUCAUCAUUAAUUCAAAACAUAUAAUCAAUAGUGAAGACGCAUUUCAUCAUAAGAUUGAUCCAUCUUUCCUGAAAACCAAGUUUUAACACAACCCUUCAAGAAAGGCAUUCAACUCGGUCAUAAGCUCUGUGCAUAUCAAGCUUGAUCGCGCAUAAACCCUCUUUUUAUUCCCUCUUAUUUCUAAUAGUAUAAAAGCUCUCACGGGCCACUAAAAUAUUGUCCAUAAUCAUUCUCCCGAGCACAAAAGCACUUUGGGUGAGACUAAUAAUAUGAGGCAACAAAACUUUCAAUCGUGCUGCCAAUAUAAUGUGGUCUAAACUAGUUUACCUUCUCUCGGGUGAAUUGACCUUAGGGAUCAACACAAUCGCAGUGUCAUUCCAUCCCGAUGGAAUUGUGCAGGUAUUCACCGCUUGCAAGACCUCAUCAACCAAAUCAUCCCGUAGCAUGGGCCAAAAUAUUUUAUAAAAAAUAGCAUGAAGUCCAUCUGUCCCUGGAGCCUUUAAUUCUCCAAUAGAAAAAAGAGCCUUACGAACAUCAUCAAAAGUAUAAGGGCCAAGCAAAGCAUUAUUCAUCUCUACAAUCGCUCUACUCCGGACAAGGGACAAGACUUCCUGGUUUAGGUUUAGAACAUCCGAGGUAAAAAAACUGGAGAAGUAAUUCAUAAUAUGUUCCUUCAUAUCAUCAUCCAGAAGUUUCUUAAUAUUGUUCCUUUUUUUCCUGGCAGUUGCAGCAUUAUGAAAAAGCGAUGUAUUGCGAUCCCCAUGUAACAACCAGUUUGCUCAACCUCUUUGUAACCAGAAAAUUUCUUCUUGAUCCAAAAGAUUUUCAAUGAGUACUAAAAUUUCCUUCUCCCUCAAACGUGAUUCCCGACUGAUAGGAACAUGCUUCAACCUCUCUAAUUCCCCACUAAUAGGAACACACUUCAACCUCUCUAAUUAUUUUUAAACUUAUUUAUUCUCCUUUUUCGUCCCUUCAAAGUAACUCGGUCCCAAGCAUGUAAAUCCUCAUGCACCGUUCUAGUCCGUGCAGAGAUUUGAAAAAAACUUCAUUUGGAUUGGUGCAUUGAGUACCUAUACCAGUACCCCCUCCCAACUAAAUGGUCCCACGUCGCUCCCGUACCAUUGCGGCUUCGGCCGUGUUGACCAUCCCUUAGUAAGACGACUUCACCAAAAAGGUGCUUGGCUUGGUGAGGUUCAAUGCCAUAACUCGACGUUAGACGCUCAAGACACACUUUGCUUUGAUAGCCCAAAAGGUUUUCGAACCUAUCCAGUCUUGUAAUUUCAUGGUGCUUUCUUCAAGAAAGUUCCCAAGCAAAGUCCUGGACGGGGUGCAGGCACACUCCUAGGUCCCAAAUGUUAAAAAUGUUAAUGUGCUUGCCAUUUCCAUUCGCCGCACAUGCCUUUUAUCAUUGCACUUACUUCAAGCAUAAUAUUUUGCCGACUAGAGGAGGAACCCUAAUUCCGUGUUUGUCUUUAUCCCAAGACCCUGUCUUUUUCUACCAUUUUUUCUUAGUGAAUGUCAUUUCUUCUCUUCUUUUAGAACAAAAUGUUAUUUCAUCUCAAAAAAGUAGAAUGGCGGCCUUUUCACCUUGACCUCCUUUUCCCUGACUUAUGUGGGAAAUAGAGAGGAAACACGCCACACCUUUCCUUCGCACUAGUUUUCGGUCGGCCCAUAUGAGGGGCGAGGCUCCUCUAUUUUUUGUGUUUUCUUCUCUGUUUUCUUUGCUUCUUAAUUUUUUUUUCAGGAUUUCAAUUUUUUCUCAAUUUCAUUUUUUCCAAAACUCAUAUUUUUUUCACAACAUUUCAAAAAAUAUGGAUUUGAAAAUAUCUUUGUGGAUUUUAAAAAUAUCCCACAUUUCAAAAAAAUCUUUAUGAUUUGAAAAAAUGCUUGGAAAUUUUCAAAAAUCUCAAAUUUCAAAAGCUAUUCAUGAAUUAAAAAAAUGUUCCAAAUUAAAAAAAUGCUCACAACCUUGUGAAAUGUCCCUUGAUUUAAAUAAAUAUUCAUGAUAUUGAAAACAUGUUCAUGUAUUUCAAUAAGUGUUCAUGAUUUUUCUAAUGUUCUAAAUAAAAAAAUUCAGAAUUGUUUCCAGAUUUCGAAAAUUGUUUGUGAAUACAUAAAAGUAUUCAUGAUUUAUUUAGAAUUGAAAAAAUUUCAUAUAUUUCAAAAAAACUAUAAAAUACAAAUAGAAAACCGAAAAUGAAAAAUACUAUCCGCCGCCCUACGCGAGAAAUAGGAAUCAUCGUUUUCACAAGCUUCCCUGUUGGACUAGGACACAUGUGGGCCGCAGUCGUUAAAACGCUGGUUUUGAAGGCCCACACUAGCCCAGUCCACGUUGCAACGCGGCGUGAUCAUCAUGGAUCUAAAUGGGCACUACCUGAAGGACCAAAAUAUAAGAAAGCCCUCAAAUAAGUGGAACCCCAGAACCCUAACCAGACUCUUUUCUAUCCUCUCACCACUCGCGCCUCUCACGCCCUUCCCGCCGCCGCCGCCGCCGCCACUCCCCUCGCCGCCGCAGCAGCCGCAGCCAUGGGGCGCAUGCACAGCCGCGGGUAAUCCUCACCCCCUUCACUGCCACCGCAAUACGGUGAAUUUUCUGGUCUAAUGGCGUCUCCGCGACUCUGUGACGCAGGAAGGGCAUCUCAUCGUCGGCGCUGCCGUACAAGAGGACUCCACCGAGCUGGGUCAAGACCGCCGUCGCCGAUGUAAGAAGAAGCCUCACCUUCUCUUGGCCCCCUCGAUUCGAUGUGAUAUGGCUGGCUGAUGCGUGCGUCGGGCUCGUGUGCAGGUGGACGAGUUAAUCACCAAGGCCGCGAAGAAGGGCCAGAUGCCGUCGCAGAUCGGCGUCCUGCUCCGUGACCAGCACGGCAUCCCCCUCGUCAAGAGCGUCACCGGGAGCAAGAUCCUCCGCAUCCUCAAGGCCCAUGGUGAGAAGUAGAUUAGAUCCCCCCUCGUCUUUCUCAGAUUGUUCUUUGCUUGAUGAGUGGAUUGAUUGUGUGAGUGUUGGUGCGCAGGGCUGGCACCAGAGAUCCCGGAGGACCUCUACUUUCUGAUCAAGAAGGCGGUGGCGAUAAGGAAGCACCUGGAGAGGAACAGGAAGGACAAGGACUCUAAGUUCAGGCUCAUCCUUGUGGAGAGCAGGAUCCACCGCCUCGCUCGCUACUACAAGCGCACCAAGAAGC
This 287839-nucleotide long non-coding RNA is filed under the name Triticum aestivum (bread wheat). RNAcentral's name for it is "long non-coding RNA (TAES_LNC016335)". The stretch from base 77461 to 77547 matches the Rfam family "MIR1120/MIR1122 microRNA precursor family". The record is from RNAcentral. Lineage: Eukaryota; Viridiplantae; Streptophyta; Magnoliopsida; Poales; Poaceae.